Molecule: long non-coding RNA, 348303 nt
Filed under: Setaria italica (foxtail millet)
Lineage: Eukaryota; Viridiplantae; Streptophyta; Magnoliopsida; Poales; Poaceae
Description: long non-coding RNA (SITA_LNC006166)
Source: RNAcentral
GCUGGAGCAGAGCAGAUGACAAAGUCCCUCUAUCUGGCCACGCAUGCAGCGGUUAAACUGCUCGGCCAUGAGCUUUUCGUUGCGAGAGUGUACUGUACUCAUAUUACCGUUUUAUUUCAUCGUAAGAUUUUUACUGCAGCCUGCUGUUUCAGUGCAAGGAACCACCCAUCAUCAGUUUUCACUUUUCAGUGCAAGGAACGUUUAUUUUACUCAUUGCAAAGGGACUGAGCUAUCUCCUGCGCCCCAAAUCUAGUUGCGUCUCAGUGGUUCAGGGCCUUGGCUGUUUAUUUUGAUGAAAUUUUUUUAGAUUAAGUGAUGAAAAAUAAAAAGGAGGUAUUUUUGGGUUAAUGUUGCAGCUUGUGACCGUAAUCAUCUUGUGAGCUGUAAGCAUGCAUGGACGGCAGUAUGUAUUCAUUGUUUCGCGGUUUCUGAUACACUAGGCCAACUAUUAUGGCAUUUCGUUCCAGCUACGAUGCUCAAGACCACAUUCAUUGUGCAUCUCUCUGAAGAGAUUCUAGCUGGCUACAAUUCUAGUCCAUGAUCUUCUAGAGCAUCUCUGCAGCACCACCCUCUAUCCCUUCACGCCACUUGUCAAUACAAAUACACAUACAACUUGGGAGGUUGCAUGGACACCUUCCGUCCCUUAAAUAUAUUUCUUUCACAAUCCUCUACUCAAAUUAGAGCCAACAAACACUCUUAGCCAAUAAACACUUCUACAUAGUUGGUACGAGUUAUUAGGCCGGCUACCUUUUAUUAUAGCAAAAGUUGCAUUGAAUUCUAGGGUGCUACAAAUGGUGUCUAAUUGUGGCAGAUAAAUAACUCCAACUCUUUCAAGAACUCCAACCCUCUGUCUUCCUCCGAAGUGUAUAUGUAUACAUACACAUUUAACAGCUUCAAUGGGUGUGGCUACAGAGUCGUGGCCGAUCAAGAACUAGAUCAUUUUCUUCCUGUUUAGUGACUACCUGACAGACUGAACUAUGAAGUCUGAACAGGCCAGUUCUGACAGACCUCAGAGCUUCAAAAUUAGAUUUUCAAUGUGCUUUCGUCAUUUGCCAGUAGCGAUGCUUGAAGGAAAAAGUAACAUCAAAACAUUUUAAAGUGAAACAUUUUCUUUUCACAAAAGAAUAACAAGCUAAACCUCACAGGCCAUUCGGGGGAAGCUAGAAGAUGCAAGGGAAAAGGGGGGACGCAAUGGAGGAGGCGAAUUCCGGUGACGCUAACACCGAGCGAGACGCUGGUGGUGGGCCGGAACGAACGCGUCCAGGUCGAAAUCUUUUUACUACAAGGUGCCUUCAAUUCAGUUCAUCCCCUUCUCCAUUUCCUUCAUGUUACGCGACAUUGGCACCCGGCAAACAAAAUCACUGAUGCAUCGUGAAAAAAGCUCAUGACUCCGGGAGGCAUUCAUGAUACAUGGAUGAUUUUUGAACUGUUGUUGGGAUCGCUUGGCACCGCUUGUAGGCGUGUUAUAUAUACACUCUGCCAUGCCUUAAGUACAGAGUAACCUGCGUUUUCUCUUUCAAGCAGUUAGCUAGUCUUUGAACUAUAUGAAGCAUUGGAGGAAACCAAAUUACGAGCUUUGACUUUUGUAGCUGAACGCAUCCACAAAUUUGGUGAGGCAUAUGGGCACAUUCAGACAAUCUUUGAUCUUGAUCACUUUCGGCCUGUACAGAUCUUUUCUCUUUCACACAAUUCCAAACACAAAGAACCAGUGAAGACUUUGUAUAUACGAUGGUAUAAGCCAUAAUGGUGCGUAUGGUUAUCGUGGUCCAUGUUGCUAAUGGUAUACAGAAGUUCAAUUUAUUGGUACAAGUGGCCAUGAUGUAUUUGUGAAAAGAGCAUCCUGUUCUUGCUGACUUCAUUGAUAACACGAUCAGGUUCGCUAUUUGGAUGUGUCGAUCGUGACAGGACUUCAGAAUGCUACCUUCCUUUGUUAGGCGUGUUACAACUUACAAGAACUGUAAAGAAGAAAUAGAAACUCAGUUAACAUCACAUACAAUGAAUCACAUCCCAUCAACAGAUAUUUGUCUGAGCUUCUCUUCAUCUCCGCUACGGCAUUGCACCCCGCAGCCUUCUACAUGGCGUUUAUGUUUUUUGUCCUGUGAUUCUAUAAUGGAUGAAGAACCGGUUACAGGUGAUCCUCGGAAGGUCACCUGAGCUUUUCCUUAAGGCCCGUCGAAUGAAUUUGUCCGCGUGCUCCUCAUGCUCCCUCGACCCACGCAUCCACGUCCAUCCCAGCCGGCGAUCACCGGUCAUAAUAAGCUGAUUAGGCUGAUAGCUACAUGAUUGAAGCGACGGCAGCACAAACUCGGGUGUGGGACGGACUCUGUUAUCGAGCGUCAAGCAUCAUCGUUUACAUGUUGUUCAGAAUUCAGUCAUAUGGUUCAGUUCACUUCUUGGUUGUCAGGUAUUUCCGGGAGGCAAAAACUGACUAGACUCACUGAAGCAUGUAUGCAUAGUGCCAUCGGUUCAUCACUCUUCAUGUUUAGAUGGAGGUAAUCAGUGGGAGGUCAUGAAAGGGAGUUUAGAUAGAAGAGAUUAAAAUUACAUUGCUUGUUUGAUGGGAAUGGGAGUUUUAAUGGGAUGAGGAAUAGGAGUUUUAAUGGGAUAAGGAAUGGGAGUUUAGAGAGGCAACUCCCACUGAUCACUUCCCCAGGGGAGGGGUGGGAAUUGGGUAGGAAUUUGUUUUAAAUGGAAGAUGAAUGCAUCUACACCAUUUAUCAUAACUUAAGAUAUAAUUUCCCAUCGCUAAAUCCUCACACCAAACAACGGAUAUCUAGUCUCACUUAAACUCCCACUCUUAAUUCCCUCCAAAAGACAAACAAGGAAAUGGCACUAAAAAUCAUAUUCCCAAGUAAAUUCCCUCCGCCAACUCCCACCGCUAAUUCCGAAGCCCCUUCCCAUUAGUUGCCCAACGCACCCUUAGAUUAGAUGAAACUGGCACCGGUCAAAAACAGAAUACUGAUCGAUCAGAUGAUCACCUAUGUGCUGUGAAAUGAAAUGAUUGUAAUGCUCGUAAAAAUUACCAAUUUAAAUCACUCGUUAAAAAUGCAUUCCAAAAUUUUCCGACCGUUGAGCUCCCAAAAAAUCCCCUCUUUCCCGUCGGAUCCGCCGUUCCGACCCCCGACGUCGUCAACCCUCUUUUUCCGUUCCCCGUAUUUUUCGCCGCGUGCCCGUCAAAUUCAUCACGCGUGCCCGUCAAAUCCCGCAAUUCCCGCCGUCUCCCUCUUUUUCUUUUUCCCUCCUUUUUCCCUCUCUUUCUUUCUUCUUUUUCCCUUCUCCUUGUUUCUUCUCUUUCUUCCUCCUUCCUCUCUCUCCUUUCUUUUUCCCCGCUUCCUUUUCUUCUCUCUGGCGCCUGGCGCCCGGCCCCUCCCUCCUAGCGCCGCCCGUGCGUCCCCUGCCUUGCGCACCCCGAGGUGAGCACCCCGCACGCGCGCCGGGCCCGCGCCGCGCCCGCGUCCGCUCGCGCCUUGGCGCCUAGCGCUUGGCCAAGCACGUCGCAUCACCGGCCGCCGGUCGCCGGUCUCCGCCAUCCCACCGCACGUCACGCCGGCCAUCACCUCGGUGGACUCCUUGUGCUCCUCGUCGACCGAGCCACCACACCAUCCACGAGCUUCUCCACUCUGGCACGCCACCGGCCAGAGGUACGGCCGCCAUUAUCACCCGGCCGCACGCCCACCUCUCCCUUCGCCUAUAAAAGGAGCAAUGCUCCGACUCUCCGCACCGCCACCUGCCACUAGCAUCACCACCGCCCCUUCCCUGCUCCCUCCCGUGCGCCCAACUGCCACCUUCCCUGUGCGCCGCCGCCCCUAACCAUUGCCGGCCGCCCCUCCUCCCAUCAUCAAAAUCUCCAAGGUGAGUGGCAAAAUGGGGCCUCCACACCUCCCCCUACCCUUCCCCACCGUCGGGGCCCGCCGCUGGCAAGGCCCGGCCGGCUGGCCGGCCACCGCCAGCCAUCCUCUCCACUUCCUGUAACCGGCCAAAGGAAGAAGAAGAAGAAACUCCUUCAAUUUCGAUCUACCCCUCUACUUCCAUUUAUUUACAAUCCGGCCCUUCCACCUCUCUCCAGGAAUUCUCACAGAUGAGCCCUUCCACUUUUCAGAAUAAUUACAAAUAGGUCCUUGGUUCUCGCGGUUUAGUCCUAAACCUUAAUUUAAACCCCUAAUCCAUGUUUAACUCGUCAUUUCAUGUGCCAAACUUCCUCCAAUUAAUCCCAAAUUCGACCACGGCCUCCUCUCAUAUAUUUCCGUCAAGGCAUAUCCAAAUUUCAUAAAAAUACCCCUCCUACCUAUUUUCCGUUCACAUUUCCUGUUCAGAGCUCAACGGGUAAAAUCUUAUUUUUGUGCUCGUUUGUGUGUGCCGUAGAUCGCGGAGUACCCAAGGAGGAGCACGAGGAGGAGUUCGACCGCGAGCCCAAGCCCGAGGACCAGUACCGCGAGCAGGAGCUCCCGGAGGGCUUUGAGAACGGCAAGUCCAACCUCACCCUUUGAUGCAUAUUUAAUACCUAAUUUUUCAAAACACAACCUAUUGGCCUAUUUUAUAAAAUGCAUAUUGUUUUAUCGCAAGACAUGGUUGGAUAGCCACCCCUUGAUUGUUAUGAUUAUUCCUUGUUGUCCUAUAUUUGUCUCUAGAUAUGAGUUGCUCUGUUUAGAUGAUAAAUACUGCUAGAAUGCUUAGGAACUCGUUACUCCCAUUCAAUCAUGACUACACUUGUUUAUAAAUGUGUGAGUGUGUUCAACUGAGAAAAUGGGAUUUUCAGGCGUAAAGAGAAGUGGUGCAUGGAUGAGAUGGAUGGGUGUUUCUUGUGUGAAAUGCCAAGAUGUUGAGCUCGUACCUUAGUGGUUGAGCAAGGUUGGGAGAUAUCCAUCUUGUCAUGGUUAAGGACUAAGUUGAUGUGUCAUCUUGCCUAAUUCAACCAUCGUGCAACCACUCGACCGUUGUAUGGGCAACGGCUUAGCAUGAAUCCCACUAGCUAAACUGCUAGGCUUCAGGUGUACUGGUGAGCAACGGGAACCCAUGGAAAAGGAUUAAGCUCUUGGUGACUUAGGUCCCGGUUCCGGCCUCGUAGAUGGGUCGUUAACCCCUUGGGUGCUUCCGUGAUGACUAGUCAGUUUUGGCUAAGGUGGGUAAUGGUUUUGUUAGGAUCCGCACCGGCACUAAGGUGAUCGUGCUGUGGUACCCUACUUGUGGGAAAAGUGUACAACCUCUGCAGAGUUAAAACCUAUCCGGGUAGCCGUGUCUAUGGCAUUGGACGAGUUACAGCUUGGUCACAUAACUAGCAUUUGGAGAUGGUUGGUUUUUAUGGUGUGUGUUGGAUUUUUGGAAGUGUCCGGCAGUUGUGCCAUGCGCUGCAGCGGACGGGGGGUCCGGUAGCGAUAAAACUUGGAUCCUUUGUGUAGGAUCAACCCCACUUAAUGAUUCGGUUAUUAAAUAAAAUACUUUGUAAAAACUCUUUGAAAAUGAACCCUUGCAUGAGUUGAAAAUCUAGCUUUAUUGCAAAUGAACCUUAACCUUGUCCUUGUUGUAUCAUGUGCAUGUUCUUGUUGUAUCCCUCUCCAUGGAUGGGGUUGGACUUGUUGAGUACCUUUGUACUCACCCCUGUUUUGUUGCUUCAGAGGAGGAUCCGGACUACGUCGUCGAGGAUUUUGAGUAGGGGGUUGCGUCUGCACCCAACGCUGCUUGCGGUGUUGGCCCUUUUGCAGGAUGCUUCCGCUGACGCAUAGUCCGAUUGCAGCCCGGAGUCCGACUGGACUGCAACUUGGAUUUGUAUUGUUAUCGCUUUAGUUUUACUUUGGGUGUGGCUUGCCCGCCCUCUCCUUCGGGAGUUGUACGGUUUCUGAACUAUCUGUUGAAUAAAUAUGUUAUCAGCCUCCUGGGACUGAUAAUUGGAUCACAUUUAGUCUCUACUUAUGUGGGGACGCUUCAAUGAUUCAUGAACAGUAACCGUAUGACUUGUUGGGGAUCACUCUAAAAGACAGCCACCCUCGAUGUCAUCUUCUUCGGCACGAGGCAACUUGCAUCGCGAAAUCUUUGCCUUCAGGCGAAGGUUGCUAACAUCGUGAGACCAAUUUGGCAUAAAAACCAUGUUAGCCUCGCGCCGUCUCUAUAGCUCGGGUCUCGAAGCUAAGGCAUAAUUGCUAAUGGCUAAAAUGUGACAAAGCUUACCCUCGGACGCUCGAAGCUAACCUCGAGUGACGAGUUUUUCACUGUGUUUUAUUCAGGGUUACCGGAAUGAGGGCGCUAAGGCUCAAGGCACGAGGCUAGGCAUCUUUCUCGGCACGAGGAUGAGAGAACUUCAAGCACGAGGUAAAGAGGUUUGCUGGAAAGAUGCUAAAGGCACAAAGGCGUGAAAAGCAUGAUUGCAUGGAGGCGUUGGAAACGUGAACCCCCGGUGGCGUGAUUAACGUGACUACCCGCUAGCGUGAGAAGCGUGACCCAAUAGAAGAGACCAAGUUGAACAAGUUACCUCCAACCUUAGAAUGUAAAGUGUCCCUCGGAUCACUAUAAAAGAGGAGCCCUACCCUGGUGUAAAGGGAUGAUCUUUUUUGAGAACUGAAUCACGAGUGCUAACUCUACAUUGUUGUGUUCGAGUUUCCUUGAGGAGUUCUCUAUCGCUAGGUGUGAAAGCCUACAGAGUCUUGAAUCUUCCCAAGGUGCGUCAGCUGUGGGUAAGUUGCUGUCAAGUUUAAGGCGUGUGGAUGAGUUGGGCAGUUUGGAGCAGCUGUGGCUGAAUGUGGAUACGCAGGACCUCGCUUCUCAGUGGGUGCCUGGGCUUAAACAACAGCGCCAAUAACUCCAUGGGGAAGACCUGGAUAUCUACACAUGGUGACUGAGGUACGAGAAAAACUGGGCAUUAAUUUAGUUGCUCCUUAAUUUGUUUGGUUGUCCAUCUAAUUAAUGUUGUUUUCUCUCUGAAUUUUGUAGUUUCAACCGACACUAGCAUCUUGAAUUUGUGGAUAUUAGUCUUCUGUAGGAAGGAGGACUGAUGAUAAAGUGCAACGAUCAAGAUGAACUGAGGUCGAAAGGUGGGAACUGAGAGAUGGAAAUCAAGAGCAGCUGCAUGCGAUGCAUCGAUUCUUGCUCUAAGGUUGGGUCUAUGAGAACACAGGGAACACAGGGAGAAGGCUUCCUCUCUUCUUUGGCCCAUUGGAAGCCUUGUUUAAUCUUGUUCAAGUGUUUGCUAUUGUUGUGUGCAUGUCUAAACAAAAUGUGUGCUACUUACUUGAGUUUCUCCAUUAAUUCAUUCUGUAAGAUGGGCUUCUAUUCCUUGUACUUAGCGAACAUGUAAUCAUAUCUUGGCUGGUGCCUAUGCUGCUGCUCCGUCGUCAAUUUGUCACCUGCUCUUUCACUGUGAUGCGAUUACAAUUUGUUAGGUGCAAUCAAUUUCUUCCGUUCUGUUCUCAAAAGAAUGUCAGAACUUGGAGAAUCACAGCCAUCAAGAUGCACUGAUGUCGGAACUCGGAGAAGGCUUCCUCUCUUCUUUGGCCCAUGGGAAGGCUUGUUUAAUGUUGUUCGAGUCUUUGGGUAUCCUUGUGUGCAUAUCUGAAUAAAUUGUGUGCUACUUGAGUUUCUCGAUUAAUUCAUUCUGUGUGAUGGCUUGUAUUCCUUGUACUUCGUGAACUUGUAAUGUCAACUUCAUCUGCUGUUGCAUGCUUUCUGUUGCCAACUGAGCUCCUGUUUUGUUACCACUGCUAUUAAUUUUUACUCUAAUAGAACUUCUGUUACUCGUUCCCCUGCUUAGUUCCGUAAUGCAUCUUAUGUCAAACAAUCAAGUCAUCCUGUGAAUGGUGAAAUGCGGGUUAGCUCUAAAAAUCAUAUCUUGGCUGGUGCCUAUGCCACUGCUCUGUCAUCAAUUUGUCACCUGUCCUUUCACUGUGAUGCGAUUACAUUUUGUUGGGUGCAAUCAAUUUCUUCCGUUCUGUUCUAAAAAAAAACUUCCGUUCAUAGGACUAGAUUUGCACGAGCAAUUUUCCGUUCAAAUUCGUGCAGCUAGAGGAGGCACGAGUCGUCAUUAGUCAAUACUUAGGUAGCUGCAGUUUUGAGCAUCUACUGAAACUCUGUUCUCUUUGCAUCUACUCUGUUUUCUUCGAACCCUGCUUGAUUCAGUACCAAAACAAGACAGCUAGCCGGAUCAGGUAGCGUGGUCGCUCUACUACAGAUGAACUUCUGAACAUUAAUUUCCUCUGUUUCUAUAAAUCGUGCAGUUGUUCAACAAUAAGAAACCAACUAAUUUCAUCAUGUUUAUUCAAAAAAUGGCUGGCUUGUGGAAAUGCCCGAAUUGAUGGACUAGAAUGUUGAACACGAAGUUUGGGAAAGAGUUAAUCUCAGAACUGGAGUUGGCAUGCAUGGAUCAUGAAGCGACUUAGAUGUACUUGUGUAUGUCCAAUUGCAUCAAGGAAAAGAGCUGCUCCAGAGCUAUCUUGAAGCUUUCUCCUCCAAGCGCAGGGAGGAAUAGAACAGAGCAGAGAACAGCUGCACUGCAAAGGCGCUCUCUGCACUCCUAGGAAGACUGAUUGGACUGAGAAAACAUGUGGUUGGACUUUUGACUAGGGGAGCUAAGGUGAACGAUUCUUGACUAGGAAGGCAUGAGGUUGGACCUCUCAUUCGGUCCGCUAAAAGAACAAUUAUUGUUGACUAAGAAAACAUGAGGUUCGGCCUCAGAUGGAAUUUGUAAGGUCCAAAGGGCCACUUUCAUAUCUUCUCCAUUCUAGAGGAUCGGAAGCUUUGGUCAGUUUUGUAUUCAUUUCUUUGCAAAAGAAACGUACUCAGAUGCCUCCUAUGGUCUCCAUGGUUGGUUGCAAUCACCUAACUGAAUUAAUUGAACGAUAGAUAGAGCAUACUGUAAAUUUUUUAUGACCAAGGACAAAAGGAACGACUUCUACUGAACUGACCACACAGCAAAGAGGCCAAGGCCUGGUGGCCUUAUCGUCACGCAUCUCGCUACUAAGUAGUGAUCACACACCAAAUAAAAGCUAACAGCCGAAGAAGGCAACGGAUGUCAACAAAGAUGGCACGCAUGCAUGUUUCCUUGACUAUAUAUGACAUGGGACAACUAAUUUACAUUUAUACUGCUACGAGUUUUACAAUAUUAGUAAAAAUCUAUUUGGAUCCGAUGCUAAAUUUUAGCCGGCUAAAAAUUAGUCCUUGACGAUUUAAACGGUGGGGCUAAAGGUGGACUAAUUAUUAGCCAACUCAAACUAAACUUUAGUUCAUUAGCCCUCCAAACCCAGCUAAUGGGGCUAAUUUUACAAACGAAUGGUAAAAGAUUAAAAAUACCCUCCACUAAAAUCUUAAAAUUUUCUCUCCUACACCCCCUAAGGAUAGAAUAGACAUUUCCCAAUAAAUAGGUUAAAAAUUAGCUCUACCUCCAAAGAAGACAGAGUUAUUUUAGCCAACGAAAGUUUUGAUGUCUAAACUUUAGUUUUAGUCCAUCCAAACAGACUCUUAGAAUGAUUGAUACCACCACCUUGAUUUUGGUUCGGAAGUAUUUAUCUAGAUAAAAUAAAAAUUUUAGCGCUGGUCCAUGUAUCUAGAAAAAUCAAACCGACCUACAUUUUGAAACGAAGGGAGUAGAAUGUAAGAUGCAUAGGUGCAACUUGAAGAAAAUUGGAUCCCCGUUGGUACGGAACUAUGAUACAAGUAGGGAGAGAUGUCUCGUACGUAAUUUCGCUGUUGCACGAUUCAUGAAUGCAUGCAUGUAUGAUACAAGUAGCAAGAGACGUCUCGUGAUUUCGCUGUUGCACGAUUCGUCAAGAUGCAGGGACCAGCAUCAUCAAACUGAAAACGUGAUGGACCGAGACGGCGGCGUGUGUUGAAUGUGUUCCGCCUGCAGGCCGCGACGUACUUGAGAAUAGCACGCGUCACGUAAGGAGGUGUUUGAUUCUUUAGAACCUCCUAAAAUUCCUAUCACAUCGAAUGUUUAGAUACUAGUUAGGAGUAUUAAAUAUAGACUAAUUAUAAAACUAAUUGCACAAAUGAAGGCUAAUUUGCAAGACGAAUCUAUUAAGCCUAAUUAGUCCAUGAUUUGAUAAUGUGAUACUACAGUAAACAUGUGUUAAUGAUGCAUUAAUUAUGCUUAAUAGAUUCGUCUCGUGAAGCUUCCGUCUGUGUAAUUAGUUUUAUAAUUAACUCAUGUUUAUUCCUCCUAAUUAGACAAAUACUAGUCCAUCAACCCGUGCUCCCGCACGGACUAAUAUUUUUAGAAGCAAUUGUAUAUAAAAAUUAUUUAAAAAUUAAACUCUUAGCUAAUAAUCAAAAUUGUUUACCUACUACUCUCUUAUUUUUCCAAUACUUGAACAUAAUAAUUACAUAGAUAUGUACCUAUCUUUGUCCAGUUGUGAUUGCUUUAUAAUCAAUAAUUACUCUAUAUACUUUUUCAUCCAUAUUCAUACUUUUUUUCAUUUUGUAUCACACCUCCAAUCCUUCAUACAUUAUGUUUAGCAUACAAAUUAAUAUUUUUCAUCGAUUCCUCACAUACAUGUAUAAAUGGUCUAAAUGGUGGCACUCAUCAUGUGUAUAUACUUUAACUUAGUAUUUUUAUAUUAACAAUGACAUAAAUAGGUAAUUUAGAAUCAUAUAUUAAUUUACUUUUUGACAUUUCUGUAUGAUGCACAUGAAGAUAAUUAGAUGAAGAUUUAGGUGUUUACUUUAGGUUAUUUUUAAUAUCGACAUAUGUGGGUAAUAUAGAUAAAAUUUUAGAAUGACAUUUUAAGUUAUGCUUUAUAAUGAUGUGUAUUAGUAAAUUGGACGAAGAUUAUGAGGUUACUUUAUAUUAUUUUUUAUAGUAGCUGAGCUCAGUAAUUUAGAUAUAGAUAUAGGUUUAGAGCUCAUUUUUUUAAUAUUUUCACAAUGAUAGUGGCAGGUAACCUUUUAGAAAAUAUAAUAGAUCAGUGGCUAUGAUUAUUAGAGUUUACAUGAUUGGUGUUUGAUGUUUUUAAUUUUUAUGAGAAUUUCUCUCUUUUUUCUAGCUUGUCUCGUGGGAACUAAUGUGGAGUCUCCAAUGGAAAAAAAAUGUAGGGUAACCUCAUGUUAUUUUUAAUAAUAGCAUGUGUGGGUAUUAUAGUGGUUAUUUUUCAUGCAAAUUUAAGGGUUACUUAAAAAUUUUAAGUAAUAGUGGUAGGCAAUUCAGCUGCAAAUUAGGGGGUUAUUUUAAAUAUUGUUUACAAUGGCAUAAGUGGGUAAUUUUGAUGAAGAUUAGGGGGUUACUUUAAUUAAUUUUAUAUAAUGGCAGAGGUGGGUAAUUUAUAUAUAGAUUUAGAGGGUUACUUUAGGCUAUUUUCAUAAUGGCAUAGGUGGGUAAUUUUUUUAAAAACAUAAUAGAUCCAAUGGUUGUAAUGAUUUGAAUCUAUCGACCGAUGGUCGGAUGUUUUGCUUUUUUAUAAGAAUUUCUAGGAUUUCUCUCUUUUUGUAGAAUGUCCACCUAGGAAUCCUAGGUGGCUUCACCUGGAGGCUUCAAAAGGAGCCUCCAAUUAGUAAUAGUAAGAUUCGAUGUGACAUAAAUUUUAGUCCGGACUAAAGAUCGAAAUUACCCCUGGUACGCGUGGGAGUAGCUCAGCUGUCCCUGUCCAUUGCGGCCCGGAAACUGGAAUUCCACCUUCAAGAAGUACGUGCCGAGCCUGACUGUUUGUAGAUUCGUCAAGGUCAUCGUGGUGUUUCUAGAUUCGUUUCAUCUUUCGAAGCAGAGUUCUUGUGUUGAGUUCUUGUUGUUCACCGUGCAAGAGUUGGCGUUUCUAGCACGCACGGAGAGUGAAUCAAGGCAUGUGGGACGACCCAUUCGGAGUAGUAGUCAAUGUGGAAUUGAAUGACGGGCUGUGUUAUGGUGUGCACGAGUGGAAGAAAUUAAAAAGUCUGAUUGCAACGUUACUGCGUUACUUGACGAAAUCUGCAGCUUGAAGAACAGGGAAGGUCCAUGAAUGCAUGCGCCGGAGGAGAUCCGGAACAACAUAUGCAUAUACGGGAGUUCUUGGGAAAAUAAUAAUUAGAUAAAAAUUACUAAAUUAUCUAUAAAAAUGGAUGGUUAGACCACUAACGAGUCGCAUAAGGCACCGUAAAAGACUUCUUGAAUAAUUAUUGGACUAACCUACAUGAUUAUUAUAGUGCAGAAACCAUACCGAGCAGGAAUGGAGUCAACAAUGACGUGUCCUGUGCAACAAUGACGUGUCCAGGAAGAUGCGGUCCAGUUGACGCAGCCAAGAUGGGCCGUUACACGUUGAUCCAUUGUUAGCUAGCGCACUCGCUUCACUAGCAGCAACCUCUAUAAAAGGAGAUCAAUACCGGAACAGAUCAGCAAUCUGCACAAGACCACAAGUAGUUAACUAAGCAUUGCAGCCAGUUAUUAGCAACUAGCUACUAGUGACUACUGAACAUCCAGCGCGUAGGAUGGCUGCAAGAAAGGCUAUUGGUGCUAACAAGGAGACCUGCGGCGCCUUUGAACCUUGUUUAUGGGGCGACUUCUUUGUGAAUUACACUCCUACCUCAUCACAGGCAUGAAUUUAUGAUUUCAUUGUAGUCAGCAUGUUAUAAUUUUUAGCUCUUUAGUUAUAUUGUAUUGCAUAACAAGCAGAGGUCGGAGGAGUGGAUGAGAGAGAGGAGUGAGCAACUCAAAGGGGAAGUGUGCCGGAAGUUUGAGGUUGGAAAAGCCAUGAGCGUGGCCGACACGGUGAGGUUGGUGGACACGCUCGAACGCCUUGGUAUAGAGAACCAUUUCGUCAAGGAGGUUGAGAAGGCCUUGGAGGGUGUCCACGAUGAGGAGCUGGACUUUGGCAGCUCCAAUGACUUGCAUGUUGUUGCCCUCCGGUUUCGUCUUCUUAGGCAACAUGGCUUUUGGGUAUCCGCAGGUAAUAGAAAUCAGAAGCUAACAAAAGCUGAUCAGUUAUGCUCGAUCAUUCUUCUUUCACACAUGUUUCUCUGUUUUUCUCUUUUUUCUUGUUGCCACCACAUAACCUAUACACGCUGAAAACUGUUUAUCAUACAAUUUUUUUGUUUUAGAUUUAAUUUGAAUGCGUGUGUAAUAUUAUGUACUAGGAGUUAUAGAAAACGCCAUAUCAUUACUAUAUGAGCUUCUAGUGAUGAAUAUGUACAUACGUGCAUGCAUACAGAUGUAUUCGACAAAUUCAGAGAUGACACCGGUAGUUUCAACGUAAAUCUAAGCAAUGACCCGAGGGGCCUGCUUAGCUUGUACAAUGCUGCUCACAUGGCGGUACCUGGUGAGACGAUCUUAGAUGAUGCUAUCGCCUUCACUAGGCGCCAUCUUGAGGCUGCAAAAGGCAAGCUUACAUCUCCUAUAAAGGAACAAGUUUCCCGUGCCCUAGAGAUUCCGCUCCCUCGUUUUAUGCGGCAACUAGAGACCAUGCAUUAUCUUACUGAGUAUGAGAAAGAAGAGCCACACGACAUCAUGAUGCUAGAGCUCGCAAAGAUUAACCUCAACCUUCUUAGGAGUGUCCACCUCAAGGAGCUGAAGGACCUCUCACUGUAAGUUGAUAUUCUAGUUCUUUCACCCUAUUUGUUCAUUGUUCAUUGUCUUCACUAACAAGGUGGGUCAACCAAUUCCAUGUGAAGAUGGUGGAGGGAUCUCUACGACAGUGUGAAGCUAACCUACUGUCGGGACCGCAUCGUGGAGUCUUACUUCUACAGCUUUGGAGUGUUCCAUGGGGAGGAAAGCUCUGCUGCGCGGAUCAUACUUACCAAGGUGUUUGGGUUGUUGGUCCUGAUUGAUGACACAUUUGAUGUGCGCGCCACCUUUGAGGAGUCCCAAAUGUUAGAUGAUGCCUUGCAAAGGUAGGAUAAUUCACUACCACUACAACUACUUCCUCUAUUAUAUGUUUUUUGUAAAUGAAAAAUCAAGUUUUAUCGUACAGCUCACUUAUAAAAAUAACAAGGGACUCGAUAACUGGAAUGCUGACGCACAUAUGAAAAGAACCUAAAAUCAUUAUUGUAAGGAAGUCGUACUACAAGAUGGUUGUAUACUUGUAUGUGGUUAUAUAUGUUGUUCGCUGGUCAAAAUAAAACAGCCAAACUAAUUAGUGUAUUUCUGUCAUAAUUAUAUGUAGAUGGGAUGAGAGCACUGUUUCGCUUCUACCACAAUACCUACGCAUGUUCUACAUCAAAACAUUGAGUAACUUCAAUGAAAUUGAGGAUACUUUGGAACCGCACGAGAAGUACCGCAUGGAUUAUGUCAAAAAAGAGGUGUGGAUUAUAGUCAACUAACAGCUAUGUAACUUCUGUAGAAACAUAACAAACAUGAACAGUGGUUUCGAUCCUCUCAAUUUUAUUAAUCCCAACUUAUUUGCGUACAAUGUUUUUGAUUUUGCAGUACAAAUUGCAAUCAAAAAAUUCCAUCCAACAGGCUAAAUGGUUCAAUGAAAACUGCACGCCCAGCUUCAAAGAACAUCUAGACGUGUCACUUAUGGCGACGGGUUUGCCGUUGCUGUUCUUCACAGCUCUGAUGAGUGCAGGCCAAGUGAUAAGCAAUGAGGCAUUCGAGUGGGCACUUGACAUGCCUGACAUGUUUUAUGCCAAUAUAGAAGUGGGUCGCUUCCUCAAUGACAUCGCUUCUUACAAGGUACUAUAUCGAGUUCAAAUAAUAGUCUAUCUAUUUUUAAAUAUUUGAUGCCAUUACCUUUUUCAUUCUUUUGACUAUUCAUCUUUUGUAUAAACAUAAACAUAUGAUGCACGAUUUAAAGCACUUUUGAUGAGAGGUCUAGUUUUACUUAUUUCGCUUUACUUAAUGAAUUAAUUCAAUAACCAUUAUUGUCAAAGUUUGAGAAAAAGACACCUUAGAAGGUAUUUCAAUCAUGGAGGUAUUUAUAAGACCAUUGUUGUUAUUUUUAUUGAUAACAAAUAUUAGAAAAGCAAUGGACAGACAUGCAGUACAUUCCAAACACCUUUGACAUCAUAAACAGCAAAAUAAUCUACUACCUGCUUGUAUUGGAAAAAUAUGACAUUCAGUGCCCGGAUGGAUCUCGUAUAUGCACGCACCUAACAUCACAAAUACGCAUGUCUUUGCGCGCAGCAAGGGAAGUGCGAGAAGGAUGUGGCCAGCACUGUGGAGUGCUACAUGAGGGAAUACGGCACGACUGGGGAAGAGGCGGUGGCAGCGAUCACCGGGAUGGUGGAACAUGCGUGGAGGAGGAUAAACAAAGCUUGCAUAGAGGUGAAACCUGCAGUAGAGCCGGUAGUGCGAUGUUUGUUGAACACGACGAGGGUGCUAGAGGCCUACUACCUUCAUGGCAGGGACGGCCUCACCUAUGGCCGUGACCUCAAGGAGCUCAUCACCUUCCUCUUCCUGAAGGAUGUCCAUGUCUAAGUUUGUUAUUUGCAUCAGUACGACAUAUAAUGUACUGCAUAUAUGCAAUUGUUAAAUGUGAUGCUUGUGUCGAGAAUAAUAAAAACAAUGGUGCCAACCUAGCUAACUGGUCGAGCCUCGUCACUCGGUUCAGCCUGCCAUUGGCUUAUCUUCUGAACUUAAUCUUUUACAUAUAUGAUAUUGCCAUCUGCUCUCAUUUACUGUCAGACUUAUUGUGUGUUUAACUCUUGAUCUGCUCUCAUUUGCCUAUGCCAAUGCUCUGUCGUCAAUUUGUCACAUGUCCUUUCACUGUGAAGCGAUUACAUUUUGUUGGGUGCAAUCAAUUUCUUCGGUUCUGUUCUCAAAAAAAAAAUCUUCCGUUCAUAGGACUAGAUUUGCACGAGCAAAUUUCCGUUCAAAUUCGUGCAGCUAGAGGAGGCACGAGUCGUCAUUAGUCAAUACUUAGGUAGCUGCAGUUCUGAGCAUCUACUGAAACUCUGUUCUCUUUGCAUCUCCUCUGUUUUCUUCGAACCCUGCUUGAUUCAGUACCAACACAAGACAGCUAGCCGGAUCAGGUAGCGUGGUCGCUCUACUACAGAUGAACCUCUGAACAUUAAUUUCCUCUGUUUCUAUAAAUCGUGCAGUUGUUCAACAAUAAGAAACCAACUAAUUUCAUCAUGUUUAUUCAAAAAAUGGCUGGCUUGUGGAAAUGCCCGAAUUGAUGGACUAUAAUGUUGAACACGAAGUUUGGGAAAAGAGUUAAUCUCAGAACUAGAGUUGGCAUGCAUGAAUCAUGAUGCGACUUAGAUCUACUUGUGUAUGUCCAAUUGCAUCAAGGAAAAGAGCUGCUCCAGAGUUAUCUUGAAGCUUUCUCCUCCAAGUGCAGGGAGGAAUAGAACAGAGCAGAGAACAGCUGCACUGCAAAGGUGCCCUCCUUCUCGGGCUGUGACUGUGUAAUAUUCCAAAAAUUUGAAAUAUUAAUUUGAGUGAAAUUUCCAAAAAUUCCAAACUUUUUGUUCAAAUUGUGUGCUUGUUUAAAAAUGAAAGACAAAUUCUCUUCUCAUCCAAAUUCCCUAAUGGUCAAAUCACAAAUCUCUUGAAAACUUGUGUGGAUUUUCAUGGAUUUUAUUUGGAUCUCAAAUAUAAGUGUGUUUGAAUUUUGAAUAUAAUUCAAAAUUCAAACUAAAAUGUAUCCCUCCUAAAUUUCUGUAAAUCAUUUCUUAAGAGCCAGAUCCGCCUCCUCUACAAAAUUUUUUUGCUCCUGAAGCUUUUGGCUGAGAGUAUGGAUCACUUUAUCUUUAUCAGCGAUGGUCCUCAUAACUUUUUCUAUAGUGUCCCGGAGUUUCUCCAAAACACCAAGACAAUAAACACCAAGAUUGUCUGCAGAACUCUUUUCCAGGCUUUUGACUUUCUGAACGAGGUCGCUGCAAGUGUUGGUAAGCAGCACCUUGUUUCUUUGAAGCUUGGCGUUAGCCUCGAAAAGCUCAUUCUUUAGACUUACUAAAAUGCUAUUUUCCUUCUCGAGCCUCGCCACCUUAGCCUCAAGAUUUAGCAUCUUGGCGCUCUGACUGAGCAUAUCCUUCUCUUUCUCUGCUAGCUUCUUCACAGCGAUCUUGCCGAGGAUCACAGACUGCGCAGGCAGCAAACAGAGAAAGGCAAAUUAAAUGCUAUCAAAUAAUAAGAAGCAAGGAAAAUACACAUAUCAAAUACAAUACCUUGUAACCGAGGUUAGCCAACGGCCUGGCAAGAUCGUCAGGUUCGAGGUCACGAACAGCUUUCUCAUACUCUAUCGGAAUGAGACAUGUUAGAAAAACAAGCAAACUAAGGAUAAGUGCAGUUGAGGUAAACAAAAAAGGAAAUAAGAAGAAAUAACUUUCAGGGUCGAAAGCUUUAUCCUCGCAUUCAUCCUCAGCACGAGCCUUGGCCUUUCCAGAGGCCUAGAGGUCCCCUUUUUUCUCUGUAUCCCCCUUUUUUCGAGCCUCGCCCCCGUCACCCUCAACUUUCCCUGGGAUUGCCUUCGCCACUUCAUCUACAACACGGACUGCAUCCUCAGUCACAGCCCUGGCAAUGUGGGAAUUCUUCGUAGAGUUUUUGACCUUCAUGCCAGCAAGCGGACCAGUAGCCUCAAGCUCAGGUUUGGUUGUAGCUGGCUCAACCCUUGAGACAAAAGACGCAUAGCUCUUUGUAGCUUCGCCCGAAGAACUUUGACCAAGUCUUUCUUUCUUUUUUAGGGCCUCGAGGCUGGAAAUCUUCAACUUUGCUCUCGCAACCUCACUUACAAUGCCCGCUUGGGUAUCUUUCUUCCUCGCAACCUCGAUCAUGGCCUUCGAGCCUGCACUCUUAGCCUUCUUCUUUUUCCCCUUGCCUCCCCACCAAUCUGCUUCAAGCCGGUCACGCCGGCCUCGCACAUUUGCUUGGAAGCUUUGCGAGGCUUCGAGCAGGGCUCAACCUCAGUUCCAAGAUCUUCAAACACACGGUUGAUUCGAAGCUCAUGCUCAACGAGCUUGCAGGCAGACGACAGCUCAUUCUCAUGGCAGGGGCCAAGGAAGUCAAUGGUGUGCCUCUCAACCUCAUCUACGAAGAGUCUAGGGUUAACACCCUCGGGCAACUCUAAUGCAAACCGAGGGUAGGGGAACAGGCUGGUGCGCCACGAGAUAGUCUUUCGAAUAAUCUCCUUUAGUUCCCACCCUUUGGAAAGAGGCCAGAUGUUUGCCGCCACAAACUCAUCGACAAGAUCCCACCCAGUAAUUGACCUCGAGGCUGAGAAAAAGACGUUCUCGCACUCCUUAACAACUACGAUCCUCGAAAAUGGGGGAGUAGUGGAGAUGUCCAUAGGACCUAAUGGGGAAUAGAAAGGAUAAAAUGACCGGUUGAUGCCAGAUGUGUUGGCCAUGUCAACUUUAACAUAAAAUCAAUAGCUCAGCCAAUCGUCAUCCCACAUGUUCUUCUAUGCCGAGGAAAUUUCAACCCUCAGGAUUUUCUGUUUCUCAUUCUUCCUCCGAGUCAUGAAUAUGCAGCAACCAAACUGUGUCUCGAAGGUACCUUCCUCAUCAUCGAACACAACCCUUUUCCAUUGGAUGUGAAGCUCGAAUAACCUCGUGAGCCCAUCAAUAUUGAUUGGCCCACCAAAUGUGCGCUGGACCCAGUAAAACUUGGAGAGUGCAACAAAGGAGUUUGGGGUAAGAUGAUAAAACCUAGCCCUAUACGGAUCCAGAAUCCUUGGAAACUCCUUGUCACACGGAAACCUUAGGCCCGUGGUGAAGAAGUCUCUGAACACCACAACCUCACCUACCUUAGGCGCUGGCACAAUCUCGUCACUUGGAGGCCUAGCAAUACCUUCGGGAAAAUAACCCUUGCUAACAUAGAAAUCUAUGGUAUUCUUUGAAACCAAAGAUCUCCCGAAUAGCAGGGUGGGAGGAUAGACUUCCUUGCCAGCCAUCAUGUCUGAGGGGUCCUCCUCGAUGUUGGAAAGGUCCUCCCCGCUAUCGGCAGCAACCUCGACAUCAACCUUGUUUGUGGUAACCUCGUCAGCAACGCCCUCACCAGCCUCAACCAACUCGAGGUCUUCUCCAGCCUCAGUGCGAAGCCUCGACUGUUCAGCAAAUUCCUCGACGGUCAUAGGCCUCGUAGUUUGCAUUAUACGAGCCAGCUAAGCAACGAUCAAAUAUCAAGUUAAAAUAAAAAACAAUAAAGCAAAACAUAAAAAAAAGUAAAAUACAUAUAAGAUCGUUACCUUCGAGACUUUGGAGAUCAAGGCAGACAGCAUGCAACACACAAAUCUCAAAGCAACUAGCAACACGCAAAAGCAAGUAGUGAGCGAAGUUUCAAGAUGCGAAGGUAAAUUCGAAAGUGACCUAAGCCCCCCCCCCCCCCCCUCUUUUAUAGGCACGGUAACGGACGCAAAAUGACACUUUAAACCUCGAGCCGAAUACGAAGCGUCAUCCAAUAAGAAAUUGACACGUACGACUUAAAAGGUAAACAUUGCCUCGUUUCUCCCUGACCCUCGAGGCUGACGUUUUUUGGGAGAAGCAAUCCUUAAUCGUGGGUUCGGCCCGUCGGUGUCGACCCUCACCCACAAGGGGCUACUGUUGGGGAUCAUCCUAAAAGACGGUCACCCUCAAGGUCGUCUCUUUGGCAUGAGCCAACUUGCAUUGUGAAAUCUUUACCUUCGGGUGAAGGUUGCUAACUUCAUGAGACUAGUUUGGCAUAAAAACCAUAUCAGCCUCGCACCAUCUCCAUAGCUCGAGUCUCGAAGCUAAGGGAUAAUUGCUAAUGGCUAAAAUGUGACAAAGCUUACCCUCGGGUGCUCGAAGCUAACCUCUAGCGACGAGUUUUUCACUAUGUUUUAUUCAGGAUUACUAGAAUAAGCGCGCUAAGGCUCAAGGCACGAGGCUAGGCGUCUUUCUCAGUACAAGGAUGAGAGAACUUCAAGCAUAGGUAAAGAGGUUUGCUGGAACAAGGCUAAAGGCACAAGGGCGUGAAAAGCAUGACUACAUGGGGGUGUUGGAAACGUGAACCCCCGGUGGCGUGAUUAACAUGACUACUCGCUAGCGUGAAAAGCGUGACCCAAUAGAAGAGACCAAGUCGAAUAAGUUACCUCCAAAAGACCUUUAUGUACAGUACAUUUUAGGAAUGUAAUAGUUGAGAUAGGAUAAUCUUGGAAUGUAUAGUGACCCGGUAAAAGGGAGCCCUACCCGACAUAAAGUGAUGAUCUUUUUUGAGAACUGAAUCACGAGUGCCAACUCUACAUUGUUGUAUUCGUGUCUCCUUAAGAUUUGUUUCCAACAUGACUUAAGGCAACGGAUGCAUGCUUAUCAAUACCAAAGACUAUCAUAUAUAUAUUCUACUCCCCUAUGCCUUCGAUGGCAUUCAAAACAUAAUGUUGCAUGGAUAGUAAGAGUAACUUGUGUUCCUCUUCCAACACUGAAGCAUUAGAGGAAACCAAAAAUACCACGAAGAGCAUUGACUUGUUUACCUGUGUGCGGGUAGCACAACCAAGCAUGCAUGUAGCGAUUAGAGGAACUCCCAUUUGCCUUUUGAGCAUUUUGGGAGACCAAUUUGAUCGGUUUUGCUAGACCUGCCACUUUUGGACCCCAACAGUUACUUCUUGAGUUUCUUUGGCAGAGGUUCUAUUCACAAUCUUGUGGCUAUGUAACUAUCUCUACUAGUCAAGAUGACACAACUAGCUUUGUGGUGAUGGUGUUCUAUUCUACCCUUAUAUUUCACUGUAUUUACCCACCGCUACCAUGUCUAGUGUUGGAAUUAAGCUUGUGCAUGUCUGAUUUACGGUGCCAUUGCAACCGACGGGUAACCAUGCUAGUGAUCGGAGACAUUCGAGUUGUUGCUUGUCCAGUUGUCCAGCCAUAAUCAUUUAAACCAAAAAAACAAAAAAUCUUAUUGCCGCUGGUUCAAUACUGACAUCCGCUGUGGUGUCAGGCGGGAUGGCACCGCCCGAGGUCGAAGCCUUCAUCGGAGUCGGUGUCAACUCCGGCGCCACGCGGCAUGUCAGCCCGAGCGCUCGUCGGCAGGGCGGGCUUCAUAAUUUUAAGGGUCUUUGGGUAAGCAAACUAAUUUUGAUAUAGUAUAUAGUAUGAGUAAUAAAAAUUACUUAGCCAUACAUGUAUAGCUCAUAAAACAUAACAAUAGUGUAACAAAAAACUAAAAAUAAUAACCAUUAUGAUAACUUCAAAUAAAAAUAAUGUUUCAGUGUUUCGUAAAAAACCGUUUUCGGGCAUUUCUUAAUGCAAAAUCUUCAAGUAAUGUCGUCCAAAACAUCCUUCUCAAUGCUGCACAUAGCCAAACCAUUCAAUCUUUCUUGUAACAUAGUUGAUCUCAAACUUACGUAGAGAACCUCUCUGCGAUUCUACGAACUGUUCUUUUUAUUUUUCUUUUCUUUUCUGAGCACUCGACAAAUGUUUCUUAGGAAACAUCUAUCGUAUUCAAAUAAGUACAUUGAAUUAGAAAUUUUAACCCUAACACAAUCAGUAUAAGCAUAGUGUAUAAAAAAUAAGAAAACAAUUGGAAAAACUAAUCAAUUGGUGUGUUGCUUACUGUGACAAGCGAAUCGGAUUGGUGUCCUUGCUGUUAUCGGUCGCCGCCUCGCUGGGUAAGGAGUCAAUCGACGUGGGCGUCUUCUCUCCUCAACCAGAGCAUGUUGAUGGGCACGCAGAGUCAUGGUGGCAGGAAACGAUCAGACGAAACGUUGCCUGCGGCCUGCCCUCCGCUUGAUGGAUCAAGUUAAGUAGAAUAGGUCUGGAAGAGAGAGUUACCUACGGCAUGGGCUACUUUGUGAUAGGCCUUCAAAUGCUUAUUAUGCCAAAUAGAAAAUUGUAUGUACGAAUUACCUAUAUGAUCUUGCCCCUCACCUCCCAGCUCCAUAACCCCCGGCGGUCGCACUGCUUCCCCCCCUCCCCCCACCCCACCCCCCACCCCCACACACACACCCCUCUGAGCCGGGCCUGCUGGCAAAGCCCGACGAGGCUUACUAAAGCAUCCGUGUGUAUACCAUCAUUUAAUCACUUAAUCUCAUUUUUCAAUUUCCUUCAGGUCAUAUGACGUUGCCACCCGGUAAAAUGAAACACUGAUGCAUCGUGAAAAGAGCUCAUGGUUCCGGAAUGAGCACUUUGUUGGAUGACCUGCACUGCUUACAAGAGUGUUAUGUAUAAACACUCCCAUGCCUUGGAUGCCAUUCAAAAUGUUACCAAACAUAUGUAGAGUAACCUGCGUUUCUCUUUCAAGCAGCUAUUUAUGAAGUAUUGGAAACCAAAUUACAUGCUUUCACUUGUGUAGCUGAAUGCAUCCACGACAAUUCGACGAGUCAUAUCAGCAUAUUCUUCCUUACUGUGCCCUAUUGAAAUAUUUCUCACAGUCUGCUACAAAAAUUAGGGCCAACAAACAAUUCUAUAUAAGAUGGCGCGAGCCAUAACAGUUGGUGUGGUUACUGUAUCAAAGCUUGCACUAAACGCUGGAAUUCGGCCCAUGGUGCUAAUAGUAUACACGAUCGUGACGGGUACGGAUGGCCAUGACGAUGUAUCUGAGAAAAGAGCCUCUGGUUCUUGCUGACUUGAUCGAUGGCAUGAUCAAUGACACGAUCAAGUUUGCUACCUAGCUGGAUCUGGAUAAGAGCACAUGUGUAAUGUGGUGGUGCGGCACCAAAGUGUGGUGCUCGUUGUCAACCAAGCCAUCAAUCAUGAUUUUUUUAAAAAAAAAUGUCGGAUACAAGAACUUUUGUAUCUGUUUGACCUUGUUCAUCUUUACUAUACAUCACAACCAGCUACACAUGCAAACUAGAUAAUGCAAUCUUCUACUUGUUAUGGAGCCUCCAUGUUAAUACUCAUAAGAUGCGCUAGAAAAAAAAGAUAAAUUCUUGAAAUUCACAUAAAAAUAAAAUAAAAAUAUGAUCACGUUUAUACAUAUAUAGUGGCAUAAGUUUAGCCACUUCUUCGUUUUCUUUGCUUCAUGUCUCACACGACAUUGCUGGCACGAAGCAAACAGAACACUGAUGACUAAUUAAGAGAUGAACAUUGUAAAGUGAACUCACGAUCCGGAGUGCACUCAUGAUAGAUGAAGGAUGCAUGAACAGUUAUUGGACGACUUGCAGCAACGGUUACAUGCUUGCAAGCUAGAUAAAUACCAAAGACUAUCAUAUAUACUCUCAUGCCUUUGUUGCCGUGCAAAUGUUACAUGGUAGUAUAGUAUUAAGAGUAACUUGUGUGCAGGAUCUUUUUUUUUGUUGCAACUUGUUAAGAACUAAGAACUAUGAACUUUUUUUUUAAACAGUAAGAACUAUAUCAACUGAACUGAAUGAACGAGUGCCAGUGUCAAUUGUCUGGGCCAAGGGAAGGCCCGUUUACUGAGCUAAUGAGCCCGGCCUUUUUUAUUAGAGGCCCGUAGAACGAAUUUGGUCAGUCGGCGCGAUCCUCGGGAAACCUGUAUGGCUUCCGGUAAUUUUUUAGCUACUUGACUUCCAAUAUUGAGAUCCGGUGCAACUCUUCUCAACCGCACAGCAGUCGGAAUCAGAGCAGGCCCGCAUGCAUGCGCGCAACUGAUGGUGCAGGUUACCCAAUGAGUCAUGCUUUACUAGUUGGUGGGUCUUUCUUUGGAAUUUCAAACUUCAAACUACAUUUUCUCCCAAACCGUAAAUUUAUUUUUGAAUCCGUUUGAACCACUAUCUUGCUAAGAAUUAAUGUAACAUAAUCUUAUCUUACUAUUACUAAUUAGAGACUUCUUUUGAGGUCUCCACGUGAAGCCACCUAGGAUGCUAGGUGGACACUCUAGAAAAAUAGAGAAAUUCUAGAAAUUCUCACAAAAAUUAGAAAGAUCUAGCCAUCAAUCAGUUAGACUCUAAUUAUGAUUGCUAAUAAUAGCCACUAGAUCUAUUAUAUUUUGUAAAAAAUUACCACAUAUGCCAUUAUAAAAAGAACCUAAAGUAACCCUCUAAAUCUACGUAUAAAUUACCCACCUUUGCCACUAUGAAAAUAAUCUAACAUAAUCCUCUAAUUUCAUUUAAAUAACAAAAAUGUGCCACUAAAAAUAAUAUAAAGUAAAAAAUAUUAAUCCUUAAUCUCUAUCAAUGGAAGCUCAUAAAAGGAUGCCAUCAAUCCUCCUCACGCCUGUUCACGGGAAAAUAAAUAUAAAGAAAUCCUAAAUUUGUAAAAAAAUGAACAAAACGUAUAGCCUAUACAUCUCACGUAAAGGAUAUCUUCGUUAAUUUCUCCAACCCUCCACUUAAUCCACUUGAUCAACUACUACCGAUCUCAACAAGCAUUCAUCUCUCCUCCCCUAAAAUAAUACUGAUUGCAUCUCCUCUCCAUCAAAAUAAUUGGGGACUCUUUUUUAAAACCUCCACAUAAAGCCAUCUAGGAUCAUAGGUGGGCUCUUGAAAAAUAGAGAAGUCUUAGAAAUUCUAAAAAAAGUGAAACAUCUUGCUACCAAAUUCAGUAUGUUGUAAUCAACGUUGUUAAUAAUAGUUGUUUGACUAUGCUCUAUUUCUAAAAAAUUACUCACUUAUACCAUUACGAAUAAAUAGCCUAAAAUAAUCACAUGUUUCUAUAUCUCAAUUACCCACGUAUUCUAUUAAAAAAAUUAAUCUAAUAAUGUCCUACAGAUCCCAUUCAGCCUAAUUUAAAUAUUUUACGAAAAACCGAUACUUUUGUACUGCUCCCAUCAACUAGAAAUCCAAACGGUAAGUCAAGUCAUUUCUUUGUUGUUUUGGGCUAUUGCCUGCUUCCAUUUUCAUCAAUUGAGAGGUAAUGAAUUCUUCUCAAACAGUUAUUCCUGCCGAAUCUGUUUUAUGGGAAGAUUAUUUGUAUACCAUAACAUAUGUACAGAUAAAUAGGUCGAUUCUGCAUCCCUUGCGAAUUUAAAGUACGAAAUUCUACUUGAACUCUUAGUCCUACCAAAUCUAUAUACUAUAUCUGAUCAUUAUUUGUAUACCGUAACUUUGGUAUAAAAAAUAGCUUGAUUUUAUAUUCCUUCCAAACCUAUCUCGCAAGAUCAUCCUUCUUCUUGAAUUGUUUUGUACAAUGCCAUGUUUGUAUACCAUAACUUUUGUAUAGAAAAAUAGCACAAGUAGUGGAUCCAUCACCAUCUUGGUGAUGCAAUUGAACCAGUUACAACGGUGGCAAAACCUUAAGUGAAAUUAGACCAGGAAAGGAAUUUUAAAAAAAUCAAGACAACAGUAACCAGACUAUGGAAUGCAAUCUUUUGCUCGGUAGUAGAGAACAGUUAAGUCCUGACACGAUCCUUAUUGAUCUGUAGAUAUAAUUGUUGUUCACUAUGGUAGCACUUUUCGGAUUAUUUUCAGUUUAUAAAUUAUUAAUGAUGGUGAAAUUUAAGAUAAUCAGGAGUAAUUGAUGAGAGACGUACUGGGAGAACCAUUGCAAGUAAUGUUCCAAACAUACCAUAUUCAAUAUGUUACUAAUUACUCAACAUGUGGAUUAACGGUUGCUAUUUUGAAUGUAGUUAGCUACACGUUUGAAUUCCAAAACAGGGGGCCUCCCAUACGCCCAUGUACUCAAUUUUCUUGAUAGCUGUCAUAGUGGAAUACAAACUACACCGAAGAGAAGAUAGGAACCAUAUUGAUUUGCUUCCUGUUGUCCGGAUCUUUGAAAUAAAAAACAAAGUUAAUUGUACUUAGCAAUUUUAUUUCAAACAUAGUAUGCACUACAAUCUUCAAAAUGUAUAUUGAUCUUGCUCCCCAAUCAUGACAAGUACUAAAUAAUAUGUUAUGUAUUAUUUUUAUAUUAUUUAGAGUCCAUACUUUAAAUUUUUGUGAUCCUUCUAAUGAUUCCAUAAGUGUUAGAAAAUUAAUCAAAAAUAGAAAAUUUAAUUGGUUGUUCAUCUUGAUGAAAUUAAAUAAAAAAUACUAAUAUUUAUGUCACCUAAAAGUGUAGCCGUGCAGAACGGUUGAUGGACUAGUGAGAUCUAAUAUGAAUAUAUUUUACUAUUUUUAAAAAAUCAAUAUUUUGGACGAUCUAUCUCAACAUUUUAAUUUUAAGUAUGCUACUCCAACAUUUUUAAUUAGAUGUUGAAAUGGUUUAUUCAAAAUGUUGAAUGUAGUUUGAAAGAAUGUUGAAUCUAAUAAUUAAAAUGUUGAGUAUAUUAGUUUGAUAUUUUGAAUAUAUGAGGUCACAACGAAAGUCUAAAUAACAGCGCACGUUGCCUAUCCGUAGGCCUGUGCCCUCCUGCAUGCUACUGGCUGGCCUCCUCCCUCAUCCCCCGCUGGUGAUCAGCACGCGCUUUGAAGAGCAGCGCCGGCGGCAGCACAAACUUGGGAGGGUCUCUGCGGCGGAGCAUCAACCAUCACCUUUGAUCUGAUCUUCAGAGUUCAGUCAUAUAUAUAGUUCAGUUAACUUAAUGGUCAUGCGUCUGAAGGAAAACCGCAAUUAUUUUACAUUUUGAUAUCACCAAACUCCUGCCAAAUGCCUAAAUCCUUUUCAAACGAUGAUAAAUAUUUUCAUUUCAGGGCGGCAAAAUCUGAAGAGGCUCACUGUAUAUUGUACUUUAGUUCUACUAUCAGUUCAGCACCUUCUUCGUUUCCUUGAGGUCACACCACAUUAGAACCAGCAAUCAAAACACUUACGCCUCGUCAGAUCAACUCAUGGCUGAUGAAUGAUCCAUGAACAAUUGUUGGAUGACUUUGCAUCAACGGAUGCAUGCUUAUAUUACAAGCCAGAACAAUGCUCAAGACUGUCGUACUAUCAUAUAUAUACUCCCGUGGCUUGGAUGCCAUUCAAAAUGCUGCAAGAGGUAGAGCAACUUGUAGUUCUCUGUCGAGGUGUAAACGAGCUGUAUAUAUUGGGAGGGAGCUCUGAAAUGUUGGGCUAUUGGAGGUAACCAAAGUAUCAUCCUCAGCUUUGACCUGUGUGGCUUAGUUCAUUCUAGGUAACUCAGCGGGCGACGUGGGCAUAUGGCUGUGGUAUCUGGUAUUUCUGCUUGUUCGGACGUUUUACUGGAUUCACGGUAAGUUAAUCUUCUCAUGGUCUUUGUCGAGUACAACUGAUGUAACACGUCGACACAGUGUAUUGAAGGGGUCGAUCCUCUCUCAUUCUGAUCGAACUCUUGGAGAUAGCAUACCAGCAGCAAAAAUUCCUUCUUUUUCAAAUUGAACAGCAAAAACAAAAAUGAUACUGUGACAGAUAAAAGGAAUUUGCAGGAACAGAGAUAUCAUCUGUCGUUCAGUCGUGGAACCGCUGUGUUGCGUACUCGUGCCUGACGGAGCUCUGAAGUCGAACAAGACACUUGUGACAGAGAGCAGAGCUCCAAAAGUCCAAAUUCAGAAUUUCAGAGUCCUCUCUUGAUUUCAAUUUUCAAUACAAAGAUGUUUCUUCUGAUCCUGCUAGUCCUUCUGGAAAUCUGCGACAGCGGCGGCAUAAGAAUUUGAACCCGACGGAGCCAUACACUGUACAAAACGUAUGGUAAUUGUAUGUCUUCCUUCCAAAGUUCCUAAGUCAGCCAUGGAAGAGACAGGGCACGGAUCAAACAGAAAAUAGAGAGGGACAGACCCCGUCUCUGCUAACACUUGCCAAUCUCUGUGUUUUACGCUGGUCUUCUCUAGUUUAGCCAAUCUUCUCUAGUUUAGCAAAACUGACUAAACUCUCGGUGAACGAAAAAUUAAGGAUUUCCACGAAGCAGGACUCUCUGGGCCUAGCACAGGCCUAAACACCAAGCUGCUGAGCCCAAAUUUAUUCCACCAAUGUCUCCAUGAUGUGCUUCCUGGUUAGGGAUCAAGAACUGUCCUUUAUGACUUCAUCCGAUGCCUCGAUGGUGUGGUUAGCGACUUUUGCCUGACAGACUGAACUAUGUAUGAAGAGACAGUUCUGACAGACGUUAAAGCUUCAACAGAUACGCAGAGUGCUCAUGCAUUUUCUUUCUUUUUAAAAAUAAUAAAAAGCUACACUUCACAGGUGGGCAAUUCCUUCGCUAGGCACCCAAUUUGCUUGCAUUCCCGCCGAUGAUUUGGCUCCCCUAAUAUGGGCUGCACUGCGCGUGCGCCAUUUGAGGGAAGCCCAUCGGUUCAUCUCCUCCGUCUCGCACACACGGCAUUGGCACCCAACAAACCAAAAAAAAAAAAAAAUACUGAUGAGUCCUGAGAAGAGCUCGUUACUCCGGUAUGCACCCAUGAUAGAUGAAUGGUGUACCAACAUUUGUUGGAUGACUAGCACUGCUUACAAAGAGUGUUCUGUAUAUACACUCACAUGCCUAUGCCUUGAAUGCCCAGAGAUAGAGUACCACGUGUGUUCUCUUUCAAGCAGCUAGUCUGAAACUCACCCUUGGAUGAUGAGUAAUUGACAACAUUAUGUUGGAUUGAUGUUACUCUUGGCUUGUGAUGUGCAGGUGUAGGAUGUGACAUGGCGGCCGACGAUGUGCGGUGAAGGUCGAAUGAAAGGUUCAUGCCGGUGGACAAGGGCGGUGAAGGAUGAACGCAAGUAGGCUUAUCGAUGGACCCGAGGUGUCCAGGCGGAGUCAUGGGCGGUCCACAUAGUGCACGAAAGAGCGAGAGAACAUGACGGAUGGAGACGGCGUCGGUCAAGUCGAGCGGGAGGCUCGGCGAAGGCCGGACACGCGUCAACAUCGAGGAGAUCACGUGGCAGCCAAGCGGAGAUGGACGGUUUGGCUGGUUUGGGCCUCAAAACCACUGCGCAGGCAGGUUUCCUGGUUUGAGCCUCAAAACCAGGGGUGAGCCUGGUGCGGCCAGAGCUUCGAGAAGGAGGGCACGUGACGUCAUCGCGAAGUUUGCGUCGAGGCGAAGCAAAGUCGUGAAGGUGGCGUGUCAGUCGGAUGCGCCGAUAAAAAUAUGAACCAAAAUACCCCUGCGUUGGUGGUUAUCUUAGUUGAUGUUGUAGGGGUAGUUUGAUCAUCUGCCAAGGACUAUAUAUAUGGGUGGAUGGCUGGUUAUUUCAGAUCUCUUUGCUUAGGAACUCAAAAUUAUUUUUUUUCUUAGAGGCUAGUCAUGUGCUUAGAGAGAGAGAAAAGGGAGAUGAGAGGGUGAUUACUCUUUUCUCUUAAUUUCUUCAUCAUUAGUGGGUGGAUGAAGGGAGGAGGCUAGUCCUCAUCUUCUUAUAAAGAAUAUGUUCUCGUAAUUUAGCAUUGUUAGCUAUCUCAAAUCGUGCUAAAUCUUUGAUUCCCGAGUGUUUUUUUUCUAUUUUCGGAGCCAUUUUUGGGAUUUAUUAUUCUUCGUGUUUGAGCCCAAAUCUCGUAAGAUUGGUUGAUGGAAAAUGUUGCUAGGACCUUAGGGAGCAUCUUUGAUAUGAUCCCUUCCAAAUCCCUCACAAAUCCAACUUGAAUUUUGAAUUUCUCCCAAAACCGUGUUUGAGUUAGGGUUUCGGUUUUCUCCAAGAUUUGCGAUGAAUAUACUUAAGAUUUUUGAGAUUUGUCUCGUGGAUCCAUUUGCCCUUGAGGUAUUGCAUCCUUGUCUUAAGUUUCAUCUCGAUCCAUGGAGAUUUGAAGGAGGAUUUCUCGUUUGAAGAUUUGCAUGUUCUUGAGGCUGUUCUUGUGUUCUUCGGGUCGUCUCUGUUCUUUGCGCAGGUAUCGAGCGAAGCAGACACAAAGCAGCUGCACGUGAAACAGCAGGCCAGGCACACGGGCCGUCAGCGCAGCAGCAGGCGAGCGGGCCGACAGGGCGCGUGCGACGCAGCAGCAGAGGCCCAGCUGAGCAAACGAUCCAGGCAGGCCAUGCACGCGCAGCAGGCCGUCAGGUGCACCAGGCUGGCCCACGCGUGAGGCAGGCCCAGCACACAGGCCACAGGCCGCACGUCCAGCAGCCAGGAGCUCGUGGCCCAGGAGCGAAGCCCAGCGCCAACGAGUUGCAGGCACGGCCCAGUACCAGCGGCCCAGGCAAGCGGGCCAUCGCCGGCCGGCAGCAGCUGGUCCACCAGUGGCCCAAGCGAGCAGCAGCAGCGGCCCGCUAGCGUGGGGAGCAGGCCCAGCAAGGUGAGAAGGCCACAGUUCUAUCGUUCAAUUACUAGUCUGUGUGAUUUAAUCGCUGAAAUCACUAGUAAAUCUCUGACACCUUGUUUAGCUACUUGUUUAGUGUUUUGUCUUACUAAUCAUGCUUAGCUCUUUAAAUUAAUUGUUAAUCCUUCCAUGCCUAGUUAAGCAAGUGGUUAGUAAUAUCUUUGCUUAAAUCUUAUUUGUGCAAACUUGAUGGAGUCGAUUUAUGCUUUGCUUCCGCUAUGAGUUGAGCGUCUCCUAUUGUUCCUAGAGUGAGUUUGUCACGGGUUGACUAGUGUCAUCUUGACGCGAAGUGUGUUUUGAGUGGAAAUUGGGACAUAGGCCUUGUUCUCUUUGAAGAAUUUUAAAGGUUUCCAUUCACCCCAUCUGAUCGCUCUUUCGGUUCUUCAGAAACAUUUGAGGAAACCAAAUUAUGAGCUUUCACUUGUGUAGCUGAAUGCAUCCACAACGAGUCGGCGAGGCAUGUGGGCAUAUUGUACUUUACUUUUGCCUAUUCAAUCAUUUCUCUCACGAUCCACUACAAAAAUCAGAGCCAACAAGAGACAUGAGUGAUAAUAGCGGACAUGGUUACUCUAUCAUAGAUUGCACUAAACACUGGAAUGCGUCCUAUGUUGCUAAUAGUAUACGUGUUUGUAACUGAUAUGGAUAGACAUGAUGUAUUAUUUGUUAAAAGAUCCUCUGGUUCUUGAAUAGUUGAUCAAUGACAUGAGUUUGCUACCUGGAUGUGGAUGAGAACACAAGUGUAGUGUGGUGUCUAACUGUGGUGCUAGCAUGACAUGAUCAUGGUAGAUGAAUGAUCCAUGAAUAAUUGUUGCAUGACUUGCAUCAAUGAUCAAUGGAUGCAUGCUUAAAGCAACAAUACCAAAGACUAUCACACUAUCAUUUACCAUUCAAAAUGUUUCAAGAGGUAGAACUGUAGAACAACCUGUGUAUCUUGCUGUUAAGAUGUACUCUAAAGUAUUCAGCUAUUGGAGGUAACCAAACUAACAUUACAAGCAUGUUGGAGCUAGCUCGAAAAGCCAUGUGGGGAUCCGGGUAUGGUUUAUGAUGUUUCCAUCCGCUCAAAUUCUUCAGCAGUUUCUUUCGAGCAGAGUUUAUAUAAGAUGCAUGCCUCUGUUUGCGAAACACGAGUCUUUUAUUCACAUCAAUGUUUGUACAGGCAAGUUCUAUAAAAAAAUAUUUCAUUCACAUCCUUAGUGAAAGAGACGUUUGCCGUUUACCAAUAAAAUCUUAUGGUCAUCGCCAAUGCUGUAUCUGUGACAGAUAAAAGUGCAUUGCAGGAACAAAUAGAUCCUCUGUGGCUCUGUCGUUCAGUCGUUACUAGUUCCUGAAGCGUUAGUGUAAGGUCUGGUUUGGUUGCCUGACUUAUUUUUAAACACCCGUCACAUCGAAUGUUUAGAUACUAAUUAGGAGUAUUAAACGUAGACUAUUUACAAAACCGAUUACAUAAGUGGAGGCUAAACGGCGAGACGAAUCUAUAAGCCUAAUUAGUCCAUGAUUUGACAAUGUGUUGCUACAGUAAACAUUUGCUAAUGAUGGAUUAAUUAGGCUUAAUAGAUUCGUCUCGCCGUUUAGUCUCCACUUAUGUAAUGGGUUUUGUAAAUAGUCUACAUUUAAUACCCCUAAUUAGUGUCUAAACAUUCGAUGUGACAGGUGCUUAAAAAUAAGCAAAGGAACCAAACAGGCCCUAAAGAGACCGGAGAAGUAGUCGAGAUCGAGGCCGUUGUCUUGUAGUCGGUUCAGGCAGGCCCGAGGUCACAUUGUUGGCCCUGCUCGAAAAUGUUGCAAGAUGGGAUCGAAGCAGAUCAUUAUGCUCGAAAGUGUAUUUGCAUGGCUUUGUUCCAAAGUUCCUCCGUCAACCAUGCAAGAGUCAGUCUUUUUUUAGUGUGACUGAAUCUUGGCUGCAAGCAAAGCUACAGCCUGCAGGCUGCAGGUCACACGAUUCACUUGAUACAUGACUGAAUGGAAGGGAACAUGCCUAAACAUCUGAGCUGUCGCCGCCGGCAAGGAGUGUAUCCAUUUGUGCAGCCCAAUCACAAAUGCUCGUAUGGGCUACUUUGAAGCGGCAGCAGCAAGACUGUUGCCGAGCACCAAAUGUCAUUCUUUAUCCGAUCUUCAGAAUUCGGUCAUGUAAUAAUUCAGUUCACUCCUUGACUUGAUGGGUGUGGUUUGCGAAACGAGAUCAUGAUUCCAGAGUGCACUCAAUCACCCAUGAUGAAUGAAUGAUUGAUUAGCAGUUUGCUGGAUGCCAUUGAGAAUAUUACAAGAGAUAGAGUAACCUGUAUCACCGUAAAAAGCAGCUGUACUACACAUAAGCCAGAGAACUCUCAAGUAUUAGAGGAAGCCAAAUUACUAUGAUAAGUUUUGACUUAUGUAACCAAAUGCAUGGAAGUCAUGAAGGGAAUAGUUUAGCGGCAUCAGCGCGUGGGGAAUAUAUAGUUUAGCGGCAGGGGCCCAGGACACAGUGCAGGGAAUCAGAGUUCUCGCAAAGAAAACCUUUCUCCGUAGAAUUGCUCAAAGAAUCAUAGAGAAUCACUUUCAACCACAUAAUUACUUUUCUGCAAGAAUCAACCCCCGCUAAAGAAUCAGGAGCAGGUGGACCCUAUGUACACGGGAAGAACAAAGCAUGCAUAAACAUGUCUGCCCUUUAUCGAAAAAAUAAACAUGUCUGUUAAGCUGAGACUAAUGCCAGGGCUUGUCCCGGGUGCCUUGGAUUUGUCAAGAAAUUGCAAGGACCCUUCACAGUUGACAGGGAGUAAAGAAAUUGCUUUGAUUAUCCAGGACCCUUCACAGUCAACACGGACUAAAGAAAUUGUAUUUAUUAUCCAGGACCCUUCACAGUCGACAAGGACUAAAGAAAUUGCACUGAUAUUUCAGGCUGUGCUCAAUUAGUUUCUACACUGAUAGGCAUACCGCAGACCUUGACCUCGUGCCUGGCCGUGGUUCUCUGGACAAACAGAUGAGGCCGAAUUCAAUGUCCUUGUUAGGUGCAACGUGCAAUCGUUACAGUCGCAUGGGCCACGAAUGAUAGGGUUCCAUAGUGACCUGUUGGAAAUUGGAAUCAAUGCAACCAGGGAGGAAAUUGGAAAACGUAUAUACAAAAACAUGCUGGCAUGAGACCAUAAGAAAUUCUCUUGCAGCAGAAUGACUUCUCUGUUUUUUUUUUUUUGCCUUUUUCCACAAUAUUAAGGUCAAACUCGUAUUUCAAAGCCAACAUGGACUUGCCGGCGGCCGCACCUACUCCUUCAUGGAAGAGGCGUACAGAUAAGAGCAAGUAAUCAAGAGAACAAGUGCAUGGGAGAGCAUUAUAUUGUAUUUGUCCAGAAAUUGGAUUAGUAUGUCCAGAACUCACGAUAGUGACCGGAGAAAAGGCAGCAAAACGGAACCGGAAACGAUGGGGAGACCUUGGCCUUGACCUCGAGUCGUCGACUGGAGACUGGAGUGAGCACGUGAGCGGGGCCAGGAGCAGGACGUGCAGCGACCAGCAAGCAUUGAGUUUGGUGGUUGAGCAGCGGGGCCACUGAGCGGUGAUGCAUUAUUACCUUCAAUUAUUAAUUGCCUUCCCCUUCCCCUGCAUCCGCAUCCCAUCGACCUCUGCUUCGUGCGAUUCCAAGGCGGUUGCGAGCGGUGAGCUGUGUUGCGGCCGAGCAAGCUUGAAUCAAGCAACCUCGGUCCGGCGACGAGCGGCUGGCGGCGCGAUCCGGCAAACCAGUGAGUCCUAGCUGUCGCACUCUUGUUCUUCAAUCUUCUUCAUGCCCAUCCAUUCCCAAUAGGCAAUAGCUACAGCCUACGAAAAGGCAGGUCGAGCACCCCCAUCCGAAGGAGCCCAAGCGGCCAUCCACAAAGAGAUAAAGUCACGAGACCCUAUCGUUAGCUUCUCUCAUCAAUUAAUAUGAUUUCUGUCGUUAGCUUCUCUCCAUCUGAAUUAAGCUGUUCAAACGAUGUCACAAUUUGAUUAAUGAUUUGAAUUUUAAUGGUAGAUCGUCAACAACUCAAAUGUCGAGAAAAACAUCAAUCAUACAUCAUUCAGUUUCAUUUUAGUACUAGCAUACAACCUUACUCAUUGCUCUUGCCCAGGGACAAAUCCAUGGAGAUCGUGACAGGGGCAAUUCCAAGCCUCCUGGACAAGCUCAGUGAGUUGCUAGAUGGCGAGUACAAUCUGCAAAAGGAGGCUAAGGGAGGGAUCAAAUUCCUUCAAACUGAGCUCGAGAGCAUGCAAUGUGCCCUCGAGAAGAUCUCGAGGACACCAGCAGACAAGAUUGACGACCAGGACAAGAUCUGGGCUAGGAAAGUGAGAGAGAUGUCCUACGAUAUAGAGGACAAUAUUGACAAAUAUAUCGUGCAGUGCAAGGGGAGGAAGAGGAAGAGGAAGACGGACGAACAGCAUAGCUUCAAGGAAGCUAUUGAUAGGUUCCUCGAAUGGUUAUGGCAGCCUAUGAUUCGUCGUAAGUUUGCUACAGAAAUCAGAGAGAUCAAGAGCCGUGUCAUCGAGGUGCACGAGCGGCGCCGCAGGUAUGAGGUCAGCCUUGGUGUUGACAAGCCUGUAACUGUGGACCCUCGUUUAUUCGCUCAGUACACGGAGGUCAAAGAGCUUGUUGGAAUUGAUGAGGCAAGGGAUGAGUUAAUCAGCAAGAUUAUGAUAGAAGAGAAUGAAGUUCCCAAGAAGCAAGGCAGGAUAGUUUCAAUUGUUGGAUUUGGAGGUCUGGGAAAGACAACUCUUGCCAAUACAGUGUACAAAAAGAUUAGAGCACAAUUUGAUUGCUAUGCUUUUGUUUCUGUUUCUCAAACUCCUGACCUGAAGAAACUGUACAAAGGCUUGCUAUAUGAUCUUGGCAAGAGCAUCAACGAAGAAACAUUGGAUGAGAGGCGACUCAUAGAAGCACUCACAGAAUUCCUUGAAGACAAAAGGUACGAAAGCAUUCCUUUCGCCAAUUUAUACAUAUGAACUUUUUUGGACUGAUAAUUUAUGCCCUCUGUUCACAAUACUAUAAGUCUGCAUAGGGUUAAUUAAAUGUUCAUGCACGUGGCCACAACCACUUAAGCAUUACCACAACAUUAUUAAGUGCAAAUAAUUUCCUCACUGGACCUCGAUUUGUUUUGACAAAAUUCUGAGUGGACUUAUUUUAUCCACGGACUUGCCAAUCCACCUGCUCCCGGGCUAUUUUAGUUUAAUCAUUAAACCAUUAGCAGUGGUCUGAUUUGCUUAAUUUUCUUGUAGCUGGUAUAUGAACAACAUUAGAGCUUUAUUCAGUCCUUAAACCACUAUUUUUGGCUAAUAACUUGGCAUAUGUGUAGGUAUUUUGUUGUUGUUGAUGACGUAUGGGAUAUAUCAGUUUGGAAAAUGAUUAGAUAUGCUUUGCCUGAUAAUGAUGUUGGAUACACUAUUAUUAUAACAACCCGUAUUUCUCAUGUUGCUGAACAAGCUGGGGGUGCUUACAACAUGAAACCUCUUUCUUUGAAUAACUCCCGAAAACUACUGUAUAGAAGAAUAUUUGGUAAUGGGAACAAAGACAACAAUGAAGAAGAAGAAAAAUGUCCUCAUGAGGAGCUGGCCGAAGUAUCUAACAGAAUACUGAAUAAAUGUGCUGGUGUGCCCUUGGCUAUUAUUACGAUGGCUAGUUUGCUAGCUUGCAAAGCAAGAGAUAAAAUGGAGUGGUACGAGGUGUGCAAUUCUAUUGGUACUGGUAUGGAAAACAAUCUAGAUGUGGAGAAUAUGAGAAAGAUUUUGUCAUUUAGCUAUUAUAAGCUACCAUGCCAUUUAAGGGCUUGCUUGUUAUAUUUGAGCAUAUUUCCUGAAGAUUAUGAAAUUGAGAAGGAUCAUUUGAUAAGGAUGUGGAUAGGUGAAGGUUUUAUCAAAUAUGAAAAAGCAGGGAAGAGCCUAUUUGGACUCGGAGAGAGUUACUUCAAUGAGCUUAUAAACAGAAGCAUGAUCCAACCAAUUCAUGAUCGUUUUGAUGAUACGAUAUCAAGUUGUCGUGUACAUGAUAUGGUGCUUGAUCUUAUCCGCUCCUUGUCGAGUGAAGAAAACUUUGUUACUGUACUAAGUGAUAUGGGAGGCACAUCUCCGUCAAAUACGAUUCGAAGGUUGUCCCUUCACAAUGACCAGGAAAGUCAUGUGAUGGCUAAGGCUACAUGGAGCUUGCAACAUGCAAGGUCAGUUGUUGUCUUUCCAGCUGCUGCUUCUCUAGUGCCGCCUCUUGACUGCUGCCGAGUUUUACGAGUUCUGGAUUUAAAGGACUGCUAUCUUUCAGAAGCUAAUAGUAGCCUUAACUACCUUGAGAAUCUGCAUCACUUGAGGUAUUUGGGACUACGUGAUACAUGUAUUUCUUGGCUACCGGAAGAAAUAGGAAACCUGCAGCUUCUACAAACAUUGGAUGUAAGCGGUACUCAAAUUUCCAGGUUGCCUUCGAGUGUUGUCCAGCUAAGAAAGUUGAUGUGCCUAUGCAUUGGCGAGUACCGUACAAGAGUUCCAAACGGAAUUGGACACCUGACAUGCCUUGAACAGCUGUCAGAGUUACACAUUGAUGACUCCACCAGAAAUAUUAUAGAAGAGUUGGGCCAGCUAACUGAACUGAGGAAGCUGUCCAUUGAAUUGGACGAGUGGAACGACAAGCUGUUGGAGUGCCUAUGGAAGCUACAAAAGAUGCAGGAACUCGUUAUCACGGGCAAGAUUAGUCAACGCAGCAUCGGCGGAUUGGAUGCCUGGGUCGCCCCUCGACAUCUCCGCGUAUUGCAAACACAAAGCAGCUGUUGGUUUUCAACACUUCCUGCUUGGGUGAAUCCAUCACUUCUUCUGGACCUCACCAAGCUGAAAAUCGCCGUGAGGGAGCUACAUCAGGCCGAUCUCGAAAUCCUCGGGAGGUUGCCAGCUCUCCGCUUUCUAUUUCUGGAGGUGGACAAUAAGAACCUCGGUAUCCUUGCAGGAUUCGUUGUUGGUGCUGGUGCAUUCCCGUGCCUUGUACGCUGUUACUUCCUUGGACUUGUGUGGCCAGUGGUAUUUCAGCAUGGAGCUAUGCCAAGGCUCAGAUGGCUUAUGUUCUUUCCGUUUUAUGUGGGGGAGACAAGAGGAAUUGCCUGCAAUGACGGUAGUCUCGACUUGGGUCUGGGGAACCUGCCAUCGCUGCAGGAUGUCCAUGCUUUCCUGUAUGCUGCUGGCAAGGAGGAGGGAGAGCAAACCAAGGCUGCGCUGAUGCAUGAAGCUAAAAUGCAUCCCAAUCAUCCCUCAUCUCGUAUCUUAAAUAAACAAGUACGCCAGCUCCUGAUUGUUAUUCCUUACUUGUCUCCUUCCCCCUUCUCUUCCCCCUUUCUUCUAAACUGUAUUUGCGUUUAUUCCUCUGUUUGAGAUGGUGGAUCUCCAGCUGAUCUUUCACCACACCUUUCUUCUAGCCCCUUUGCCUCAAUUCUUCUAAUCUUCCUUUCGUAUAUUUCGAUCUGAUAUACAGAUGACGACUGCUAUGAGACUCAGCUACACCGGGAGAUGAAGCAGAUAUGCCUGAUGCUGGAGCUGCGCACAUGCGUCUGAGACUCAGAGCUUUGAUCGUUUCUGCUGUGCAUCAACUGUUAUGGCAUUUCGUUGCGAGAGUGUAGGAUGACAUUGUCAGUGGAUAUGAUUGUAAUCCCUGACUAACUUCCCCCUCUGUUUUGUUUCAUCGUAAGAUUUUUACUGCAGCCUGCUGUUUCAGUGCAAGGAACCACCCAUCAUGAGUUUUCACUUUUCAGUGCAAGGAACGUUUAUUUUACUCAUUGCAAAGCGACUGAACUAGUUGCGUCUCAGUGGUUCAGGGCCUUGGCUGUUUAUUUUGAUGAAAAAUAAAAACAAGGUAUUUUUGGGUUAAUGUUGCAGCUUGUGACCGUAAUCACCUUAAGCAUGGACGGCAGUAUGUAUUCAUAUAUUGUUGCGCGGUUUCUGAUUUUGUUAUGGCAUUUCGUUGCAGCUACGAUGCCCAAGACCACAUUCAUUCUGCAUCUCUCUCAAGAGAUUCUAGCUGGCUGGACUUCUAGUCCACGAUCUUCUAGAGCAUCUCUGCAGCACCACCCUCUAUCCCUGCACGCCACUUGUCAAUACAAAUACACAUACAACUUGGGAGGUUGCAUGGACACCUUCCGUCCCUUCAUAUACUUCUUUCACAAUCCUCUACUCAAAUUAGAGCCAACAAACACUCUUAGCCAACAAACACUUCUACAUAGUUGGUACGAGUUAUUAGGCCGGCUACCUUUUACUCUAUCUGCGCAAUUAGUUUUGUAAUUAUACUAUAUUUAAUACUCUAAUUAGUAUCCAAACAUCCGAUGUGACAGGUGUGGAGUUGUGACAGAUAAAUAACUCCAACUCUUUCAAGAACUCGAACCCUCUGUCUUCCUCAGAAGUGUAUAUGCAUACAUACACAUUUAACAGCUUCAAUGGGUGUGGCUACAGACUCGAGGCCGAUCAAGAACUAGAUCAUUUUCUUCCUGUUUAGUGACUACCUGACAGACUGAACUAUGAAGUAUGAACAGGCCAGUUCUGACAGACCUCAGAGCUUCAAAAUCAGAUUUUCAGCGUGCUUUCGUGAUUUUCCUGAAGGAAAAAGUAACACCAAAAGAUUUUAAAGUGAAACAUUUUCUUUUCAAAAAAUAACAAGCUAAUGAAGGACCGGAACGGGCGAACGGAGGGAGUGAAUAUGAGCCUUUAAAAUUCUUCUCGGAGAACAAGGCCUAUGUCCUAAUUGCUACUCCAAAAUACCCCUUGCGUCAAGUCGCCAAGAUAAUACAAAUCAACUCGUGACAAGCUCACCCUAGUAAUAAUUUGACAUGCUCAAAACAUAGUGGAAGCAAAGUAUAAAGUGACUCCAACAAGCUUGCACAAACGAGAUAAAGCAAGGAUACUACUAACAACUUACUUAACUAGGCAUGGUUAAAGAGCUAAGCAUGAUUGGCAAGUGAGAGUUCUAAUUUAGUUGCUCAAGCAAGUAACAGUAAUUAACUAAUUAUUGCAUGAAUUGAAGAAACAGAUACGAAAUAAACUGAGCUUACAGUGCUGUUAAAAAGCUGGGCCAAAUUGGUGGUUGAACUGGGCCGGUACUGAUCCUCGCCGGCCUGGUGACCUGCUCCCGCUGGGCUGCUCCACUGCUGGGCUUCUUGGCCUGCUACGCUGGCAUGCGCAGACGGCCCGCUAGCUGGCCUGCUCGCUUGCAGCUGCUCUGCUGCUGUGCUGGGCCGCCUCCCACGCGCCUGGGCCGCUGCUGCGCUGGCCUGCUCGCCUGCCGCUGGGCUGCCUUGCGCUGGUGGGCCGCUUGGCCUGCUGCACUCGCUAGUGCUGGCCUGGCUCGCGGCCCGCGUGCGCUGCCUGCGCCCGAUGCCUGCACGGGAGAAACAGAAGAAACACGAGAACACCAAGAACAAGGCACCAACUUCAACUCUAAAAUCCCCCUUCAAAACUCAACGAUUCGAGGCAAAACUUGAGUUAUAGAUGCACAACCCGAAGGGCUAAUAGAUCCAGGAAAAGAUCUCGAAAAUCUCAAGUAUCCAUCGUGAAUUUUGGAGAACACCGAAACCCUACCAAAAAACGCGAGUUUUUGGAAAAACUUUAAGUUCAAGCCGAAUCCGUGGGGGAUUUGAUGAGGAACCAGAGUUGCUCACAAGGGUCCAAGAAACAAAACCUACCAACAAAUUUUACCGGAUUUGGACUCAAACACAAAGAACAAUAAAUCCCCAAAAAUAGCUCCGAAAAUAGCGAAAUAAUAGAAAAACGCUUAGGAAUCAAAGAUUUAGCACAAAUUGAGACAACAAAAUACAACUAAAUCACGAGGAUGGCGAGGCACUCCACGACUACCUACGUUGUUUCUUCGAAAAGAAGGCCACAAUAGUUGACAUUUCAGAAACAGACGUCAUCGAGUGCUUUGAAAACAGCCUCUAUGAUCGUCGAACUUACCAAGAUUUUGGCAGACGUCGUCCAGCCACCAUCAAGGAUCUCAAAAUCAUGGUGCAACAAUGGGCAGACGAAGAAGAUAAAGAAUGUGAGAGAUUCGGCUCUCAUCGCAACCGAAGUCGUGACAACAAUAAUCAUGAUCAGGACAGAAACCGAAACAAUGAUACUCGAAACAACUACUCGGGUAAUCAAAAUCGCAAGUGUAAACCCAACAACACUGUCGCCUCCUUCCUUCGAUUCGCCCAGGCCCCCCGUCGGAACAGUUCGCAGUUGGCGCCGUGUGGUGUUCGUACGCGCGUGCAUCCCGUUAGAGCAGUAGGCGAGGACGGCCAGUCCCAUCCACCUGGGAGGGCAUGUGCUCGAUCCCGGGCUUCGAUGCGUGCCGGGAUCGAGAUAAGUUCCCCCUCCUCAUCCUUAUCCUUUCCACACUAAUUAGGAGCUCCUAAAAUUUCUGUCACAUUGAAUGUUUAGAUACUAAUUAGGAGUAUUAAACAUAGACUAAUUACAAAACCAAUUGCACAGAUGGAGGCUAAUUUGCAAGACGAAUCUAUUAAGCCUAAUUAGUCCAUGAUUUGAUAAUGUGGUGCUACAAUAAACAUGUGCUAAUGAUGAAUUAAUUAGGCUUAAUAGAUUCGUCUCGAGAAUUAGCCUCCAUCUGUGCAAUUAGUUUUAUAAUUAGCUCAUGUUUAGUUCUCCUAAUUAGCCUCCGAAUAUUCGAUGUGACAUGAAUUUUAGUAAGGACUAAAGAUCCAAACACCCCCUUUCGUCUUCCUCUCGCCCCGGCUACAAACCCUAGCUUUUGAUUCCCACCUCCCUCCCUCCACCUGAUUCCCCCGUCGCAAAUCGGAUCCCACUUCUAGAGAACUGACUUUAGAUCCCACCACCUUUAGUCUCGGUUUAAUUUUGGCCCGGGAGAAAAGGAGGUGCGCCACGGUAGGCUGGAAUGGGGCGCACCUUUACUCUCGGUUCUUUUUUUGCAACCGAGACUACAUGUCACCCUUUAGUCUCGGUUAAAAUGGCUAGUUUCUGGGCACCGACGACGCCACCCUUUACCCCCGGUUGGAGCCAUCAACAGGGACAAAAGAUCCAACCUUUUGUCCCGGUUGGAGUUACCAACCGGGAUAACCGUUUUACUCCCGGUUGGAAUUUCCAACCGGGAUAAAAGGUUGGAGCUUUUGUCCCGGUUGGUAACUCCAACCGGGAGUAACCACCAACCGAGACAAAAGCUCUAAGCUUUUAUCCUGGUUGGAUUUACCAACCAGGAUAAAAUCUUAUCUACAAGUACCCUUUCUUCCUCUACUCCUCCAGCCCGAGCCACUCCACUCCACAAAGACAAAGAAGCUCAUCCUCUCCAUGGCGCCAAAGCAAGCCUAGGAGACGUGAUGCUGAAAUUUCUUUCCCUCAUUUCCAUGGAGAUUUCACCCAUCCAAAGUGUUGUGAAGGUUAGCUACUUCAUGCUCCAUUCAUUUAUUGUUGUUAAGCUUUGUUUCAUACUUUAGAGAGGGAGAAAAAUGAGUUUGUUUGUUGUUAAGCAUGUAGAGGGUUUGUAUUUAUACAUGUUUUUGAGCUAUAAUGUGAUGGAUAGUUGAAUGUGAGGGAGAAUGGACAAUAAAUGUGAGGUAGAAUUGAGAUUUUUUCAAUUUUACGUAUUAGGGAAAAAUUAGAGUAAAUGUGUUUUUAAUACUUAUAAGUUAGCCAUAUAAAUUGUAGGUGUAAUUUCAUACUUUAGUACUUUUCAGAUAAAAGAAUGCAAUUAGCCAUUUUUAGAAUAAGUACAUUAUGUGGGAAAUAUUGAAUUUUUUAAUAGUUUAGUUAUUUUUAAAUUAAAUAUGAGCUAAAUAAUUUGUGUAUUUCUAUGUAAUUUGAGUUUGUCAUAGUAUAUCAUGUUGUUUGCUUUUGAAAUUUUAAUUUGUGUAUUUCUAUCAAAAAUUUUAGCAAUGUGAUGGAUAGUUUUAUUGUAAUCCAUGCGCCCAAUGUAGUAAUCAGAAGUGCUAUUCAAAGGCUUUGUGAGGGACCAUUCACAGUCACUUGUUUAGAUAUGGUUUCAUGCCUAACUAUUUGGUUUGGACCCGUCACGGUGAAAAAGGGUUUGUAAUGGAAGACGGUGAAGAGGAGGAGGAGGAUGACAACAUUCUGGAUUGUUCUAUAGGCCAAGCUUUUGCAGAUACUAUAAUAAGUGAGGCUAAUGAAGAUGAGUUUGCAGAAGAUGGCCAUACUGAUGACCUCAGUCAGGUGCUUAGGGAUGCACAUUGAGAUUGCGAAACUCAGAAGGAAGCAUCAAAGUUGCAGCGCAUGAUAGAUAAUCACAGGAAAUUGCUAUACCCAGAUUGUCAAGGAGGCCAUAAAAAACUAGGUACCACACUAGAAUUUAUGCAAUGGAAGGCCAAAAAUGGUGUGUCCGAUAAGGCAUUAAUGAUUGUUUGCCCUCUCGGAUUAAUGAUAGAUGAUAGUGAUGCAGUAAAAUAAUUAUUUAAGAAGGUAAUAUAACUAAUGUAGAAUUAAUGAGUCAUUCAUACUUAUUGUAAAUAUAAUUGCUAAUUAAAUAUAUUUUUGCAUGUUUGAAAGAUGUAAAGUUUUAAUUUUUGCUUCAUGAAAUCCAGUGAAACCCAACGAGAUCCGGUGCCUACAAGUUCCACCCGGCGAGAAUAAAUUUCCAAAUAGAAGCAAAAAGAAAUAGUAUAUAAUUUAUGACUAGUUAAAACUUAUUGUAAACAAAAUUGCUAAUUUAAUAUAUUUUUGCAUGUUUGAAAUAUGUAAAUUUCUUAUUUUUUGCUUCCUGAAGUCCAGUGAAAACAUAAAUAGAAUAAAUUUCCAAAUAGAAGCAAAAAGAAAUAGCAUAGAAUUUAUGACUAGUUAAAACUUAUUGUAAACAAAGUUGCUAAUUUAAUAUUUUUUUGCAUUUUGAAAUAUGUAAAUUUCUUUUUUUUGGCUUCCUGAAAUCUAAUGAAAACAUAAAGCGAAUAAAUUUCCAAAAACCAGUCGGGAGAUGAAAAACAGGAGAAGGCCCCAUUUAUCCUGGUUAUAAAGUAAAACCGGUAUAAAAAGGGACUUUUCGAUUCCCGCCUUGAAGUACCCAUUUAUCCUGAGUGAUAAUAAACUGAGAUAAAAGGGUGGACCUUUUAUUGCGGGUGAUCAUAAACCGAGAUAAAAGGUCCUCCUUUUAUCUCGGUUUGUAUUAGAAACUGGGGUUAAAUGUCCUUUAAUCUCGGUUUCAGUUACAAAUCGGGAUAAAAGGGGGCCAUGUAUAAAAGUUAUAGCGUCUUCUACACCCCUCCCCCCGUGCCCAACACUUAGCGAAAUUUUCACUCGUCGUCCUCGUCCCGCCCGUUGCUGGACUCCAUCGUCGCCGCUCCCCGUCGCUGCCGCCGACCCAUCCUAUUCGCCAGCCUCCUCCAUCUCUGUCACCGCCGCCAUCAUCUUCACCCGCAAUCAUCGCCGGCCUCCUCCUCCAUCCCCAUCGCCACCGCCAGCGCGUCCAUCCCCAUCGCCAUGACCUCUGCGCGUGCCCCUCAUCACGGGCCAGUGUCACCUCCUCCCCGUCGUCGUAGCCAUCCCCAUCGCCAGUCGGCCGGCCACCUCCCUCGUCAUCGCCGCGCGUCCUUAUCACCAUCGCGCCCCCUUCCAACUCCGGUCGUCCCCCUGAAUUAAUUUUUGAAAUUUGGUAGAUUAGGUACAAAAUAAAUUUUGUAUACAUUUAGGCCCCGUUUGGAUCAUUGCAAUUGUUUGUGGAAUAUAGUUGUAUACUUCUAAUUAAUUCUUAGAAAUUAAUUGAACUUUGGUACAAAUGUUUAGAAAUUUUUGUUGAAAUGCUUGGAAAUUAGUUGAAAUUUAGUACAUUUUGUAUAUUACAUUUUGUAUGUUAUAUUUUUUAUAUUACAUUUUGCAUAGUACAUUUUGUAUAUUACAUUUUGUAUGCUUCAUUUUGUAUGUUACAUUUUUUAUAUUACAUUUUGCAUAUUACAUUUUGUAUAUUACAUUUUGUAUGUUACAUUUUUUUUCAUGGUUGUUCUAUAUAUGAUUUCAUGUACAAAGUAGUUGAGAUCGAUGGCAGACGACGAGGUCAGAAGGUAUCUAAUGGAGCAGAUUGUUGCUGGUGAUAGUAGAUUCCAACCUUCCCAUAGCGUACACCGAUGAAGAGGGUAGCCAGGCAGACAUGUUUCUCAACCUGUCUGCCGAUGGCAAUGAAGAGCCUGAGCCCCAGCAAAACGUUACCGUGGCAAAUGGUUCCUAUGAGGUAUAGAUCAUAUUUAAACCCUCUCUAUAUAUAAUAUAUGGUCUUAUUCAUUAUUACUAUGUACUAAUUAAUUAAUAAAUCUUGAACUGUUAGCCCUCUAGAUCGACAAACCAUCUUCCGAAGCCCCGAGGUCCUUCCAAGGUGAACACUGGAACAAAAAAGGCUAUCAUCAUGGAAGUCAUAGAAGAGGACAGGCCGGUUGCUCCCGAAAAAGUACCAACAUAGUACGUGAGUCAGAUCGGGGCAAUCGUAAGGGAGAACGUGCCCAUCAACAUAAGGGAAUGGAAGGGCAAAAUGACUAAUCCAUACACGCUCCAGGAUACAAAAAAGAAUAUGCUGUGGGAAGAAGUUAAGAAAUAUUUCACAUUUCCGACGGAUAUAUUGAAAAUGAUGUGAAAGCGUGAAGACGAAGAAGAUAGCCACACAAUUCUAGACAUUCAAGAAGAUGUUGGAUACCACCUACAUUAAGAAGGGCCGAACUCCAGAUUUUACUGUGUAUCCAUAGUGUAAGGACCACUGGGAGGCAUUUGUACAAUACAAGAGCACCGAAGACAGUAAGAACAAGGUCGCCCAGAACACAGGCAAUGCUGGGGGGAAGGAGUACCAUCAUAAGCUAGGGCGAGGUGGUUACGCGAAAGCAAUUCCCAAAUGGAAUCAGAUGGAAAAAGACCUGAUUGAGUGGGGUAUCGUACCAGGAACGAUCGAAAAAUUGGUAUUACGCUCAUGAAGGUGAGAUAAUUCCAGAUGAUGGGACGUUGGUUUUCGAUGACCUGUUAUGUGAAGCAGUCACAAAGCUAGACAAGAUUAUUAAAGAUGUUAAGGAUGGGACGUUGACGGUGUGCUGAGAGAAUGAUGAGCUCACAAUGGCCCUCAGGAAUCCCAAACACCCAGGACGUACCCGAGGGUCGGGCUUGUUCUGUGGAAGUUCGCAUUCUGAGGCAACUUGGACAUGUACACAAGCCAGAACCGAAGAAAGAAGUAAGAGGAUGAGAGGUGGCGGCGCAUAAUAGAAUCCGAACUGCAAUCUGUAGAUGUAAGAAUGCAGGAGGGAGGCAGUAGUCAAAUGGCUGACGUAGUUGCCAGGCCUUCUCAACACCUCGGGAGCAGCUGUGCAUCCAGAGGGCUCCUUGAGCCACAUACGCCUGGAUUACCCGUGGAAGAGCAACUAUUCCCUGUGAAUACCAUCACGCAACGCACCACAUGUGAGCUGCAUACACCGAUCGGCAACCUCAGCAUUAAGGUACGUAUAUAUACAUAAUAUUUAUGCACCGGAGCCUCGGGAGUGCUUUGGCAAUUUGAAGUUUAAGAACUUCAUUUCUUUUAUAUAUCCAGGUGGCAUACGGGAGUGCCUUGCCAAUCCUGUUAAAUCAUACAUGCCAUGGCAUGGAGAUUCCACAUGGCUAUGCCAGUGUUGGCGUAGAGAGAAUCCCUGAUAGCCAAUUUGAAGGCCUAGAGCUUGACUUCCCAGCAGGCGAACAACACUAGGAGAAGUCGUUCACAGGGUCAUUCUGUGGUGCAAACGCUACAUCAUCAUCCCCGGCAUGGAGGCACCUCCUCAGAGCUCAAGACCACUCUCCGCAAAUCCACAGCAGCGACCAUCUCCUCAAACAUCUAGACCAUCAUCUCCACCACAACUUGCUCCAUGAUCAAGGUCUCCAUCUCCACCACAUCCUGGUGGUGGGAGCAACGACAACAACACCCCUCCACGAUCACCUUCGCGGGGACUAAGAGCACCAUUUAAGAAGUCACGACUACCGCCUCCCAAGCCAAGACAGCAUAAGAAGAAAACAAAGGAGCCGAAGGUGACUCCUGAGGAAUGUGGGGAGGCAAUGACUCAUGAUCAAUGCUGGACCGAAAUCCAAGUGCAAGCUAGUGAGUGGUUGAGGGAACAGAGGGAAUUAAGAAAAUCAAGGGAGAUGGAGCCACCGCCAGUAGAUCGAAGAGAAUUACAUAGUGAACAGUAGAUUGAAGAGAAUUACAUAAAUUCAUCAAGAUGCAAGAACAAGCCAAGAAGAGUCAACCACUACUAUCGAACUAUGAACGGGCAUUAGUAAAGGUUGUUGAGAAGAAAAAAAGGAAAAAAGUUGAGCUACCAGCUGCACUGCCAAGUGAACCGAAAUGGACCUUUGAGCUAGGCAAGCCUAUUGUUAGCCCUGAUUCGCUAAAGAAGCUAUCAACGAAGAUGUACGAAUUCCAUCAAUGGUACAUGAAGUUGUCUGCUGACGAGAGGGAGAUGUUGGACCUUAAGAUAAAACCGAUAGAUUUUUCACGAUGAAGGCGAGACAGUCUUGUGGCUACGAUUCAAGGAUAUAUACGAAGUGUACCAUCAUGGCGCCCUAGACAUCUCUCUGAUGAGCGUCUAGACUCUGUAAGUGUCCGUUUAUAUGUACAUGUAAUUUUUGGCUCAUAUCAUUUUUUUUGCAUACGUCGCCGUACUAAUUAACUUCGUCUUCCAUUUUAUGUAGGAUGCUAAUUCGGAUGUGCCGACAUGAAGCGUACCUCCAUAUUGGCUUCAUAGAUCCAUCCAUAGUGAACCAAGCCUAGAUACGAGAUUUUCCAAACAAAACGUUGCUGGCAGUAUACAAUUCCUUAGAUGGACAAAAAUUAAAGGAUCACAUACUACUUCCAUACAACUUCAAGUAAGUGUGUGUAUACUGUCUAUAUUCGUUUUCUUUUUCCUUACCUGAUUAAUGUUAGUUACCUCUAAUAUAUAUGAACAUUUACGUACGUAGCUCCCACUGGAUCCUCAUUAUUAUUAACAUUGAUCGAAGUCACAUCACUGUCUUCGAUUUGUUGAGGAGAGAUCCGAAGGAGUACCAAGACGUGCAACACACGCUAGACAUGUAAUAAUUCUGGACCUCUAUCUCUAUACAAAAUUUUAUUUCCUAAAUUUUCACCGAACACUAUAUCAUUCAUUAUUUUAAUCCAUAGAGCAUGGAGAGAUUUCAUCAGGGCAGACAGAUCAGGUCAAUUCAAAGAAAAACUUAUAUGGAGAACAGACUUCCCAGUACGUAUGAAGUUUGCACAUUUUGUACAUUUGUUGAUGCCAGAUUUUGACACGUAUUUUGAGUUGGCGUCAGGGAAGGAAAAGAUUGGCCGAUCGGUGGAUUAAAAGCUACAGUUGGGAAUCGGCCGAUUGGCGCUACAGCAUUUCGGCCGAUUGGCGAAUGGAGUUGAUGAAGGUCGGCCGACUGGAAGGUUGGGGCAGCUGGGCCAAUAUGGGCUUAAGGUGGGCUAGAGAAGAAGAUAGAAAGAGAUUGGCCCAUGGGAGUAUGAUAACCAACUCCGAUACUAGUUGUGUUUGUAAAUAUUUGUUAUAAUUUAAAAUUAGAGAUAGAUCCUAGUCGAUUAGGAAAUCAGUUGUAACAGGCUAUAAAUAGCCAUCUCUAGAGUUUUGUAAAAGACACAUCAAUCAAUACAACCGAUCUACUUUUUCCUCAUACUUUAUUUUCAAGUCGGCGACUUCGCCAAAAUACCUUUUUCUUUCACGAGUUCGUACGGAUUGGCAGGGCUGCAUCGACAUGAUCUCCGGCUGAUUCUGUAAGUUCCGGUUAUCGAAUAAUAUCUAAGCUUUAACUUCGGGCGCAUCACUGUUGUUUCGUUUAGAUUUAUUCACCAGUUAUCGAUAUUAACUAGAAUCGUAGGUUCUACCUAUUAUUUCAGUUUUUAUCACUAGUUAUCCAGCUUGAGAUACGAAUUGUCGGCUUUUAUUAUUUUCUUUCUUUAUUAUCAUACAGCCGACUAGAUCUAUCCCAAGUGUUGUUCUCUUAGCGUUGUUUAGGUUGCUCCAGUAGCUUUUCUAUACAAUCGCUACGCGGUAUCGGCUGUUCUAUAGCUGGUUACCUCUACAAUUAAUCGACCGAUUUGUCGACACGCUUUUGAAGACAGAUCGGAACUCCAGCCGAUCGCAACUCCUGGAAUUUAAUACUUUUUAUUUCCUUAUCAAUCAACAGGUCAGAUUGACUGGCACGCCGCGCGAACCGCACCAGGGUGAUAAUCCGAACAGGAGUGAAGAAGAUUCUCCCGGGUCGUGUGUCCGACGCUAAGGAUCAUCGGUCGAUUUUUAGCGCCAACACAUUUUUGGCACGCCCAGUGGGACAGAAACAACAUCCAGCAUGUUGAAAGCUGCCGAAAUCUCUGAAGACAACGUCAUCAAACUUACGGAAGCAGAUCUCAAGGACGAUCAGAAGGAAGAGUUGGCAAAAUACUUAGAAGACUACAAGAAGACGUGCUUGCAAUCCUUUAGUCGUACCAGAAGCGGGGAGACCGUCAAGAAAGCUCCUCUUCCAACUCCCCGUCACAUCAGCAUCGCUGAGGACUCGGGAAAGAUGUCUGAGAUGAUUCAACAGUCUAUUUACCAGGCUAUGAUCGACCAAUCCUCGGUGAUGACCAAUACAGUAUACAACGCCGUCAUCAGUUCCUUGGUCAGCGGAGUAGCUCAAGGGUAUCAGGGACCAGCGUACGCCCCACCCAUCGUAGCUCCAGUCAGAGGCUUCUCUGCGUUACCGGGCACAUCUCACUCGAUUCCUCAGCCGACACCGAUGCAACAUGGAGGUUACAACGCUUCAAUGCCCCUAGGGUACAACGGCGCGCCAUGCUAUCAGUUGCAAGCGCCGUCUCAGCCUGUGCAAGUUUCCUCCAUGCAAUCGCCACCCUCAAAUUAUGUGCCUUGGGGGGCAGUAGCAGCAACAGCCGGACUGGUUCAGUCAAUUAGUUACGGGAAUUCCAUGGUCCAAACACCAUUCCAAUCGGCCAUUCGGCCGACGGUCCCACAAUAUCAGCCGGCUUCGUCAGAAAUCGUCAGGAGGGCAGCCGGUGCAGAAACAUUCAGAGGCACGGCGCCAAUGAUGCUAUACGACAGAAUGGCAGAUACCCUAUGCCACCAACUAUCGGCUACUCAGCUGCCUUUGCAACCACAAAAUCUGCAGCACACUUUGAUCCAUCACCUGGCCAUCGCACCGCCGGUCCAGCAGCAUGUGCUGAUUCCCCAACCGGUCAUACGUCAGCAGCAGGAAGAUUGGACCGCAAAAAUAGCGGAAGUAAAUUCAAGAUCAGUUCGGGUUGAAACCGAAGGUACAAACCUAUACGUACAAAAUGCCAUACCCGCCGGCCUACAAUCUGUUGCCGUUUCCCUAUCGGUACAAGGUUCCCGAUUUCACGAAAUUCUCGAGAUUGGAUGACACGUCAACUGUGGAGCACGUGAAUAGAUUCAUUAUCUAGUGUGGAGAAGCCACCACACAAGAUGCUCUGCGUGUACGAUUAUUCUCGUCAUCCCUAUCCGGGUCAGCCUUCCAGUGGUUCACUACGUUGCCGCCCAAUUCCAUCGUCACUUGGGCCGACCUGGAGAAACAAUUCCAUAAGUACUUCUACGCGGGAGUCCAUGAGAUGAAGCUCUCAGAUUUGACUAGCCUCAGGCAGAGAAGCGACGAACCAAUGACUAGUUACGUAUAGAGAUUCAGAGAGAUCAGGAACAAGUGCUACACCCUAGUCCUGACUGACGCUCAGCUGGCUGAUAUCGCCUUCCAAUGUCUCCUACCACACAUCAAAGAGAAGUACGCUUCCCAAGAGCUCGAAAGCUUAAGUCAGAUCGUCCACCGACUGUCCGGUCAAGAGAUGCGCUCUUUCGACCAACGGAGGAAUUUUCAAAAGAAGGUGGCAUACUUGGAGGGAUCCGAAUCGGAGGAAGAGGCCGAAAUCGGCCUAGCGGAAUGGGUAAAAGGAAAAAAGCCGAUAUCGUGCCCAUUUGGAAAGAAAGAACCAGAAACAUUCGGCUUUGACACGUCAAAGGCCGACAAAAUCUUCGAUUUACUUCUACAAGAGGGGCAGAUCAAGCUUUCACCUUAUCACACGAUUCCAUUGGCCGAGCAGCUCAAAAAGAUGAAGUAUUGCAAGUGGCACAACGCCACAUCCCACGACACGAACGAGUGCAAGAUCUUCCAUCAACAUAUACAAUUGGCCAUUGAGCAAGGUAAACUCAAGUUCAAAAUUUCGACAAAGACAGUAAAGCCGAUGAAGAUUGAUCAGCAUCCUUUCCCUACCAAUAUGGUCGAUGCAGGAAGAAAUGAGCCCUAGACCAAGGUGCUGACGUCAGAAUCGGCUAAGAGAAGCGGCGCCGUGGACCCUAGAAAUCAGGCUACGGUUGAGGAUGUCAAAGGGAAAAGACGGGUCAAAGACGAAGGCGAAGGAUCAAAGAGAUCACGUAGGCCUAUCACCUCCCAAUUCUUGCUCAACAAGUAUCAGCAGCAGCAAGAAAGUUCAAGACACCGCGAAGAGAUGAUGCGCCGACACAAAGAUCACUGGCGGUGUCCGUUCUGUUGGGAUACGAGGUAGGCUACGCUAGCGCAAAUCAAAAUUUCUACCGCGUAUAACCAGGAAGAGCUGCCGUAUAAGGAUCACGGGAUUACCACUCGACGCACUACUGGUGCGGAAGAUGUAGAUAUGCGUCGAUGCAGUGAAGACGAUCACGUAGUCGUACGUAGUCGAUCACGUCCAGCAGCUCCUCAGCAGCUCGUCCACGUGCACAGCAAGAUCGCCUCCGGCACCGCGGCUCGUCGUCGGCUCGUCGUGGCUCGUCGGCGGCUCGUCGAUGGCUCGUCCAAGUGCUGCAGGCGCAACACCUCCAAGGUAUCCACACGUGCAGGGAGGAAGCGUCGCAAGCCGGAUUGCUAGAUCCGCGAGUUGCAACAGGUGAGGGCGUGGGAGGCGCGGCAAGUGUGUUCAGCCAAAAGGUGUGAACCCUAGGGCGCCCCCACCCCUCUAUUUAUAGAGGUUCCUGAUGGGCCUCUGGAUCCGAGGCCCAUUAGUACUCCUAAACCUAAUCCAACUCGGAUCAGAUCCGAAUUGGGCUUCCAGCCCCUUAAGUGUGUGACCCUAUGGGUUCGGAUACGUAUAGACAUGGCCCGAGUACUCCUACUCGGCCCAAUAGUCGGUAGCGGCCUCUAGCAAGACGUGCCAACUCCUAUACGCAUACGAAGAUCAUAUCAGACGAACCAUCACAACAUAAUAUACAUGCUAUUCCCUUUGCCUCACGAUAUUUGGUCUAGCUUCAAGCCGACCGCUCUUUCUCGAUCCUGUGAUUCGGAAUCCCUUUGUAGGUUAACUCUUAACCGUACGUAGCAUGGCCAUGCAUUUUCGGAUCCGAUCACUCGAGGGGCCCAGAGAUAUCACUCUCAAUCAGAGAGGGGCAAAUCCCAUCUUGAUUGACCAUGUCUCAUAGCAUGCUUCUUGACAAACCCGAAAGCUACCUUUAUAACUACCCUGUUACGGCGUAGCGUUUGAUAGCCCCUAAGUAGGUCGAUCCACAUCUAGAAUACAUGCGACAAUCUCAGGUCUAAGGACAAAGCGUAUAUGUUGUUUAAAGAGAGAACUACUUCUCGUGUUGGGUCAGUCCUAACACAUGUCUCCACAUGUGUCCACAUUAUUAGUUCAACAUCUUCAUAUCCAUGACUUGUGAAACAUAGUCAUCAACUAAUACAUGUGCUAGUCUAAUAUUCAUGUGUGUCCUCACAUGAACUCCGACUAGGGACAACUUUAGAAUAACCAUACAAGUAAAGAGUUUCACAUACAAUUCACAUAAUUGCAAAUCAAUUCAAGUAGCCUUUAAUGGAUAUUCAAUGAACACAAUAUACAAAUCAUGGAUACAAAUGGAAUAUCAUCAUCUCUAUGAUUGCCUCUAGGGCAUACCUCCAACACGUUCUUCAUCUUGCACUAGAGUCAAUCUAGAAGGUACCUAAUACCCAUAGCUCUUACAUGCGCAUCAUGCUUAGCCUGCGGGAGUGGUUUUGUCAACGGAUCAGAAAUGUUCAGAUCCGUGUGUAUUUUGCAUAUCUUGAUCUCACCCCGGUUAACGAAGUCUCGAAUGAGAUGAAAUCGCCGCAUUACGUGUUUGUUCUUCUGGUGGUUCCUUGGCUCCUUUGCUUGCGCAAUUGCCCCAUUGUUAUCACAGUAGAGAUUCAAUGGGCUGGACGCAUUCGGGAACACACCAAGCUCAAUGAGGAAAUUCCUUAUCCAAACACCUUCCUUCGCGGCUUCCGAAGCCGCGAUGUACUCGGCUUCUGUCGUAGAAUCGGCCACCGUCUCCUGCUUGGAACUCUUCCAACUAACAGCACCACCAUUUAGCGUGAACACAAAUCCUGAUUGUGACUUUGAAUCAUCUCUGUCGGUUUGGAAACUAGCAUCGGUGUAACCUGUUACAACGAGCUCCUCCUGACCUCCAUAGACGAGGAACAUAUCUUUAGUCCUUCUCAAGUACUUAAGAAUGUUUUUCACCGCUGUCCAGUGACUCUCACCUGGAUCAGAUUGGUGUCUGCUUGUCAUACUUAGUGCAUAUGAAACAUCUGGGCGAGUACUUAUCAUUGCAUACAUGAUAGAUCCAAUAGCCGAGGCAUAUGGCACUCUACUCAUGCGAUCCCGCUCAUCAGCAGUCGAAGGACACUGAGUCUUGCUGAGAUGUAUGCCAUGUGACAUAGGCAAGAACCCUUUCUUUGCCUCUUCCAUGCUGAACCGCUUCAACACUUUGUCAAUAUAAGUAUCUUGGCUCAAACCUAUAAGCCUUCUCGAUCUAUCUCUAUAGAUCUUAAUGCCCAGAAUAUAUGCCGCUUCCCCUAAGUCCUUCAUCGAAAAACUAUUUUUCAGUGAAGUCUUUACGGACUCAAGCAUAGGAAUGUUAUUUCCAAUCAGUAAUAUGUCAUCCACAUAUAAGAUUAGAAAUACUACAGAGCUCCCACUAACCUUCUUGUAAACACAAGACUCUUCUUCGUUCUUGGUGAAGUCAAACCCUUUGACCACUUCAUCAAAACGAAUGUUCCAACUCCUAGAUGCUUGCUUCAAUCCAUAAAUGGAUCUCUGAAGCUUGCAUACCUUUCCAGCAUUCUUCGGAUCGACAAAACCCUCGGGCUGUAUCAUAUACACGUCCUCAGCUAGGUUUCCAUUCAGGAAAGCUGUCUUGACAUCCAUCUGCCAUAUCUCAUAAUCGAAAUAUGCAGCUAUAGCUAGAAUAAUCCGAAUGGACUUAAGCAUUACUACAGGCGAGAAGGUCUCGUCGUAGUCAACUCCUUGAACUUGUCGAAAACCUUUUGCGACAAGUCGUGCUUUAUAGAUGUGAACAUUUCCAUCCAUGUCCUUUUUCUUCUUAUAGAUCCACUUGCACUCUAUGGCUUUAACACCAUCAGGCGGGUCAACCAAGUUCCAAACUUGAUUGUCUCCCAUGGACUCUAUUUCGGAUUGCAUGACACUCUGCCAUUUUUCGGAGUCUGGGUCCAUCAUUGCUUCUGCAUAUGUCGCAGGCUCAUCAUUGUCCAACAAUAAUAUUUCCCGCAUUUCGCGGAGCCUUGCCGACCUUCGUGGUUGUGGCGGUGCUUCUCUUGCCAUGGGUAUCUCAACUUGUUCUGCUACGUUAGCAUCACUCAUUGAUUCUUGCCCGAUCGGCUCAUCUUGAACUUCUUCAAGAUGCACUGUCUUUCCACUCUUUUCUCCUUUGAGAAACUCUUUCUCUAGAAAAACCCCGUUCUGAGCGACAAACACUUUGCCUUCUGAUCGGUUGUAGAAAUAAUAUCCCAAAGUUUCCUUUGGAUAUCCCACGAAAAUGCACUUAUCCGACUUGGGUGUGAUCUUGUCCGACUGAAGUCGCUUGACAAACACUUCACAUCCCCAAAUCUUUAGAAAAGACAAACUUGGAACCUUUCCAGUCCAUAUCUCAUAUGGUGUCUUAACUACGGAUUUAGAUGGUACCCUAUUUAGUGUGAAAGCUGCUGUUUCUAGAGCGUAUCCCCAAAAUGACAACGGUAGGUCCGACUGGCUCAUCAUGGAUCGAACCAUGUCUAACAAAGUUCGAUUACGUCGCUCGGACACACCGUUUCUCUGAGGUGUUCCAGGUGGCGUAAGUUGUGGAACAAUUCCGCAACUCUUUAGAUGAUUGCUAAACUCGUGGCUCAAAUACUCGCCUCCACGAUCAGAUCGCAAGGCCUUAAUUUUCUUGCCACGCUGAUUUUCAACUUCAUUCUGAAAUUCCUUGAACUUUUCAAAGGUUUCAGACUUGUGCCUCAUUAAGUAGACAUAGCCAUAUCUACUAAAAUCAUCAGUGAAAGUUAUGAAGUAUUGGAAUCCUCCUCUAGCUGUCGUGCUCAUUGGUCCGCAUACAUCACUAUGUACAAGUUCCAACAAGUCUACUGCUCUCUCAGGAAAUCCUGUGAAAGGCGUCUUGGUCAUCUUGCCUAGCAAGCAAGCCUCGCAUGUCUCGUAUGAUUCAAAAUCAAACGAAGUUAGAAGUCCAUCAGAAUGGAGCUUCUUCAUGCGCUUUUCACUUAUAUGACCCAAACGACAAUGCCACAAGUAGGUAGGACUCAAAUCAUUAGGCCAAGGCCUUUUAGCACUUACAUUACAGACAGGUGAACCAUCAAGAUUUAAAACAAACAAUCCAUUCACAAUGGGUGCAAAAGCCAUAAACAUAUUAUUCUUAGAGAUCACACAACCAUUGUUUUCACUCGCAAAUGAAUAACCAUCCUUCAUCAAACAUGAAGGAGAUAAAAUGUUUCGACUUAAACUAGGAACAAAAUAACAAUUAUUCAACUCCAUAAUAAAUCCUGACGGGAGGUGGAGUUGCAUCGUCCCGACGGUCAAAGCAGCAACUCUUGCAUUAUUGCCCACGCGGAAAUCAACUUCUCCUCUUUCCACGCUUCUACUUCUUAUCAUUCCCUGCAUCGAAUUGCAAAUAUGAGCAACCGAUCCGGUAUCAAAUACCCAAGAAUUAAUAACUGUAUCAGCGAGAAAUAUGUUGUCUAUAACAUAAACAACAAGCGUACCUGAGGUAGAAGUACUCUUACUUCCGCCGUUCUUCAACGAAGCUAGGUACUGCUUGCAGUUUCUCUUCCAGUGACCAAGUUCAUGACAGUAAAAGCACUCUUUAUCUGGAGCAGGUCCAGGUCCAGCUGGACGUUCCAGCCUUGCCCUUCUUCUUCCAAGAAUUGCCCUUCUUCUUAAAGCUGGGCUUGUUCUGUAUCGCCAUCACAUGGCUGGUACUAGCGCUUUUCUUUAUGUCAGCCUCUGCUGUUUUAAGCAUGCCACACAGCUCAUUCAGACCCUUCUCCGUCCCAUGCAUAUGGUAGUUCGAGAUGAAGUUCCCAUAGCUAGGAGGAAGAGACGAAAGAAUGAAAUCAGUGGCCAACUCUUGGCCCAGUGGGAAGCCUAGCUUCUCCAACCGUUGAGUGUAACCAACCAUCUUGAUUACGUGUGGUCCUACUGCUGCGCCUUCUGCUAGCUUGCUCUCAACAAAGGCCUUAGACACAUUGAACCUUUCAGUCCUGGCCUGUGUUUGGAACAUGUCUCUAAGCGCCACGAUCAUAUCGUGCGCCUCAUGGUUUGUUUCGAACUGCAUCUGCAGCUCGGGUUCCAUGCAAGCAAGCAUAAGGCAGCUUACUUCGAGGUUAGCAUCACAUGCUUUCUUGUAAGCAUUCUUAGCAGCAGCGGGUGCAUCCUCAGCAGGUUCUUCUGGUAGUGGGUUGUCUAGAACAUCUUCCUUUUUCUCAGCCCUGAGAACAAUUCUCAGGUUGCGGAUCCAAUCCGAGUAGUUUGUUCCAUUCAACUUGUCCUUCUCAAGGACCGAACGCAAAGCAAACGAUGUGGUGGUGUUGCUAGGUGCCAUUUAAUCUACAACAAAAGUAAUGCAAAAUACACUAAGACAAACGUAUCCAUGAUAGAGAAAAUUACAUUAAACUAUUUUAACAGAAUCUACUCCCACUAAAAUCAAUAUUCCUCUAUUGAAACUUAGUGAUUCAGGAUCCACAACUAACAAGUCCACUAGUGAGCUUUAGCAUCACCGCUAGCAAAUGAGGUAGAUCGGUAAUCAACUUUUGCUAAUCAUAUCACAUAUGACUCCUGUUGUUGGGUGACAUCUCUAUGUCUCGGCGCCCAACCUUUAUGCCCCAAGGUCCUUAACCGUUAAGAUGACCUCGUUAAGCAAACCAACCCUUAUGCGUGUAAGUGUCCGACACAAACCCAUCUAGUCAAGGAAAACUAGUGGCACCCUAAUUUCAUAGACCCACCACUAAUUGUACAAGACAUGGGACGGUGCAAGUUUUAGUUGGGAGGGCAUACUAACUUAAACUUUGUGAGGGAUCGUUCUACUUCUAACAUCACAGCAUGCAGAAAGUAAAACAUAAACAGAAUAGCAUUCACACAGUUGUGACAUAGUAUGGCCCGUUUUUCUUAUGGUGAUCUCCAUCUCCAUAGAACCUGUUCACCAUGGUGAUCUCCAUCUCCAUGUUCCAUGUGCGCCAUCAUCCUGGUGAUGAGUCCUCCAAGAACUAGAGCAUGCUAUUACGCCUAAUAGCUAGUAAAGAAUCUAGUAAUGAAGAUUACAUAGUUGCUUGGAUCAUCACAGAUUGGUACGCAGACCAUUAAUUACAAUAAAGUGACAACACAUAUGGCUCCUGCCGUGUUGCCGUACGCGCGACACGCAGGUCACGAAUGAGUUACACACAUGCAUCACAUACACAAGGGGGCCAUACUGAUCACAAGAUACAUGCAUACAUCCUGCAAAACAGAGUUAGGCGUCCUAACGUUCCAAACUUCGGAGGCCCGAAACUCCAUCUUCCAAGCUGAAUUUGGGAAAUCUAAUCUCGUGGAAAACGGCGAAGCGGUUGAAAUUCACGUGUAACUUUUUCUGUAGAUCAAUUUUCGUAUAGAAAUUGCCCCGAUCCGAGAUCGUACCGAAAAGUUACGGCUGAUUUACCGAAGCAUACGCAUACAGCAAAAUCCCGACCCCGGCAGUAGAUCCCAUAUACUAUUGCACAUCUAAUGCGUCUGGCGUAUGACCCUGGAUCUCGAUUUGACCAAUCAUAUUGAUCUUCCCUCACUGUAACUGGAUUUACGUGUAUCACUUAACUCCGAUGGCGGAAACCGACCGGUAGGAGUAUGUCGUUACACUACCAUUGCAGCAAGGGCACGAAAUCAGGACAUAGAUCAAACAGAGAACUCGCAUAUCUCCAUAUGCACACAUCCCGAAUCCAAAACUAAGCAGCUACGGCUCUUGAUACCACUGUUGGGAUACGAGGUAGGCUACGCUAGCGCAAAUCAAAAUUUCUACCGCGUAUAACCAGGAAGAGCUGCCGUAUAAGGAUCACGGGAUUACCACUCGACGCACUACUGGUGCGGAAGAUGUAGAUAUGCGUCGAUGCAGUGAAGACGAUCACGUAGUCGUACGUAGUCGAUCACGUCCAGCAACUCCUCAGCAGCUCGUCCACGUGCACAGCAAGAUCGCCUCCGGCACCGCGGCUCGUCGUCGGCUCGUCGUGGCUCGUCGGCGGCUCGUCGAUGGCUCGUCCAAGUGCUGCAGGCGCAACACCUCCAAGGUAUCCACACGUGCAGGGAGGAAGCGUCGCAAGCCGGAUUGCUAGAUCCGCGAGUUGCAACAGGUGAGGGCGUGGGAGGCGCGGCAAGUGUGUUCAGCCAAAAGGUGUGAACCCUAGGGCGCCCCCACCCCUCUAUUUAUAGAGGUUCCUGAUGGGCCUCUGGAUCCGAGGCCCAUUAGUACUCCUAAACCUAAUCCAACUCGGAUCAGAUCCGAAUUGGGCUUCCAGCCCCUUAAGUGUGUGACCCUAUGGGUUCGGAUACGUAUAGACAUGGCCCGAGUACUCCUACUCGGCCCAAUAGUCGGUAGCGGCCUCUAGCAAGACGUGCCAACUCCUAUACGCAUACGAAGAUCAUAUCAGACGAACCAUCACAACAUAAUAUACAUGCUAUUCCCUUUGCCUCACGAUAUUUGGUCUAGCUUCAAGCCGACCGCUCUUUCUCGAUCCUGUGAUUCGGAAUCCCUUUGUAGGUUAACUCUUAACCGUACGUAGCAUGGCCAUGCAUUUUCGGAUCCGAUCACUCGAGGGGCCCAGAGAUAUCACUCUCAAUUAGAGAGGGGCAAAUCCCAUCUUGAUUGACCAUGUCUCAUAGCAUGCUUCUUGACAAACCCGAAAGCUACCUUUAUAACUACCCUGUUACGGCGUAGCGUUUGAUAGCCCCUAAGUAGGUCGAUCCACAUCUAGAAUACAUGCGACAAUCUCAGGUCUAAGGACAAAGCGUAUAUGUUGUUUAAAGAGAGAACUACUUCUCGUGUUGGGUCAGUCCUAACACAUGUCUCCACAUGUGUCCACAUUAUUAGUUCAACAUCUUCAUGUCCAUGACUUGUGAAACAUAGUCAUCAACUAAUACAUGUGCUAGUCUAAUAUUCAUGUGUGUCCUCACAUGAACUCCGACUAGGGACAACUUUAGAAUAACCAUACAAGUAAAGAGUUUCACAUACAAUUCAUAUAAUUGCAAAUCAAUUCAAGUAGCCUUUAAUGGAUAUUCAAUGAACACAAUAUACAAAUCAUGGAUACAAAUGGAAUAUCAUCAUCUCUAUGAUUGCCUCUAGGGCAUACCUCCAACACGUUCUUCAUCCACUGCUAGGAAAACAACCUCAGGUUACCAUCAGCCGAUAAUUUCCCUGAAUGCAGCGGUCAAUAUCGCAACAAUAGCCCAUUCAAGAGGUCACGCUCUAGAGAUAGAGGAUCAGAGCCAAUCAGCAGAAACUAGCGCGAACAAGGAGAUCGGCGCCUUUCAGUGCGUGAUCAGCUGGGGGGCAGAGUUGACCAGUAUGAUCCACUGGGAGGCAGAGUUGACCAGUAUGAUUGGCCGGAGGCCAGGUUUGACCAGCGCGAAUGACUGGGGGGCAGGGCCAGUGCACAUGAUCGGCUAGAGGACAUGGUCGAUGCCAGGGUGUUGGAUGAAGACCCCCUAGGGUGAGAACCAGACUGGGAGCACGCAAAACCGCCGGUCAAACCGAUGAACCCUAGAUGGUGCCCCAACGGCUUAACCAAAUCCCAGAAAUGAAGAAUCCAACGUCUGCGGCAAUGGGAACAACAAGAAGAAGAACAGAGGCAGAUGAUGGAUAAGAAGGACAACAAGUCUCGGGUCUGGCGCCCCAAAAGAAGAAUCAAUGAGGAAGACGACAAUCAGGAAUCAGCAGCUGCUGACGUCAGCAUGGUGUUCAUCUUGCCGAUGGAGUUCAUGGCUCCCGCCGAUCGGAAGACACAACAAGGAUGGAGGAGCAAAUGGAGCAAUUGGCUUUGGAGCCAAUGAUGGCCACUUUUGAGAAACCCAAAGACGACAAACGGCAACAUCUCAGAGCUCUAUUCCUCAAAGGACACGUCAACGGAUGGCCAGUCACUAGGCUUCUGGUAGAUGGAGGUGCUGCAGUCAAUAUCAUGCCGUAUGCUAUGUUUUAGAAAUUGGGCAAAAGUGACGAAGAUCUGACCAAGACGAACAUGAUGCUCAAGUAUUUCGAAGGCAACGUGUCCCCCGCCUGCGGAGCACUCUGCGUCGACCUCACCAUCAGCAGUAGGACCCUACCCACUACUUUCUUUAUCAUUAAUGGCAAAGGGUGCUACAACAUGUUGCUCGAUCGCGAUUGGAUACACGCGAAUUGCUGCGUCCCGUCUACAAUGCACCAGUGCCUCGUUCAAUGGGUCGGCGACAACAUCGAGAUAGUCACCGCCGAUUCUGCCUACAGUGUUGCCACGUCCGAUGCAAAACAGUGGAGCUGCGAACACGUCCGGUGCAUAUCUGGCCGAACCUGGGACACCGACUUCCUAAAGGUGUCCGAUUUUGGCCUACAGCCGAUCCAAGCAGUCGGCUCUGAAGAAUCAGACUAGAUGGAUCAGUUCGUCCGGGAAGACGGGAAGCAGGGGCAUGGGUUUACGUCGACCGACUCAUUGGAGAUGGUGGACUUAGGAGAUGGUAGUAAGCCAAGGCCGACGUAUAUUAGUGCCAAUCCAGAUCCCGAGUAUAAGCAUGAACUGACAACUUUAUUAAAAGAAUUUAAAGAUUGUUUUGCUUGGGAAUAUCAUUAGAUGCCUGGUCUAGACCGGUCCAUCGUCGAACACCGGUCACCUAUAAAACCAGGAUAUCGGCCAUAUCAGCAACCCACACGAUGGUGCAACCCUAAAAUCCUUCCUGAUAUAAAGGCCGAGAUUACAAGAUUGAUAGAAGCAGGAUAUCUUCGGCAGUGCCGUUAUGCCAAGUGAAUUUCUAAUAUCGUACCCGUAUAAAAGAAAAAUGGAAAGCUGCGUGUGUGAAUUGACUUCAGGAAUCUUAAUCAGGCUACGCUGAUGGAUGGGUACCCAAUGCCAACAGCCGAUGUUUUGAUAGAUGCUGCCGCAGGACAUAAAGUCAUCAGUUUCAUGGACGGUAAUGAUGGGUACAAUCAAAUAUUAAUGGCCGAGGAUGACAUUUCAAAGACGGCCUUCAGGUUUCUGGGCCACCUCGGUUUGUUCGAGUGGGUGGUGAUGACCUUCGGAUUAAAAAACGCCGGCGCUACAUAUCAACGGGCUAUGAAUUAUAUUUUCCACAAGCUUAUUGGUGUACUGGUGGAAAUCUACAUCGACGACGUCGUGGUCAAGUCAAAAGGACAUCAGGAACAUCUGGCCGAUUUGCGAGAAGUGUUGGAGUACACAAGGAAGCAUGGAUUGAAAAUGAACCCAAACAAAUGUGUCUUCGGUGUUUCGGCAGGAUAAUUUCUAGGAUUCAUGGUCCAUGAGCGCGGGAUAGAGGUCAAUCGGAAGAUUAUAGCUGCCAUCAAUAAAGUUGUGGCCCCGCAGAACAAAACCGAGCUGCAGUCCCUAAUCGGCAAGGUUAACUUUAUCUGAAGAUUCAUAUCCGACUUGUCCGGGCGCUUUCAAGCUUUCACCCCCUUUGUUGAAAUUGAAACCCGACCAGGAGUUCGUGUGGGGAGAAGAACAACAAAAAGCGUUGAACGACAUCAAGCAAUAUCUGAUUUCACCACAGUGUUGUCCCACCACAAGCCGACGAACCAUUCAGAUUAUACUUAUCGGCCAAUGAACAGGCUAUCGGGUCGGCGCUGGUACAGGAAUUCGAAGGAAAGGAACGAAUAAUCUAUUACAUCAGCAGAAGACACCUGGACCUGUGAUAUUCCCCAGUAGAACGGCUGUGCCUGUGUUUGUAUUUCUCAUGUACCAAGCUCAGGCACUACCUGUUAUCGUCGGAAUGCAUAGUCGUAUGCAAAGAUGACGUGGUGAAGUAUAUGCUGUCAUUGCCAAUUUUGAAGGGAAGGAUUGGGAAGUGGAUCCUAGCUCUGUCAGAGUUUGACCUAAGGUAUGAAUCAGCCAAAGCUGUCAAGGGCCAAGUAAUGGCCGAUUUCGUGGCUCAACAUUAUGAACCGGAAGUCGCUGUCGUUGAACCAGCUCCAUGGAUUUUAUACUUCGACGGUUCUUCGUGUGGGGCUGGAUCCGGAAUCGGCAUAUCCUCAUAUCACCUCGGGGGGCAAGUUAUGAUUUCUCUCUACCAAUAGAGGCAUCCGGUACCAAUAACCAGGCAGAAUACCGGGCCGUCCUAAAAGGUAUUCAAUUACUGAGGGACAUCAAAGUCGAUGCAGUGGAGAUUUUUGGGGGAUUCCAUGCUCAUUAUUGAUCAAUUGACGGGGAAAUUUGAAUGCAAAGAUGAUAUCUUAAGGAUUUACUAUGAAGAUUGCCUCCAGCUAUUAAAGGAAUUCAGGUCUGCGGUUAUUGAGCAUAUUCCCAGAAAUUACAAUGAAGAGGCCAAUAGGGUUGCCUAACACGCAUCCGGGUAUCGGCCGAUUCAAGGCACCAUGACUCUGGAGCUUGCAGCCGACGAUUGGCGGAAGGAGAUCGCCGAUUACCUAAAGGAUCCGUCCAGGAAAGUGGAUCGGCGAGUGCGUUUUCAAGCCACAAAAUAUGUGUUACUUGAAGAUGAUCUGUUUUACCGGACGAUUGAUGGGGUCCUGCUCAAGUGCCUUGGGACAGAAGAGGCGAAAGUUCUGAUGGGAGAAAUUCACAAGGGCGUAUGCGGAGCUCAUCAAUCAGCUCACAAGAUGAAGUGGAUGAUUAGGAACAAUGGGUAUUUUUGGCCGACGAUACUCGAGGAUUGCUUUAAAUAUUAUAAAGGAUGUCAAGAUUGACAGAAGUUUGGCAACGUACAGCGUGCACCAGCCUCGGCUAUGAAUCCAAUAAUUAAGCCAUGGCCGUUCAGGGGUUGGGGAAUAGACCUCGUCGGCUAGAUUUAUCCUCCAUCAAGCAAGGGACACAAGUUCAUAUUAGUAGCCACUGACUACUUUACCAAGUGGGUGGAGGCAGUUCCCUUGAAGACCAUGUCAUCGGCCGCCAUGAUCGAUUUCGUGAGGGAUCAUAUUAUUUAUCGGUUCGGUAUCCCUCAAACUAGCACAGCUGAUCAAGGGACAAUGUUCACUUCGGGAGAUUUUUAAGAGUUCACCGCCGAUAUGGGGAUUAAAUUGUUGAAUUCUUCUCUGUAUUAUGCUCAAGCUAACGGUCAGGCCGAAUCAUCCAAUUAGGGGAUAAUCAAGUUGAUCAAAAGGAAGAUAGAAGAGCAACCCAAGAGGUGGCACGCCUCCUUGACUGAAUCUUUAUGGGCAUGCAGGAUGGCCUGUCAUGGAGGUACUAAAACAUCUCCUUAUCAAUUGGUGUACGGUCACGAGGCAGUAUUGCCUUGGGAAUUAAGGACGGGGUCCAGACGCACGUCACCUCAAGAUCAGUUGACAGCUGAGGAUUAUUCCCUCCUCAUGAAGGGAGAGCUCGACGAUUUGGUGGGUCAGAGAUUGAGGGCCCUGAUCAGCAUCGAAGAAAAUAAGAAAAGGGUGGCCAGGUGGUGCGACAAAAGGCCAAGGUCAAGCAAUUCUCCCAAGGAGAUCUGGUAUGGAAGUGGGUGCUGCCGAUAGGGUCUAAAGAUCCCAAAUUUGGUAAAUGGUCACUUACUUGGGAAGGGCCGUAUAGAAUCGGCCAAUGCGCUCCGGGAAAUGCGUACAUACUAGAAACUAUCGAAGGAGAGGAAUUCACAAGAGCUUUAAAUGGGAGAUAUCUGAAGAGGUAUUACCCUAGCAUAUGGGUGGACGCGUAGGCAAUGAUAUAGCGUGUCGAGAUGCUGUGGUCGAUUCCUGUUGACUCAUGUUCAAAUAGCUGAUGCGAGGAGACAUCACCUUGAGGAUGGAAUUUUUGACCAGUCUGGCCGAGGAUACAUGGCCGACACGGUACAAGUCGCCCUUAGAACAAAAGUACCUACACAUUCAUUAAUCAUGCUUCAGCUGGGCUUUAUUCUUGUUGAUUUCUCUCUCAACCCAGCCUAUUUCUAUUAAGAGACGGAUGCUCUUUUCCUCCAAGUCCUCCAUAGCGGCUUCAACUGCAACUUGACGUGGAAGUUGGUGGCUUCUGUCGAGAGGUGGAUGGGAUGUCCCUGCCAUGGCAUCCUCGAGGAUGACCUGACGAGGAAGCUGGUGACUCUUCUCGGUUGGUGGCCGCCUGGAGCAGUUGGCAUCCAUGUGAUCCAAGAUCUUCUGGAUAUGAGCAGGGAUAUGAUCUUUGAGUUCUUCAUGAUGAGUCUCGAUCAAAUCUCUAUCCACCGACGUCAGCGGUUCGUCGAAGUGCAUAAUCUCGAUGGCUCAUUCCAGGCUAGGGCUAAGGCAUCUCAGCUGAAAGGUAGCAAACAACCACCUGUCGUCAGAUUAGUUGAAAUGUCAAACCGAGGAACAGAGGGAGAUUUCGUACCUGAUUAACGGAGAAGGAAGAAGAAGACAUCUCGGCGCCUGUUCUAAGAGUAUGGAAAUCAGACUACUCGAGGAAAGGAGGCUAGGCGAGGUAUGGAUGCCCUUAGAAGCGAUACGUUGAUAUCAUACUUAUAGAAAGAAAAGAUGAAGGGUUGGUAAAACGCAUCCCAUCGGAGUAAAAGACUAUUAAAUGAAAAGCUGCAACAAAGGACGGUCCAAGUUUGAAUUCAUACGUCAACGGCAAAAGAACAUUAAAUGUUUGAGCAGAGCAUUCAGUAUUUUUACAAUUCACCCAAGGAGGGCAUUAAUGGCCGCAAUCGCUCGCUGCCGAACCUGAUCGGCCAAAUCUAAAGUUCUUUGGUCAUCGUCGGUCGAUCCAGGGACUUCUGGCAUGUGACGAUGGAGUUUGAUUGCUUCAUGGGUCAGGUUCUGCCUCUCCUACUUUAGAUCGGCGAUGACAGAUGGGAGGUCUUGGAGUUUCUUCUCUUUGGCGGCUAUGGCCUUGGUCACCUGCUCCAUCUCCUUGGCAAGCUCUGCCCUUCGCUGUUUGAGGCGGUCUAUGGUGCUGACGAUAUCCGGGCAAGAGAUUUCAAGGAAACUGAUUCUUUGGUGUACUUCUUGAGCUCGGUGCUUAUAUGAGUCCUCCUCUUCAUGUGCUUUUGCUAAUUUGGCACGACCGGCCAUGUGUCGUAAAGCUCUGAACACUGGAAUCCGCAUUGACUCGAUAUAUGCUACGGGUGUCAGAGCUUCUGCCUCUUCUAGAACUAAGCCUCUGAUUUCGCUGAAAAGCUCCCAAAUCGGCGAGGCAUCUUCUACCAAUCGGCCGAUGUCAUCUUGGAGGAGGAUCCGUAUGCUCUGCAGCUUGGUGCGGACUUCAUCAGGGAUUGAACUCAGAGCAACUUGGCACGAGGCAACCUCUUCAUCAUCAGAAAGUGCAACCGCAAAGGAAAAGAGACUAUUGUUGGGAUUAUCCUGCUCCUAAGAAAGAAUAAGUAAUAGAGAGACAGAUUAGCCGACGGUAAUAGAAAAUCGGCCGAUUUGGGUGUUUAAGUUUCUUACCUCUUUACAGCGGAUUUCUUCUGCUUGUGCCGGUGGGAGUGCUACUCUCAUCUCGGGAAUUGGCACGACUGGCUCAUCGGAGGAAGAAGAUUCAACAAUUAUCGGUGCCGUACUCGGGCCAGCUUCCUGCAAAGGUACAGGAGACGGAUCUCUAUAAGUAUGAGGCAAGUGAUUAAGUCUAAUGAUAGAAAAUGGCUGCUAUACCUCUGCGAGUUGUCCGGCCGAUGUUUGCUGAAAGGGCACAAUCGACGUACCCAUGGUAGCCUGCAUCAGAAAUCGGUUAGAUUUUGAUUAAGGAUUAAGAAAUUUGAUUUAAACAGAUAUUCUCUACCUCAGUGGGGGGAUUGUUGGCGUCCCGGUCUCUGCUCGGAAUGUGGCCGAUUGCUGCGGAGAUUGUACUGGGGCGAUUUGCGCAGCCUAACAGAAAGAAGAAAUUAAUACCGACAGAAUACUUAGAAGAAUGCGAGGUGUACGAAGUUACCUGGACAGCUUCUAGCAAUAAUGAUGCAGCAGCUGCUCUAGCUUCUGUAGCGGCCUAGAGGUGGACUUCUUCGAUAAUCGGUGGAGUCGGUGCAGCUAAGGAUUCAGUCAAUGCCACCGCCGAUUGAUCAACCGAAGAGGUUAUCUUCAGUUUUUGUUUUGAUCGGCCGGUGGUGAUGUCCUUGAUGGUUGGGGCCUGAAAGCCGAUAAGUGGGAAUGAUGUAUAUGGGUAGCGAUUUUCUAUUGGCCUACCGCUUCGGCUGUGCGUUGGAGGAAGUUGACUUCCAGACUGUAAAAGGAAAUAAAAGUUAGUGAUAAAUUCAUAGCAUAAAAGGAGUAGCAUUGAAAUUGACUGGGAAAAGGGUAGUACCGCUGCAUUUGGGUCGAUGUUGUCAGGAUCUAGGUCAUUGCAAUAUGUUGCGCGGGAUACACAGAAGAGAUGCUGCUUCCAUUCUCCCCACCAUAAUUUAAAUUGCUGGACAGCAAAUGGAGCUACCACCCAGUUGUUUAGAUCAAUGGUACUGGAGUCUGGCACUAAACUGCACAGCCGAUUAUAAUCAAGACCCUUGGUGAGCUCAUCCCGGAACUUUGCGCGGCCGGCAAAGUAAACCUGAAUCAGCAACUGACCGAGGCCGAACUGCCGUGCUGCAGCCGACGGAUUGUAAAACUCAUAAGUUGGGGAAUCCUUCCCGGAAAAGAAGUUCGCCGGUAAGAUCCCUAGUUUGAUCAAGACAUUUGUGAGCUCAUUGUCGAAGGAGCUGGUUGUCGAGUCAAAGCAGAAGGGAAGCUCGAAAAGUGGCUAAGCUCUCUGGUAUGGGUACCAACUUGUAGUUUCUUCACUAAAGCCGUUGUAGAAGCAUCCGAAAUACUCGACUGUCUGGGUGGGGAUAAGCUGGCUGCCAGGGAAAGCUGAUGCUGCUUCACCAAAAGAAGUGCAUCGUCGUCGUACUGUUGGGUUUUCCUCUGACUCGAUGUUUGGAAAUGUUUUGGUCUCUAUUUGUUGUCGGAAAACCUUACUCAUGUAUAGGUUGAGCCAGAGAGUAAUAAACCACUAAGGGCCACCAGGAUUACCAAUCGGCUCUCCAGUUGACAGUUUGACAGCGAUUUGAUGCAUCAUGUGGUAGGUGUUUUCCAAGAGGGAUAGUGGAUCCUCUUGCCAGGGCUUCGGCCAAAGCUUGUGUAUUAGAAGAAGGGCCGACUGCUUUGCCGCAAAAGAAGUGCUUCUAUAACCACAUUGUUAAAAUGGUUGUAUAUUCUCUCUCUCCAAUUGUCCCGGUCUUCAUGUUUUUAUUGAUACAUCCCUUCCACCCGCGGAUUCCUUUCGUCUCCAACCGAUGGGUCAGUUUGAUCAGAGAAUCAAAAGGUGUAUCCGGGGAGGAAAUGUCGAGGCCGGUCAGCAUUAGAACAUCUACCAAAGUCGGGGUCAUGGAUCCAUGUCCAAAACCAAACGCGUUAAGCGCGUCGGACCAAAAAUAAGAAGCCGCCAUCACCAGAGGUUCAUUCUUCUCUAUCUGGGAUAAGGACAGGUUUAUGCAUUGGCUGAUUUUCAGUUUGUCCCAUAGAACUAUUUUGGAGUUGGCCAUUCUUUGAUACCAUUCUUUCCAGCCAACAGUUUCGUUUGGCCAAGAUCUAAAUGCGCCUGUCCACUGGUUCAAAUCCAUGGGCGAUUGCUUAAAAGGGAUCCUAUGGGUUUCUAGGUUGAUCAGAUCAGUUGGGUCUGGAUUCCCCAUAGGGCCUAGGCCGAUAAGGCCAGGUGCAUCAGAAAAGCGGAUGGUGAUUUGCUGUCUGACUGCCUAAGAAAGAUAAAAAGGAAGAACGAAGAAUAGAUCUAAAAGGUGCAUGAGCAGUAAAAAGUAAAGGGUAAAGUUUUGGGUGUUUACCUCCGGAAUGAAGCUCAUUAUUGCCGAUGGAGUUGCCGAUGGAGCCGCCAUUGAGGAAAAUGAAGCAGGAUGAAGACGAGAGAAAGAUCGCCGGAGAGAUACGACCGGAGGCAAAGAGGCGCUGGGAUGUGAUGGAAGAUGAUUCGCCGGGGAAAAGAGAGUUACUGAGCUCGUGGAGAAGAAGCGGCGGAGAAUGCUGGUAUUUAAAGAUGGUCCGAGAGAAGGGGUAAAGGCGGGGUUUUUACCGCGCCGUCUACAUGAAUUUCGGAGGAGUUGUUGUCUCAGGCGCCCAGUUCGAAAAGAUUGCAAUCAUCAGGUAGAAGACUGCAGAACAGAAAGGGGUUUUUGCCGCGCUUGUUUCGGAGAGAAAGUUGAAAAAGAAUUUCGAAGUAAAAGUUAUGUUUUACUCCGAAACUGGGGGGCAUGUGUUGACGCCAGAUUUUGACAUGUAUUUUGAGUUAGGGUCAGGGAAGGAAAAGAUUGGCCGAUGCGGCGGUUUAAAAGCUACAGCUGGAAAUCGACCGAUUGGUGCUACAGUAUUUCGACCGAUUGGCGAACGGAGUUGAUGAAGGUUGGCCGAUUGGAAGGUUGGGGCAGCUGGGCAAAUAUGGGCUUAAGGUGGGCUAGAGAAGAAGAUAGAAAGAGAUUGGCUCGUGAGAGUAUGAUAACCAACUCCGAUACGAGUUGUGUUUGUAAAUAUUUGUUAUCGUUUAAAAUUAGAGAUAGAUCCUAGUUCGUUAGGAAAUCACUUGUAACAGGCUAUAAAUAGCCGUCCAUAGAGUUUUGUAAAAGACACAUCAAUCAAUACAAGCAAUCUACUUUUUCCUCGUACUUUAUUUUCAAGUCGGCGACUUCGCCAAAAUACCUUUUUCUUUCACGAGUUCGUACGGAUUGGCAGGGCUGCAUCGACGCAAUCUCCGGCCGAUUCUAUAAGUUUCGGUUAUCAAAUAAUAUCUAAGCUUUAACUUCGGGCGCAUCGUUGUUGUUUCGUUUAGAUUUAUUCAUCAGUUAUCGAUAUCAACUAGAAUCGUAGGUUCUACCUAUUAUUUCAGUUUUUAUCACUAGUUAUCCAGCUUGAGAUACGAAUUGUCGGUUUUUAUUGUUUUCUUUCUUUAUUAUCAUACAACUGACUAGAUCUAUCCCAAGUGUUGUUCUCUUAGCGUUGUUUAGGUUGCUCCAGUAGCUUUUCUAUACAAUCGCUACGCGGUAUCGGCUGUUCUAUAGCUGGUUACCUCUACAGUUAAUCGGCCGAUUCGCCAACACGCUUUUGAAGACAGAUCGGAACUCCAGCCGAUCGCAACCCUUGGAAUUUAAUACUUUUUAUUUUCUUGUCAAUCAACAGGUCAGAUUGACUGGCACGCCGCACGAACCGCACCAGGGCGAUAACCCGAACAGGAGUUAAGCAGAUUCUCCCGGGUCGUGUGUCCGACGCUAAGGAUCAUCGGCCGAUUUUUAGCGCCAACAACAUUCUAUAGCAUGAAUAUUUAAUAACUUAAUUGUUUUUUCCCAUUACAGUGCUUAAGACAGGAACCUGGGAAUGAUAAUUUAUGUGGCUACUAUGUCUGUGAGCACAUGCAUAAUUUAUUGGGAUCCAAGACCAUCAAGGCCACGGAGCACGAAUUUAAAGUAUGUAAAAUAAAACUAUUAAUAGUUAUUUAUUUUCUAUAAUUAUUCAUGUAAAAUUCACAUAUAUGUAUCUAAAUUACAGAUGUGGAAUAUUCAAUUGGGACUCUUGAGGAAGGAAAGAGUAGCAGCAAUAUGUGAAGGUCUCAUUGGAUUCCUGGUGGACGAUGUGGUAAAUCCACAAGGAGACUUUCAUUACGAUGGACGAAAAUUAGACACUCCCAGCACCUCGACGGGAAGAUCAUCGUUGAUAUAUAUAUAGUUUAAUUUACUUUGUAUAUAUAUGUAAUACGUACGCUAAUUAGAUUUGUACAUAUAUAUAUAUAGUACGCUAAGAAUUGUAUAGUAUGUGUAUAAAUACUUGUUUGAUUCAUUUAAAUACUUGUUUUAUUCGUUUAAAUACUAGGUUGAUUGAUUUCAUUAUAAAAAAAGUUCUCAACUACUAAAGGUUAACUAAAGGGGUACGUGAGAUAUGCACGAAAUUAUAGGUGCCAUGCAGGCGCCUGCAUGGCGCUGUAUGCACGCACUGUAGUUCAGGUUUGUUUUACAAACCGUGACUAAAGAGGCGUCCCGGUUUGUAACACCAACUGGGACUAAAGGGGUAUGUCCACCGCCUGGCGUGGCAGCCUCAUUAGUCCCGGUUGGUUUUACAAACCGGAACUAAAGGAGGGUCUUAUAUCCCGGUUGAAGGACCCGUGAUAAAAGAUCCCCCUUUAUCUCGACGGAUUAAUCCCAGAUGCAUUUUCGAGAGAUAUACAGUCUACGAACCGGUACGUUAGCUAGUAGUGUCCGUAAGCUCCAGCUGUUGACCGCAUCUUCCUCUUCUGCUGCUGCUUUGGAUUUGUCGUGCGUUGGAUGAUGUGCGUGUUCUUGCUGUCCUGGUGCAGGUGCAGAAGCGGCAAUGGCGUCGGUGACCUAGGCUUGGGAAGGCCCAUCGUUGCAGGAAGGUGGGUUGCCUUCCUCGCCUUGAUCUGGUGGCGUGGAUGUUAAUUGACUGCAUCUGAUACUCUUCUUUGUGCCUGCAGGGAGCUUCUUGGAUUGGGUCAGUGGGAUCUCAGGGUGAGUUUGCCCGACAACUGACUUUUCCAUGUGCUUGUGUGCUAGCUGUUGUGUCUUUCAUCAGUAGGAAAACAGAGUUAUUACAUCUUGUGCUUUUUCUUGUGCCUGCAGCAAUCUUCGUCGGUUUGAGCAGCAAGUUCUCAGGGUAAGUUUGUCCCUUUUCUGGUGUUUUUCUGGUGAACCUAUUAUGUUGCCUUGCUUGCUCUGUGGAACAUGGGUGCCUUAUUUGCCCUUUGGCAUAGUGUUUCUUAUCUCAAGAGUUGGUUGUCUAGGUUUCCUGUGUGAUUAGCAUCUGAGUUGCUUCUGUGCUUGGACAGACACCAUGGUUAUUGCCUUUUAGUCUAUCUGCAGGGGGCCUGUUUGCUGUGUGAUGUGGUGUUGAUGUUCCUGCUUUGCUCUGCAUAGGGUAAAAGUUUCAUCUUUCAUUACAAGAUCUGUGAUAUGGCAUUGCUAGAUCUGCUUAUCAUGCUUUGAAAAUGGAAAUAAUAUAUGUAUGUUUAUGAAGAAAAUUUGCUCCCACUACCAGAUACAUUCUUAUCAACCCAUGCUUGCUUUGUUCCCGGUUCUUUCUAUCUAAUGUGUGGUAAUGAACUUCUUAGCAUUGGAUGCACAAAUAAUAGAUGGUUAAAGAUGGGGGCAGGGGACCAGGAUCAGCACAGUGCACCUUUCUAAGUAGCAAAAAUUUGCUUUGUCAUAUAUGUGUGCAUGCCAAAAAAAAAAUCUGAUGGGUGAAGCAGGGACAUAUAUGGACUGGCUGCAGAAAGUUCAUGUUAGAGAUUGCUUUGAGAUGUAAUUUAGCAUAGCAAGAUGCAAUCGUUUUCCUUAAGAUAAUACUUUGAUAAAUGAAGCUUUUAUUAUCUUGUUGUCUCUUUGUAGCCGAAUGUUGUCCAGCUUCCUGCAUGGUUAAAAAAUAGUAUGGUAAUUUCUAACUGAUGCAUCUGGGACCUCAGUGUUCACAUUCCCUUUUCGUUAACUGUGAUUUAGGCCUUUAGAGCUGUUGCAUUAUAUAAGUAGGUAACAAAGCAAGAAUGAUUGAUAAUCUAGAGGCUAAAGCAUGGUCGCUUGUUAGUAGUAAUCUACAGGCCAGAAGAUGCUCAAGAUUUUAAGUUCUGACAUGGAUAGAAUGCAUGAUGAACUGCUAAAGCUUAGCGACAUGGACAGGAGUUGUGUAUGUGAUGCAUAAGUGUUUAAGAGGGUGUGCUUUUUACUUCUUCUGCUGCUGCUGAUGCCUGGAAGACAGCUUGACAAAAGAACUGAUUUGCACUAAUUAGAACUCAGGUUUGUUGCCUCUGAGCUAAGUGCUAUUUUUGAGGGAAGCUUCGGAUGGUUGUGAAAGCUUCUAAUCAUCCUUCAAUGUUUAGGCCUUUCGAUUUUAUAGCAUCUAGCCUUAUUGCAAAUCUGCCUACUAUCCUAGAUGAAUUGGGCAGUCUAGAUGUAAAUAAUGAGUUAUACUGCUUGCCUUUUUCUAUUGUCAUAAAAUUGCCUUUUCUGGUUGGCAGCCGCGUGGAAAAUGAAAACAAAGAGCAUUAAGUCAUAAUCUCAUUGAUUUUUUUAUUUCUAAUUGUUGUGUAAGUUUGCUUAAACAGUGAUAUUUUGGGAAUUGAUGGUGACUUUAGUUGGCUGAGCCUUCAGAAAAUGAGAUGCAUAUUUUUUUUCAUUGUGCAUGAUAGUGAAGUUUUGUUUUGUGUACAAACUAAUUCCUCAUUUUCCUGUUUCAGGAAGAAUGCAGGUUACAGAACAGAAUAGAAGUUCAGCAUGAUAGUUCAAACAGAGAGCAUCAGGUACUUGUUUUGGUUGCUUUUGACAGCAAACUGUUCUUAUGCGGUCCAUCUUGUGGUUUUUGUGAAUCCAGUGAGUGUGUUCCCGAUGUGGAGGUCUGUGCUGCUGCCAGAGAUCAACGAGAGGGCGCUGGCGAUGGAGAUCCCAUUCAUGUUGCUAACUGUGGAUGAGCGAAUGUUUGGUGCAGCUCAACAGCUAGAAUACUUCUGAUCAGGACUCGGAACUCAAGUAAAGAGGACACGGGCUUAUAUAAGAAGUUAGUUUGUGAAUGUUUCCUAAGGUGCCCCCAAGGCUAAAUUAAACUAACAUUGUUUACAAGAAACUAAUUUAAUUGUGUUUUAAUCUUAACUGAUAUCAAAAUUGUAAGAACAUUGAUAUUUGGUUUUUUUUGUUAUAUAUCAAGAUUAUGGUUGUUGGCAUCUUUUUAAUGUGCAUCCAAGCACUGCUCAAAUAUUCGUAUAGUUAUGAUCUUGUAUUUGAUUGUUGAAACGGUAGGGCACUUAUCGCCCGCCGAAUGUUCUAGUUGCAUUUGAUACCCAACCGAUAGAGGUAGCGACCGAUGGCAAGCUAGCAAAAAUAUUGGCCGGUCUCGAUUUCUUUUUUUCCUUCAGGCUUCAUGCCAUAUGACGUUGGCACCAGACAAAUAGAACACUGAUCACUGAUGCAUUGUGAAACGAAUUUAUGAUUAUGGAGUGCACUCGUGAUUGAUGAAUGAUGCAUAAACGGUUAUUGUAUGACUUGCAGCAACGGUUACAUGUUUGAAAGCUAGAUCAGUAACAAAGACUACCAUAUAUAUACUCCCAUGCUUUGGAGCCAUCCAAAUGUUGCAUGGGUAGUGUUAAGAGUAACUUGUGUUCCUCAUGCAAGGAUAUACACACUGAAAUAUUGGAGGAAAUCAAAAUAUCAUGUUGAGCAUUGGCUUGUAUAGCCGUGUGCCGGUAGCUCGUCGAAGCAUGCAUAUAGCCAGUUUCUUCCAUGCUUCAACAUGUUCAAAUCUUUCUUAUAAGCUUAGAAACUAGGACUAGAGCAACCAAAUAGCUCGUGCUCUCUUUUCGAAACUAGCCUACUUGUUGACUUUGUCUAAUAGCGAUGCUUCUCCAUGCCUGACGGAAUGGCGCUUGAUGGAAUCGGACUAUCUGGUUCCAUAUUCUUCCGUGCUUCCACCUAUUCAAAUCCUUAACCUUAGUAGCUGGAACUAGACCAAGAAAACAGUUCAUGUUCUCCGUUUGAUGGCCUUCACGUUGACUUUGUCUAACAGAGCUCUUCUCGGCAUUUGUCAGAAUGAACUCUCUGAUUUCCUACAUACAACCUGAGUUUCUAUUCACAAUGUUUCUAGCUAUGCGAAUCAUCUCUGCUGUUUAAAAUAAAAUAGUUUGAAUCUUUGUAACCAUGCGUGACUACCUCUGCUGUUUGUGGUGAUGGUGACUAUACUUACCCUGACAUCGAACACAAAUCAAUUUUUACACAUGUGCAUGUCUAAUUUAUGGCACCGUUGACUAUUACUAAUUGGAGGCUCCUUUUGAAGCCUCCAGAUGAAGCCACAUAGAAUUCCUAGGUGGACACUCUAGAAAAAGAGAGAAAUCCUAGAAAUUCUCACAAAAAAGCAAAACAUCCGACCAUCAAUCGACAUAUUCAAAUCAUCAUAACCAUUGGAUCUAUUAUGUUUUCUAAAAAAUUACCCACCUAUGCCAUUACGAAAAUAGCCUAAAGUAACCCCAUAAAUCUAUAUAUAAAUUACCCACCUCUGCCAUUAUAUAAAAUAAACUAAAGUAACCCCUUAAUCUUCAUCAAAAUUACCCACUUAUGCCAUUAUAAACAAUAUUUAAAAUAACUCCCUAAUUUGCAACUGAAUUGCCUACCACUAUUACUUUAAAAAACUUAAAGUAACCCCUAAAAUUUGCAUCUAUAUUACCCACACAUACUAUUAUUAAAAAUAACAUGAGGUAACCCUACGUUUGAAUCAAAUAACCUUAAUUAAAAAUAUACAACAAUAUAUGAUUCUAAAUCGUCUAUAUCUUACACUAUUGGUAUACGAUAUAAUAAUUAAGGUCUAUACGCAUGAUGGGUGAUGUGUGUCACCAUUUAUAAUGAUAUAAAGUUAUGGGAAUAUACAUUUCUACGCUAAAAUUAUAUUUAGCAUUAUGGAUAGUUCUAUUAAAUUUAUGAGCACUCAAACUUAGGGUUCACUAAACAAAUUCAAGCCCAUACAUGCGGUCCAAAGUGGAAAGUUAAAGAAUAUAAAUGUGAAUGAAAAUAUUAUAGAGUAAUUACUAACUGAAAUCUAUCACAAUUGGAUGAAGAUAUUAAGUAUAAUAUCUACAUAAAUAUUAUGUUCGAAUAUUUAACAAACGAGAGGUAGCUUAUGGUAAUAGUUUUGUAGCAAUGUAGUCUCAUUUUUUUCUAUUGGAGACUCCGCAUUAGUUCCCAUGAGACAAGCAAGAAAAAAGAGAGAUUCUCAUAAAAAUUAAAAACAUCAAACACCAAUCCUGUAAACUCUAAUAAUCAUAGCCAUUGAUUUAUUAUAUUUUCUAAGAAGUUAUCCACCACUGUCAUUGUGGAUAUAUUCAAAAAUGACCUCUAAACCUAUAUCUAAAUUACCGAGCUCAGCUAUUAUAAAACAUAAUCUAAAGUAACCCCGUAAUCUUUAUCCAAUUUACUAAUACACAUCAUUAUAAAGCAUAACUUAAAAUGUCAUUCUAAAAUUUUAUCUAUGUUACUCACGUAUGUCGUUAUUAAAAAUAAUCUAAAGUAAAUACCUAAAUCUUAAUCUAAUUAUCUUCAUGUGCAUCAUAUAGAAAUGUCAAAAAGUAAACUAAUAUAUAAUUCUAAAUUACCUAUUUAUGUCAUUGUUAAUAUAAAAAUACUACAUUAAGGUAUAUACACAUGAUGAGUGCCAUCAUUAGACCAUGUAUACAUGUAUGUGCGGAAUCGAUGAAAAAUAUUGAUUUGUAUGCUAAACAUAAUGUAUAGAGGAUUGGAGGUGCGAUACAAAAUGGAAAAAGUAUGAAUAUGAAUGAAAACGUGCAUAGAAUAAUUAUUAAUUAAAAAUCAAUCACAACUAGACAAAGAUAGAUACAUAUCUAUAUAAGUAUUAUGUUAAAGUAUUGGAAAAAUAAGAGAGUAGUAGGUAAACAAUUUGAUUAUUAGCUAAGAGUUUAAUUUCUAAAUAAUUUUCAAAUCCAAUAGCAUAUAAAAACAUUAGCCCGUGCGGGAGCACGGGUUGAUGCACUAGUCUUACUAUUACUAAUUGGAGGCUCCUUUUAAAGCCUCCAGGUGAAGCGACCUAGGAUUCCUAGGUGGACACUCUAGAAAAAGAGAGAAACCCUAUAAAUUCUCACAAAAAAGCAAAACAUCCGACCAUCAAUCGACAGAUUCAAAUCAUCAUAGCCAUUGAAUCUAUUAUAUUUUUAAAAAAAUUACCCACCUAUGUCAUUAUGAAAAUAGUGUAAAGUAACCCCCUAAAUAUAUAUAUAAAUUACCCACCUCUACCAUUAUAUAAAAUAAACUAAAGUAACCUCUUACUCUUCAUCAAAAUUACCCACUUAUGCCAUUAUAAACAAUAUUUAAAAUAACCCCCUAAUUUGCAACUGAAUUGCCUACCACUAUUACUUAAAGUAACCCCUUAAAUUUGCAUCUAUAUUACCCACACAUGCCAUUAUUAAAAAUAACAUGAGGUAACCCUACAUUUUAAUCAAAUAACCUUAAGUAAAAAUAUAUAGUAAUAUAUUAUUCUAAAUCGUCUAUAUCUUACACUAUUGGUAUACGAUAUAAUAAUUAAGGUCUUUACGUAUGAUGUGUAUCACCAUUUAUAAGGAUAUAAAGUGAUGAGAAUAGAAAUUUCUAUGCUAAAAUUGUAUCUCAAAAUUAAGGUUCAUUAAACAAAUUCAAGCACAUACCUGCGAUGCAAAGUGGAAAGCUAAAGAUUAUAAAUGUGGAUGAAAGUAUUAUAGAGUAAUUACUAACUAAAAUCUAUCACAAUUGGAUGAAGAUAUUAAGUAUUUAUGUAAAUAAGUAUUGUGUUUGAAUAUUUAACAAACGAGAGGUAGCUUAUGGUAAUAGUUUUGUAGCAAUGUAGUUUUAUUUUUUUCCAUUGGAGACUCCGCAUUAGUUCCCACGAGACAAGCUAGAAAAAAGAGAAAAAUUCUCAUAAGAAUUAAAAAAUAUCAAACACCAAUCCUGUAAACUCUAAUAAUCAUAGCCAUUGAUCUAUUAUAUUUUCUAAAAAGUUACCCACCACUGUCAUUGUGAAAAUAUUCAAAAAUGGGGUCUAAACCUAUAUCGAAAUUAUCGAGCUCAGCUAUUGUAAAAAAUAAUCUAAAGUAACCCCAUAAUAUUCAUCCAAUUUACUGAUACACAUCAUUAUAAAGCAUAACUUAAAAUGUCAUUCUAAAAUUUUAUCUAUGUUACCCACGAAUGUCGUUAUUAAAAAUAACCUAAAGUGAACACCUAAAUCUUAAUCUAAUUAUCUUCAUGUGCAUCAUACAGAAAUGUAAAAAAGUAAACUAAUAUAUGAUUCUAAAUUACCUAUUUAUGUCAUUGUUAAUAUAAAAAUACUAAGUUAAAGUAUAUACACACGAUGAGUGCCACCAUUUAGACCAUUUAUACAAGUAUGUGAGGAAUCUAUGAAAAAUAUUGAUUUGUAUGCUAAACAUAAUGUAUGGAGGAUUGGAGGUGUGAUACAAAAUGGAAAAAGUAUGAAUAUGGAUGAAAAAGUGCAUAGAGUAAUUAUUAAUUAAAAAUCAAUGACAACUGGACAAAGAUAGGUACAUACCUGUAUAAGUAUUAUCUUGAAAUAUUAAAAAAUAAGAGAGUAGUAAUUAAAUAAUUUUGAUUAUUAGCUAGGAGUUUAAUUUCUAAAUAAUUUUUAAAUACAAUAACUUUUAAAAAUAUCAGCCCGUGCGGGAGCAUGGGUUGAUGGACUAGUUUUACUAGUUAUUUGGAAAUAUUCGGGUUGUUGCUUGUCCGGCCAUAAUUAUUUUAACCGAACAGUUAAAAAAUGGACUUGACUAGUCGGAGAGCACUUUCUUUUUCGGUAACGUGAGAUCCCGACCCAUCCCACAUGGAAGAUCCCGUGUAGAUCCCACCAUAACUGUACCCAGCCUUAUCUUCAUGCGACCUCUUCCUUCGCUGCACCGCCACUCACAUCUUCGUCUCCUCCUAAUCCAAUCCGACCCACCACCCCAAUCCACCCUGCCGCCCUCAUCUCCACCUCGCUGACCACCCCUCCUCUCCCCUUCCUUCUCCUCCUCCUCCUCCCCUCUAUCCAGAUUUCACCAUCAUCCCAUCCGCCAGUCUACUUCAUCUUCUUCCUCUCCGGUGCACAACCCCGCCACCGCCAGCCUCCACCACCACCCGCAGUGGGCGGCAACCUCGCCGCCGUGCCAUCCGCCCGCCUCCUGCCGCGCCCCCCUUCCCCGCCCUUCCUAACCACUACACUACCUUGCCCCCACCACUGACACCGGCCACUGGACAUCCUCCACCACCCGGCCGGCGGCGCCAUUGCCGCCCGCACCCCGCACUCCUCCGUGGGGCUGGCCGCCUCCUCGACCAUCCCUCUAGGUCCACCGGUGAUGGGACCCUCCCCACAACUCGAAACCUAGGUAACUUAGAAACCAUAACACCGCCGGCCUCCACCGCCACCCGAGGCUGGCGGUGAUCUGCUGCCGGUCGCCCUGCCCGCAGACCGCGCCACCUUCAAUUUGCCUAUUGUUACUUUCCUGGAUAUCAUGUUACUUGCUCUGUUGAGGCCAUGAAUGUAACAAAAGGGGUCUCCGGUUAGUCUUAAAUGGAGAGGCCUCCCCUGUAGCUUUUGCGUAAAAAUUUAUCUUACUGGCAGCAAGAGUGAUGCUUUGUUCCACUAAGAAGCUAAGAACAGAGAGAUACUCUGCCGUUCAUCCUUUCCGUUGGUGCCGAACUGGCACCUGCUGCGGUAUUAGGCGGGACCACAAGAGAAGCGCCGCCCAAGGUCGAAGCUGUCGCCGGAUUCAUCGCCAACACCGCGCGGCACGGCAGCCCGAGCAUUCGUCGUAGUUGUGCAGCCCCUCCAUGUACUCUUGGCCUCCUCCGCCGUGCAUGAAGCACCAGCACGUCAGUUGCUACUCACUGGAGGAUGGCGGCAGGAGGUGAGGAGAGUGCGGGCGGUCUCCGGCGUGGAUGAGCUUGAGGGUGGAUGGUCCGGCUGGUUCAGAAGGUAGGGAGGACGCCGGCGUCAGGCAGUGGCCGGGCAGCGGAAGACCGGCGCGACAAAGAGACCGCGGGGGCGCAUAGAAAGGGGUGUAUUUGUAAACAUGUGGUGGGCGUUUUGCAAAAUAUAGGGUCGCAACUAUUAAUCACGAUCCAAAUCAGGAGGUUUUGUGCAUAAAUUUGGAUCGCGAUCCAAACUAAGGGGAUAUUCGUAAAAUACUGGAUCGCAGCUGUUGGUGAUUCACCCCGGCGACACAGCAGCUGCCAUGGAUCCCUGCCGCCGUGGCCGUGUGUCCUGGGCAUGCAUAAUGCAUAAUGCAUGUAUAAGAAUGUUAGGUUUAAGUGAUGGAUCCUACCAACGAGUGGAGAAUGUUAGGUUUAGUCCCACACCAAAAAUUGAUGAUGGAGGAGCACAACAUAUAGGUGGGCGCAACCCUUACCUAUUAAGCUAGUCUUUUUGUUGAGUUAGACCCAAGGUCUUGUUGUUGUGGGCUCUGUGGACUUGGGCCCGGUGGGGCGCGAAUCGUGGGUAUAUCGGAUCGCAAGGGUACAAGUUGUUGACCUAAAAUCUGGACCUCAGACUUCUGCGUUGAACAAUACGGAGGACCUAGAAGAUCUGCUUAACUCCAGUGCAAGUUCAAAAUCAGCUCGCAGGGUGCGAGGCAUGCCAAUCAAUUUAACCUACAAUUGAUAAGGGGAAACGCGAAAUUCUUGAGCCAAUAAGCAGCAAAGCCUUCAAGCUCAUAAACAUAUGUUACUUUGAAUAAACAACAUAAAAAUUAGGUUUUUAAUAUAAUCAUAUGGUGUAAAUAAACAGAAAUAUUAAUGGCAUGUGCCAUCGGCUAUACGAGUCGACGGGCUAAGAUAGAUGCAAUGUAAAACAUCAGCCAUUAAAGAUGACUUGUCCACCAUGCUCAUAGCAAUUAAACUAACAUAUCUUAUUAAUAUCAUGAACCAAGGAUCAGACUUAACCGAGACAGCAUGGCUGAGAGGGCAUUAACUUCAAUCUAUUAAUAUAAAGCCUAGAACAUAGCAACAAGGGUAACUUGCCUACUGCAUACAAGCCGAUUAAACUAACAGAUCUAAUUAAUGUCAUGAGCCAAUAGAUCAUACAUAAUCGAGAUAGUAUGGUUGAGAGUACAUUAACUUUGACCCACUAGCUUAAAAGGUUAUAGCAUACAGUAGCAAGGUCUCGUAUGCACAGCCAUCAGCUCGAUGAUGUCAUCAUGCUACUAAGAGAUAUGGAUAAGAUCCAACCGAGGCAUCGGCUCUCAAAAAGUUGCUUUCUAAUGUUAAGGAUCCGAGGACUAGCGAUACGAGGGGCAGGGGUAAAGACCUAUCGGACCUAGCAUAUGUAAAGCAAAUAAAGCAUGCAAGGUCUAACUAGCCAAUACGAUCAGAUAACUGGUGAAUGCUUAAACAAGAUCAAGAAGCCAAUGAAGAUAUAGAUCUAAGCCGUUCAAUAACUGUGAGCGCUUGAUAACACUAAGAGAUCCAUACGAUGCAACAUAAUAAAACCAAACAACUCGAUAACUAUGAGCAACGUUGAAGACAAAUAGAAUAUUGGACAAAGCCUGGAAAGUUCUAUUUGCAAUCUAAACAACUCGAUAACUACCCUUAUGCUAAGAGAUCAAAAUAUUGGACGAGACCUAGAAAGUUCUGAUACACAUAACUUAAUGACCAGGUGACGGUACUUACAAGCUCGCUUGAGAUCGAAGCCGAUGCAGUCCUACACGCAAAAAGAAACUCGUCGGUUUCUACUCUACUCCUACUCCUAGGGUUUGACAGCGAUGAUUAUUCGUUACAAAACUCAUGGGUUUAUAUUUAUACCUUGGAGCAAGCCAGAAAUCCUAGUCGAUUGCGAUAUGAACUACUACAGCUAUUCUAAAAUUACUAAAGAUAAAUCUCCACGCUUUCCUUUAUUUGGUGGAGUCGAUUUUGGCUCGGCUCGGAUCCUCCAUGGUCCUCUAUCGGCUUCCAUAAUCCCGUGGCUAGCCUUGGUCAACGUAGGAUCGUCAAUCAGAUUCUCUUGCAAGCUCAACGGCUAUUAGAAUCUUAUCCUCAUCGGUUGACUCUGGUCAAAAACCGGUGUCAAUACAAGUGGUAAAGAACAAACUAUAACAAGAAAAGAAAACCAAUUUAAUGAUAUUGACCAAUUCUGACAUGGAAAUCCCAUGCAUGGGAGGCAAAAAUCUGCGUAACUCCAGAUAUCGGCGUGCGGCAUGCAAAAAAUCAGCAUCUCCUUGGUGGUUUUCAGUUAACUGCAGUUGCCCACAAAACUCGCCCUCUUGACUAGGACAUGCAGAUAAAUAAGAUUUUGGUUCAAAUUUUUAGACCAAAGUUCACAUGGUUUACAAUCAAUCAACAAAGAUAAUAUCUUUCAUAUUUUGCCACUGAAAGAUGAAAUUCCUUUCAUUGACAUUGCUUCCAUGGCACGAAGAGGCCAAGAUGCUCCCCGUACGGACGUCGUCUUCCGAAAGUUGCCACGUACACAUGCUCAGUUCAUGCACCACCACCGAUUAAUCAUAACCGGCGGCUGGCCGGUCAUUGUCCAUCAAUAGUGGCGACGUCCGUACACCUAGCAAACUCCAAUCAUCGAAACUCCAAUCACGCACGUCCGUACGACGACGGCCUGCAGCAUCCGCUGGUUUCGAGGAAGUGGCGGGUCAGCUACUGGCUGCUGCCCCCUCGCUACACGCACGUGCUUUCCAUGCAAUGCAAGGCCGGCAAGGUGCUUAGAGAUGACGAUGCAGCGUGACGAUGGCGACACUAUGCAUCUCCCCUUGACACUAAGGGGCCCUGGGCUUUGACUCUGACUAAUUUACCGUUUUGUGCUGAAACCCUACCAAACGGUGAAUAGCUUCUCGGUAGAAGUUCCUGACAUUUUUGCACUAGGAUAAGAGAGCUGAAAAAGUGGAACUACUACUUGCACCAAGACAAAUGGAAUACCCUGGCUGAAAUUGCUACAAAAAUUGACAUUCCUACCUUCUCUGGUGGUGGCGUGAGACUUGCCGGUGAGGAGAUGGUGCAGCCGCCCGGCGCGAAUCGGUAGCAGGCGCAGGCAUGUAGCCACAGCUGGGUGGCGCAGACCGGUAGCGAGGUGGACCGGUGACAGCGUGAACUUAGCUCAACGGCAAGGCGCAUCGCGCGGUGUGGUCUGGCGUGAGAGACGAUAGAGAAGAUGAGAGAAUGAGCUAUUGAGAGAGCGGUGGACUCCGGAAAGGGAAAUAAGAAAGGAAGAAAAAAAUAGGAAAAGGAAAUAAAAGGAGGAAAAUAAACAGAAAUAAAAUAGAAAAGAAGAAAGAAGGAAAAAAAACAUAAGGGUAUUAUGGACACUUCAAACACUUUAUCCAGUCAAAAACGAGGAAAAACCGUUUUAUCAAAUAUUAUUUUCUAUAAGACAAGCCACAGUUAGAAAAAUCGCUUCAUCGUAAAAGUCAGAGCCCGAGCUAUUUUGAUGGGAGCAGAGCUAUGCCAAAUGGGCCUAAGUCAUGGGAGAGUAUAUAGUUACGAGCAAAUCAGCAAAAUCCAGUUAUUGAGCUGCUUAAUUUUAAUUUAGUACAUAACAUUAAAUUUUGGUAAUGAGGCUAGCUAAAAGUUGUUAAUUCCUAGCUAGGGGGUGUGCCUAAAAGAGAUGAUGCAAGUUUGAUGGCGCAAAGGCCGCAAACUCGCAUUAUCUACUAAGGAAUGCAUCGCAGACGUGGCACAAUAGUUCAUGCUAUUAUCGCCUGCAACCUCUCUAUGAUUGGAGGACCCUUCGAACAGUUAGGUACCUCAUUUAACUCGAAGUAAGUUUUCAGAUUCAGAUGAAUACGUCUAACUGUCGUACCUGCACAUGUUUCACAUGAGUUCGUUGCAUGCAUGUGCUACACACACCUGGAUUCAUCCAUCAAAUGGUUGGUACCACAGGGCCCCUACCGUUGCUAGGGACGACGUGUGUCUGGACGUUUUCAUUCCGAAGGACAAACACCGUACCAUUUCCACAGGGAAACCCCGUGGCUGUGAAUUUCAUCGUCGUCCUUUCGAACCCCACACGUUCAUAUUGUCGGAUUUCAGAUCUAGAAAGGGGCCCGCGUCAAAACACUCUACACAGAGCUUGGACUUAAUUAGUAAAUUUCCAAAUAAAAUGCUAUGCAACACGAUGGGUAUAAUUAACGAAUACUUUAAUGAGCGAAAUCCCCUGAAUAACACAUUCAUAUAAAUGAAAAUUUUUCCCACUAUAACUCCUUCUAAAAAUCACAAAUUACUCUAGCUCUAAAGCAUAAAACUUAGUAUACUAACCAUGUAUCAUGGAAGAAUGAAGUUUCUAACCUUUAAAACACUUGAAUGAGUGAAAUCCCCAAGAAAUGGUCACAAAUCUGGCAAAACCUUUCCCUAUGGCGCCAUGGAUAGGGUGAAGCUCGAGCUGGAGGAUCUGGCUCAGGCUGGAAAAAGAAGGAGGGUAUUUGUAGGAAGGCAAUUAGUACUAGUUGGGGUCACCAACCAGUACUAAAGGGCUGCCCUCUAGUACCAGUUGAUGCCUCGAACCGGUACUAGAGGGGGGUGCCCAACUAGUACCGGUUGCUUCCACCAACCGGUACAAGAGGGUUCCCCCUUUAGUACCAGUUGUUGCCAUCAACCGGUACUAGAGGGUGGAUGGCGCAUUAGUACCGGUUGGUGGCAGCAACCGGUACUAAUGUGCACCCUUUAGAUCCGGUUGUUGCCCCCAACCGGUACUAAAGAGGUCCUUGGGGCGCGCUCCAAGCAGUAUCCUUUGGAACCGGUACUAAUGUUAGCAUCAGUACUGGUUUCAAACCUAACCGGUACAAAGGUUCGGGAUGAGAUGUCAUAUUUCUAGUAGUGCAACAAAAUCCAGCUGCUUAAUUUUAAUUUAGUACAUAGCAUUAAAUUUUGGUAUUGAACAUUAAAUUUUGGUAAUGAGGCUAGCUAAUAAGUUGUUAAUUCCUAGCUAGGGGGUGAGUUUGAUGGCGCAAAGGCCGCAAACUCGCAUUAUCUACUAAUAAGGAAUGCAUCGCAGAUGUGACACCCGGCCCAAUUUGGUUGGCCCAGUGUGGCCCAUUAGCGCAGGUGCGCAUAUUUAGUACCACAUUGCUAGUUUAGCAAGGGUGGAGGUAACUUAUAAGCCUUCGUCAAUCAGCCAUAGCACUUUCGGGUUAACCCUUUUACACGAAGCGAGGACGAAAGUGUAAGCAGGGUGCUAUGUGUACGCGUGCCCGCCCCUCGGAAGGGUUGGGCGGUGCGGCUUUGGAGGACGGGGUGUUACAAAUGGUAUCAGAGCUGACCCUCGCGGUUGCGCGUACGGGUCAGUGUGCGGGCAUAUGGCGCAUGGCGCGUGUGGGCCUGAGAUGGGACACACAACAUGGCAUAUUGCGCCGGCACUGGACGUACGGUCGUGCGCUUAAAGGGAACGUUCCUGGACAUUUUCCCAUGCGUGGGUGAGUUGACCGACGAGGACGUCGGGUUCUUUGAGGGGGGGUGAAUGUGACACCCGGCCCAAUUUGGUUGGCCCAGUGUGGCCCAUUAGCGCAGGUGCGCAUGUUUAGUACCACAUUGCUAGUUUAGCAAGGGUGGAGGCAACUUAUAAGCCUUCGUCAAUCAGCCAUAGCACCUUCGGGUUAACCCUUUUACACGAAGCGAGGACGAAAGUGUAAGCAGGGUGCUAUGUGUACGCGUGCCCACCCCUCGGAAGGGUUGGGCGGUGCGGUUUUGGAGGACGGGGUGUUACAGCAGACGUGGCACAAUAGUUCAUGCUAUUAUCGCCUGCAACCUCUCUAUGAUUGGAGGACCCUUCGAACAGUUAGGUACCUCGUUUAACUCGAAGUAAGUUUUCAGAUUCAGAUGAAUACGUCUAACUGUCGUACCUGCACAUGUUUCACAUGAGUUCGUUGCAUGCAUGUGCUACACACACCUGGAUUCAUCCAUCAAAUGGUUGGUACCACAGGGCCCCUACCGUUGCAAGGGACGACGUGUGUCUGGACGUUUUCAUUCCAAAGGACAAACACCGUGGCUGUGAAUUUCAUCGUCGUCCUUUCGAACCCCACACGUUCAUAUUGUCGGAUUUCAGAUCUAGAAAGGGGCCCGCGUCAAAACACUCUACACAGAGCAUGGACUUAAUUAGUAAAUUUCCAAAUAAAAUGCUAUGCAACACGAUGGGUAUAAUUAACGAAUAGUUAAAUUGUUGACGUAAGAGAAAAAAAAGAAAAUUGCAAAAAAGGAAGGAACUAACUCAUGACAUCCUGUAAAACAAACCCACUCUGUUUUUCGCGGCCAAUAUCCUGAGAGGGAAUGCACGGUUCUCCUCUUCAUGAUGUGGGUCACUAGCUUAUCAUCCACGUGAUCCACACGGUCAUGCAAUGUAUCCACUGCACAGAGAGCUAAAAAUGAAUCGAUUUGAAUGCAAUCUUGCCAACGAUCGAUCGAUUUCCCAAAUGAUGCAAUGCAUGAUGAUAAUGACAGCUGCCGCAGGCUGGUCCAUGCCAACAGUGACGCCAAAAUAGAUGACUGUGGUCCUGAUGGCGCGCGAGAAAGCAAGUAGACGGUCUCUCAACCUUCACUAAUUAUGGAUGCAACCGUCAUCUUUCGUUAGGUCAUUCUUAAUUGGAAGUUUCAUAAGAGUUUCAUGACAUUAAAUUCAAUCCCACAUCAGUAAAAUUGCUGAUUUGACAAGGUAAUUAAUAGAGAGAGUUUCAUCAGAUGAGAGAGGAGUUUCAUCCCCCAUGACACUCAUCUGGCACAUUUACAUAGUUCUCUAGAUAACUGUGCAAUGAAACUGCGCACUAAGACUUAUCUUAAUGACCACAUAAGGCACGCCAAGUUUGUGAUAAUGAAGCCCUAUUAAUUGACAAAUAACACUCUCUUUCCUUGAAGCCACAUAGUUACCUUUUCCAUUAAAAACAUAAUGCGAGUUACAUACAAAUACAAUGAAACGCACUGAUAAACAUAUCUAUUUCCCUAUACAGAUAGAUCCAGCAAAUGUCCAUCUUCCUCCAGUAGGUAUGUACCAAAAUUAAAAUUUCCCUUUUGGUACCUCCAACGAGGUAUUAUUUUAACAAAGGAUAAUUUAGCUAAGAGAACUUGGUCUGGAAAUCAAAAGUGUUACUUUUGAGACUGUAAUGAAACAAUUAAAUACCUCUUUUUUAUUGUCAACAUGCCAAGAUAAUUUGGAGAGUUGUUAAUAUAGCUACUAGGUUAAACAUGUCAAAAUCAAUAGCGCAUAUGCUUGGAAAUUGGUUAACAGGUAUAAGAAAGAAUGAUAGAAGUUUGAUUUUUGUUGGGGUUGCAGCUCUCAUGUGAGCAAUUUGGUGUAUGCAAAAUGAUGUGUUUUUUGAGAAAAAAUCAUUCACCUCUUUUAUGCAGGCUGUUUUCUAGAAGCGUAUUGGCUGCGAUUUUGGUCUUGGUUACAGCGGCAAAAGCACACAAGGGAGACCAUUUGUUUAGCAAGCAAGGCGUUGGAAGUCGUCGCCUUGGAUAUCUUUGCCAAAAAUGGAUGGAGAAGAAAUAAUAGACUUUGCUUUUGAUUUCUUCCUGUCAUGCGUACUUUUUUUCUAUUAUAUGUGAUCAGCUUGUGAACUGAAAAUUUUGUAAAAACAUGACUGUGUGUGAUUGCAGAGGCCGGAGAUAAUUCAUUUUUCUAAAAAAGGUAUGUACCAACCCGUCCAUGUAGGAUAUAUUUGGUUGGAUGCACCAAAUAAUACAUGCAUGAAUAAUCCUGGAUGGAUGGUUCAACCUAUUUCCUUGUACCAUAUGGUUUACUCCUCUUAGUAGAAAAUUGUAUUGAGUUAGAUGGUUUCAUCCUAAAUGAGUUGGUACAAUUCACCUAUCCAAAGAAUCUCGAACUAACUGGAACCAUUUCAUACAUGAAGAAAAUGCUACAUACAACCAAACACACAUGAUAUCAGUAACAAUGAACCCCUGAUUGGAACAAACGGGUUAAUUAAUUAGCUGGGAAACAUAUACACUGUGGUAAAUUUAACAUCAGUCCAUGACUAAUAGUCUAGAACCAUUAACCAUCUGAAGUCUCACGACAAAUAUGUUGGGCUACAACUAACAGGUGAAAAUUUAACAAUAGAAAUGUUCUUAGAUUCUAAACUAGAUCUACUUAGCAUGUGCAAUUUAAGAAAUUUAACUAGGCAAAAAUAUGGAUAAUUACUAGUGACCAUCGUCCACAUCAUUUGCAACCAUAAUCUGUAACAUUGAUUGUUUCUUCGCCGGAUUCAAUUCUAUUCCAAGAUGGCGGCCAGUAGGAGCUCGAUCGAAGGCAUGAAACGAGAAGCACAGGAAAAACAUGCGGGAAAGGAGAGAGAAUUCCAUGCAUCACUAUCCUGCGUGUAACUGGACCAUGCUGCAAGCUGCGACAAACCUUAUCAUUUACACCACAUACAAACUCUUCCGACCAUCUCAGGUCGUCUAUAUAUUGCUGGCCAGAGCCUGCGGAUCCAAAGCACAAGAUCUAAGCAACACAUUUGUAGAAGCGAUAAUCUCUCCUUAGAUUCUCUUCUUCUUGAUCUCAUACAAUCUCGCCAUGGCUAGCAACGGCAAGACCGCCAACGCUGCCACCGCGACGACGGUGCCGCAGCCACCGCCGUCAAAGGGGAAGCUCGUCACGAUUCUGAGCAUCGACGGCGGCGGCAUCCGUGGUCUCAUCCCGGCGACCAUCAUCGCCUGCCUCGAGGCCAAGCUCCAGGUACUAAGCUAGCUGGUGUAGAAACCCAAGAAGCACAUACAUUGACUACUUGCACAUCAUCAGCACAUUCCAGUAUUUUAAUUCGUUCGAAAUCCGUCCUGCACAUGAUCAAUAUAGUACUGAAAGACUGGUUGCACGUGAUGUGAACAAUUUCAGAAGCUGGACGGCCCGGACGCUCGGAUCGCCGACUACUUCGACGUGAUCGCCGGGACGAGCACCGGCGCCCUGCUCACGACGAUGCUGGCGGCGCCGGACGAGAACAAGCGGCCGCUGUUCGCUGCCAAGGACCUCAACACCUUCUACCUCGAGCAGGGGUGGAACCAGGAUGAACACCCUGGGAGGCUAAAUAGUAGAGAUUAAGAGCUAGAGCUAGAAAUUAAUAGUAAUUUGAGGUUUUAUCUACAGUAUUUUAGAGGUAAAAUCGGGCUCUCGGGGGGCUGCAGCCUCCCCAGCCCCCCGUGGAUCCGCCCCUGACCUCGAGAACGGCCCCAAGAUCUUCCCACAGAGAAAGUAAGCAGCCAUUUUUAAGUUCUCAAUCCAGUACGAAUAUGAAGCGAUUUAAUCCAUUCUAAGAGAUUUGGGAACUGAAAUAAUCGAUGCUGAUUCUGCAGGGCAGGAUGGCUGUCUACGGCGAUGAACCUGGUGUCCACGAUGAGGGGUCCCAAGUACGACGGCGUGUUCCUUCACGACAAGAUCAAGAAGCUCACCCACGACGUUAGGAUCGCGGACACGGUCACCAACGUCAUCGUGCCGGCGUUCGACGUCAAGUACCUGCAGCCGGUCAUCUUCAGCACCUACGAGGCCAAGCACGACCCCCUCAAUAACGCUCACCUCGCCGACAUCUGCAUCAGCACGUCGGCGGCGCCGACCUACUUCCCGGCGCACUUCUUCAAGACCGAGGCUCCCAACGGGCAACGGCAAGUCCCGGGAGUUCCACCUCGUCGACGGCGGCGUGGCGGCCAACAACCCCACCAUGGUGGCCAUGUCCAUGCUCACCAAGGAGGUGCUCCGUCGCAAUUCGGACUUCCAUUUGAGCAGGCACUCCGCCGAUUACCGGGACUACCUCAUCAUCUUUAUCGGGACCGGGUCGGCGAAGCAGGCGGAGAAGUAUACCGCACAUCAGUGUGCUAAGUGGGGUCUCUUCCAGUGGCUCUACCAUGGCGGCUUCAACCCGAUAAUCGACAUCUUCUCCCAUGCCAGCUCUGACAUGGUCGACAUCCAUGCGGCCGUGCUCUUUGAGGCCCUCCACUCUGAGAUGAGUUACCUUCGCAUCCAGGUAUAUUUACUGAUAAAGACUCAAGUUGUUCUUGAUAUCUCCACAGAGUUUGUCGUCGACAAUGAUAUGCAUUAUAUAUAUUUGUGUAGGAUGACUCGUUGAAGGGGAACGAGUCGUCAGUGGACGUCGCGACCAAGGAGAACAUGGAGACCCUGAUAGGGAUCGGCAAGGAGCUGCUCAAGAAACCGGUGGCGAGAGUGAACAUCGACACAGGGAUCUACGAGACCGUUGCUGGUGAGGGCACAAACGAAGAAGCGCUAGCACGCUUCGCCGAGAUACUCUCUGAAGAGCGCACGCUACGCAAGAACAAUCUCAACGCGUAAUACCUCUCAGUAACAGCUUGGUUUUUGCCAAGAAAUUGAGCCCAAGGAUCAGCAGCGGUACAGCAUUUUGGAUUGGCCGCAGUCUGGGUACAGCAUUUUGUGGCAACCUGGGGUACGGUGGUCAUCACAUCACUGGGGGAGAUUGGGCCUCCAAAUCUUUCGAUCUCGUUGUUGCCCGGUUUCAAUUCUUGUGGACAAUGUUGAUAUAAUCUGUAUCUGUGUUGGAUAAUAUUUGGGUUUAGCUUAAUUGUAUGAACAUUGAACAAAAGGGUUGGCGAUCACUUUUACAAGCAAUAUAGUUGGUGCAUUAAGUGCGUACGUUAUAGAGGCAUCAUAUACACGGCGACACAGAUUGUCCCAGGCCAAGCUGGUCUCAUUUCUAGAGUUCAUUUUACAACACCCCUAUUAGAAUAUACUCAUUCAUUUCCAAAUUGCAGGUCAUUUUACUUAUCACGUUGAUCUGACGGGAUUCAAAAAUGGCUCACAUAGAAUUCACUUGUCAGGUUGAUCUGGCUCCACUUCUGAGAGACAAGGCAGAGGUUGGGGCCCCCCUCUAUGUGCGGACGUCUUCAGCGUACAGUUCGUGUCCGGCCACGCAUGAUGGGCCGGGGUCGCUGUUAAUCCGUGACCAACUGCACGUUUUGGAACUUCCCAAAAAAAAAAUCGAAAAAGAGAAGACCCAACUUCACCUACCUGCACAUGUAUCACGUACUACUACGUACAAGGCCCAGCACAUGUCUGUUUUUCUUUCCAGCGACUACGACACUUACCGUACCCAAUAUGAAUCCCCAGUUUUCAUAACAGAUGGACUUUCAAAAUACUCAUUUUCGAAAGUCUAGCUAGUUGCUUUCAAAAUAUUCAUUUUAUCUGGUCAAUAAAUACGAACAUGAAGGCCUUUUCACACAACUACGUACUAAUCUGUUUUGAGGAAAAAAAAACUAAGAUUGUACUUUUAUGAGAUGGAGGGAGUACAUGUUAUGCUUUAUGGAGGCAAAAAAAAAAGAAAUCCAAUUCUGCUGUAGAAGAUCGAUCGAUGGAGUUGAUCUUUCAACACGGAUAUAUUACAGGAGUAAGGAGUUGGGGGACCUAUACGUUUUUAUAUACUCGUACGUACACUAGCUACUAUAUCGGCAGGUAUUAUAAAGUAGAUCGAGCAUGGAUACAUUAUCCCUACCAUUACACUAGUGUAUCUGAUUUUGUUCCGUUCGGACUUACCAAACUAGCACUGAAAUGCAGACGGAUCACGAAUGAUUCCAACUCCAUGCUUAGUUUAACCAUCCGCAUGACUCGCAACCACCUUAUAAAACAAGAGCACUCCCUUGUCCAACUUACAAUCAACAAGGCUAGCUGUUCCGAAAUGUCCCCAAAGAGAAAGCCCCAUUGUCCGGCCUCUUCAUGACGCAGCUCCCUAGUUUAAUCAUCCAUGUGAUCCCCAACACCAUGAAUGAAUGGUAUAUGCCUGCUUCAUUGUUGGAGUAGCUUGGAUGUUGAAAUCGUCUAUUCAUGCAUGAUCACAUCAAGAGAUGCCUUGUUGGCGAUGAUAAAGUGUAGCUAGAGUUUGAUUUACUAAAUGGGUAUGCACGAAAUUUUUUUCUAUGGUUAAAUUGGACAAUGUAGCCUCAGUAAUAUCCACAUGUGUAACCACAAACAUGAUGAGUCUAAAGUUCACGGAUAUGCGUGAAUUUCCCUAUUAUAUUAUAGGCAUGAUGCAGUAUAUGCACACAGACUGGCCACCGCGUAUGGACUAUUUGUCGCCUCACGACAACUUUGCCUGAUUAUAAAACUAAAAGAUUCAAAUUUUGUACAGAUCCUUCUUAGAGAGUGUGGAUGGGUGCCGGAUUUGCAGGAUUAUCUUUUAAGAUGAGACAAAGAAGUUGGAGUAUUUUCCGCUCCAGGCUGUUCAUCUAUCAAGUGGCACCAUUAUAUUGGUGUGCAGGUCAACUAGUCGAUACACUAUAUAUGAUAGAAAAUCUCUCUUGAUCUGCUGGAGAAUUUGUUGCCAGAGGCCAUCCUCCUUGAUUAGUUUGUACAAAUACUAUUUGCUUAAAAAAGCCAAUCUCCUUGUUCUUUUGGCGUGCAAAGAAUAUUCCAUUUUGUUAGUCUAUAUUUCUGCUUAAGUCUUGACCUAAUGUAAUCUCUUAAGAACUUUUCUAGGUAUUUCAGAAAAGGAGAUCAUGUACAUAGACAAGUUAGUUAGAACUAAGUUUAUAAGUGUUAGCCUCCCUGCAGCAUAGGAGCUUUUCCAAGUACUCAGCUUUUUUCAAAUAUUUCUUCUACCUCUAGACAAUCUUUAUUAAGUAAUCAUGUACGGUGCAUUGGAAUAUAACCAGAUAGCGAAAUGGAGCCUUCCCAACUGCACAUGCAUCCAAAAAUGUCCAUGUAUUCUUGUUGUGCCCCUUCUGCCUCCCUAUUGCAGAAUAACUCACUCUUAUCUGAGUUUAUCUUGAGGUCAGAUAGUUGCUUGAAAGUUGUAAGUACGAAGUUCAUAUUCUUAGCUUCUUUGAGAUUAUAUUCCAUAAAAAGAACUGUGUAUCGUCUGCAUGUUGAAGAAUAGGUAGGCCGUUAUUGACUAAAUGGGGGAUUAUGCUAGAGAUUUGACCAUCUUUUUUCGCCCUUGCUAUCAUCUUGCUAUCAAUGUUGCGAACAUUAUCCGCACGGGGAGAGUUCAAAUUUUACACCAUCAUCAUUGACUUAAUCCCCCAUGCGAAAACAAUCAAUGUCGUUCAUGGGUACGCACAAAGUUUUCUAUUACAAUUAAGCAUGGAUAUGCAGAGAUGAUCACAUCGAACCACCAUGUAUGGACUAUUUGUCGCAUGGCGACAAAUUUGACCAAAUAAAACUAAAAAAUUCAAAUUUUGUACAUAUAUCUUAGAUAUUAUAGAUGGGCACCAGAUUUACAUGAUUAUUUUUUUUUAAGGUCAGAGGCAGGCAACCGCUACUACUAUACCAAAGAAGCUAUUUUCCGCUCCAGGGGUUCAUCUGCCGUGUGACACAGUUACAGCAGUGCGGUAAAACUAUUCGACAUACUAUAUGAUACAAAAUCUCUUUUGAUCUGUGUUUGUUAAAUCAUUGCCUGACUUAAAAAGUUGCUUAUUAGUGUAAUUGUGUGUUUGUGGAAGUUGCAUUACAAGAUAUCUCUAAACAUUUCCUAAAAGUAUUAACCGCGAGUUAACCCUUAUGCGCAAGUGUACGUGUGCGUAUCUCUUUUCAUAUAUAUGUAAAAAAGAUAGGUAGAGGCUUCCCCUGCUGAUUUCCUUAAAAAAAAAACCUUGUGCCCAAGCAUCAUGCAUGGGUGCUGGGUUGAUCAUAUUUUAUUUGAGCUGCUGACACUCAUCCGCGUGAUAAGCAAUCAGAUAUCUUAAUAUGAUGGCCAACUUCUUUUCCCAUCCUUUCAACUCGUUUCGAGGACCAAGGCCCAGUAGGAACCCAAACAAAGGCGUGAAAACGUGAAGCACAAAAAAAGUGUUUGAGGAAAAAGAGAGAGAUUCCGUCACUAGCCCGCCUCUGAGUUCUGACUGUGACUGGGAUGGCAGUCCAUGCUUCUUCUUCUUCUUUUGAAACGAAAUGGCAGGCCAUGCUGCAAGCUAAACCAAGACCAAACCCUUAUCACUCAUUCAUACUACUCUUGACCGUCUCAGGUUUUAUAUAAAGCUCGCCAGAGCCUGCGGAUUCGGAGCACAAGAUCCAAGGAGCAGGGCAUCUAGAGAAGUACAGAAGUGAUCUCUUCCUGGAUUCUCUUAUACCUGAUCUGCCAUGGACAGCAACGGCGGCACGGCCACCGCUGCCGACAAGACGGUGCCACAGCCGCCACCGUCGACGGGGAAACUCAUCACCGUUCUGAGCAUCGACGGCGGCGGGAUCCGCGGCCUCAUCCCGGCGACCAUCAUCGCCUUCCUUGAGGCCAAGCUGCAGGCACGUGUUCAAAACCACCAUUUAAAUUGAGCACAUAGUACUGCUCCAACGAUGUCUUGUGCUCACCGCUCAUCCUGCGCUUGAUUUUAAUUAAUAUAGUCAAUCUUUGGUUUCAUUCAUGUGAUACAAUUUUUUUAUUUUUUUUGUUCGGCAGGAGCUGGACGGCCUGGACGCUCGGAUCGCGGACUACUUCGACGUGAUCGCCGGGACGAGCACCGGCGCCCUGCUCACGUCGAUGCUGGCGGCGCCGGACAAGAACAACCGGCCACUCUUCACCGCCAAGGAUCUCAACACCUUCUACCUCAAGAACGGCCCCAACAUCUUCCCGGAGAAGAAGUACGUCCUUGGUUAAUUCGACGAACACACACAUACCUGCACCUACCACAAGAGAAAUUCACACGUGCGUACAAAUUGUGUGGCGGCGCAGGGCCGGGUUCCUGACGCCGGCGGCGAAGCUCCUUGGCGCGGUGAGGGGCCCCAAGUACGACGGCGUGUUCCUGCACGACAAGAUCAAGAGCCUCACCCACGACGUGAGGGUCGCGGACACGGUCACCAACGUCAUCGUGCCGGCGUUCGACGUCAAGUACCUGCAGCCGGUCAUCUUCAGCACCUACGAGGCCAAGCACGACCCCCUCAAGAACGCUCACCUCGCCGACAUCUGCAUCAGCACGUCAGCGGCGCCGACCUACUUCCCGGCGCACUUCUUCACCACCAGCGACGGCAAAGGUGGCUCCCGGGAGUACCACCUCGUCAACGGCGGCGUCGCGGCCAACAACCCCACCAUGGCCGCCAUGUCCAUGCUCACCAAGGAGGUGCUCCGUCACAACCCGGACUUCAACCCCGGGAAGCCCUCCGAUUACAGGCACUACCUCAUCAUCUCCAUCGGCACCGGGUCGGCGAAGCAGGAGGAGAAGUACACCGCGCCGCAGUGCGCUAAGUGGGGUCUCCUCCAGUGGCUCUACAAUGGCGGAUUCACCCCGAUCAUCGACAUCUUCUCCCAUGCGAGCUCCGACAUGGUCGACAUUCACGCCGCCGUGCUCUUUGAGGCCCUUCACUGUGAGAAGAACUACCUUCGCAUCCAGGUGUUACAUUCUUAACUACAGUAUACGUGUUUUUUUUUAACCUUAAGUUGUUAUUUUCACAGCACAAAACAUUGAACGAUGUGUAAACACAUGUGGAUGUAGGAUGACUCGUUGACGGGGGACACGUCAUCAGUUGACAUCACAACCAAGGAGAACAUGGAGGCUCUGAUCAGGAUCGGCCAUGAGCUGCUCAAGAAGCCUGUGUCAAGAGUGAACAUCGACACGGGGAUGUACGAGCCUGUUAACGGUGAAGGAACGAAUGAAGAGGCGCUAGCACGCUUCGCCAAGAUACUCUCCGACGAACGCAGGCUACGGCAGAGCAAACUCAGCUCCAACUAGCUCUUGUUCAUAGCUACCUUGGUGCUUGCCAACAAGUUCAGCACAUGGAGCUGGAGUUGCAAAGUGGAUGAGAAUGGGAUGGGCGGUAGGUGAAGUGCUGAUCAUAAGUUCUUUUUAGUAAUUAAUCAAGAAACGUACAUGAAAGCAAUAAACUUGUAAGCAUAGGGUGAUGUAAGUGCUAACGUCUGUAUUACACAAACAGAUUAGUUCUCUAUGUGCUGACAGAUGUUAUAUAUGAAACUUGAUCCUAACAUACAUAUAGGUAGCACUUGGUUUUGUUUUAAAAUCAGGUGUGACAACUGCAUCACCGUUGGAUGCGGCCUUGUAAUAAUAACACCAUGGCACAACUCCUCGUGGGGUAGAAGCUGUUUUUUGUUCAGUUGGCUAUUCCAAAAUGAUAUUGUUUCAACGAACCAACUAAUGUUACUAGAAUGCAGGCCUUGUAGUAAUAACUAAUCUCACUCGUUGAGCACGAUUAGCUUAGUUUAUUAUUACUCCGAUGCGGACACCUCAACCACUCCGAUAUUGUCCGAUGCGUCUUCAUUUUUUUAGGGAGGUACAAAUCCACCGGCGAGCAAAUCCAGAGCCAGGUAACGCCGAGCAACCAUACACCGUGCCUACCAUGCCGGGCGAAGCUAUUCACGUCGUGAUGCUCCCCUGGCUCGCCUUCGGCCAUAUCAGCCCGUUCGCGCAGCUGGCGCGGAAGCUGUUCUCCGUCGAGGGCGGGCACAACAUCCGCGUGACGUUCCUGACGGCCGACGGGAACCUGCCGCGCGUGCAGGCCAUGCUGGCGCCGGCCGCCGGCGCGGCGGCCGUCGUGCCGCUACACCUGCCCCACGUGCCGGGGCUACCCGAGGGAGCCGCCAGCACGGCCGAGCUCACGGCCGACGGCGCCGAGCUCCUCAAGGUCGCCUUCGACGGCACUCGGGACCAGGUGUCGGCGCUGUUGUCCGAGCUCCGCCCGGACGCCGCGCUGAUCGACUUCGCCACCCCGUGGGUCACCGACAUCGCCGCGCCUCUUGGCAUCAAGGUGCUCUACUUCAGCGUGUUCUCAGCCGUCGCCUCUACCUACACCGUCGUCCCGGCGCGCCGCCUCCAUGGGGCGGCCCCGUCGGCCGGUGACUUCACGGCCGCCCCUUCCGGUUUUCCCAAGGGCUCCGCGCUAGCCACCAUUCCGCCCUACCAGGCCGCCGACUUAACCUACCUGUUCACCAGCUUCUACGGCCAGCCCUGCGUCUACGACCGUGUGACCGCCGGCAUCAAGGCCUGCGAUGCCAUCGUGAUAAAGACCUGCGUGGAGAUGGAGGGCCCCUACAUAAGUUACCUCUCCGCCCAGUUCGGCAGGCCAGUGCUUCUCGCCGGACCCGUCGUGCCGGAGCCGCCGCAGGGCCAUCUCGAUGAGCGGUGGGCCAGCUGGCUCUCCUCGUUCCCGGAGAACUCCGUCGUCUUCGCCUCGUUCGGCAGCGAGACGUUCCUACCGACAGCGGCGGCGACAGAGCUUCUCCUCGGCCUCGAGGCCACCAACCGGCCGUUCCUCGCCGUGCUCAACUUCCCCAAGGGAGCCGACACGGAGGCGGAGCUCCGGGCACGGAUCCCGCCGGGGUUCGAGGAGAGGGUGAAGGGGAGAGGCGCGGUGCACACGGGGUGGGUGCAGCAGCAGCACAUCCUGCAGCACCAGAGCGUCGGGUGCUACUUGAACCACGCCGGGUUCAGCUCCGCCGUGGAGGGGCUCGUAGCCGGUUGCCGGCUGGUGCUGCUGCCGAUGAAGGGCGACCAGUACCUCAACGCGGCGCUGCUCGCGCGAGAGUUGCGGGUUGGGGUGGAGGUGGCGCGCCGCGACGAGGACGGCUGGUUCGGAGGCCAGGACGUGAGCGAUGCGGUUGCCUUGGCGAUGGCGGAGGGAGGGGAUAGGGACGGGAGGAAGUGGAGGGAGUUCUUGACGGACGACGCCGUUCAGAAGAGGUUCGCCGGGGACUUCGUCCGGCAGCUCAAAGAGCUCGUCAGGGCAGCCUGACUCUAGCUCGUAUGUGCAAAAAUAGUUUGCAUCCUCUGUUGCACGGAGUACGGUUACCUGAAUGUAUGCUGUGUAAUUCGCUUCUUUUACAGCACGUGGCUACAAGCACUAGAAGUCUGCAACCAAAAACUCCUUAUUAAAAUACAAGCCUGUUCUGAUGACCCAAAUUUACUCUCACCUAAUUGUUCUUAGCUUUGGUUGAAUCAUCAUAGUUCUUCGUUGUUUAGGCCAGUGUGUAUACAUAUGUAAAGGGAUUUAUCUGAUGUUACGAUACUUAUCACCACGUACGAACUUGCAACCAAUACUCUUCCAAUUAUAUUUUUUUAACAAAAAUAAUAACUGGGUCAUCAAUAAAGGAGACCAUCUAAUGGCAUCCGCAGAUUCGUCGAGGAGAGAGAGCGCGCCACGGAAGUAAUUAAAAACGUUGAAUCGAUUUAUACACCUAAUGUUUUUUUUGAUGAAAUAGGAGGGGAAAGACCCCUGGUUAUAUAUUAUAUAUAAAAAAAAGAACAAACAAAAGGUGCUAAACGGUUCAAGAAACAAAGAAAGAGAGAAAAAAGAUCAUAAAGAUUACAAUGUAUGUUCUAGCCAUUCUAUCAUCGGUUGCUUCCAAUCCUCUUUUACGCGUAGCAUAACCUGCGUAAACACAACUUUGAAUCGCGACAUGGCACUAUGAACCGAUGGAGUGAUGCCCUGAAAAAUCCAGUCAUUCCUUUCCAUCCAAAUACACCAGCUCAUGAGAAUAAUGACCUCCAUGAAGAAUUUGACUUGUAGUUGAAUUCUGAAGCUAUUUAGGAUACUAUAGGGCUCUUGUGUCAAAUCUGUAAACAGACUAAUAUUAAUCCAACAUUCUUGCGCAAAGGGACAUUCCAAGAUAAGGUGAAAUAAAGUUUCUUCUAUGUCAUGCAUGCAUAAGACACAAGAGUAAGAAGGCAACUCCAUAUGCUUCCUUCGAAGAACAUUCCGUGUACUCAAUCUGUCUUUAAGAAGUAACCAGAAAAAGAACUUGUGUUUGCUUUGGCAUUUUGAUUUCCAAAGCCACCGAAAAACUGGAUGAACAUACUGAUGUCCCUUUAGUGUCCGAUAUGCUUUGGAUGAGGAGAAGUGCUGAUUGCCCCAAAUAUAUGUCCAUCUGUCUUGCUCAUCAUUUGUGGAGAUAAGAUCCAAAUCAGCAGCCAAUUGUAGCAAUUGAUUCAUGGCCAGUGGAGUGAGGGGCAGGGUGAAGAGAUGUUGUAAAUUUGUUAGCACAUAUGCCUGCCUGACAGAUAUGUCAUCCUUUCUAGUAAAUGAGUAUAGUUGUGGAUAUUCUUGUGCAGGAAUCUUAUUGUUCCACAGGUCAUGCCAAAGUAAACAUGUUAGCCCAUUGCCCACUGUUACUGUCGCUUAACCUUUGAAUUUAUCAAUGAGUUUGACAAUGUCACGCCACCAAAAAGAACCUUUUCUUAUUCGUCCUGGUAGCCUACCAGUAGCAUAGUGGUUCUCCCAAAUCAUACACCAGUAUACACCUAAUGUUAUGGCGCAACCAAGGAGAACAUGGAGGCUCUGAUCAGGAUCGGCCAUGAGCUGCUCAAGAAGCCUGUGUCAAGAGUGAACAUCGACACGGGGAUGUACGAGCCUGUUAACGGUGAAGGAACGAAUGAAGAGGCGCUAGCACGCUUCGCCAAGAUACUCUCCGACGAACGCAGGCUACGGCAGAGCAAACUCAGCUCCAACUAGCUCUUGUUCAUAGCUACCUUGGUGCUUGCCAACAAGUUCAGCACAUGGAGCUGGAGUUGCAAAGUGGAUGAGAAUGGGAUGGGCGGUAGGUGAAGUGCUGAUCAUAAGUUAUUUUUAGUAAUUAAUCAAGAAACGUGCAUUAAAGCAAUAAACAUGUAAGCAUAGGGUGAUGUAAGUGCUAACAUCUGUAUUACACAAAACAGAUUAGUUCUCUAUGUGCUAACAAACGUUAGGUAUAAAACUUGAUUCUGGUAUACAUAUAGAUAGCACUUGGUUUUGUUUUAAAAUCAGGUGUGAUAACUACAUCACCGUUGGAUGCGGCCUUGUAAUAAUAACACCAUGGCACAACUCCUCGUGGGGUAGAAGCUGUUUUUUGUUCUGUUGGCUAUUCCAAAAUGAUAUUGUUUUCAACGAACCUACUAAUGUUACUAGAAUGCAGGCGAUUUUUAUGGGUACUUAUUAGCUACGCUUUUAUUAGAGAUUGUUGCAAAGAGAGUAUCAACCAGAGGAUUUGCUGAAAGUUUGCCGAGCUUUGGAAGUCUUGGCAAUGCAAAUUUUUAUCGAGAUUGGCCGGCUGCAUAAUAAAAUAGAAUUUUCCCUAGUUUUGUGUCAUCAUACAACAAAAUUACAACUCUAUAAUAAUUUUGAAUAUUGUAUACAUAAUCUUGUACUCCCUCUGUUCCAAAUUGUAGGUCGUUUUGGAUGUUCUAGGUGCAUAAAUAUUAUUAUGCAUAUAGAUAUAGUGUAUGUCUAAAUUUAUAAUAAUAUCUAAUAAUCGAGAAAAGUUAAAAUAACUUAUAAUUUGGAAUGAGUAAAAGAUUGUAACCUAAUUCAUUUAUUAGAAAAUGAACAUUCGCUUAAUCAUUGCCCACAUGUGUUAUUGUGGCCCAAAAUUUAUUUGCUGGAAGAAAAAAAAUCAAAUAAUGAACAGGGAGCUCAAUAACUAAUCUCACUGGUUGAGCACGAUUAGCGUAGUUUACUAUUACUCCGAUGCGGACAGCUCAACCACUCCGCAUCGCAUCUUGUCCGAUGCGUCUUCAAUUUUUUAGGAAAGGAAGGCUUGUUUGGUUUAGCCACUUUUAGUUCUUAAAUGCCACAUAGAUGGAUUAAAAUAUGAGCUAAAGGGUUUAGGUGCUGUUUGGAUCACCAGUCCAUGACAAAUUUUAGUCUCUAAAUUUUAAUCCGAACUCUAGCCCUGUUAGGUUGUUUGGAUCCGUGGGCUAAACUUUAAUCUUUCAUCACACAAUGACUGAUUUGCCCUCAUUUAUUGAUUCCAUGCACUAUGCAAACUUUAGUCCAUACUACCCUCCUUUCUUGUUUCUCUUUUUCUCUUGUCUUCUUUUUAUUUUAUACUAUAUAUGAUUUCAUAUUUUGAAACGAAAAAAGAUUAAUAAAAAUAAUUAGUGGCUUGAUAUGUAGAUUAACCAAUUAUUUCCUAUUUUCUUUUUUUUUAAGCAAAUUUUUCAUCCCUUUCCAACCUUAUCUCCUCCACCUAUCCGAUCUCCUUCUUUCUUUCCUCCCAUCGCAGGCUCCUCCCCGACCACACCGCUCCGCUAGCAGCCUCCACGCUGCGCCCCUGCGUUUGCCACCGGCCACCUCAGCCCCUGCGCUCUGGUGCCUUUGCUCCAGCGCCCACCGGCCAGCCUCUCCUCCGCGGGCUGCGACUCGCCACCUCGCCCUCUGCACUCGCUGCUGGCCGCCUCUCCCAGGGGCCGCGCGACUGGGAGGAGACGGAGGAGCUUGGGCGGGGCGAGAGGGGCGGAGAGCGGGGUCGGCCGGCGCGGACGCUGCCGCCGGGGGCAGCAAAGGAUGGCAGAGGAGGCGGAGUCCGACGGCCCCGGCGCACCGUGGAUCAGGAUGUGCGAGUUCCGGUGCGCGCGCAGCGGCUUGGGCUCGGAUCCAGCAACAGCAGCGAGGCGGAGGCGGAGGAGCAGGUGGCGGCGCCGCGGGGCUGCCAAUGCGAGGCGGAGGCGGUGGCGACGUCGAGCAAAGGAGGCGGGACCGGGCGGAGCGUGCAGGGAGAGAUAGAGAGUGCGGGGAGGAGAGAGAGGGAAGGGGGGACCGGGGGUAUGGUGCGUCCAGCACCCACCCCAAGGAGUUUUAGCCCAGUUUAGGGCCUCUUGGGGAGCAAAAUUUUUUAGCUCAGAUUUUAGCUAUUUGCUCUCUUUAGCCUACCUGUUUGGAUCCCAAGAGCUAAAAAAUGAGCUAAAAGUGCAGAACUAAAAUUUAGCCCUUAGAUUCAAAUAGGCCCUUAGUCCUCCAGUCCAAUAGGGAUGGACUAAAGUGGACUAAAAUGCAUUGGAGACACCCCUGUCCCUCAUUUAUUGCCUCCCUCCCACCUGGCCCCCUCCGUCGGCCUCCCUCCUGCUGCCCUCUCACCCAGCCCCUCCCCCCCCCCCCCCCCCCGCCACCGACCUAGCUGCUGCAGGAGGCGGCUCAACUGGCGGCAGAGGCGGCGGGCCGGGGGUGAUGCAGGGGUGGAAGAAGUAGUAGAGGAGCGGGGGCGAACGAGGGAGGCAACGCGGCACCAGCGGCGGCAAGCUAGUGCGGCGCGGAGGAGGUCGGCCGGGGAGAGGAGCUGGAUGACUGUGCGGAGGAUGUCCUCUGUGAGGACAGUGGCCGUCGCCACCUGUGGCUCUACCUGCUGAAGUUCCACCGGUGGUGGCGGAGGGGGAGAACGAGGCGGAGGGGGAACGAGGUGGCGAUGGAAGGUGGAGGAGGUCGAGGCUAGGAGGAAGGAGGAGGAAGAGGAUAAUAUCAUCUUUGUUUAUAUGCUUUAAUGAAUUUUAGUAACGACUAAAGUUUAAUCCAUAAAUAACGGAGAUCAUAUCCUCCGCUCCCGACAAUGGUGUUCGUUGACCUUGAACAUUUGGUUUUCGUUGGUGGGUGUGAUCUAUAGUUAUUAUUUAUUACCGGCAGGAGGGACCCUAAAUAUGCAUGCCUCCUCGAUCCAUCCCAUAAAAAUACCCAGCUACAGCCAGUACCCACCCACCAAACCCAGACCAUGUCGGGCAGCGGAAAUGGCAGUGGCCGCGCCGGCGUUGCCACUCACGUCGUCAUGUUCCCCUGGCUCGCCUUCGGCCACAUCAGCCCGUUCGCCCAACUGACGCGCAAGCUCAUCUCCGGCGACGAGACGCUCCGUGUAACGUUCCUGACGGCCGCCGGGAACGUGCCCCGCGUCGAGGCGAUGCUGGCGGAGGCCGCUGGCGCGGUGGCCGUCCUGCCGCUGGACCUGCCAAGCGUGCCGGGUCUGCCCCCGGUCGCUGCGAGCACGGCUGAGCUCUCGGCCGACGGCGCCGAGCUUCUUAAGGUCGCCCUCGACGGCACCCGGCCGCAGGUCGCCACGCUCCUCGCGGAGCUCCGCCCGGACGCCGUGCUGUUCGACUUCGCCGUGCCGUGGGUUUGCGACGUCGCGGCGCCCCUCGGCGUCAGGGCGCUCUACUUCAAUGUCUAUUCCGCCGCGACCCUCGCGCUCACCGUCCCUGCGCGGUGUCCCGGUGGGCAGCGCCCGUCGGCGCACGAGCUCACUGCGGCGCCCGCCGGCUUCCCGUCGGACUCGCCGCUUGUCACGCUGCCGGCGUACCAGGCAGCCAACAUGACGUACGUGUUCGAGAGCUUCUACGGCAUGCCGAGCGCGUACGACCGUUUCAUCGAAUGCUUCAAGGGCUGCUUCGGCAUCGUCAUGAAGACCUGUGCCGAGAUGGAGGGCCCCUACAUCGACUACAUCUUGGCCCAGAUCGGCAAGCCCGUGCUCCUGGCCGGACCCGUCGUGCCGGAGCCACCGGAAGGCGAGCUCGAGGAGCGGUGGGCCAGCUGGCUCUCCUCGUUCCCGGAGAACUCCGUCGUCUUCGCCUCGUUCGGCAGCGAGACGUUCCUACCGGCAGCGGCGGCGACAGAGCUUCUCCUCGGCCUCGAGGCCACCAACCGGCCGUUCCUCGCGGUGCUCAACUUCCCCAAGGGAGCCGACACGGAAGCGGAGCUCCGGGCACGGAUCCCGCCGGGGUUCGAGGAGAGGGUGAAGGGGAGAGGCGCGGUGCACACGGGGUGGGUGCAGCAGCAGCACAUCCUGCAGCACCAGAGCGUCGGGUGCUACUUGAACCACGCCGGGUUCAGCUCCGCCGUGGAGGGGCUCGUAGCCGGUUGCCGGCUGGUGCUGCUGCCGAUGAAGGGCGACCAGUACGUCAACGCGGCGCUGCUCGCGCGAGAGUUGCGGGUUGGGGUGGAGGUGGCGCGCCGCGACGAGGACGGCUGGUUCGGAGGCCAGGACGUGAGCGAUGCGGUUGCCUUGGCGAUGGCGGAGGGAGGGGAUGGGGACGGGAGGAAGUGGAGGGAGUUCUUGACGGACGACGCCGUUCAGAAGAGGUUCGCCGGGGACUUCGUCCGGCAGCUCAAGGAGCUCGUCAGGGCAGCCUGACUCUAGCUCGUAUGUGCAAAAAUAGUUUGCAUCCUCUGUUGCACGGAGUACGGUUACCUGAAUGUAUGCUGUGUAAUUCGCUUCUUAUGUUUCCUUUUCCUACUUUGUGCUUUCUAUUGAUAAACUUGUGUCACUAUCGUACUGUCUUCCUCAGUCCUUAACAGUCGACCAUCUCAAUACAGGUUCUAUCACAUCGCAGGUGGGUCCUCUGUUAUAUAUCUUUCCUCUUCUUUUACAGCACGCGGCUACAAGCACUAGAAGUCUGCAACCAAAAACUCGUUAUAAUGCAAGCCUGUUCUGAUGACCCAAAUUUACUCUCACCUGGUUGUUCUUAGCUUAGUUGAAUCAUCAUAGUUGUUCGUUGUUUAGGCCAGUGUGUGUAUAUAUAUGUAAAGGGAUUUAUCUGAUGUUACGACACUUAUCACCACGAACUUGCAGCCAAUACUCUUCCAAUUAUAUUUUUUUAACGAAAAUAAUAACUGGAUCAUCAAUAAAGGAGACCAUCUAAUGGCAUCCGCAGUAGUAAUCUGAUUCGUCGAGGAGAGAGAGAGCGCCACGAAAGUAAUUAAAAACGUUCAAUCGAUUAAUACACCUAAUGUUAUGUGAACCCCAUGAAAAUACAAACUUGCAGCCAAUACUCUUCCAAUUAUAUUUUUUUAACGAAAAUAAUAACUGGAUCAUCAAUAAAGGAGACCAUCUAAUGGCAUCCGCAGUAGUAAUCUGAUUCGUCGAGGAGAGAGAGCGCGCCACGGGAGUAAUUAAAAACAUUGAAUCGAUUCAUACACCUAAUAUUAUGUGAACCCCACGAAAAUAUAAAAAGUAGCCACCGCUCUUCCCUAUCAUCCAUCCGCCGCCUCUUCCUCCAUUCUAAUUUCCUGGGGAUGGUCAUAUGAAUUGAUCGUGAAUGGCCACUAACCAUGCAGCAUCAAUCUUUUCAAAUACGGGGAAAAAUAAAAUAAUUCCCUCAUGCGGAAAUUAUCCGCAAUAUCUUAUAUUAAAGAGCUGACCUUUUCAAGUACUUUUUCUGCACUUCAACUUUGAGUUGAUCAGGCUCUCCUUUUCUUUUAUAGAUAUAUAAUAGUUCUGAACUAAUUGUUGAAAGUUUACACUUUAGUUAAGACUUCGAAAUUGAGGUUGAAACUUGAGCACUCUUGGGAGCAUAGAUCUUGCCAGUUCCUCGCAAGCAUCUUGUCUACUGUCAAGGUCUGGAUUUGCACCAACAACCAAGCAAAGAACUUGUGUUUGGUCUCAAUGUGUGCCUUCCAAAUAGUGUCUGCAUCAACUGUGGUGUAUGUAAUUGCAAACUGUACUUCAUAAGCAGAUUUGGCAGUAUAUUGUCCAGUAGGUGUCCAUCUCCAUGUGAUCCUAUCCUCUUGGUCAUUGAAUUGGAUCUCCUGCACCAAAUCCUAUAGAGUUACGAAUUCUGCCAGUUCUUCCAUCGUUUGCAUUCUCCACAGGCCUCUUGUCCAAUUUAGUUCAGUUGUGUCUUCUCUUAGAGUUCUAUUUUUCCUCCAUGCAAGCUUGUAAAGUCUUGUACUAUAUCUCGAGGUGCUUUUCAAUUUGCCCAAGCACACUACCAGAAUGUUGCUCUAUUCCCAUUGCCCAUUGUCACUAUUGUGCUUGCUCUGAAGAGUUGUUUGUCUGUUUCAUCACAUGGAGUUUCUGAGCUGACCCAUGGUCUUUCAGGCUCCGUCCAUUGGUACCAUAGCCACCUUGACCUUAGUGCUCUACCAAAAGCAAGUUCUAGAAUUCCAAGCCCCCCCAAGCUGUUUAGGAAGCACUGUCUUCUGCCAUCUAACCAACCAGUGCCAACCAUUUGCCUGAUCAGACCCUUUUCAGAGGAAAAUUCUUCUUAUUCUGUCUAUCUUCUUAAUAGCCCAUUUGUUCUAUUUGAACACAGUGACAAAGUAUAUUGGGAUUGAAGACAUUACUGUCCUGACAAGUGUCAGCCUUCCUGCUUUGUCCAGCAACUUUCCCUUCCAAUUCUGUAAUUUUCCUACCACCUUGUCAAUGAGUGGUUGCACUUGCACUCUAGUCAAUUUCCUCAAAGUGAGUGGCAACCCUAAGUAUUUGCAUGGUAAGGUACUAAUCUGGCAGGGAAACUCUCCAUGACUGUUUGAAGUUCAAUAUGCUCACAUCUGAUUGGGUAAGCAGCAGUUUUGUUGAUGUUUAUGUGGAGGCCUGAUGCAAUACCAAAAAUUUGAAAGAUCAUGUUGACCACUUCAAUCUCCUUCCUGACUGGAUUAAGAAAAAUGGUAGCAUCAUCUGCAUACAGGCUUGCUCUGAAGGUUGAUACCCUUCCUUGAAUUGGUGACAGGAGAUGUUGUUCUUCAGCAAAAACUAAUAGCUUUUGCAAAGGCUCCAGUGCCAAUAUGAAUAGCAUAGGUGAUAGUGGAUCUUCCUGUCUCAAUCCAAUCCUGUGUUUAAAUUUGUGUGUUUGUGCACCAUUUACAAAGACUAAAGAUGUUGCUAUGUGGAGCAAAAUUGAAACCCAUUGUCUCCACCUAGAUCCAAAUCCUAUCCUCUCCAUCAUUACCAUCAAGUAAUCCCAUCUGACACUGUCAAAAGCUUUAGCAAUAUCUAGUUUCAGGAAUAUAGUUGGCCUUCCUGCUCUUUGCAUUUCUCUUAUGAAAUUUUGUGUGAAAAGGAAAUUGUCAUGUAUACUUCUCUUUUUAACGAAUGCACUUUGAUUCCUGGAGACUAGCUUAUUUAGGACCAAGGAUAGUCUUGUGGCGAGUAUCUUGGAAAUUAUCUUAGCUAUACUACUUGUGAGGUUAAUUGGCCUAAAAUCUGUCACCCUUGCUGCAUCACUUGUUUUUGGAAUGAGGUAGAUCUGUGCUGAAUUUAGGACAUUGAAGUGAUGGCCAUGUAAAGUAAAGAAGUACUAAAGAGCUAACAUACGAUCCUCUUUUAUCACUUCCCAAUAUUUUUUGAAGAAGAUGCCAAUGAACCCAUCUGGCCCAGGAGCCUCUUCAGAUUUUAGAUCCAUCACCACCACUUUUACCUCCUCUUCUGUGAAAUCCUCUUCUAGAAUCUGCAAAUUGUGUCUCUGUAUAUUUAGGAUCUCCCAAUUUUGUGUUUCAUGUCAUGGUUCCUCCCUGCCAAGGUUGUCCUGAAAAUGUCUGAAGAUGGAUUGUUCUUUAUCAGCCAGUAGGUGAACACUGCCUGUAUGUGUUUGUAGUGACUGUAUAAAUUUUUUUCUUUUCUUCCCUGUGACCCUUAGGUAGAAGAACUUGGAAGUGGCAUCACCAGCUUCAAUGUAAUUAAUCCUAGCUUGUUAUCUGAUCCUGAUUUUCUCAAAGGCAGUCAUAGCCAAAUAUCUAUUUUUCAAAUCUCUUGAGUAGCAACUCAUCUUCACUCGGACUUCUAUAUUCCUCUACCACAUCAAGGAUCUAGAUCAACUGCCUAGCUACUGUCAGUAGCAAUUUGUUAAUCCCAAUCAUUGAUUUUGCCCAAUUCCUUAAUCUCUUUGAUGUUCUUUGCAUCUUUGUGUGAAGUCUUAGGUAAGGGCUAUGCAAAGUGACAGGCUUUCCCCAUAUGUCAGCCACCUCCUGUGUGAAACCUCUGAUUUGUGUCCAGAAUGUAUCAAGCCUGAAGCCUUUGUAUGUUUAAAUGGCACUAUCAGCAGUAAUUAGCAAUGGACAGUGAUCAGAGACCAAGGAGGAUUGAGCUUGGAGUAACACAUUUGGCAACAUGCAUUCCCAAUUAACAUUGCAAAAAACUUGAUCUAUUCUUGUAUGUGUGACAUUGUUUGUCCAAGUAUAUCUUCUUCCUCUUAGAUUCAAUUCUCUCAGCUCAAGAGCCUGUACCACAGCUCUAAAUGCUCCCAUUAUCCUUUUGUUUAUAUUGAUGUUGUUUUUGUCUUCUUCUUGCAGUAUCAUGUUGAAAUCUCCCAGGAAUAACCACUUGUCAGAUAUCAUCCCUGCUAUUUGCUUGAUCUCUUCUAGGAAUUGUAGUUUGCCACUGUCCCCUUGGGUCCAUACACCACUGUCACUCACCAAGUUACUAGAAUGGUUGUUGCCUCAAGACAUGUAGUGAUAGAAUUGUUUUUGAUGAAAUAUUCUUUGAUAUUGUAGUAAUCCUCAUUUACUGCUAGUAGGAUGCCCCCUCUAGUGCCUUGUGUAGGUAAAUAAGCAUAGCUUCUUGAGAAUUUUUGGCCAAGAUAUUCAGAUUCAAGAAUGUCACUGAAUUCCUCCAUCUUGGUUUCUUGGAUGCUUAUUAUGGUGCUACAUGUAUCUUGUACAAGAUCUUUUAGUACUCUCCUUCGUGUUGUGCCAUUCAGGCCUCUCACAUUCCAGUUAAGGAGGACACAUUUUUGUUCAUUCAUUGGAAACAACUUUGCUCAAGAACACUGUAUUCUAUGAUGGCCUCCCUUUUCUGAGUGUUGUCUGCACCCUCUGUAGCUCCAUCUUGCUUUGCAGCUGAUAUUGUCAUCUGAAAGCAUAAGACCCAUCCAUCUCCUCCACCGAAACACACCUAGACCGACACACACCCACACACACCAACACACACAUUUGGAUUGCUUGAUUAGCAGGUUUCUUCCUCUAGUGCCAAAGCACUAAGGGUAUCAUCUUCUUCAGUUUGUGUGAGGCUGAAAGUUUCUCUGAAAUUAGCCACCAAUUGCUUCUUCAAUGGGUCCACAAACUGCUCCCUGAACAUCUUGUGAUCAGUUUGAUCUACCACUUUGCCUUCUUUCGGUGUUCCACACUUCUUCAUUAGCAAUGCCAUAGCAUGUUCUUCUAUAGUUAGAGUUGUCUUAGGCUCGUCUGCAAUUCUGUUACUGCGCCUGAUGGACUCAAAUUCCUUCUUGUUGUUGUUGCCUUCGGCAUUUUCUUUUCCUCUUUUCUAUUUAAUGCUCUUCUUUUGUUGCUUAGCUUCCUUUUUUUGGUGUCUUAGGUGUGGCUAGGAUCACCUCAGGGAGCUUCCUAGCAAUCAACGUAGGUUAAACUGAAAUUGAGGCAUUUGCAUUGACUGUAGCUCAUCCAGCACACUGGUUUUCAAUUUCAGGGUUUUGCUUCUGUGUUGUUAAGGUGGAUCUGCAUAGAUCAUUCUGAUCUUAUUUGUCCCCUUGUCACCUUCAUAGCCCCUGGGCCCCAUUUUGUCUAUUGCAUUGAUAGUCUGCUCAAGAUUAUUAACAUGAUCCUGUUCCUGAUCCACUGCAUCUUCUAACUCUAUUAUUGCCGAAUUUACUAUCUUUGUUGCUGCUUGCUAGUGGCUAGUCUGUUGAGGGUGUCCCUUAUCCUUGCUACUGUCUCCUUGAUCUUGCUCUGUAGCAACGUGCUGCCCUUCUUGCUCUCUUGUUUUCCCCUUUUCAAAACCAUUGCAUCCAUCCUUUUGCGUGAGCAUCAGUGCAGCCUCGUCUGCCAUUGGGUCAGCUUUGUUGUUGUUGCUGCUUCUUUCAUCAGAAUGGAACAGAAGCAGCUACUCUUGGCUGGAGCCUGUUUGACCUUCCUCGUUGGGUUGGUAGUAUCCUGAACUUCUGCUCCUGUGUGAGCACUGUUCACGGUCACGGGUACUGCCCCAUCUCUUCCAUGAAAGUGAUGGCCAUAGCCACCGCGCCUGCCUCCUUGGCUAGAACUGCCCCCAAUGAAGCCUCUCUAUUCUACCAAAUUCAAAUCAUGCAUGCUCAGCGGUGGCUGCUGCAUCGGUGGUCGACCACGGCCACCCCCACCUGCCGGCGGUGAUCUGUCCCGCCUACCUCCGAGCCUUUCUUGAACUAGGAUUCUUCGGUGAGGAACUUGAUCAUUCGAGAAGCCGUAAUACCAAACAAAAUGAUGUUUGAUAGGCCAUUCAUCCUCAUACAAAUCCUCGGGCAAUCCACUGACACCACUAUGAUAACUUCUUUCUAACGGACUAGAAGGCAAAGGUGAAUAAUCAAACACACGAUCCAGGUGGAUAAUAACCUCAUAGUUAAGCAUCUCAGCCGGCCCAGUUCUGAUAGCGGGAAGUUCAAACUCUCCCAUUUGCCAAUAGUAUUCUUCAGGGUAGGUUAGUGGUUCUGCUAUCUUCAAAGUGACAGUCUUUGCUAAGCCGUCAGGGUUAAAGGUCCACACCCAAACACAUAGGCAGUCCCUCUCUUGCUCAGUGUCAUCAUCAGUAUCAAAAUCUUCAAUGAACGUGGUGGAGUUGAACAAUCUAGCUACUGUGUCUACUUGUUGGGCAUGCUCAGGAAUCCCUUCAAUGCACACUUUGGCUCAGUAACGGAGUUUUGAUGCCGAAGCACUAACCUGUCUUGUCCAAGGCAGGAGCCAAAGAGUAGUUUGCCCAGCGCACAAGCCACCAAGCCACAAUGUCGUCGUGUGCUGCUCCGGCGUGGAGAAGUGAAGCAAGAACGUGGACGUCGUAAGGUGUUUCACCCCCAAAUCUUGCUCCCUGGUGCCACUCCCUCCAAGUUGUUGAAGGACAUCCCGGUGCACAACCUGAGCAGAGAGCUUGGCCCUUCCGUUCAUCUGAAUGCUGAUGAGAGCCGUCAACGAAAGCUGCCUCUCUUCCUCCCUUGCAGCUACAGUCCUCUGCACAUAGACCGAAACAUGGUCUGGGCGCCUGCUCGCCUCCCUGGGCACGAGCUCAGGUUCCAUGGCUGCCUUCCCCACCGCCGGGUAGGUUCGGGAUGUGGGCGGAAGGCAUGUUCGCUCUGGUUGCUUGCAAUGCAGAGGGGAUGUGGAGGUGGAUGGUGUGGUGGCGAUGGCGGCAAAGGUGCGGCGGCCAGAAGAUGUAGCUUUUGGUGUCACUAGCUAGUGAGCGGUGUAGAGGGGGAAAGCUGGAUCUAUUGAGCGGCGGGUGGAAGGGGGGCGAGCUGCAGGACAGGAAGGCGGGCAAGCUCGAGCGGCGGAGUGAUAGUGGCGCACCUUGUGGCCAAAACGCAGGUAGAGUAUGCACCGUGACGGGUCACGGCAUUCGCCGAUGCGGUGGUUAGAUGCAAGGCAGUUGAAGCAUCUAUUACCUGUCGUGGCUUUGAGCAGCGAGAGCCAUUGGUCAGUGGUGUGCAGCGCCAGAGCUUCAACGCGUUCCAGGCAGUGCGCGUCUUGAAGGCAACUAUGCCCCGCCCCCAUCCUUUGCAGACUGAGACGACACGUCUUCUCGCCGGUGUCUUUCUUCUCUCUUCAUGCAGCUCUUGCUUUGCUUGUGCUGAUGUGUGGCGAGGGAAUCUCGGCUUGAAUGUCCUAGGUUUGAGUAGGACGUCCUUGUAGGAGAGCUUGUGAGUGCUUGAUCUUAUCAGCAGCGAGGGAAUCUGGCGAAAUGGUGCCGCUGUGUCCUUGCUCGUCCCUUCUUUGGAUUCCUUCUCCUCUCUGUCUUUCGCCGUUGCUCCUUCCUCUGUCUUGUUCAGCUUUGCAUUGAAACGCUAAGAGCAUGGGCUCUUGUCCUCCGUCUCCAAGCAGUAAAGGAGGUCCAAAGCUUCUGCCGCUGAGCCGGCGACCCAGGGAAUGUGGCAGGUUGCGAUGUCGAUUUUGUGAGGUGGCUAGGUGUGGUUGGAGUGCUGUGGUGGUUGUGCUGUGUCGCCGGCGAGGUGCCGAGCGGCGGUGGUGCAUCGGUGGGAGCGAGGUGGGCGGGGCGAGCGGGGUGCUCCAUCGGAGUUAUCGAUCGUGUUUGCAUACGUAGGUUUGGCGGCACCGGCAGAAACCGUCGCUGAAGGUCUUCAGAAGCACAAAAGACAUGUGUCUCUACAGUAGGAUACUCCAAAGCUAUAUGAAUCUUGAUUUCGAAAGUGAGUUAGAAAUCUGUACAAACUUUUACAAAAGUCGGAACGGUAUCUUACGUGGUUCAUGACUGCCACCUUUGAUCAGUUUACAUGUCAUUUUGGUCCACGUAAGAACCAAGAUCACAUGGCACUUGGAUAUACUUAAAUAGCCAGCCGUGUCCACAUUGAACAACCUGUGCACAUCUUGAGCAUGACACGUGCAUCGUCUUCAACCUACCACAAAUACAUUUUCACAAUUGAAGUCGACAUCUUACCAACUUAAAUCAUGGAUGAACUGUGAAUGUCAAAACCUUCACGGAACAUGAAAAUUAAAGCUCAACGGGAGAUAUAUGUUCAAAUAGACAAGUUUUCGUGAUCAAAAUAAAGGAUCAUCGUGUACAUCCAGACCUAAAUUAUGUUAAAAAAAACGUCUGCAUGACCCAUGCACAUGUAAAUAAACCUGUUACUCAUUGCUUUGUGACCUAGCUUUGAUCAAAAAAUCAUUCCCUUCUGAUGUGAUCCAUUAUUUCUAUUAUUUGCGUGAUACGAACCCAUCCUCUUAGUCAAUUUUGGAUGGCCAUCAUCGAGAUUGUGCCACUGCCCAUGCUCCUCGAACAACCUGCCAGUGUGGGAUGUGUUGAGGGUGUGUCACACAUGCAGGAUAUUAUUAUAGACUACAGUAGAGGAUUUUGUGGCAACAUAGCUUUAUCAUUGGAAGGAUGAGUUUUUGGACGUCUAAACAUUUCAAUCCCGUUGCCACGAGUAGCGGAUUCGAAUCAAGAACUCUUCCAUUCUGAAACUUUUGGCGAAAAAUUAAAUGUAUACCUGUAGUACUAGGGAAUAUCUUGGCCUGAGCUUAAUUGAAAGACAUUGAGUUUGUACCCACCAUUUCUUUUUAGCACAAGUUCAGUGUACGAAGUGAAAUGAGAUCAGUGUACGUACUCUUAAAAAUGGAGGGUGCCAGAUCUUGUCAUCUAUAGUGUCUGAUAUGAUCCUAGAAUUUACAGCUGCAGAGGUCCACUUACGGCUGUUGGCUUGAAUCGCCCAAACUAAAGCUCAAAGAAAUUGAUGUACUAGUGUGUUGUUUUCUAGCAUCACAGACCUCAUCUGAUUUUUCCUUCUUAGUCAGGAUCGUACGUCAUUGCCCAUUCCUCAUCUUGCUGAUCCAAGAACUCAGUUUAUUUCAACGCUUGCUUCAACAGCUAGCCUCCAGGUAUGGAAGCAUUCACAUCAUGUUACCACAUUCAUCGCCGCUGAAAACAAUGCCUUCUUGAAAGCUUGGCUAGGGAUUUAAGAAAUCGCCGGUAUUCACAUCCUUUAAUCAACCACAGCCUCCACUGGGCAUGGAGCAAACAGAUCGAUAAUAUAUACUAAUAAUCUUCUCCAAUCUCAACGGCAUUAUUAUCAGCAUGUGAUAUGUACUUUAUUGACCCAUUCCUGCCAGCCGAUCUUCAUAUCAGAGCUCACAGACUCCUAGUACAACUAGCUAACUGUGUGACAAAAUGCAAUGCAUGUGAACUGGGCCACGUGUCAGCCUGCCAUCUUGAGCAAUUGAUUGAUUCCCCUAGUGACAAUAUCAUUAUGGCCAUGCAUAAAGCUAAUCAAGUUCAUUAUUUAAGUGCAUAAUUCAUAUUUUUUAUUUGAUCAUGUAAACACUGGAGAUGUCUAUUGGGAUUUGGAACCCCGAACAGAUAAUAGAGAGAGGGAGAAGGGAGGAAACAAAUCAAUUAAAAGUGAGACAAAUGAAUAUGUGGCAAAAAGUCCUCUCCUCCAAGCCCUAUGGCUCUAUUUAUAGGGAGGAGGAGGUAACUAUUUAUAUUAAUUCCAUUGGUGGGGUCGAAUAUGACAGAUAGGUCCCUGGACUUGACAAAGAGAUUUCUGAACGUUACAACUGAGUCUCUAACCCUUACAAAUAAGCCCUUGGAUCCUAUUUCGAGUCUCUUUUACACAUAGGGGGGUUCCUAGCCUUAGUCCACUUAAGGUGCACCCCAACAAUGUCGAUUGAUCAUGUACAACAGGAAAAAUAUAGGCAUCGAAGCGCAACUGAUUUAGUCAAGCUGAGUUGUUCUCUAACUUAUCGCAAAUUUUAACCUGGACCGUUGCUGCACUGCGGCCUUGCCUACUUCAAAUUCACCAAGCAGUACAUGCAGUUAUUGUUAAACAUAUGUAUAGAAAACAAGUUAUGCAUUUCAAUGAUUGUAAGCUUGAACUUAUGCAAAACACAUGACAAUACAAAGAAGACACUGAAAUUGAAAGAUCGAUGUAAAUCCACUACAAGUCAUUAUACUAGUUUACAUUGGCCGAUAUGCUGUUACUUGGCCCAUAGAAGCCCAUGUAAAAUACUGAAAUCCACUAGAAGUACAUUGUUUGUAAAAAAUAGUGCAUUGACCAUGAACUUCCUCAGACAUGUUCCUUGUGAUGAUAGUACGCCAGCUUGUAACACCUGUAGGGCUCAUUAGUAGUCGGACCAAGUUGCCUAUAUAAAAGUUACUCUCGAAAUAAAAGUUUAACGCCUUUUUGUAAAGUGUAAAUUUGUAAAUGUUAUGUUAUGUGUGUCCACUUAACUACAGUCGGAUAUCGUGUUAACUUUUUAAUCAGGAAUCAACUGCGUUCCAGGACCGCGGCCAACCAGAAGCCCAAGGCAUGAAACAGGAAGCAUACAGAAUAUGUGCAGGAAAGAGACGCUGCAAGGAGUGGUCAGCUCUGGUUUAUAAAUAGGUCGCCGUCGCCUUCAGAUCGGGAAGAGCACAUGAUCCAAGAGGAGCAUCUAUUAAAGUGAUCUCUCUUCUACUUGAUCUCCGUUCUUGUCCCUACAGCGAAGGGUGUGGUUCAGCUCAGCCCACCCAAAGCGGGGUUGCUUGUGCUACAACUCACCAUGGCCAGCGGCACGACCGCCACCGCCGACACGACGGUGCCACAGCCCCCGCCGUCGCAGGGGAGGCUCAUCACGGUGCUGAGCAUCGACGGCGGCGGCAUCCGGGGGCUCAUCCCGGCCACCAUCAUCGCCUGCCUCGAGGCCAAGCUCCAGGUACUAUACCUGCAAGCAGCAAUUCAAACACAGUUCACAAACCACAGCUUUUUUUUCCUUCAGAAUUGCACCUGUCGCACUAUACGUACGCUUUGUUUGUAAGCUUGAGCUGAUGAACAUCUGGUCAUGCGAUCUCGAUGCAGGAGCUGGACGGCCCGGACGCUCGGAUCGCCGACUACUUCGACGUGAUCGCCGGGACGAGCACCGGUGCCCUGCUCACGUCGAUGCUGGCGGCGCCGGACGAGAACAAGCGGCCGCUCUACGCCGCCAAGGACCUCACCACCUUCUACCUCGAGAACGGCCCCAAGAUCUUCCCACAGAGGAAGUAAGCAGUCAGAGAAGUUCGUUCUCACUCCAGGCAAAUCUCACAUGACGAUUGGUGUUCCAACAAUGUUGCUCUUGUUGCCUCUGCAGGCUAGGCUGGCUGACGUCGGCGAUGAACCUCGUGGGCACGAUGAGGGGCCCCAAGUACGACGGCGUGUUCCUGCACGACAAGAUCAAGAGCCUCACCCACGACGUGAGGGUCGCGGACACGGUGACCAACGUCGUCGUGCCGGCGUUCGACGUCAAGUUCCUCCAGCCGGUCAUCUUCACCACGUACGAGGCCAAGGCCGACCCGCUCAAGAACGCGCACCUCUCCGACAUCUGCAUCAGCACGUCGGCGGCGCCGACCUACUUCCCGGCCCACUUCUUCACGACCGACGACGGCAAGGGCGGGUCCCGGGAGUACCACCUCGUCGACGGCGGCGUGGCGGCCAACAACCCGACGAUGAUCGCCAUGUCGAUGCUCACCAAGGAGGUGCUCCGCCGCAACCCGGACUUCAACCCCGGCAAGCCCACCGAGUACCGGAACUACCUCAUCAUCUCCGUCGGCACCGGCUCCGCCAAGCUCGCCGAGAAGUACACGGCGCCGCAGUGCGCCAAGUGGGGCCUCAUCCAGUGGCUCUACGAGGGCGGCUUCACCCCCAUCAUCGACAUCUUCUCCCACGCCAGCGCCGACAUGGUUGACAUCCACGCGGCCGUCCUCUUCGAGUCCCUCCAUUGCCAGAAGAAUUACCUCCGCAUCCAGGACGAUUCUCUGACGGGUGACGCGUCGUCGGUGGACAUCGCGACGAAGGAGAACAUGGAGGCUCUGAUCGGGAUCGGCAAGGAGCUUCUCAGGAAGCCGGUGGCGAGGGUGAAUAUCGACACGGGGAUGUACGAGGCCGUCGCCGGCGAGGGCACCAACGAGGACGCGCUCGCACGCUUCGCCAGGAUGCUCUCCGAGGAGCGGAAGCUACGCAAUAAGAAUCUCAACUCCUACUAGCUUUAAUCUACUGCUUCUCUGCUGUUAUAUUACUCUGCUCUUGGAAAUAGUAAGUUGUUGAAGGACAGAGAAGAGGAAGAACAAGUGCCAUGUGCCUAUAAAGUUAAAAUACUACUGCUUCUGGUCUGCAUCCACAUCUGGUGUGUAUGAUCACCGAUAACGUCGUAAAAACAAAUGAAAAAGAGAUUGAUAUGAAAGUAAUUUUGGAGAUGAACGGUGAAAUUUUCAUGUGACUAGCUCUAUGUUACCUUUUUAUACUAGUAUCUAGUUUUUUUUGAGAGAGAGAGAGAGAGAAAUACUCCAGCCAACAAUUAGUAAGGGAAUGGGCAUUUGGCCCGGGUUAACUGACCAAUGGGCCUCCAAACAUCACCAAUGGGCCCUGCAGGCUGGGCUGUGGAUUCAUUUCUCACGCCCACCGAUCCGGUCUUUGGGUAAGUUCUUUAUCCUUUUGUCCUAAAAAAAUGGAACGGCUGGCCAAUGAUGAGAAACUGGCCAAUGUUUUCCAUCCUCUUUGAAUGAAAUCUAGCAGGGACCAACAGUCUAGACCGUACCUGAAGCGUUGCAGGAGUGUUCACAGAAAUAAAGAGAGGCACUGCACUGGUCAAAGUUCAGAAAAACAUGAGUGCAUGUGCAUGACCACUCGUGCACACAUAUAGGCCCACUCUUUCUUCUUGAAAGCGUUAGCAGAUGCCGCAGCUGCUGCACAAGCACUGCUCAAGAUGGACGCCGUCUCACUCAUCUAUGCACCUUCAAUUUAGUCCAAAAAGAAACAAGAGCUUAUAUCCCAACUCACUGAUCUGAUGCACCUUCAAUUGAUUUACUCCCUCCAUCUCAAAAAAAAAAACUAGUCGUUCUAGUUUUAUCAUAAGUCAAACAUUUUUAAAAGUUUGAUCAAGUUAUUAAAAAAAGUGCCAAUAUUUAUGACACUAGAUAAAUUGAACAUGAAGUGUGCUUUCAUAAUAUACCUAUUUGGUAUCAUAAAUUAUUAAAAAUUGAUACUUUUCUCUAAAGAUUUAGUCAAACUUAAGAAAAAUUGACUUAGAACAAACUAGAAAAACUUGUUAUUUUUGGAACAGGAGGAGUAGACAACUGAAUAAUUUUGUUCCGACUUCUGAGGGCCUAGAGAAAACUUGCAAUCCUCGACAUACAUGUGCAUUCAUGCCGUCGGCCUGUUCGCUUCAGCUUAUUCAGCCGGCUUAUCAGCCACCAAACAGUAUUUUCCUCUCACAACAAAUCAGCCGUUUCAGCUUUUCAGCCGGCUUAUAAGCUGAAACGAACAGGCCCCUGUUUCCUGUUUACCUUUAGCGUACAAUUCUUGCUAGUGAAGAGUGAAGACAUGCUUUGCACUUCUAGAUUAACCAUGUAGCACGAGAGGGAAGAGAGAUAAGCAAAAAGAGAUGUUACGCUCGUGUAUCAGCACUACUGCAGAAUGUUUUAUCACAGCCGUCUCUAAAGUGUCCAUCACAGUCGGUUUUUAUUCGUCAGAUAAAGGUCAAUUGUGAUGGGUACACCAUCACCACCGGACUUAAAAUUGGUUGUGAUGCCAAUUAAAAAAAAAGCAGCAUGCCACAACCCACCGACCACGCCUCCCGCGACUCACCAGCCGCCACGCCUGCCACCGUUGCGGCCCCGCUGGAUCCCGCUGGCGCCCUCCUAUCACAAUACACAGAGACAUGCACCUUGGACUACACCUGUGUGAUGAUGCCCACCGCCACUGCCCGCCAGAUCCGGGCUGUGCCCACCCGCUACUGCCCGCUGUAUCCGGGCUAUGCCCAUCCGCUGCUACCCGCCACAACCUCUGCGCUCCCCCACCGUGCGUGGGGUCGCCUCACCUCAUCCCACCGCCUCUCCUCACUGGCGUCACAAUGAGGGGCGUGCGAAGGGGAGAGGGGAGGGGAAGGGCACCUAAAAUGGGAGGAAGGGAAGGGACCGUGGGAGAGAGAGGUGGAAGGAAGGGAGGCGCGCAGCUGCGCGGGGAGAGAGAGAGGUGGAGGGGAGGGAGGCGUGGGGAGAGGGAGAGGGGGUGUGCGAACAAGGCAGAGGGGAGGGUGGCAGACAGGAGAUUUUAUUCAUCUGGAUGUAUAAUAUUUUCAGGUCCGGAAGUACCACCAGUUUGUAAUACAAACCGGCUGUGAUACGACACUAUCACCACCCGUUCUACCUUUUAUCGUUAUUUUGUAUUACAAUCGGGUUGUGAUAGGCUAUCACUGCUGGCCCAUGCAAAACCGGCUAUGAUGAUCCAGUUGUGAUAGCACAUCCUGUAGCAGUGCAGCCCCACAUGGAUGGCAAUGAGUUUUGUAUAAUUGGAGUUUGGACGUCCGUAUCUCUGCCACAUCAAAUCUCAUUGUCGUCAGGUUCUCAAUAACCAAGGCCAUUUUUUUAGUCUGGGAAAUAUACUGUUAGUGUAAAAGAUUCCUGACACUACUAAAAAAUUGAUCUCUCAUCUUUAGCCUUAGUACCGGUUAUUUUUGGAUCCGGUACUAAUGUUAGUAUUAGUAUCGGUUCCAAAUUUGGGAGCCCCCGAAGGCCCUCCAGUACCGGAUGGUGGCUCCAUCUCUAGUACCGGUUGGAGCCUUCACCCUCUAGUACCGGUUGGAGCCUCUAUUUGGUACUAAAUCCUUUAGUACCGGGUGAAGGCUCCAACCGGUACUAGAGGGUCACCCUCCGUUACUAGAGCCCUUCCUCCGUCCAGCGCCAAAAAAAUUUCUCUUUUUUCCUCCGUCCUGCACCUUAUUUGCUCACGCGCCCCUCCGCCCGUGCCUUAUCUAUGCUCCUGCGCAUGCGCCAUGUGCCCAAGUCCCCAAGCGCCUCUUCCUCUUCUUCUUCCCAAGUCCCCAAGCACCUCCUCCUCCUCCUCUUCUUCUCCUUCACUGCCAAGCACCGCCCAAGUCUUCUCCUCCUCCUUCCUCCUCUUUCUCCUUGAUGGCCGGCUGCAGGCGGAGCGGUAAGAGAAGGGGGGGCAGAGUGGGCGGAGGAUGCCCGGCGGCGAGGCAGCAGGGGGAGGGGGGCUUGGCAGAGGAGGGGUGGGGGAAGCGGUGAGUGAGGUGGUCGGGCGGGAGGGGGAUUGCGGGAGGCGCCAGCAAGGGGAAGGCGGGAAGUUUGGGGAGUCCGGGCCCGGAUGUUGGGGUUGAGGUAAGAGGACCCGCCGACCAGGUUGGGGGCUUCUUGGCGGGGGAGGGGCCGGCAGAAGGUGGGAAGGCAGAGUCCUAGCCGGGGGGAUUUUUGGUUUUUUUUNNNNNNNNNNNNNNNNNNNNNNNNNNNNNNNNNNNNNNNNNNNNNNNNNNNNNNNNNNNNNNNNNNNNNNNNNNNNNNNNNNNNNNNNNNNNNNNNNNNNNNNNNNNNNNNNNNNNNNNNNNNNNNNNNNNNNNNNNNNNNNNNNNNNNNNNNNNNNNNNNNNNNNNNNNNNNNNNNNNNNNNNNNNNNNNNNNNNNNNNNNNNNNNNNNNNNNNNNNNNNNNNNNNNNNNNNNNNNNNNNNNNNNNNNNNNNNNNNNNNNNNNNNNNNNNNNNNNNNNNNNNNNNNNNNNNNNNNNNNNNNNNNNNNNNNNNNNNNNNNNNNNNNNNNNNNNNNNNNNNNNNNNNNNNNNNNNNNNNNNNNNNNNNNNNNNNNNNNNNNNNNNNNNNNNNNNNNNNNNNNNNNNNNNNNNNNNNNNNNNNNNNNNNNNNNNNNNNNNNNNNNNNNNNNNNNNNNNNNNNNNNNNNNNNNNNNNNNNNNNNNNNNNNNNNNNNNNNNNNNNNNNNNNNNNNNNNNNNNNNNNNNNNNNNNNNNNNNNNNNNNNNNNNNNNNNNNNNNNNNNNNNNNNNNNNNNNNNNNNNNNNNNNNNNNNNNNNNNNNNNNNNNNNNNNNNNNNNNNNNNNNNNNNNNNNNNNNNNNNNNNNNNNNNNNNNNNNNNNNNNNNNNNNNNNNNNNNNNNNNNNNNNNNNNNNNNNNNNNNNNNNNNNNNNNNNNNNNNNNNNNNNNNNNNNNNNNNNNNNNNNNNNNNNNNNNNNNNNNNNNNNNGCGCGCAGGGACAGUCUAAGAACUUUUGAUACUCCUAAUUAAUAUCUAAACAUUCAAUGUGAUGGGUGUUUAAAAAUAAGCAAACUAACCAAACCAGGCCGCACUCAAUCAGUCUACUUUUUCUGUAAAAAGUUGAUGCAGUAGCUGCUGAUGCCCGGGGCUGCUAGCCUUUCUCCCUGCAUCCGUACAGCCACUGCACUGCAGUUGUCCCUCCCAGGAGGAAAAAUCUUGAAAAAAAAAAAAGAUUAAGGUUCUUCCAAUACUAGAACCAAAAAUAAAUACGGAAAGUUUACUUCAUUCGUAGAUCAUGGAGAGAGGAUGAAAUGAUACAAAUCUAGCUUCUACACGAUGACACAAUCUGCAUACUGCAUGACGUGGUGGUGACGUGGAAAUUUUGUCGUUGCAUCGAUGCUAUGAGUUGGUACAAAAUAGAAACUACAAUCUGGUGGAGGGAUUUGCAUGUCCACAUCUUUGGUCGCACCAAGAUUUCAUGACCUGAGCUUUCAUUCUAGAAAAUGAUGGUGUCAAAGAUUCCUCAAGAGAAAAUUAGUGGUGUUAGGGGACAAUUGGCUUAGUUUGUUUGGCCGCAAUAUUGUGCCUAUCUCCUUUUCAUAUAAAAAGUUGAUCUACCAAAUAAACUACAGUCACGUGAUCCGGCAUGUAUCAGUUUUUUAGAAGAAAUUAAAGUAGGUGUUUCCAUUAAAGUUAACACGGACCUGAUAUGUUCUGUUUGUUUUAGCUCGUAUAGGUUGUGAAAAGCAGCUUGCAGAUUGUAACAAUCCAUAAUAAGCCAGGGCCUAGGGAAAGCAGAUAAUUGUUGUAUUGUAACAAUUUGGCUGUAGAUUUUUAUAAUCCAAGAUGAAAGAUGAUUAUUUGUUUAAGCUUAUGAUUGUGAAAGCUACAAUGCAAAUUCACAAGCUGAAACAAACAUGGCCAUACUCAUGCUCCACUCCAUGUCAAAUUUCAAUUUUGUCUUCUUCUUGUUUGCGAACAUUUUGUCUUCAAUUUUUAAAUAUAAGCUGAUAAAGUAAAAAAAAACAAUUGCAGCUGGUGGUCAAACUCUCCAAGCACCACGGGAACCACCUCUUGGUGUGUGGUGGAAUAGCUAGAAAACAAUUCCACUUGUCAGGAACUCAAGAUUCAAAUCACUACUUGAAAAAUUGUAUAUUUACAAAUAAGCAUUAAUGAGCACUAAGAAAAAGAGGCACUCAGGUAUCUUUUGAUCCAAUCCGGUCUUUCAUAAUAUGUGAAAGUGGUUUCCAUACUACAUGCAUUUGCACUUUACACAUCCACAUACCAAGCUCAUGUUUGAACAACCAUUGGAUCUCUGAUCCUCAUAUUUUAAAUGGAGCCUGCUUCAAUGGUUGAGCACAUGGCACCUCUAAUUUGGAGACAAAAUACGCCGUCGCAGAGGCAAAAGGCAACGACAAUUACCAAGCAAUGAGCACCCCUCACCUAAAAGCUGUUGGUGUCAGCAGAUUUUUCUUAUCCGGAUCUGACCCCAUUCAAGUGGUAUUGGCUAUUCCCAGGACCUUGCCAAUAGGCACUCGAAAGCAUGAUCCGGUAGAUGUGAGAGACAGUAUUAAAAAAAAGACGUGUGUAUGAGAUAGAGAGAGGGAGGGAAGAUCUGUCCCAAUUACUAUUCGUUUUGAUUUUCCUAAACCAAACGAAUAAAGUAUCAUACAAGCUAAGUCNNNNNNNNNNNNNNNNNNNNNNNNNNNNNNNNNNNNNNNNNNNNNNNNNNNNNNNNNNNNNNNNNNNNNNNNNNNNNNNNNNNNNNNNNNNNNNNNNNNNNNNNNNNNNNNNNNNNNNNNNNNNNNNNNNNNNNNNNNNNNNNNNNNNNNNNNNNNNNNNNNNNNNNNNNNNNNNNNNNNNNNNNNNNNNNNNNNNNNNNNNNNNNNNNNNNNNNNNNNNNNNNNNNNNNNNNNNNNNNNNNNNNNNNNNNNNNNNNNNNNNNNNNNNNNNNNNNNNNNNNNNNNNNNNNNNNNNNNNNNNNNNNNNNNNNNNNNNNNNNNNNNNNNNNNNNNNNNNNNNNNNNNNNNNNNNNNNNNNNNNNNNNNNNNNNNNNNNNNNNNNNNNNNNNNNNNNNNNNNNNNNNNNNNNNNNNNNNNNNNNNNNNNNNNNNNNNNNNNNNNNNNNNNNNNNNNNNNNNNNNNNNNNNNNNNNNNNNNNNNNNNNNNNNNNNNNNNNNNNNNNNNNNNNNNNNNNNNNNNNNNNNNNNNNNNNNNNNNNNNNNNNNNNNNNNNNNNNNNNNNNNNNNNNNNNNNNNNNNNNNNNNNNNNNNNNNNNNNNNNNNNNNNNNNNNNNNNNNNNNNNNNNNNNNNNNNNNNNNNNNNNNNNNNNNNNNNNNNNNNNNNNNNNNNNNNNNNNNNNNNNNNNNNNNNNNNNNNNNNNNNNNNNNNNNNNNNNNNNNNNNNNNNNNNNNNNNNNNNNNNNNNNNNNNNNNNNNNNNNNNNNNNNNNNNNNNNNNNNNNNNNNNNNNNNNNNNNNNNNNNNNNNNNNNNNNNNNNNNNNNNNNNNNNNNNNNNNNNNNNNNNNNNNNNNNNNNNNNNNNNNNNNNNNNNNNNNNNNNNNNNNNNNNNNNNNNNNNNNNNNNNNNNNNNNNNNNNNNNNNNNNNNNNNNNNNNNNNNNNNNNNNNNNNNNNNNNNNNNNNNNNNNNNNNNNNNNNNNNNNNNNNNNNNNNNNNNNNNNNNNNNNNNNNNNNNNNNNNNNNNNNNNNNNNNNNNNNNNNNNNNNNNNNNNNNNNNNNNNNNNNNNNNNNNNNNNNNNNNNNNNNNNNNNNNNNNNNNNNNNNNNNNNNNNNNNNNNNNNNNNNNNNNNNNNNNNNNNNNNNNNNNNNNNNNNNNNNNNNNNNNNNNNNNNNNNNNNNNNNNNNNNNNNNNNNNNNNNNNNNNNNNNNNNNNNNNNNNNNNNNNNNNNNNNNNNNNNNNNNNNNNNNNNNNNNNNNNNNNNNNNNNNNNNNNNNNNNNNNNNNNNNNNNNNNNNNNNNNNNNNNNNNNNNNNNNNNNNNNNAUGGUGACAUUCCUCAUUUCAUGCCUGCCACUACCAAACAUUUCACUUUCCACACAUGACACACCACCUAUAGUCCCGAAUCACCAUACUUAAAUAUCAAAUAGUACCAGCUUCUGCAAGAGGAAAAUCCAGAGUAUGGCGAUAAUGGAAAGGACGAACUGUGUGACACCAUGUGUGUGUCGUUGCAGGAUCGGAUUCCUCGAGCCGGUGGCGAACCUGCUGAGCGUGAUGAGGGGCCCCAAGUACGACGGCGCCUUCCUGCACGGCAAGAUCAAGAGCCUCACCCACGACGUGAGGAUCGCGGACACGGUGACCAACGUCGUCGUGCCGGCGUUCGACGUCAAGUGCCUGCAGCCGGUCAUCUUCUCGACGUACGAGGCGCAGCACGAGCCGCUCAAGAACGCGCACCUCUCCGACAUCUGCAUCAGCACGGCGGCGGCGCCGACCUACUUCCCGGCGCACUUCUUCAGGACCGAGGGCCCCAGCGGCAAGUCCCGGGAGUUCCACCUCGUCGACGGCGGCGUGGCGGCCAACAACCCAACCAUGGUCGCCAUGUCCAUGCUCACCAAGGAGGUGCUCCGCCACAACCCGGACUUCCGGCCCGCGGAGUACGGCAACUUCCUCAUCAUCUCCGUCGGCACCGGGGCGCCCAAGCAGGCGGAGAUGUACACCGCGCCCAAGUGCGCCAAGUGGGGCCUGCUCCGGUGGCUCUACGACGGCGGCUUCACCCCGCUCAUCGACAUCUUCUGCCAUGCCAGCGCCGACAUGGUCGACAUCCACGCCAAAGUGCUCUUCGAGGCACUCGGAUGCGAGAAGAACUACCUCCGUAUCCAGGUUCAAUAUUCGUAACCAGUUCAAUCCAAAAGUUUAAGUUUUUUUAUAUUAACUCAUUCACAAUAAGGUUGUGGUUAAUCCAGUGGAUAUAUGAUUGUAGGAUGAUUCACUAGUAGGACACACAUCAUCGGUGGACAUCGCGACGAAGGAGAACAUGGAGGCGUUGAUCCGGAUCGGAAGGGAGCUUCUCAAGAAGCCGGUGGCGAGGGUGAACAUCGACACGGGGAUGUACGAGCCCGUCGCCGGCGAGGGCAACAACGAGCAGGCUCUCGAGCGCUUCGCUAGGAAGCUCUCCGACGAGCUCAAGCUUCGCAUGAAAAACUUCAACUCCUACUAGCUUUGCUUGCUUGCUUGCUUGCCAACCGGCAAAAUAUGUGAAUAUAAAAAAAAAAAGUUUUGCUUGCUUUUAACGUGACGGGUGUUGUAAUCGAUCAUGAACUAGUUCAUGACAUUUGUAAUAUGACUUGUAGUCCAGUAGAAUAAUGAAUAACCAUGGAAGUUUUAGAGUGCCAUAUUCAACAACAUUUUUUUUUAGAGAGGAGGAAUCUCAGAACGUGCGUUUGGGCCCGGGAAUGCUGGAUGGGCCUAUAUUUUGAGUUUUUGACCUGCAGUGCAUGGCCAGACAGGCAAGGGUUUCAGUCCAGAGAGGGGGGCAAAAGGAGUGGUAAAAAAAUAGGACUAUCUAGCUGUCAUCACUCAUCCGGGUAACUUUUGCAAUCAGCUUUCAUUAAAAAUUGAGCCAGUGACAAAUUGACACGUCACAAGCUGAAAACAUGCAGAAAAAGGAAAGUGAAUGAUACGGGAUGGUAUUUCUCUGAACAAAAAUCCCAAGUAGCAGCAGAAAAAAAGGAAAAAACGAAUGAAAAAUGUACCACACGAGGUCGUACCCUGACUCCUCACGUGUUACCCUGCAUCAGUCCCAUCCAAAACCCACACAACGACGGCAAAAAAAACAAAAAAACAAAAAAAAAAUCUUGGCAGUGAAGAAAGAAUAGAAGAAACGCGGGAAGGAAACAGGAGCACAUAUGAAUUUUGUGCCGUAAAAAAACUCGCAAAGGCCCAAGAUAGAUGGGCAGAAUAGCACAAAUGCCAUCAUGAGAGACUGAGUGAGAAUAAGCAAGUGGUUUUGGGCCGAAAUUCUUGGACGGGCCGUGUUUCAGUUUUGCAACUCGAUCGAUACAAAUAUCAUCCAUGGGCUGGCUGAUGACUUCCGAGGUAUACGCCAGUAGUCGAGCAAACAAGUUGCAAGCAUUUUUUUGACAAGGGUGUAUACACGCACAAGGGAAAAGAAACAUGGAUUGGGGCGGGGCAGGGCACGGCACGGCACCGCACUCCGGCAAGCUAUAGGGUUCAAUUGGUCACACACGAUGGUAGUCCUCGAGUCCAGUCCACCAGGAUCAUCAUCAGCAAAGCUCUGAUAACACAAACCACCAGUACCACACUACCACCAACUUAGCCAGUCAGCUCUGCGUCGUUCGCAUGUAUGCCGCCAGCAUCAGCAUUCGCCAUGAGAGGAACCUGCUGAUCGGCAGCCAUGAGGAGAGCCAGGGCCAGGCAGCCGCCACAGGCCGCUCGCCAUGAAGGGGACCAUGGUGUCCAGCUCUUCGUUGGGUUAGAUGUGUGUAAGCCGUGUGUAAGCCUAUAAGGUGUUUUAGUUUGUGCCCUCUGAUACGUUUAUAUAAAGCAUGGGGAGCCGGCAAGGCUGCAAGCGACAUUGGAACUGAUUUUGGAGGGGAAAAAACUUCCUGGGAACUCUGUUAGAGGGAUCAGUUAACAUUUGCACUUGCUGAGUUCGUCAAACAAUGUACUUAGCAUUAUUCUAUUAGUCAUGCAAUUACGUACAUUUUAUUGCUUAAUGAGGCAUCAUAUAAUUGCUGGCUUAUUUGACUCUGCACUAAUAUAAUUUUUAUUUUAACAAGUAUAGAGAUCCAGGGAUACGGAGUUAUUCCGUCAAUCAUGCGAUUAUGUGCUUUUUAUUGCUUAACAAUGACGCGUUAAUUCGGCUCUGUACUAAUUUAAUUUUUUAUAAUGAGCUUGGAGACUGAGGAAUUUGUAGUUACUCCAUUCAUCAUGUAAUUUAUUUACUUUUCAUUGCUUCAUGAUGUGUGUACGUAUAAUUCCCACUACAACAUCUGCUUUUCUUUCUAUCUAAUAAUUAAAGCAAGCAGGUUGAAACUUGAAAGACUCAUUUUCUUUCUUCUGAAUAUGAAUUUACCAUUUUUCUAGUUCCUAUGGUGCAUUAGGAGCUUAUAGACAUAAUUUGUCGGCUCAUUUUGCACUAAUUUGACUUUGACUAAAAUACACCAAUGAUCAAUUGGGAGGUUUGCAUCUAAGGACUGAAACAACAAACUAUAAGACGUUUAUUGAUAGGACGUUUGUAAUUGGGACGUUUGUUGAAACAACAAACUAUGUAAUUGGGAGGUUUGCAUCGUACACUGCACAGGAUAAUCUUGAUAGGACGUUUGUGCUGUCAAUGCUCCUUUCUUUUUCCGAAUUACUGCCUGCUUUUUGCAUAUGCAUACAUAGUUUGUAGUCAUGCUGUCUCACGCAAAAUGAGUUGUAAAACUAUACAGAGACAAAACUCUGAUACUUGUUUUUCAGUCAAGAAUGCAUAGGUAAUUUAUGUAUUUUUCGUUGCUUCAUGAUGCACAUAUCAUAAUUCCCACUACAACAUCUGGUUGCCUUUCUUCUGAACCUGAAUUUCCAUUUUUCGAGUUCCUAUGGUGUUCUGGGAGCUUAUAGACAGAAACGAAUCAUAUUGAGGCCCUUCUACGAAAAGGGGAUAAGUAGAAUAUGAGAAUUCCAACUAAUCAUUGAGGAAAUGUAAAAAGGAUAAAAGAAAAUAAUAAUCCAAGUCUUAAAUUGAAGUAUCCCGUUGGAAUCAUAAUCUCAUAUGACGUACUCUGCACUAAUUUAAUUUUUAUUUUGAUAAUGCAAGUUUAAAGGUCAAGGAAUAUGGAGUUAUUCCAUUGAUCAUGCAACAAGGUAUAUUCUAUUGGUUAAUGAAGUGUGUAUAGUUCACUGGCUCAUUUAGUUUGACUCGCCACUAAUUUAAUUUUUAUUUUAACAAGUUUGGAGACCAAGGAAUCUGGAGUUGCCCUAUUAAUCAACCAAUUGUGUACUUUCUAUAUAUUGCCUGAUGAUACGCAUAUAAUUUGUUGGCUCAUUUUGCACUAAUUUGAUUUUGACUAAAAUACACCAAUGAUCAAUUUGGAAGUUUGCAACUAAGGACUGAAACAACAAAUUACAUAUAAGACCAUGCAUCGUACGCUGCACAGGAUCUCUAUCCUUGUUAAAAUAAAAAUUAUAUUAUUGCUAUCUAUGCUCCUUUCAUUUUCCGAAUCACUGCCUGUUUUUUACAUAUGUAUAUAUAGUUUGUAGUUGUGAUGUGUCAUACAAAAUGAGUUGUAAAACUAUAGAGAGAGGAAACUCUAAUACUUGUUUUUUCAGCCAAGAAUGUAUCGAUAAGAACAAAAUUAAGCUAGUUCACCAAUCCGUGCUCCUACGAGACUAGUAAUGUUAAGAUAUAUUAAUGUAAUAAACUAAUAGAUAAAUUUGUGUCAGCUAUUCAAUUUCCUUUCUUCACUCCGUCUUAUUAAUUUAAUCAUAGUUGGAUCUUUGUAAUGAUUGCAGUGUGUUGUGGAGUGAUUGCCACAUCAUCAUUCAUGUUAUUGUUGGGUGACGUGGUUAUUCAAUCUAUGACGAAUAGUAUCCCACGUGGCAACUGUUCGUGACGUUUAUUUUCAUCAUUGAUACUAGGCCUGGGUUGGGUUGCACGGGCUCCAGGCUAUUCUAUGACGGUUUAGAAAUAUCACGGAUUACGUCAAUCUGUGACGAUUUUCUAAAACCGUCAUGCAGGUUAAUCUAUGAUGCUUAAUACAUGACGUUAUCAAAAACCAUCACAGAUGAUAUUUUACAACGAUUUUUCGAUGAUUUGUGAUAAAAUUCGACCGUCAUGGAUUAUAAGAUUUUUUUUAAUGAGAUCCGAUCCUUGGGGUGAGGGGAAGGAGUGCACCGUAGACUUGUUCGUUCUGAACGUUGAGACGUUGUCAGUUGAGGUAGAAACGGUCAUACCAAAACAGAUAUUACUUUAAGAGUUGAUGCAUUCCAAAGUACGAGUAAAAAAAUUUACCAAGAUGGACAAACAGAAACGCUGAUGCCAAUAUAUAAGAGACCGGAAGCAAGAAAGAAGAAGCAAGUAGUUUUGGGCCGGGAAAUCAUGGAUGGGCCUGUGUUUCAGCCUCUCUAGUAUUGAUAUAAACAUGCAUCAUGGGCCGUCCUGCACACUGGGCCUGACCAUCACUGAUUAUUCCUAAAAAUAAAGUUUGGGUGACAAACAUUCUGGCAAUCUGGCCACAAAGCCAAUUCAAGCCAGUCGAGCAACUUUUUUUUUUGGAGGAUAGUCGAGCAGCCAUUGAAGCAAAGCAAACAGGAGCGAGUACUUGAAUCCACAUGCUACUGGCCAGGUCCUCGGAGGCAAUGCAAAAUGCGUGCACUCAUGCUUUGGUGCUAGUUAAUUGCAUUCCCCAAUGAUACCAGGCUUUUGCCAAUUCUUUUCUGAAGAAGCAGUUUUUGUUUUGAAUAAGCGUUUUUGCUGCUAAUAAUUCUCACCAACAGCUUAUGGUAAUCGAGUCUCAAUGCAAAAGCGUCUUUGGCACCUCUGACGCUCAGGGUAAUUUAACAGCAUCUCUGAAACCUGAACUAGUGCACGCGGAUGCUUUGGUUUACUGUCGCUUUGCUCUGCAUGUACAUGCUUUUCAGUGCAGCUCAAGCUCAGGCACACUGAAGCACCCCACAUUUAGCUCCCUCCAUCAUUGCGUCAGGUUUUAUGCUCCUCUCUUUCUGUGGAAUUCUCGUACCUGCUGGUCCCAAUACACUCGAUGAAGACAAACGACGCCGCAGCAUCGAUCUGAGAAGAACACAGGAGAUGAGAUUUGCUUGGUGAACAGCAACGACGACGACAGUGACGAACAGGCGGUGCUUUCUCGUGUCUCAGUAAAGGUUCUUUGCUAGGGAUCAACUCGAAAUUAGGGCAGGCAGAAUCAUUCCUAGAUCCUCAGUAGUACUAACAGACUAUUAGCAGAGACCUUGCAUGCCACAGCAACCAGACGACCGAUCAAUUAUGGACCCGUUUGGUGAAAUGCAUGGCACAAAUUGGUGAAGACAAACAAAAGCACUAAUGAGAAGAACUUUGGGAUCGGAUGCCGCCACGAGACACUUUCCUUCCAUGCUGAUGGCACUACGCAGCUGAAUAUAUAGCUCGCUCGACGACAGGCAACUUUCGGCCUUUCCGAGGUACCCAUGCGUCUCCUCCAUCUCUCUCGUACGCUCUACGCAGAGUCGUCGUCCCCCACAAGAAAGUAAUGGAAUCCGUUCUUCACCGCCAUGAUGCUCGCUCACACCUAGCUUCUAGGCUUCUAGCUGCAGUUGCCCCCACUCAGGGUCACUCGCCUCACACCCAUCCAUCCAUGGGUCCGUCCAUCAGUUUUUCUACUGCUCCUGCAGGAGCCAGGAAGUGACGGCAUCGGUUGCCGAUGCUGAUGCCGAUUCGGUGCACCUCGUCCAAGAACAUCGUCCUGAAAGCCUGCGGAGCAGCCCCAAUGGGGUUUGAUCGAAUCUUGUUCUGAACCAAGCGGUCAGAUCAGUGCACAUGCACGAGACUCAGCCCCAUUUGUUUCCUUACGAGCUUCUAAAAUUUCUUAUCCCAUGGAAUAUUUAGAUACUAAUUAGAAGUAUUAAAUAUAGACUAAUUACAAAACCAAUUGCACAGAUGGAGGCUAAUUUGCGAGAUGAAUCUAUUAAACCUAAUUAGUCCAUGAUUUGACAAUAUGGUGCUACAGUAAACAUGUGCUAAUGAUGAAUUAAUUAGGGUUUAAUAGAUUCAUUUUGGGAAUUAAUUCCAUCUGUGUAAUUAGUUUUAUAAUUAGCUCAUGUUUAGUCCCCCUAAUUAGCUUCCGAAUAUUCGAUGUGACAUGAAUUUUAGUCCGGACUAAAGAUUCAAACACUCCCUUACUCUUCAGUGGCCGGCCUGUUGUUACAUCCUAGGUUUCACCCUUAACCUGCUAAUAAUUAGAGUCUGCAGAGACCUUAAUGGCAUUCUUUUCUUGGGAUGGUCAGUGCUAACUGGCUUUACCUAGGUAAGUGGCAAAAUGCACUUUUUCCCGGUCAGGCUUUGGUGCUGCUUACCUUAGAUUCCCCUAUGACACAGGAUUUUUGCCUCCCGAAGCUUAUGAUAAUCUCUACAAACGCUCAGGUUGAUCAGUCAUAACGGCCUCUUUGGCACCUCAUGAUCACCCAUUCAGUGUGUGCUUUAGUUCAUUCUGAUGCCGCCGCUUUGCUCUGCAUAUGCUUUAAUUUGCUGUCAGUCAGAGUGCACCUUAACGCUUAACCUCAGUAAGAGCUCCACACUUUGAUGCUACUCCCUCCGUUGUUAUUCCAACUUUCUUGAAGAAUCAAACCAUUUUAUGUUUGAUCAAAAUUAUAGAGAGAAUCACAUAGGUUUAUGCACCAAAUAGAUAUACUAUGAAAAUAUAUUUAAUGAAGAAACUAAUGCUACUUAUUUGAUAUCAUGAAUGUCAGUAAUUUAUUGAUAAAUUGGGUCAAACUUGAAAUGUUUCGACUCUUAAGAAAGUUGAAAUAACUUAUAAUUUGAAACAGAGGGAGUAGCUGUUUGUUUAGCUCCUCCGUGAUUGCUGCCGCUACUUUCUAUGGAUUUCUCACUCUCGCGCCUGCAUCUGGUCCCAUGCAUGUCUGCAGGCGAGGCCGACGAAGGUGAAGCUUCAACAGUGAACUGUGGAAGAUCAGAUUUGCUUGGUGAGCCGUGAUGAACUGAUAACAGGCAGUACUGCGAGCUUUCGCGCGCCUCGGUAAAGAUUGUUCUUACUGGGGGCUCGCCAUCAUGGUGUUAGGAUCAAAUAAGCCUGGAUGGGGACAGAGACAAAAACCGGGGCCUGACGAUGAUCGAUCUGCAAACUGUAUCGUGCGCUGUUUACUCGUCAGAAUCAGUUCCUUAGGACUUGUCCCGAGUUCCAAGGCUUUUGUGCAUGUGAGUGCCCGCAUUUGUUUGCUGCUGGUGUCUCCUACUGUUGCCAAGUCUGCAACUGCAUCGUGUACCAAAGCAAAAAUAAUAAUAAUAAAAGGGAGCAAACAGCACUUAGUACAUUGCAGAUUAUAAUAUAUAUAUCCGGCUUGACAAGACUUUUGUGAUGUCAGUGUCUCCUGUAGGUUAUGUUGUCAGUUGUGCUAUCUCACAAAGCGAGUUCUAAACUACAGUUACAUGAUGAAGAUAACAAGAGGCAAUCAUUAUAUGUUUGUUUGUUUGAAUGGAAUAAUGGGCUGAUCCAUAUCAUCAUCGCUCAUCCUUAACAAGCACAUGUAAGUGUAAGCAUGAGGGAUAAAGUCAUCCUAACAAAUUAAUUGGAUAAAUUCAUGAUGUACCAUCUCAUAUAGAAGAGGUAAUUCUGAUCCUAAAACCAAACAUCCCAAUAUUUUUCCUCUUAAAAGGGGAAUUGGUAAAAAGGGAUGCAAAGCCAAUAUAUGGGAGUUCUCUUCUUAUUCUCCACCAACUUCGACCCGUUUUUCAUCUUCUUUUUAUUUCCCCUCCUCCCAAUCUUCUAUCCACCCUAUAUCUAGCUAAACUACUUUUGGCGUGCGAAAAUGGACGAGGAUGGUAACUAAGACCUAACAAGCUAUCUAUUGAAGGACAUGCUUGGCUGCAUGCCGCAACCAGCCAUGUCACAAUAAAUUGGUCGCUGCUUGGCCAAAAGCUGGAAGCCACAGGGAAAACACAAAGCAGGUCUUCAGCAUUUGCGCCAUGAAGUGUGGCGCUGAUUUUCGAUGCCAAACCUUCGGCGCGCCACACCGUAGCUGGCAGGUUGUCGCCUGCAACCAAGCAGGCCCGUAAUCUAUGGAAGAUACUACUUCAUUUUGCACGAUCAUGCUUGAAAAUUGCUCUGCCACCUUGUGUUGUGGAGGGUCUUUGGUUGAAAAAAUGUAAUCGCUUCGAAGUCGUGCAAAGGACCCAGCACAUUAUUAAGAUUAUAAUUUCCAUAAAAAAUUGACUGCCUAUAUUGCUUUAGAGAAUUUUAUGAUUUGGAUUUGCAUUAAAAAAUGGAAAGCAAGAUUGGAUGGUGGAACGACCAACCGGUGGCUAGUUUAGUACUUUAGGGUAGCACUUAGAAUCACAUUUUCAAGAUAUGCUAGGUGAGUUUCACUGACCUUGCAUUAUUGCUAUGAUCCUUCUAUUGUCUUUUGAUAGAUCUAUUUGACCUUAGCACAAUGACUAAGGAGAAUAAAUUUGCUUAUCAUCUAAUGAAUCAUGUCAUUAUGUACUCCUCGUUAUCAUAUAUAUGCACCUCGGUAUCGAUGUUAUCAUAUACAUGCACCAAUUAUUUAUGUUUCUAGAAGAGUUACUCUGUACCGGGAUCGAACAUUCAUCUAUGUCAAAUACAAGACAACAACUCAAAUAGAAUUAUCAAAAGAGAAAAAUCUAAUUUUGUGAAUAGACCCACCAAAAGAGAAUAGGCGAGUAUAUGGUUGGAGUUUACUCCCAACCCAACCUUUGCAAGUGCCAUUUGCGUUUCUCACCUUUUUUUUUAAGAUAAUGGAAGAUUAUAUUCGGGCUUUAUACAUGCUUUUUCAAGAAUGCAUCAGACUACAAAGAUUAUAGAGUGGCACAUGUUCCAGUUAAAACAUCAGAAGAUCUAAUAUACCAACGAGAAAUAACAAAAUAAGAAAAAUACAACUAAAAAGCAUCCCAACUUGACGCCGUUACCCCUGGCUUCCCACACCGCGCGCGCACGUCGUGACGCCAGCUAACGGCUCGGCACGGUUGCCGUUACGCAACCCUGCCGUGACGUGGCGACCCUUCAUAUGUUCUCAGCUCACUGUCCUUCUCACUCCCUCGCAGUCACAGUACACAAAGACAGAGACCUGCAGCGAGCUAGUGCACACCAGCAAACCAACCAACGAACCAGCCGAUGGGCAAGUGCGUCAGGAUCCGCAGCAGCAGCAGCAAGCAGAACCCGUCGCCGUCGACGGGCGAGGCCGCGGCGGCGUGCCUCACGCUGCGCAGCGGCCGCCGCGUGCCGGUGGCCGCGUCGUGCAGCCCGCCGGGCAGCAGGCGCCACCGCCGCGGCGGAGCGGCACCAGCCUGCCGACGGUGCGGCGCCAAGCGCGCGUGCGACAGCCCCGGGCAGCGGAAGUGCUCGCAACCGAGGCCGCACCGUGGCCGGGCGGCGCUCGCAAGCGCCGAGCUCAGGCUCAGCGGCGGCCGGCCGGAGGAGGAGCCGCUGCCGUCGUCGCAGGCGAACCCCGCUGCCCGCGACGUCGACGGCGACCGUGGAGACAGCGCGUAAGUGUAGUUUUGUGCGUUCAUUCACAUCACAGAACAAGUCAGUUUCGAUUUGCGCAAAAUUGUCGACUCCUGCACGAGAACAAAAGCCGGCAUCGAUACAAAUGUUAACUACUUUCUUUCCACUGAAUUUUGCCCAAAUAAUUAGACCGGCCACGCCCCUCUCCGGCGACGAGGUGAUGAAAUCCAAACACGAGCACGGGAGCAAGGGCGGCGUCCCAGGCCAGCCGUCGCCGUCGCCGUCGCCGUCGUCGCCGCUGCUGCAAGCCGAGAUGGAGGCGUUCUUCGUCGCGGCGGAGCUCGCCGAGCGCCGGCGAUUUGCAGAAGCGUAAGCGCUUCAUUCUCACACAGUUGGAUACACAAAAUUCCGCACAAAGUUGCAGGUCUGGGUGUUCCCUAACGCGAGCUGCUGCCAUGCCUUUUCUGCAGGUACAAUUACGACGUUGCCCUCGACCGCCCGUUGGAAGGCCGAUUCGAGUGGGCGCCGGUGAGCACGUGAGGGGACGCAGCAUGGAGGGUAAAACUGUCAAUCGUAGCAACAAAUGCUUAUCCUAGCUUGGGAAAUUGGAGUUAGUCCUUCGAUUCUCCUACUGAUGUCGUUUAGAGAUUGUCACUGCUUCCCUAGUAUUACUGUCUGGGUAUAGUUUGCCACUGGUUCAGUUCAUCGGUUGUUACUUGUUUAUCACUGUUCUACUGUCUCUCUGACAACCGUAUAGUCUGUGUAUAGGAUAAGGUGAUGAUCCAUUGGAGGAAGCUUCUGAGCUCCCCAUGCUGAUCGGUUUCCACCGUGAAAUUCUACUCAUUUUCUUUAUUUACAAAUUUCUGACUUCUUGGUCACACAUAAUUUUCUUUACAAGCAUGCAUCUUACAUUCUUACUCGAUCAGACAGCUAGAUCAAGGUUAACUUUGUUCUCAAGCUAGCUAGUCAGGUGUAGCAACAGUAGAUGUUGGAGUUAGCUGGAAAAUCCAAACGGAACCGUGUGCCCUUUCCGAUUCAAGAAUCUCACUGACAUGUGAAUGUACCUUGGCUUGAAGCCGGCCGUGCAUUGCCUGCUGGUCCAGUGCUAUUUGUUCUAGGGUACUUUGCCUCAUCUGCACGACGACAUGAUGCACGUACACACAGGCACAUGCGCAUGCAUACGUACAUCUAGCAUGGCAUGUCCUUCUUCUGCUGUGCAAAAAUCAGUUUGAGGGGGUGUUUGGGUACACCCCACUAAAAUUUAGCACAUGUCACAUCGGAUGUUUGGAUGCUAAUUAGGAGUAUUAAACAUAGGUUAAUUACAAAACUAAUUGCACAGAUGGAGUCUAAUUCGCGAGACGAAUCUAUUAAGCCUAAUUAGUCCAUGAUUUGAUAAUGUGGUACUACAGUAACCAUUUGCUAAUGAUGGAUUAAUUAGGCUUAAUAGAUUCGUCUCGCGAAUUAGCACAGGGUUCUACAAUUAGUUUAUAAUUAGCUCAUUUUUAAUCUUCCUAAUUAGCAUACGAACAUUCGAUGUGACACUGCUAAAGUUUAGCACCUGGUAUCCAAACAGCCCCUUAAUCUUAUCUUUACUUUUUCAGAAAAGAUAAUUUUACAGAUUUUUCCUGUGUAUUGGUAGAUUUUUUUUGCAGGAACAUGGCACUGAAGAUGCAAUUUCUUUAUCAGUUACUAAUGUUCACCGAUCUUUUGCUCUUCUAAAUUUUGCAAGGAUUUUGAAUUGUUUUCACCUCGUAUUCAACACUGCAAUGAUGCUCUUAGGAUUUGUAGGCUUUCAUGUGCGGAAGAUGCUAUUUUCUUAGAUUGUGCAAAAGGUUCAAAAGCUCAUUUAUGACCUCAAAAGUACAUUUGCCAUGACAUUCCACCUCACUCCUGUCCAUUUCCAUCCAGUCUUUCUUUCUAGAAUCUAAGGGCCCUAAACGCCAUGAACUGUUCUUUCCUUUUACAUUCUCUUUUUGAAACUGCAAAGUGCAAACUAACAAAGCCAAUUUUUCGUACUUUUUUAAUUUUGCGCAUCACAAGAUUUCACAACAGAUGUUGCAUAGCCCAGGGAACUAAUCAAAAUGUACAUCUAAUUUUGUUGUAAUAAAAUUAAUUUGCAAAGUGUUAGUGUGUUUUCCUUGUAAAUUCAAGUAAUAUAUAUGGGUUUGGGGUAACUAAUAACUGGCCCAUCUGCUAUAUAUGACGUACACAGUCAUGUUAAACAAGUCAAAAGGCGCACAUCAGCUGGUUGUUGGGGGCAUAAUUGCAGCAGCAACCAAAAGAAAAACACCCUCCAAAGGCAGCAACAAUACAAAGCAGAGGUGGAAUCUUGAUGCAUAUGCUCUUCCUUUGCCCUUUUCUGGGUGCUUAAUCAUUCGGUGCACUCGUGGGGCCCCUAGCUAGCUUCUCCCUUGGUCAAUAUAGUAGUACACUCAAAUCAAAUAGCUCAUUUGAGUACUACAAAAGCAAAGAUGAACAAGAGCUUAAAGUUGCCCUUUUUAACAAUUAACCACCCCAGGUGUGGUGCUGGUGAUUGGUCUAGGGUUUGUUGUUGGUUGGUGUCCAUUGCUUUGGAUCUGGAGCUUCAGCUGGUUAGUUGCUUGCUUGUUUGGUAGGAGCAAGGAGAGAGAGAGGAGUAUCAAGUGAUGGUAUAUUCUAGGGAGAAUAAUCCCAGCUUCCUAACAUAAGAAUAUCCUCAUCUCAUUCAUUUCCUCCGUUUUGAUUUCCUUCACUUUUCCUUUGAAAAUCCUUUGAUCCAGACGGGACCUAAGAGAUGCAGCUAGUUUCAAUCCAUCUCCGUUAUUCUAGGAUACACAUGAGCGGUUUUUUUAACAACCGGUCGAUCAUAACAUACAGUAUAUUGAAGAAAUGAAAUUUCCGAUAGGUCACCUAUCUCGCUCAAUUUUGUUUUUCAUUUUUGCUACUCUAAUUAGCCUUUUCCAUUCCAAUAUUCCAUCACCCAAGAAACAUAGACAUAUACAAACCAACACAUGUUAUGGUUUGCUUCGUCAUUGGAUUCGCAUGACCUCCGCUUUUGCCUCUUCCUCUCCAUUGGGCAUUGGGCAUUGGGCUCCCUGCUGGAUUCCCCGAGAAAGAUAUGGAGUUGCACAGUGGAUGUGCACGUGAGAGAGGGUGAGAGGAAUGAUGAUGCAGGAAGGGACGUGUGGAGAUACCUGCAGCUGCAUUGCCUCUGCACAUUCGGAAUAUGUGACUGUGCGAGAGAGACAGAGGGACGUGAUAGAUGCAUGGGCCACCAUGUCAGGAGCAGGAGAAGCCAGCUAGCAGUAGGCAGCAUCUUAGCCUUUGGAUGGCAGCAUCUUCAUUCCCUGCGCCUCGGGAUCCGUGGUGGAAUAUUACAGUACAGGCGAUGCAUACCAUCACCUCCUUUGAGGCUUUAAGGACGAACAAGGUCGAUUAUUCAUGUUUUUCAAGGCACUUUCAGGGACGUGCGAGUACAAAUGACGCACUCAUGGCUCAUGUUCGACCUCGGAUGGACGACGGUUCAGGUCUUUCAAAGCUUAAACUUGGCUUUGUCCGUGCAUUCUUUCUCUUUGGUGUGCUUCUUUCUAGACAAAUCUCAAAGAACUUUUCUUAUCAAAGCGUUGCAAAGACAGUUUACGCCGAAUUAAAAGAGGUGAAAAAUCUCUUUCACGAUGCUCAUCUCACAAAGUUGUUACGAUAAAAUAUCAUCCUUUCCCCUGAGUAUGUGUGUAUGCCUCUUAAAGUUCCGAGAUUUUGACCUCCAAAAUGAUUAUUUUUAUUUAUUCGUUCAUAAUAUUGUGAGAGGUACAUGCAACAUUUCUGGACGCCUUAGGAGCCAGACAUAACAUCUCCCAGGUUCCAUAUUACACACACUUUUAGCAAGAACAUGGGCCUCAUUGUUAGAGCCUCUACCCUCGUACUUGUUGUGAGGCCUGCUCCGCUCGUGGGCUCGCAUCUUGGCGUGUAGGUAGGAGCCCACCUGAGAUAAGUUUAGAAAGCCUGGCUGUCGUCGAGGCCCAAAGAGUGGGAGCCCAGUUUGAUCACAGAUUAUAGCCCAAUAGAACCCCUGAGCGUUUUGGUCUACAUCCUGGUUGGGCUGGGCUGUCGAACGUUCGGUAGCAUCAUCAACAAACAACGAUAGAAGUUUUUCCGCUAAUUCGCGUGACAGGGUACGCCAUAAUUGAUAGUAGACCAAGGACACUGUCAACGAAAGAUUAAGGAGUGCUUUUGAUACGAGGUGCUAAACUUUAGCAGAGUCACAUCGAAUAUUCGAAUGCUGAUUAAACGGAUUAAAUAUAAACUAAUUAUAAAACUAAUUGCACGGAUGGAGUCUAAUUCGCGAGAUGAAUCUAUUAAUGCUAAUUAAUCCAUCAUUAGCAAAUGGUUACUGUAGCACCACAUUGUGAAAUCAUGAACUAAUUAGACUUAAUAGAUUCGUCUCGCGAAUUAGACUCCAUCCGUGCAAUUAGUAAUUAGACUAUAUUUAAUACUCCUAAUUAAUAUCCAAACAUCCAAACAUCAAAUGUGACAUAUUCUAAAAGUUUUGCGGGGCAUCAAACACCCGCUAAAGCGUGUCGGAACAAAACACUCAACCUCUCCCUCUCGAGAGAAGAGAGAGAGAAGACAAGAAAUCACGAUACUAAGAAACAAAUAUUCAAGUUUGCAUAAACCACUAUACCGAAAAACAUUCAAACUUGCAUAACUUGAAUAAAACAAAAGCUUGAAGAACGAAACCAUUUCAAAUAUGCUUGUAUAUAGUGAACAUGAAUCUGUCUACAUCUUGUGUAUUCAUGCCUUUAUCCAUACAAGUGAAAAAAAGCACAGUUUUCCAUUGGCCAGGACGAGUUGACGAUCUGUCUCCACCCCAAUCUCAAGUCAUUUGAGCAGCUAACAGGAGCAACGUAAACGUCGCAAAAGGCAUGUGCUUUGGUCGUAUACACAUACGGUAUAAUAAUAGAGUGGCUUGCAUCAUACUUAUCGUUGCUGUCGCUGGCCUGCUGCCGUGCAAGAACAGAAGGGCCAGCGCCACGUCAGCUUGCAAGAGAUCGACUUCAACGUGCUCUCUACUUCCAAGGGAACGGCGCGUAGAAUAUGCUAGACUCAGAUCCUGUUUGGCAACGCACUCAUAAACUUUAGUACCUAUCACAUCGGAUGUUUGAUACUAAUUAGGAGUAUUAAAUAUAGUCUAAUUACAAAACUAAUUGCACAGAUAGAGUCUAAUUCGCGAGACGAAUCUAUUAAGUCUAAUUAGCCCAUGAUUUAACAAUGUGGUGCUACAGUAACCAUUUGCUAAUGAUGGAUUAAUUAUGCUUAAUAGAUUCAUCUCGUGAAUUAGUAUAGAGUUCUGCAGUUAGUUUUAUAAUUAGCUCAUGUUUAGUCCUCCUAAUUAACGUCCGAACAUCCGAUAUGAUCCUCCUAAAGUUUAGUACCUCGUAUCAAACACCUCCUCACUUGCGUUAAUCUUUGCCCUUGAAUGGUUUUUUUUAUCUCUCGAGUUCAUCCACGUACUAAGUUACCGGUGUACGCGUUUGACCAAUAAUCUCCGAGAAAAAAAAAAUGGAACAAUGUUGAAAUUUCUCGCACCUACGUACAAGUUUCACGACGGUAUAACGGAAAGAUUCGCAUUGAAACCAAGCUUCACGUAGUAUGCAUUUGAUCCUACCUCCAAAUCGAAUCUAGCAACAAAUUCAAACAAAUGGCCUUGAUCAGGUUUUUGAAAAUCGAUGAAUGCAACUUGCAAGUACACAUCAAAACAUCAGCAUUUUCCUUUUCCAGGACAGAAAAUGGUGCGUUUUUCCAUCAAUUUUUUCCAUCAUCCACCACACCAGCGUGUCAACUCCUCGGUGCUCCGUAGCAUUUCCACCACCAGCACGCUCCCACGGCACUUCCACCCCGAAAGAUAACCCCGCGCCGCGCCGCGCCGCCGCACCAGCACGCCGGGCAGGCAGGCAGGCACGGCCAUCUUCUUCGUCCUCUCCUCCUCCAAUUCAAGGCGGCGCCCAAGUUUCCAGGGCCGCAGCCCGCGGGGCAGGGGGAUGUGGGGGCGGCACUACUGGGGCGGCGGGCGGCGUCCGGACCCGGCCGCCGCCGGCGUGGUGGUGAUGUUCGCGUGGCUGUCGAGCCAGGAGCGCCACGUGCGGGCGUACGUGGAGCUCUACGCGGCGCGCGGGUGGGCGUGCCUCGUCUGCCACUCCGACUUCCCCACCCUGUACGGCCGCCUGCGCGAUCUCUUCCUCCCAUCCGUUGCCUCCGAUGAACCCCCGCGAAAAAAAAUGUGGUCCUCAGAGGAUGGUCCGAUUCGAUGCGGUAGUGCGAGAAAGAUGCGGUUUUUAGUUUGCUCCUAUGUCUAGGCGUUCUUGGAUUUGCCGGAGGUCUGGGGGGAUUCAGGGGAGGAGGCUUCAGUUUCUUGUGCGUUGCAGUUGAGUCGUUUGCGGUAUUUGGGGACACGCAGACGCAACUGAUGCUAGACAUGAGAUGCGUUUGCCUUUGCGGUUACCAAUCUUGGUUGUGCAGAAUUUCAUAUAGCUAGGUUGGAUGAGCUUAGAAAUGCUGUGAUGACACAUGGACCCUGUUGGGUCAUUAGCUUCCUAUUUUUAGUGCCCUGUCUCGAUACUCCGUACAAAGUAAUCGAUUGUUCUGUUGUUUAACACUUACGCUUUGCUUAAGCAGGUUUUUCCCCGAGAAGGCUGCUAUGCUUGCCGACAGGGUGCUUGGGGAGCUUGUCAAGGUACGUUUAUUACCUCACUGCACUGCAAUUUCAACCGGGUUUGGUACAAUUUUUUGUGGUUGUGUAUGUUUAGGCGCAUCUAAUUGGUUGUUGCAAUCGGGCACCUGUUGCUAUAUUGCUCUUUGAAAACCAAGGAGCUGAAGAUUAGACCUGUACCUGUUGCGUUCGCAUCGUUUUCAGGAGGGCCAAAGGGUUGUACGUACAAGGUUCUUCAGGUAAUAUAUGGAAUUUUGCACCAUUUUGCUGAAGCAGUUACCUCUAGGUUAAAGCUGGUUUGGAAUCUCUAGGCUAAAGCUUUAAUUGUUCACUGACAGCUGAUAGAGCGAAGAUGUAAAGGGCAACUAAGUCUGGUAUGACUCUUACUUAUUGCCCUCCUCUCUUACUCAUUGCUGAAAUGCUAGCUGAAGCUUUGUUCGGUAAAUCAAAUAAGCUGUAGACACGUAGAUUUGGGUAUUCUGGUUUGAAUUUACUCGUUUUGAAGAAAGCUUCGUGUGCUUUUGGUUUCUACAGGAUGAGUAUCAGCUUGUACGGGAUUGUCUGUGCGGGCAAAUGUACGACUCAAGUCCUGUGGAUUUUGUCAGUGAUUUAGGCACUCGCUUUCUCCUUGACCCAAGUGUCCUGAAGAUGUCUGAACCUCCUCGUGUCUUGUCAUGGAUGGCUAAGGGUGUUGCCUCAGGUCUCGACGCCCUAUUCAUAAACAAAUUUGAAGAACAACGUAAAGAUUAUUGGGAAACACUAUACUCAUCUGUGGUAUGCCCCUCUAUUGACCACAUUGAUUAGAAGCCUGAUUUUAGAUGAAUUUUCUUGUGAAUAUCUGUAAUCUUAGACCGUGGUACAUGCAGAAUGUUGGGCCAAUACUGAUACUCUGUUCAGAGGAUGAUCAACUUGCUCCAUAUUCGGUUGUUGAAAAUUUUGCCAAGCGUCUGCUGGAGCUUGGUGGUGAUGUGAACCUAGUUAAAUGGCACAGUUCUCCUCAUGUAGGUAUGUUCUUCUUCCUCUUUCUGUCUGCAGUCUACUUAAUACUAUAUUAAGUUAACUAAAAUUGAUACUAGGUAGUUUAACCUAGUUGAAGUAGCAGUAUUAACCAGGGAGUUGUUGAUCUUUACUCCAUUUCUGUACCUAGCCAUUUUAAUUGUUAUGACUUCCUAGUUAGAGUUUUUGACAACCUUUUUAUCCUUUUUUUUUCUGAACAUCGUCCCCAUUAACUGCCGUUUACCUCACUUAACAUGCCUCUAGGUUAUAAAAAGAAAUGCAAAGACUAAACUUGUUAUUGAUUAUUUAUCUUGGUUUUCUAACAUGACAAGAGGUCAAGAGCUAUUCAGUUGUUUUAGGUACUGACAACAAUCUAUAGAAUGCUAAUGAUUUUAUGUAAAUUGUGAUGUGAUGAGAGGAGAAUGCAUCACGAUGGCAUGAUGGAACUAGUUCCCGAAUGCAGGACUACUCUAGUAGUACUGUAUCGGUAGAGCUCCAAGCUCUCAAUGGAAAAUCGCAAUUGGAACUUUUAGCAUACAUUGUAUUAGUCCCAGGGUGCUUACUGCCGCUAAUAGCCCCAUUGAUCAUAUUCAAUACUUGGAGGCUGCUAGUUAAUUUACCAGAAGGAUUUUGAGUCUGCACUCAGCAAGCGGCCAGAUCAUGAUGGUUUUCUGAAACUUUACGUUGAACAUUCGCCUAGCCUAAUAUAAGUCAACCUGCAAUCACACUUCUCAUUUAUAACUAUCCCUAGAGCAAAAUGUUUUCUUUUUAGAAGGUGGAAACAUGUCUGGUGUAAAGGUGCUUGUACACCUUGCCAGAAUUGGUUCUUUUGCUAACUGAUAAGCAGCUGUGUUCUAGUUUCAAUGGGGAAAUCUUUUACAGAAACAAAAAGAAAACAAAGUUUAUUUGGAGAAAUAAAAAAUACUCCCCAUCUUAUUGUGAACUAAAAGGUCAUAGGUAAAGCCAUCAUGAAUUGCGCAUGUUGCUUGGAGCUUGUUUCCAUCUAUCCAGAUGUCAAGAUACGGUUUGGAUAAACAUCUGAUCUUGCGUGCAGAAUUUUAACUGAUUACUCAAAGCUAGACUUCCCCAUUUCUUUAUGCCAAUCCCCUCACUGGAGAUGAACAUUAAGAACUCCUGGAUAUGCUGCUGUACUUUCUUAGGAAUUUCUCAAGACCGAUUUGUAAAGAAUUUUGUGCAUGGUGUUCUGUAAAUCCACUAAUAUCUAGUAAUUCAGGUCCUUUGUAGGUUUACAGAAUGUCAAGUCACCAACACAUAAAAAAUGUCUCAUUAACUAAUUUAUGACCCAUAUCAUAAAAUAAGACCUGCCCCUUGCAAUAGUUAAUACUGGUAGCUUCACCAAUUCAGUUAUCUGAAAAUUUUCAUCACGCGUGACUCUGUUCAGAUGUUCUACAUGCAAAAGAUUUUAUAGGGUGUGCUUUAUGCCUAACCUAAAAGAUGUGGAUGCACAAUGUCUCAAGCCAUGUGAAACUGAUGAGUAUAACACUUUUAUGAUUUCUUCUUAUUAUCUCUUUUCCUCUAUUGCUAUUUAUGCAGGCCACUACAAGUAUCACCCUGAGGAAUACCGAACUGCGGUGACUGAGCUACUCAUGAAAGCAUCGGCGCUUUACAUGAGCAGAAGACAACUUAACGGAUAUGAGGUGGGCACAAGUGAGCACAGCGACAUGCCUCCGUCCAUCUCCGAUCAGCGCAGAACUGCUGCAAGCUCUAACAACAGGCUAAGACGAGCACCGAUCGAUCCAAUGGAUCAGUUCUUCCUACCAAGCUCCAUGGAGUACCAUGAAAGCAGUGAGGGACCGAAGCCAGAGCUGUUCAACAUGCCAAGUGUGGAGAGCUUGAGCCUGCAUGGGGUGCUGGGGCAGGUGAUGUAUGAUGUAUGCGUUCCAAAAAACGUAGAAGGCUGGGACCUCAAGCCUUCUGCUUCGAGGCACAUGCAUACUGCUGCGCGUCGGCAUAGCAGCUUCAAUCCAAUGAAAUGUGUGCGGCGCUCGAGAUUGUGAAAAUUUUGACUGGAACAUUUGCAUGCAUACAGGUGAAUGUGUAUACUAUGAGAGAAUUUGUUUGGUGGAUGCUGGUGAAUCUUAAUAUAGCCACCAUCCAUCGAAUAAAAUGCGAAAUUUAAUUUUGUAAAUCUGAAGGAGUUGUGCACGUCUGUGUAUAUGAUAUGGCCACUUAUCUUAUUUUCCUCUGCCAAUAAAUGAAAUCUCCUUAUUAAUUUCUCUCAUAGACAAGAUCGGAACCAUGUAAAGAAUAUUGAGUUUGACAAAGCAGAAUCAUGUCAAGAAAGUUGAGCAACUAAUGACGUAGCAAAAUUGGAAGGAAAAAUAUCCCUGUCAUAGAAUUCUUUGCAUGAAUGGAUAUUUCAUUGGAACUAGUUGAAGAACAAGCACACAGCAAGAACCAAGAAAAAACGAGUGAGGCUAUAGGGAGUUCAGAGGACCACAGCUUCAUGAGAACAUUUCUGAGCAAGGGAAGACAUGAAAGUGGCCCAGAAAGAAGCAAUGAGGGCAUGCUUGCAAGGGAGAACUCGAACCCAGGGAGUGGUACGUGAAUGUGCAAAACAUUUUGGACCUGGAUGUAUGACAGCAGAAGUCGCGAGGGCCGGAAAAGAAUAGCCCAGGGGCGCAUCUGCAAAGGAAAACAAGCACCCAGGGGCGUAUCCGUGAGGGAAGAACUCCAGCCCAGGGACCGGCGCGCAAAAUCCCAAAAAAAUUUGGACCAUUUCUCGAUUUGUGCGUGUCAUCCUUGCGCAGGGGCCAUGCUAAUCUUCUCUGUAUCGUUCCAAUUUUAUCGGAUGUCUCCGAAGAGACAACAGAGUGGCUGCAGCCGAGCUUAUAACUUGGUCUUUUCUUCCCUUGCUGGCCGGUAUGGGACUAAACUUCGAUUCCAUCCAUCGCUCGUUGCCUCGUUCCCGUGAGCGCGCCAGAGCGCAGCGCAAGCGCCCCCGCGUGGGCUGAAUCUUUUAGAACGGCCCAGAUAUCACGGGAAAGAGCAAGGUGGGCUUUUGUGUCCCCCCCCUUCCCGUGGGCUGAUUUUUAACACAGCCCAGCUAACAAUAGGAUCCAGUAUCCGAUUGCAAACAGGUACAUUUUUUUUUACACACUUCACUAAAAAAUUAGCAGGUACAUAUUCCUAUCCCGGGAAAAACGAUAGUAAAAUUAUAUUCCUCAAAAUCAACAAGAAAAGUCGGUCACCGUCCUCGCUAGAAAAUUGUAUAUUUUUCUUCGAGAAAGAAACUAGCACAGCUCUCAUGGCUCCGUGAUGAGAAUUUCCAACAACUGUUCAGGGCAGCACUGCUCGUGCUUGACCGAUGGUCACGAUUCCCAGCUACCGUGCUUCCAGUUCUUUCACAUCACGUCUUCGAUGGUUUUUGGCUAUGGUCACUGUCUCUAGUCUUUUCGGGGAUUCUUCCCUGAAGUCGCACGCCUGGUUCUUUCUUCUUUUGAGAUGCGUCAGGUACUGUACUGCACGUUGAACGUGUUUCUAUCAGCAUCACUUGCUGUUAGUAGGCAGGUACGGCGAGCGAAGAUUUGUCAGCUCAAUCUUUUGAAAGUGCUCAUAAAAGUAGGAUUGUGUGUCGUAGGGAUGAGUAAGCAUGCGUGUAUGUGAUUUGAAAAAAUAAUCAACUCUUCUUUCUUUUUUUGUCGUUGAGAAAGCCAAGAUAACUGAUUGAAUGUGAUGAGCGUACAACUUAUUUGUUAGUGGGUAAUUCUUAGAAAGAAUGGCAAGAUUAAAUUCAUAGGAGUUUUUUUUCAAAGUAUCAUCUCACUUUGUUUGAUGAUACGACGUGUGGGAAUAUUUCCUUAUAAUGGGAAAAUUUAAGUUACGGAAAAAAGGGGCCAAAAAGAAGAUGGAGGAGUGAAAAGGAAUAUGCUCAUGCAAUGGUAGUGAUGCCCGAAUGAUGCCACGAAGAGCUCCAUCCUGAGAAGCAAAGGUUUUAAGAAAGGCAAAGAAAUAACUCCAAGAUACAUGCAUGCAUGAUGUCAAUCCAAUGGAACGCAUAUAUGAUAUUUCUUUUCAUUCUACUGCCUCAACUAACGUCAUGUGCCUCCGAGAUUAGUAUAAUAACAAUUAUAAAUGUGGAAUCCUCGUAUGUUCGAAAUUAAAUGAAAGAUGCGACCAAUCCACGAAUACCUAAAAUGAAAAUCAAUAAGAUAUGUAUAGUUUCUUUCAUUCGUAACUCGUUUGUCUAGGCUUUCUCCUUUUUAAUAUAAAGGUAGCUCUCCUGUCGGUUUGUUAAAAAAAAAGAAAAUCAAUAAGAUAUUGAGUUGGUUUUUAAGAAGGCAAAUAGUCGCUUUUUAUAUAAUUUCUCCCUCAUCUCAUUUCCAGAAAAUGUCUCAUCAAUUUGUACCUCGGAUGAGCCAUAAGCCCAUAACACCCUUUUCAUGCCUUUGUAUGCCUUUGUUUUGAGUUUUUCUAUAUUUUUUCGAAAUUGUUUUGAGUUUUUCUAGAACCUCUAGAUUAAAACUUGCAAGGUUCUACAUCUAGGGGGUGUUUGGAUACCCCGUGCUAAAGUUUAGCACUUGUCACAUCGAAUGUUUGGAUGCUAAUUAGGAGUAUUAAACAUAGGCUAAUUAUAAAACUAAUUGCACAGAUGGAGUCUAAUUCGCGUGACGAAUUUAUUAAGCUUAAUUAGUCCAUGAUUUGAUAAUGUGGUGCUACAGUAACCAUUUGCUAAUGAUGGAUUAAUUAGGCUUAAUAGAUUCGUCUCGCGAAUUAGCAUAUGGGUUCUGCAAUUAUUUUUAUAAGUAGCUCAUGUUUAGUCCUCCUAAUUAGUAUCCGAAUAUCUGAUGUGACCCUGCUAAAGUUUAGGUGUGCUAAAGUUUAGCACCUAAGUAUCAAAUAUCUCCAGUCCACCGGAUCUAGCCAGGGCAAGGUGCAGUUGCCGUUUUAGCUAGAGCCUACGUAGCUGUGGGCCCAUGACGAUGAGUGGCGGUUUGUAAAGUGACGGACGGAUGGAGCCGUAUUUCAUUGACGUCAUACACUCUGCAUACACGUUUGUUUACAAAUGUUUGCAGCGUCAGCUUAUCUCCUAGGUUUCCUUUUGUCUUCAAGUGCUAACUUUUUUUUUGUUUUUGUUCCAUUUUUUUUCCUUCUCUUCUAAUAGCUGUGGGACCGUGGCACCGUUGGGUGAAUUUUCCAAAAACGGCCAUGUUCUGGUUCAGUUACUGCCAGCUGCUAUGUUGACGAAAGUAAAACGGGUCCAGCGCAUCACUCAGGAAAUUUAUCAAUAAAGAAGUCACGGUACCACUAGACACACAACGUAGCGGAAGAAGAGUUGGAACAGAACCGGUUCAACGUAGUCGCGCAUUGUUAUGGAUGAAGUAGUUGAUUUCGUCCCACGAACCGAUCUCCACAUCCUCAUGCCAGCAGCAGCCUCGCAUCGCCGUAGCCGAUCAGCACAACAGCGGCGCUUCCCGGAGUCCACAUGUACGGGGGAAGAAUGCCGUGCACUGUUGUGCUAGCACCGCGCGCGUGGCAAGGAUCUCGAGCUCAGGCCGAGAGGAAGUGGCGGCUAGGGUUGCAGUGUGGUGGAUAAGUGCGCCCCCUAGUCCCACCUCUUAUAUUUAUAGAGCACACUAAUGAACUUUCAGGCUGAAGGUCCAUUAGUUAUCCUAAUUUCUUGUGGAUCAAUUAUUUUAUGGUUCUUUAAUCUGAAUUGUUAUGAUUAUCUCUUACGUAGAUCGUAGAUCAGCAACAGUUGACACGCACGAGGGCAAAAUUUGGAUAUGUUCGGUUAUCUCAUUCGUUUUUUUUUCAUGUUUUAUUUAUGGACUUGCCUCGUUUCAGUGCGGUAGAUAUGGAACGCACAAGGAUUUAUUUAGCUAGGAAAUACAAAAUACGUAAACAAAUGUAGGAGAGAUUCGUUUAAAAGAAAAACAAAGGCCAGUGAGAAAGAGAGAUGAUAGACGAGGAAGGAAUCAGGAGUAAACUUGUGUGAUAACAGGACGUCAUGAACUGCCUCGGGAAGCAAAGGUUAAACAAGAGAGCAAAGACUUCAACUUCAUUGAAUAAACCAUCCUAAACAACAAAUAGUCAAAAUGUAACUUCCAAUCUUUAGAAGUAUAUAAAGCUACUAAAUUUCACUUUUUUUUUUUGCAACGAAGAUCUAUCCUGUCAGCCUAGGACUAGCAGCGCGAAAUGACAUUGCUACAGUAAAAAAAUCAACACCGAGUGAGAUAAUACGUCACAUAUAUGCUCCCUUUUUACCUUUUCCAGGGGAGGGAGGUGCCAAGAAAAUAAAAAAAAUGCCAAUUCCAGGGGAGUAAACAAAUCCAGUGGCAUCGUCAUCAGGAGAACUACUUCUAUGCCGGUGAGGGGUGGAAUUAUCCCUUCCCCGGCAUUCUUCGAUCCCGGAAUAUGCUCCACGAGCUCCUUCCAAUCAACCAUUCCCCUCCACCCAAUCACCCCCGAUUCGCAAAUCCGAGAGAGCUGCAUCCGGCGGGCCUCCUCGCUUUCCCGGUUCUUGUACGGGUCACAUAGGGAUCCUUACUCCGUGUUGGAUUCGGUUACUUGCUUUCUUCUUCAUUGGGUCCGGAUUUCCCUGGGUUGAUCUGUUUAGUCUGCUGUGUUCGUCGCAUUAGGCGGAGGAUUGGGGGCAGCUCUGGUUGGUGGUAGCGGGCGGUUCCUGAUCCCGCCCCGGUGGUUCCAACCGCGCCAAUCGCGUGCUUGAUUGGCGUAAAGGGCGGAUUUUUAGAAGGAUUUUGUGGUAAGGAUCCAAUUCUGUGGAGGAUUUUGCUACUUUGGGAUUUGAGCGUCACUAGAUUUCGUCAAUUCGGUCUGAUUGUGAUUGAAAGGGAUAGGAAUUGCAUUUUUGUUGCAAAAUGGGAUGGCUGUCAUGGCCGCUUUGAAUCGUGCCUGGUUGUGGUGAAAGGAUUGUUUUUUUUCCCCUGAUAUGGUGGCUGUGGACGCCUGUGAUGCCCUUGCUCGAGGUUGAAGGAUUCCACGGUUUGAUGGUCUGUGCUGUCCGGGAGCUCGUCGUCGGCGGUGGGAGGCAAGAUGUACGCCGUGGGGAAGGUCGGCAGCCUCAUCUCCCGCAGCGUGUACACCGUCUCCGGCCCAUUCCACCCGUUCGGCGGCGCGGUCGAUAUCGUCGUCGUGCAGCAGCAGGACGGCAGCUUCAAGAGCUCGCCGUGGUACGUGCGGUUCGGCAAGUUCCAGGGGGUUCUCAAGUCGAGGGAGAAGGUCGUCAACAUCUCCGUCAAUGGCGUCGAAGCUGGGUUCCACAUGUACUUGGACAGCAAUGGCGAGGCUUACUUCCUCAGGAACGCGGAUCCGAAUGGUGAGGAAGGAGAGUUUGUUGUAUCACCCGCAUCGUCGGGAGAUGAGCGGGAGGCACCGAUCCAGGAAGCUCAGCUGAGGAAGUCGAAGAGCACUUCGUGUGAUAGCUCAACGAUGGAGGCUGAUGUUGGGGAGGGCAAGAUGCUCGCAAGGACAACCUCAAGGCGGACCACCAUACUUGAACGGAUGUUUGGCCGGAAAACAGUUAAGAACAAUGCGCAUGCUGUGGAUAGAGUGAGCUCAUUAGAGCGAGCAGAGAUUGCUGCCGAACUCCUAGAUACAAAGUGGUCGACAAAUCUCCCACGUAGUUCGAAAUCUCAUGGUUCUAAUGAUGAAUCUUCCAAGAGCAAGUUGGCAGAAGCUAGCAGCAGUAAUCAGAUGGAAACCUCAAAGACUCUAUUGCCAGAACAUAGCUUGGAUCAUGGGAAAGAGACCGACUCUAACUGCAAUUCUUGUAGUCCUCGUGGAGGAACAAACAGUUCAGCAGAUGAAACUGAUCAGUGUUUACAAACCACUAGUGUGAAGGAAGAGGUUGUUGAGAUACACACACGUGAGACUAGUGACUUCACUGAUAGGAUCAUCUCAACUGUGCAUCAACCAGGAUCAGAAUCUUUGUCAAAUGAUCUGGGAACAGAUAAAAGUAUACAUGAAUCUGUCGAUACUCAAGAUAAGUUGCCCCAUAAUUUGGAAGAUGUUGCAGGAAGGGAAAUACAUAAAAAGGAGGCCUUUUCCAAUGGCAUUUUUGAAAUCCAUACUGUUGAGACAGACACUACAAGUGGUAAGAGUGAGGUGGUUUCUCAGUUUGUUACUGUAGAUUCAUAUGGAGCCAACCAAAAUUUGACAGGUGCCAAUUCACCAGCUUAUGCAACCACAGACGAAAAGCAUGAGGUUACAUUGAUCCCUUCUGCGCAAGAUCCAGUUCAAGAGAAAGUAGUCAUUCUCAGCAGUUCUGAAACUGUGGAGAUUUCACAAGAUGCAGUUCAAGAGAAAAUGGUCAUUUUCAGCAGUUCUGAAACUCUGGAGAGCUCAUAUGCUGUGUCCAAUAUUUCAGAUGACAAAGUUCGUGAUGCAUCAGAUAUCUCACUGGCUGACAGCAUACAACGCGAGGAGCAUUCCGGAGUCUCUGAUGGGAGUCAAGAACAGGUAUUUUCUGAGGAAAGGUUAUCAGCAUGCAGUGGUGCUUCCAGCAACAAAAAAGACGUGAUUGAAGUGGUUGUUGAAGAACAUGGAGCUUUUAUCUUAGAAGAUCCAGCUCCCCAAACCUUGCAAGGUAAUGGUCCAGAUAUGGAUAUUUCUGUGGACAGUGUUUCACUUUCACAUACCGAUGCGGUUCAUGAUUUCGCUUGUCAGCAUGAUGUGGUUUGUCCUGAUGCUUCUUCUAGUGUUGUAGAGACAUCAACUUAUGUGCCUGACUAUGAUCCUGAAGAUGUCACAAAUAACGUAAUCGUGGAAAAUCAAGCAUGCAACAGAGAGCUUGAUGUUUCUGUUACUCAGACCUCAAUAAUAGGUGAUGAAUCCACAGAAUGCAAUGCUCAGUCAGCUAAUUUUCCUAAUAAAAUAGAAGUAGAGAGUUCACCAACUGCUACUGGGUCUUCCAGUUUGGUCAAUGAUCCUGAAGAUGUAGCUAAGAGCUUAAUCGAGGAAAAUAAAGCGUGCAACAGAGAGCCUUGUGUUUCCGUUACUCUGACCUCAACAAUAGGAGAUGAACCCACAGAAUGUAUUGCUCAGUCAGCUAAUUUUCCUAAUAAAAUGGAAAUAGAGGGUUCGCAAACUGUUACCGGGUCUUCCAGUUUGGUCAAUGAUCCUGAAGAUGUAACAGAAAACUUAAUUGUGGAAAAUAAAGCAUGCAACAGAGAGCCUGAUGUUUCUGUUACUCUGACGUCAACAAUAGGAGAUGGAUCCACAGAAUUCAUUGCUCAGUCGGCUAAUUUUCCUAAUAAAAUAGAAGUAGAGGAGGGUUCACCAACUGCUACUGGGUCUUCCAAUUUGGUCUAUGGUGAAGUGCAAAGCAUAAAAACAGAAGGUGAAACAGGAAGAUCCAGUUCUGUGAGUGGAGAUGAAGUUGGGUUUGUCCUUGAGGCUACAGCUGAGCCUGAGGAAGAAGCAGAAGCAAGAGUAUCAUUCUCUGAGUAUACAGAAGAAAUUCAGUUUCAGUUUAGUGAUACUGAAAAUUUUGCUGAUAGAAAGGCCAUGGAUGACAUAGUGGCUGACAAAACAGCAGGUGAAGGAGAACAUGAAGAAUCUGAUUGUGACACAGAAAAACAGGAAGAAGGUGAUUUAGAUCUUGCAAAUGUAUUGGAAAACUGCUCUGAUUCAUUAAGGCCUGUGACUAGCCCUGUUUCUAUUCCUACAUGCAAUCUGCAGUCAGAAGAUAAUACAAUGGAGGCUAAAUCUCUACCAAAUCUCCGUUCUCACAUACAUGAUCUUGAAAGGUCUGAUAGUUUUCAGCUAAGCCGCUCACUACAACCAAAUGCUGAAAAUAAUGGGGUUGACCCAGUCAAGAGUACGGAUUCUUCUUUUCUUGAGCAGAAAUCAGAAGUUACUGGUGAUUCAGAAGAAAAUUCCAGCCCACCUGAGGUUACCAGCAAUGUAGUACCUGAUGACAAGCAUGCUGACAACCUGAAAAUUGAUCCGUUCGUCCCUUUUGCGGGUGAGUUUUUUCUUUUUGCUAGGACUAGCAUUUCUACUUCUUUUUAACACUACUAGUUGUAAUUAUCUUUAUCUUGCAGAGUGAAUGUGAUUCUUUUGUUCGAAAAUUUCCCAAUAAUUUAGUUGGAACAAGUGAACAGUGAACUUUGAUAAAGACUGUUUAGUUUUUUUUGUUGUAGCAGUUUCUGUGAUUUCCUUCAGUGUCUUAAUAUUACUGAAGUAACUUGGCAGCAAUGACAAUCUCUAUCUGUGCCAUUUUUGCAGAAUUAUCAUUAUGCAGGCACCUGUUAUCUGAAGGCAUGGGGGAGGAUGCCGCCCGCAGUGCAUUUGAUUCUGAGAAGGUGACCUUAGAGAAGUUCCAUACCAUGAAGCAGUCACUAAUGAGAAACAACAAGCUAGUUGUUAGGAUUGCUGGACGCUAUUUUCCCUGGGAUGCAGCUGCGCCUAUAGUGCUCGGUUUGAUUUCUUUCAGCGAGGAACAAGUUUUUGAACCCAAAGGCAUGAUAAAGGUCGAGCAAAUUGAGACAAUUGCAGCACCAGGUGGCAGCUGGAGAAUCUGGCCGUUUAGUUUCAGACGAACAAGGACUAUUAGUGCUGUCCAGCCAGUUUGUGAAAGCACUGUUGAGACUUCCAUAUCCACUCCUGUUAAAGAAUCCACACCGUUUAGUGAAUCAGAUAGAGAAAGGAAUAAAUCCAGGGCAAAGAGGAUCGAGAGGAAGGUGCGAUCACUCACUCCAACGUCUGAGGAGCUCGCAUCUCUUGAUCUCAGAGAGGGCAGGAAUGUGGUUACAUUUACCUUCUCAACUGCAAUUGUUGGGAAACAGCAGGUUAGUUUUACUUAAAUUGUUUUUAAGUUCCAUUAAGUUGCAUUUCACAUCUUCCUAUCCUUUCAUAAACAGGUUGAUUGUCACAUAUAUUUAUGGAAAUGGAAUACACGCAUUGUCAUAUCAGAUGUGGAUGGAACUAUCACCAAGUAAGUCACAAAACUGGAGCAGUGAAGCCUAUGUUUUUAUGUUUAAUAUAAAUACUAUGAUUUGGAUACCUGAUUGCCAGGAGUAGCUGUUAUUCCAGCUUUCUCUUUAUUGGAUAAUAUUGUCCACUUCAAAGAUGGAGGGAAAAAAGGGAGAUAGUGAAUUUCAUGCAACUAAUGCAGUUUAUAGUCAUUAUAAAAUAUAGGAGCUAUCUGAUCCUUACCACCUACAAAUGCAGUAUAUUCAAUUCUUACAAUUGUCCACAUUUUUUCCAUGUGAUUGUAGGUCUGAUGUUCUUGGCCAGUUCAUGCCACUGGUUGGUGUUGAUUGGUCUCAAAAUGGAGUCGCUCAUUUGUUUUCUGCAAUAAAGGUAUUCAUGCUGCUCAUGCUUGUAACAAAAUAGGCAUAAUUUCAAUUUCACUUAUAGAUCUAAUCCUGCCAUAGCAAUUGAUUGAUUCUUUCUAAUGUUUGUGAACUUACGCGCGUAACUGGGUCUAGAAUGUUUGUUGAUUUGGUUUGUUAUUGUUAUCUUGUUCUUGUUGCAUCCGCAGGAAAAUGGAUAUCAGCUUCUAUUUCUAAGCGCACGUGCUAUUUCACAAGCCCACAUUACAAGGCAGUUUCUUUUCAACUUAAAGCAGGUACAUUGAAAUUCAGUCCUAGUCAAUCCUAUACUUUCAUAAUCUGUUUGUGGUGAUCAUGAAUUUAGUGUAUGCCCAUUAGGUAACAAAAUCACAGGUCUGAUCAUGCUUGCACAUUCACAAAGACACGACAGUGAAACUAAUAAAUAGAACGUGGUGCUCAUCUAUCUUAUUCCCACAUGUGAAUUUGGAUUUCAGGAUGGAAAAGCACUUCCUGAUGGCCCCGUUGUCAUAUCUCCAGAUGGUCUCUUUCCUUCACUUUACAGAGAAGGUGAGCACAUCCUGACAUAUUCUCACUAUUUUCUACUCAGUUAAUUGCCAAUGAGAGAGAAAAAAAUUGCAUUCACUACCUCUAUUUAUUAAUCUGGGUCCACAUGAGUAAUCUUGGGGUACAACCUUUUACUAAACUUGGUGUGCGCGGUAGCUUUUUCCAAACCAGUUGUAUCUCAAUAACCUUUUUGGACCCCCUCAACCAUUGUUGGAUACCAGGUCUAUGAUUAAGUUCUCAUAGUACAAUCAUAUUGACAUAAAAAGUAUCUCUAUUGACUCCUUUAUAUUAGCUAUAAGUUUUGAGUGAUCCUGAUAUUUUGUUGGCAUUGGUUUGUAGUCAUCAGAAGAGCUCCUCAUGAAUUCAAGAUUUCAUGCCUAGAGGUGAGUACUCCCUAGCAGCCUAGCGCGCACAAGAAGGGAAGAAUAGCUUGGCUUCUUUGAUGUUCUAUUCAUGAUUUUCUCUAUCAUUUACAGGCUAUCAAAGAUUUAUUUCCUCCUGACUCAAACCCAUUUUAUGCUGGAUUCGGAAAUAGAGAUACAGAUGAGCUUAGUUACCUCAAAGUUGGUAUUCCUAUGGGCAAGAUCUUCAUAAUAAACCCCAAGGUAACAGCCUAAGACAGGAAAAUCACUUGUCCCUCCCUCCUGUUAGCAUCUCUAUCUGCAUAAUUGUGCUGGAGUUCAGCCAGUGAGAGCAUUUUUGCACUGGAGAUGGCAUCUAGAGAAUCCGUGUUGAAUUUUUCCUUCGAUGCAGGGUGAAGUUGCAGUGAAUCGGCGAGUUGAUACAAAGUCAUACACGUCCCUGCAUGCUCUUGUACAUGGAAUGUUCCCUCCAAUAUCGUCAUCUUCGGAGCAGGUCAGCAUUCCCAUGUAGUAUUUGUCAGUGGUUCAACUUUAGUUACUACUUUUAGUGCUUCUUAUUCUGAAAAGUUCUUAUUCAAUUCAGGAGGACUACAAUACCUGGAAUUACUGGAAAAUGCCAUUGCCUGAUGUUGAUCUGUGAGAUACAAGUGCAGUCUGCACAACAGCGCUGCGCUAAUUUUAUUAUGCGCAGCAGUGGUGAUGAGAAAAUCAUGGUGAAGGUAGCACCCUGAGGUAUUUCAUUUUACCUAUUUUGCAAUAGUAGUUCUAUUUUUCUUUGUUCAUGAGCUUGUGUCUAACAUGCUUGGUGCAUUUUGCCACCUGUUUCUGCAGGCCAAUUGUUAGUUGGCUAGAUGUGGAUGCUCCUGAUAUAAGCUCCUGCAAGAACGAAACUGUAUAUAUAGGAUCAUAAUAGAUGACUAGCGAUCUGCACGCCGAUGAGGCAGCAGAAGCAAUGUAGCUGUUUCUUGUGACUCCCAUCUGUUGUUGUAGGACUGAACCUCCAUGUAACUGAGAGGUGUAUACUUUACUGAAUGGAGGAAUCUGAUCGAGUGUUGUUUCCCGUGCAGUUUCAUUUCAUCCUUCUUUGAUGUAAUUGUGGUGCCAUGUAAUCUGUACAGGAGCAGUUUAAUAAUGCAAUAGAAAGUCAGCUCUGUUCAUAUGCGAUUUUAAUUCACACACCUUUCUGGCAAUAAGCAUGUUGCUUUGACAAAGGUGCAUCAAGUAUUACCUCAUAAGCUUUGUGAGCACUUAACAGGAAAUUGUGGAUUUGUGGUAUGCUUGCGAAUUUUCUAGUAUACAACUGUGAUAUGCAAUUGAGCUAAGCUGCAAUUUUAUGGAAAAAAAACCUUUGCUAUUGUAGGGAUAAAUCUUUCUCUGGUAUUAUCGUGUUCAAGUAUUGAUUAAUAUGAAAAUAUUCGUAUAAUGCAAAUGCGAACUUUGUGAAGGACCCAAGCGCAAAGGUUCCAAUCCUCUUUAAGCAGGGAGACCUUUGGUCACUGGCUCUAGAACCCUAGAGCCGCCGCCAUGGCCACGCCCGACCCCGCCUCCGCCUCCACCAAGAAGCGUUCCAAGAAGCGCAAGGCCGCCGACGGCGAGGCCAAUUCCUCAAAAACCCUAGAGCCGCCACCAGAGGCGGACCUCCAAACCCCAGCCACGCCCGCCACCGCCUCCGCGUCCGCCAAGAAGAAACACUCCAAGAAACGCAAGGCCACCGAGGCCUCCACCGACGCCUCCACCGAGGCCGCCGGCGACGCCUCCACCGAGGCCGCCGGCGACGCCUCCACCGAGGCCGCCGGCGACGCCUCCACCGAGGCCGCCGCCGACGCCUCCACCAAGGCCGCCGUCGACGCCUCCCUCAACGUCACCGUCGAUGCCUCCCUCACAGGCGGCCGAACCGCAGCCGCCCCCGCCCCCGCGGUCGCUUACUUCCCCACCGGCUACGACCCCCUCGCCGCCGCCGCCGUCGCCGCAGAGGAAGACGAGUCGGCCCCCAACGCGCGGCUCUUCCGGCACGAGAAGCACCCCACUUGGGUCGACCUCGUGGUCGGGAGCUCUGGCGGAGGCCCCGACUUCGUCGGCCGGAGCUAUGCCGGUGAGGCAGCCACGCCGCAGCUCUGUGAGUACGCACUUGGAGUCCUCGAUAAGGCCUCCGGUACCCUCAGGGUCGUCCCCAUAGCCGCCAACAAGGUGAGCGUCUUGUCUUAUUGCACCAAAAUUUUGAUCUUUCUUGUAAUUGUUGUUGAUAGCCAAAACGAAAUGGCUAUAGUCACAUAGAUUUAAUUAAAUGCUAGCUGUUUAUUGAGGAAUUCUAGUUUAUAAGUAAAUACUAAAGAUUCCCUUUUGUCUAAUUGUGCAAUUGAAAAUUGCAAUUGGAUGGUCUACUGGUGCUGGACAAUGCCUACGUAGUUAGGAUUUUAGCAGAGUAACACUAAAGCUGCUAUCUUGUUUUGAUUUUAAAAAAUGAAGGAAAGCUCUUGCUGUGAUGUUUUCAUUUUCAGCAUAACAAUGCCAUACAUUUUAAAAGAGCUACAAGAAAUACUUUUGCACAAAUAACGUUGGCAUUGCUGAUAUUGAUGUUCUGGACAUCUGUACUCUGUAACAGAUUCUGAGGCUUGAGCCACAUCUUGAAGUGCAGCAGCCAGCACAUUCGCAGCACUCUGAGGUGGCAUCAGAAGCAGGUUCAGUUGCAGGAAAUGAUGAAUUGAAGGUUCAAGAUCUUACCAUGAUGUAUGGAACCAAGACAGACAGGGACAAGGUAUGUUUGUGUCGAGUUUUACUAGUCUGCUGUUUGCGACUAUGUUUCCGAAUUGAUCAGUGGUGUCAACCAAAAGUUUCCUCUGUGUGCCCCAGUUUGUUUGUCUUCUUCGUGUGAAUUAGGUUUUUAAGAUAGCAUUUGAGACAGUCACAUAAUAGAAUAGCAUUUAAGACAGUCACAUAAUAGAAUUUUGUUAAACCAGAACUCAACAUAACUGUCAUUGUACUGGUGUGAUUUCUGUUAGUUUUUCUGUCAAUAUAUAUUCUUGGUUUGGUUUGCAUGUGGAAAGGAAAGAUUUUUGUUAGUUAUCUAAACCAAUGAUUUAACCAUGAUAAUUUCCAUUUUGCACUGGUCACUGUAUUCAUCAUGUCACAGUGGUUAAUGCCUAUAUUCCUUGCAGGAUAACAAGUGGAGGUCAUUAAAUGAACAAAGGAAUGAUCCUUCUGCUUAUGAGGACAUUGACCUUGGAACCAGUAACGUCCACACCAAUGACAACCAGGAACCAGUAAUUGUUCGGAACAUUCCACCUUAUGAUCCUACAGCAGAUACAUCAGAAAAGGCAUAUCUUUUGGAUGAGAUUAUUCCAAAGAAUAUGCGGCAGCACCUUUUGGAAAUUGUGGACCAUUUUGAAUCAGGACAAAUUUCUUCAAAAGGCUACUCGAGUUUUGUCUCAAAUCGUGUGCAGAAGUUGCAGGAGCUUCAGGUAAUUAUUUACAUUUUUGGUAUACUUUUUCUCGUCAUCCAGUUGUCCACUUUCAGUUGUCACCUGCUAAUGUUUUAGGUUUAGAACAAGGAAAUUUAUUUUAUACUAGAUAAGAAAGUGAAGAGGAACUCGAGCCUUUUUCUUGAUAAGAAGUUAUAGUCUUGUGGGAAGACACCAUUUUAAUUGACUCUGACAUUCCUGUGGACAUUUGAAGGACAUGUUUUUUUUUUCUUGUUGUGGAACCUGCAACAGUUUAUAAUUGAUCCUUAGCGGGGUUUCUUGACAGUAACGCACAACUUUUUACUCGCAUAACAUUCUGAUAGCAUUAUAGCCGGCACUGUUACUACUGCAAUGUUGACACGUUACUUGUGUCGGUCCCCUCUUUAGACAGUGACAGUUUAUGGUUUGCUCUUAUGCCAUUUUUAAUUUCGUUGAACACUAGGUGUGUGUUUAUAUAUCUGUUCCGCUUGGUUAGCGUGAUAAAAAAGAAUCAUCUUUUGACUUGCAUUGUGUUAGGGUCAAGAUAAAGAGAGGCUUGCUUGGAUACUGUCCUACAUCCAACAUCUCCUAUCUUUAUAUGAACGGAAUGGUUGCAUGUCCAAGCAUCACAGGAAGCACAGAAAGGAAAACAAGGCAAACCAUGGACCAGGGACCCCGCUGGCUGUAUAUCGCAACCUGUUGCUGAUUUUUACAGAACCAGGGUCUAGUUCCAUGUCAUCGGAGAAAAAUGAACUUCUGAUUAACUACAUCUUGGUCCUGACACUCUUUGCUGAUGACUUCAGAUCCGAUCCUAAAGAUAUAUGUGCGGACCUGAAAAUGACCCGCCAGAUGCUUAAACCAUACUAUGACCAGUUGGGAUGCAAAUCUGUGUCCGCAGGUGCUUUCAAGUCCACUUUCAUGACGCUUCCAGCCCCUCUCAACUUUCCACAGGAUGUUACAAGGAGAAAGCGACGACGGUAAUCAUCAUAUGGAGAGACCAAUGGUUAUUUAUCUCAGAAAUGGCAUGAUUACUGAAUGUGAGUGAUUGGAUCCGCCCUGAGUUAUGAUACACUGCUAUCAAAGGCACGUUAAGCCUGUAGGUGCUUGGCCCAAUGUUGCAAUGUACUGAAAAUGACAAGCUGUUUCAAGUUUCAUUUUGUAUUCUGGUGUCCAUGGAUAUCGCUUUCAAGAAAGAAAACAUAUCUAUGUAUUGAUGGUUCUAUCUCUACCUGAGUACAUCCUAGUGCUAGUUCGAUGAAGGUAGACAAUAUGGAUUUGUUCGAUGGAGUACAGCACAAUUCCUCUGAUCUUGCAAGGAUAAAACUUUGUUCGUCCUUGCUACUGGAUAUAAUUUCCGUUGGAUGUUCAUCUGUACUGGUGGCUAAUGUAAAUCAUCUACAUCGCAUGCCGACCGUACAAAAAUAUUCUGAAAAAUGGAGACAGCAUUACAACUGUUGCAUCCUCACAAUUAAUUUCUGUUCAAACAUCAGUAACAAACAGUAACUCGUAAAAAGACAUGUUGAAGCCACUUUAACUAAACCACCAAAUUAGCUGGUAAACAUAAUAAAAUACGCUAGGACAACAGGCUGGUGAAAAUUAUUCAAUGAUGGCUACAGCAAUGUAAGAACGCAGUAACAAUCUUGGACAGAUUACAUCAUCAUCACCAAUCUAAACUUUGUUAUACAUGGAUCGAUAUGACAUGUCUAAACCACACAGUAAGGACUAGUAGUUGUCAUUCAAGAGUCCUUUCGUUUCGUUGCUAGUAUACAAGGCAUUAUUCACCUACCAGGCUGCUCGACUUAGGAUUUCUCCGCCACAUCGCCACCAGCCUCGUGAUCUGCUCCAGUUGUGCUCUUGUGGCUCUCGGUGCCAGAAGGCUCCGUGCUCACCCCAGCAGUUGUGUCCUGCUUGCCUCCUCGCCCAUCAGCAGGGACAGGCGCUGACUGCUGUAGGCUGGCAGCAGUGGCAGCAGGGUCGGUUUGCAUAGGCUGCAUGCCAUUGACGGUAGCCGGUCUCAUGACCAUCUGUCCGGGGAAAGCAAGAGCCUGUGCUUGCUGCUGUUGCAGCUGCUGCUGCUGCUGCUCUUGCAUCUGUUGCGGGGUUAAUGGUGUUCUUGGAGGAAACAUUGGUACUUGGGACAUGUAAUGCCCUGCACCUGGCACCAUACCAGGUUGCAUCAUCUGUUUGCAAACAAAUGGAAGUUUAAGUAAUGUUGCAAGUGGAGCUUGUGAAAUAGCACCAACUUGAACAGGGCUACUAACCUGUGGGCGACUUGCAGGGUUCUGUGGUGGUUGGGGUUGGGCAUCUGCAAUCGCAGCCAGGUACAAGAGAUUCUUCUGAAGCUGAGCUUGAUACCUGAAAGUUAGGAGCAUGGAAGAUACUGUUAUCCAGAAUGCAUUGCCAUUGAUACGUUUUAGAAGAUGGCAUUUACAAAGGCAGAUCGAUCAGGAAUAAGAUUUUCUUAGUCAUGAAUUAUCCUUCUGAAGUUUCAGUGCAUCCAGAAGGUGUGGAGUAGAAAUGCGCGUGCAUCCCUUUCAAUUGAGAGCUGAAACUAAUAUGACUCAGAAUUUCUAACAUCCUACAGUUAAUCUUAUUCAAACAGCCUUAUCAUUGAUGGGUGAAACUAGUACAGCAAAAUGAGGAACCUCACAAAUGGAUCAGAAUUUCUGAUAGAACUAAUCCAUCUUGUUAAAAUUUCAAGCAUUUUUAUCGUUGAUGAUGAGAAUAUUAGAGUCACAGUAGGAUCAUCAGUUGGUGUAGACAAUAUAUAUUAUAGAUCAUCAAUAGAAAAGCCAAGCAAUGCAAUAUUUUUUACUUCACAAGGAUGAUAACACUUCAGAAGCUACAAGUAUCUAUGAAUAGGUCACAAAUCACUCAUCUACCAGGGCAAUCAUUAAUCCUGAGAGUUAACACAAUGUCGCCAGAUGACUGUAAAUGAUGCUGCUGUUAAAAGAUACUCCAAAACAUCGUAUAUGAUCUAAUUAUUAUGCAGGUUAGAUUGUAUUGUACUCCAAACUCCAUGAUUCCUACAGCACUAUAUUUACAGAACAAUUCUACAGUCAAACUGUCUAAGCUCAUAACUUUUACAAGCAAACCAUUUUCAACAAACCUACAUCAUUAAAUAUAAGAGAAAAGAGAGUACAACUUAUGAAGAUCAUAAACAUGGCUUGGAUAAGGGAAAACUUUUGCUGGUGAUAUCCACAUCUUAAUGCUCAUGAUUUUUCAUACUUUAGUGAGUGAAUGAAAUAAGCAACAGAUGAAUUAAAGGUUCAUCAUUUUGAGACUAUUAAAACCAACAAAAAGCAUUUCCAGCAGUAAAAUUAGUUAUAUUGUUCAGGAAGAUACUUACUGAGCACAUUCAGCCAACUUUCCUAAGUUCUGAUUUUCCAGGAUGGCCAAAAUAAGCUGCUUAUUUUCAUCCAAAUACUGUGAAAGACGACAAAUUCAGUUAGUGUUAGUAACUAUAUGAAGUUAAUGAUGGCAUGCAAUAUAGUGUUAGGCUUAUGCAUAAUCAUGAAGCAAAUCAAGCAAUACAUUUACCUUCUGUGUAAGAAUUACGCAAGCGAUUUCAUUCACAAAAAGGUUUUGCCAUUUGAUUUAUUCAUUUUGCCAUACAGAUAUGGUUGGUUUCUUACAAGCCAAGCUUAAUUGUAUCUUAAUGCUGAGCAUUUGGUAGUGAGUUGCACUGGAUUGUGAGGAAUAGUAGAUAAAUGCAGCCCGAGAAGAAAGUGACCUACAUCUAUGAUAGCUAUGUAUUUCAUGACUUUAUAUGCCGCAGGCCAUAUCACUUGCAUGCCAUCCAUAUAAUUCAGUUACAGCAGAGAUGCACCUAAUUUAGCCUCAAAGAACCAUUAGUCAUGACUCACACAUCUACCAAUGCAGAUCAUUAUAUAUCAGUGACGUGACUAGCCCCAACCAUGGAGUAGACAAUAGGACUGAGGAAUGACAACCACAGUUACUAAACCGCAGUUACCUUUGCUAUAUGGCAGACAGCCACAAGUUGGCAGCCACACUGCCAUCAUAUUGCAGCUAGGCACCAAGUCAUCAUAGAGCAGGGUGACUGACUGUCAAAGCUGAUCGUAUACCAGCAAGUUACAUUCCAUGGCACAGGACUAUCGUUCAGAAAUAAUUAAGCACGGUUGACAGACGAGCAUUGCUGAACAAUGAUCGCCCGACAACCGUGCAAAAAUGGAAAAUUGCAAAAGCCCACCUGUGAAUGGGGAUUCGUCAAAACAUCCCUAGAACUUCUGUUUUCAUAUUCUACACCUGCAGCUCUACCUUGGUGUUUUACCCCCGAAAGGCCAUUGACCACAUGGCGUGCUGCUUGUGUUGCUUCUAACAUGGCAUGAUCACUUCUAGUGUGGCUUCUAGCAUAUCCGUACCAUUUAAUCUAACCUAGCACUCCAUUGUUUGCCCUCUCUACUUGCGCUUUGGUAUCCCUCUUAAAGAAUGCAGAAAAAGAGUUCCAGGUCAGAUUGAAUUAGCCCAAAGAUGUAGAAAGUCACACUACAAGCCACCAUACCAUGCUCGAAUGCACGCAAGCAGCAUACCAUGUGAUCAGCAUCCUUAAGGGGCAAUUUGACACACAGGAAGAGAACAGGUGUAGGAAAAACAGAAGUCGUAGGUUAUUUCGACAAACCCCCAAUGCAGAUGAGUUUUAACAAUUUCCCUAGUAAAAGUGACUGCAGGCAGGCAAGCCAUGCUGCAAGGCAGAGGACCCAGGGCUGGUCAGCUGCCCAACCACAGGGCAACAGGAAGCACAGGCUGAAAAUCUCUGCCGCAUGGCACAGGGUUAGCCGGUGGCCACACUUGGCCUUUGCCAAAAAUUCAAAAUUGAUAUUUGAACAGCACAUAUGGUGCCAUUGCUCAUUUGGCCGUUGCCAAAAAAAAAACCCCAAAAUUGACACUUCAAUGGCACAUUCCAGUGCUGUUACAGCACAUUUUGCCGUUACCAAAUAUUCAAAAUUGGCAUCUUAAUGACACAUUAUGGUGCCACUGAACAUUUGGCCUUUGCCAAAAAUUCAAAAUCAAUAUCUGAAUGGCACAUUGCAGUGCCAUUGCGCAAAAAAUAAAAUACCCUGGCCACAGAGAUUGAAGCCCCAUUCCAUGGCAAAGAGCCAUGGUCUGUAAAUAGCACAGCCAACUGGUAAGCAUUGGCUGAUGUGCUAUCACCCAACAAGAUGAGCAAUGAGCUCGCAGCGUGGCAGAGUACCACAGGGGCUGUUGUAUGGCAGCCAGAGAAUGGCACCACACAAAAAAGGGCCUUCAAGGACGCCUUCUUGACAUCCAUGGACCAGAACCUUCAGCCCCAGAUAACCGGGGCCUUAGGCCAGGAAGUUUCGCUAUGCAUUAAGCUCCCAAGGCACACUUAUGCCCACUAUUGACAGCACGGCCAGCCCAAGACCUUCACAGAAAGUCCAAAGCUUUUGAACUGCUAGCUACCCUCCACUCCCCAUUCGGGCUCAUCCUAUUCUGCUGGCCUAAUCCACCCUCGAUUGCGCGCAUGUGGCUGUCCCGUCUCCAAUACCCAAAACACGCCACCAACCUACUGUUACUCACCGAUUGACCAGAAGCACUAAGCCGAGGAAUCUUCGAUUACCCCCAAAACAGGAAAAGAACAAGAGCGCCCAAUAUUUCCCUAACCAACGGCGCGCAAAGAUCCAAUCUUUGAUCGAACCAACCCCCUGAAGCCUGAAAAAAAUCCAUCUUUCUCAGGCGCGGGCGAACCCUAGCAAGAAGGAGAGGGAAGGGAAAGGGGCGGGGCAGCUCGCACCUUCUGGAUCUGCUCGGUGGUGAUGCCGGCCGACGGUGGCGCCGCCGCCGCAGCGGCGGGCGCCUGCAUGGGCAUCUGCUGCUGCAUCGCCGUGGGCUCUGCCGGAGCCGGUGGGUGGGGGCGGCGUAUCUUGCCUUCGUCGCUUGCUUUUCGAGGUUUCUCGAGUUGGUGAAAGUGGAGUUGGGGCUUAAGGUUGGUUGUGGUACUACGACUACCGGGAGUUGGAAGAAGGAAAUUUUGCAGCAGAGUACUCAGCAACUUGGUAAUGGUACGAGUGCCUCUGAGAAUGGAAAAGCAAUGGGGAGAAAAAAGGAGGAGAGGGGGAAUGACGAGUUUGCCCUCGCCCGUCUAGAACGAGACAUAUGUAACCCUCACGAUGAUGAUACUAAUGCUUUUAUCGAAAUGCUGCUAUUAGAUAUUUGCAGCUAUAGAGUGAAAUAUCUAGUUAGUUAGACAAGGAAAUAUCCAGGACAAUUUUGUGCUGAAUUUAUUUAUUUAUUUAUUUAUUUACAACUCACGUGAAAAGAUCGGUUAAUCCAUUGUCUUGUGUUUAUUUUCGUCUUUUCCUUGCGUGCAAGCUCUUUUUCGCCGAUUCCACACGUGAAAUGAUAGAUUCACUCUUGUCUUCUAUAUCCUUUUUACCUUUUUCUUGUGUGGACGCUCCACGAAAACAUCUUCGGUGGGUUGUACUCAUCAAUCUAUCUCUAUGGACCAUUUCUUUUCGAGAGUGGGCAACACAUACAUUUUAUUAAGCAGUUAAGAGUUUUUUUAUAGCAUACAUGAUAUCUUAUCAUCCUUGAUUGCUCGGGAAGGAAAAAGAAACCAUUAAAGCUAUAUUAAAAGACUAGGCACGACCGUGGAGUAAACAAUUUAUGCGUCUCAUUGUCUAUGUAUAGCAGUUUUCUUAGCCAAAGUUUCUAAUUUCAUAAUUCAUAUUAUGGAGAGUUAGUUAUCGUGACUAUAUUAAUUACUUAGCCAAUGGUGUGGGGAUGAAGAGCUUAAUUUUGUAGCAUCUAGUAUCAAUUGUAUCCAGAUGUUAUAUUUUUAGUGCAAAAAUAGUAUAAUAUUAACGUUGACUCAGUGCUUUAGAGAAGCAAAGAGAAGGUGUGGUGCGAUGAGCGUGUCAUAAAACAACAUAAUAAGUGGAUGGAAAUGGUUUUAUUUUUAUCGUGAACGCGAAUAUGGGAACACCCUAUUAACUAACAUUAUUACCAUUAUUGAAUAUUACUCUGCACUCCAUCCAUUAACUAACAUUAUUAACUAACAUAAUUAUAAUGUGAACGCGAAUACGCGAAUAUGGUUGUCGUCUUGUCACGUAGCAGGAGCUCAAACUAAAGAAAAAAAAUAUGUGAAUAAUUGUGCGUUCACAUUAUUGAAUAUGCUGUUUAAUUUUGUACUGAGAGAAUCUAAAUGACCAAAGCACUACUGUAACGUGAAAUCUUACCAUGCGUCACAAGUUUUCACGGUUCUUCCUCCUCAUGGAUUUGAGGAAAUUGCUUGGGAGGGUUAAAUGGCAAGAACAGGAGGAAGGGGUAAACCUGUCUUUCUAGAACUUUAUGGUUACGGCAGCAGUUGCAGCACUGCUGACUGAUGAGUGAUGGAUGGAGUGCAGAGUAGGCAAGCAGAGCAUUGCCCUGUGCGACUGCGACCGCGACAGUGGGGAGCGCACACUUUGGAGUCUUGGAGCCUGGUUUGAAAAGGUGAAACUCAUGGCUCCACGUGACUCGCACGGUUAAAAAAAAGGUUACGCCAUGUCUCUUUUUUUUUCCCUUUCCUUUUUGUUUCGCUUCGAAGCAUAGGAAAAGGGAGGAAACAGAUUCCGUAACUAAAAAGAGGUGAAAGCGAAAUGCUGGUCACGUCUAAAAGAUGCAAGUUUGCAUGAAAUCUAUAAGCGCCAAACUAAUGCUUUUUUGACUUGUCCAUGAAUCUAAGCAUUAGUAGAUUUCAAUUAGAGGGUGGCUCAUUAAGACAAAGGCUCGUUUGGCUGCAAGGAACUUUUCCAGUUUCUUCCAGAAUUACCAGAAUCCUUACCAAAUGGUGUUUUUUAAACGUUUCGAAUCAGAAAUAGGAGAAACCGUUUCAGUUUCUUCCAGAAUUACUAGAAUCCCUACCAAAUGGUGUUUUUUUUUAAAACAUUUUGAAUUAGAAAUGGGAGAAACGUUUCACUUUUUUACACUACGAAGGAGAAACAGGCAAAAAGGUGUUUCACCCAUUUCUGAUUCACUUCUUUCUCAUUUCAACUAUCAUCCUUGAUCAGAAUCAGAAUCUAUUGAGUGAGCCACUGAAUCCAAAAUAUUUUGAGGUAGAAACUGAAUCCAAAAUGUUUCUAGAUGAAUCUGGAACCGUACCAAACGGGACUAAAAAUGUUGCAUUGGAGGUACUGGGACAAGGUCACAAAACCGGAUAUCAGAUACUCUUGGCAUCUUGGCGAGUUUCGUCGUUGAUCUUGUGAAAAUAAAUGGCAUACAUAUAGUUAAAUCAUGCUCAUACAAAAAUCGAUUCCAUGCCAUAAAGUCCAAGAAUAGAAAUGACAAAUUGGCAAUGCACUUUGUUCGUACUUAGACGACGUUAACUUAAAACUAAAACACUGCUCUCAAACUAGUUUGGUCGUUUGACUACAAAAAAGUCGGCACAGGAUGCUGGGGCUGUACCGAACGGUCGUCACAGACUCACUUGACUUGACUCACAGCUUUGUGCAUGCGUGCGCGACGAGAAAAGAAAGGUUCUUGGUGAGGAGCGGCUGGCGUCGCACGUGGCAGAAUUUAUAGGUAGCUGGGCCAAGCAAGUUUAACUAUACUGUCUACUGCACGAGCUGACAAGUGGUGCCAGUGGCAGCCACAUAAAAAUAGCAAUGAAAUGCUGCAGCACGUACUAGGACCAAAUAUUAAAAAGCAGCAAAUGUUGUUGGAGCUUGGAACUUGGAAGCUGCAAAUGUUGUUAAGAUUCAACAAAUAUGCCAAGGGAGGAAGAGGACACAUGGUAACUAGCUCCUUACUUGCAUUAUGUGGUGUGUAAAAUAUACACAUCCCUAAGGUAAGGUACCAUGUCAACAACAUCAGUGGCAGUAGUAGGCUAGUAGCCAUGCCGCUUCAUGGAGAUGACUAUUGUCAUUAGAAUCUCGUGGGGGAGCAAGGGUACAUGUUUGAACUAUUUUUCCGAUAUGAUUUGUUGGUUUUCCGAUAUUGUCAUUAGAAUGUCGUAAUGCAAUUAUUUUUCAUUGAAUGAACAAAAGAGUUUAAGAAGUAGAUAUUGUCAUUAGAAUGUCGUAAUGCAAUUAUUUUUCAUUGGAUGAACAAAAGAGUUUGAGAAGUACUUAGACUUCAAAUGGUAGCACUUCAUUUGAGUAAUCCACGCAUUAUUGAGAAGCUUUAACUCGUUGGCACAAGCUCGUAAAGAAGCAACAUGCUCACCAAGUCAAACCUAUUUUCUCAGAAAUUUAGGCGCGUAAUUUACGUUUAACUUGCAAUAUUUGUUUCGGUUUUGAGUACCACUUCCUCAUGGGUGGGUAUAUAAUAACUAUCGUUGGUUAAGAGAGAAUGUUCCGCUAAAAGUUUGACAAUUUUAAAUGCUAUCCUAAACAUGCAUUAUCAAGGGCACAUGGCCCACCUCCCCCCCUCUCCUUCCGGCCCCUCUCCCCCCUCAAUUUUUCUUUCCAAUAUUUGCAAUACGACCAUGGACUGUGAACCUUCCGUCCGGCUUUUCUUAGACUAAACAUAGAGCUCGGCACCUGGCUUUAGGACUGAAGAAGCAUUGAGGUUGCGGACGGCGACGACAUCCAUCUGUGAGUGACGUACCAAGAGCAUUGCAGUUGUUCAUGCCACCAAGAUUUUCGGUGGAAUAAGAAGUUGAUCUGUUCCAAGAAAUGACAGCAAUGACCACUACACCCACAUCAGUACAACACACAGGGGGACAUUUUGUCAAUGACAUCUUCAUGAGGCGUGAACAGCCUCACAGAUGCUACGACCGAUGGCUUCCUAUGUGCGCUGUAACAACAGAGUUUUUGGAGCUCUAAAAUAUCAUCAAGUUGAUGAUAAGGAAAUUUGAAGCAAAUUAAGAUAUUAUGAGCCAAAUUCAAAUUUGGAUGAAAGAUGACAAAAAAUUCAAAUAAAUGGUUAAAUUUGGAAAAAGUUGAAUCAAAUAUGGAAUCAUGAGUUUAAAUUGACUAGAAUUCAGUGGAAUCAAAAUUGGGACCAAAUUCAAGUCAUAAGGGUCUCAAUUGCUUAGUCAAAGUUGUUGACUAGAGUCAACUUGAACAAAUCUGAAAUUUGUCCCAAGUCAUCUUUGAGCUUAAUUCCUGAGAAAUUUUCAUUGCAACUUAUAGUAUUUCAUUUACCAGAAACGCUUGAUGCUCAAUUGUGGUUAGUCCCAUCUCAAUUACUGUCUCGAGCCAUUGCAUUUUCCGUAACUAGUUCAUGGUACAUCCCUCUUGUCAAUAUAGUAAAUGGUUCCUCGAAACAGCGUGAUGUCUAAUUGUAUUACGGUAACCGGAUUUGCACUUUGCAGGUGCUGGUAGACAAAAAUCAAUAGGGCCGCAGUAUGCCGUUAACAGGGAUUACGAAAGCCAGUUAGGAUGCAUCACGCCGCUGGCUCGGCUUGUGGGCUCUUGGGUUUAGUACGGUAGUAAUUAACGCGGAACGGGCGGAGCGUCAACGUGGCUCGGAGACUACGUACUAGUUUGCGCGGUCGGUUCGCUUGGCUACAGAAUGGUCCUGUGGUGCUUUGACACACCACGAUUUACCUUGUUGUUCGCAGCCCACGUUGGUUAGGAUAAAACCAAUUAUCUUGACCUACCUACUGCAAACCAUGAAUUUUUAUCAAAAUAUUUUCUACCAGACAAAUUAAUAUACUAAAAUUCAUGUUCGUCUUAUCCAUGGGUGUCUCCACGUCGUACAUACUGAGUUAGACAAAAUUAAAAUGAUCUACAAUUUGAAAUGGGUUGAGCCAAAUUAUAGAUUGUUGGAAUUUAGGUUCUUGGAUUCUUAUUAUCUACACUAAAAUUUAGGUUGUUUGGAUCAACAACAGAUUUUAAACUGAUUUUCAUAGUUUGUACCCGCCCUAAAUAUGCCCUUAGUUUUCAUCUGAACUAAAUAGUUUGUCUAAAACGUCAGUAAAUUAGAAGUGGUGGGAACAAUAUUUUAGGCCCAUAUGGGUUAGCCCAAUAGAGAGUUUGUUUGGAUUGAUGUUACAAUUUGAAAACCCAUAAUAUCAAAAAUGUUAUAUAGUUAGAGAAGGACCGAUGAGUAGCGAUAUUUGUGAAAUUUCAAUUUCAACAAAAAUUUGAAAACCCCACAAUUUUUUGCGAAUAUAUUUUAACCUAUACUACACGAGUAUAGAUACGGACACACGGACACGUCGUUUCACAAAAAUACAUUUUAUCAUUUUUAAAUUAAAUAAAUAAUAACACAUUAAAAUUCUAAAGGCAUUUGCCGUCUAAUAUGGCAAUAGUUCACAGGAAGUAGCUUGCAAGCAAAGCAUCCGAAUGGGUAGAAGAAAUCAACCAAGAAGAAGAAUAGAUCGUGAAAGGGAAAGGGAGGAAACUUAUCGGAGGUCACCUCGCCGGCAAGCGCUGGAGCUUGGAGGAGUAGAGUAAUGGAGGUUGGUUGUUGCUGGCAAGGACUUGACGAGUGGAGGAUCGUGUCGCGUGUUCGCCGAUGGCAUGUGCCGGAGGAGCGGAGGCUCAUCGUCGCGGGACAUCAGCGCUGCACGCUCUUGCAGGUGGCAGCCGGCCGGCAGGUCGCCCACGGGAGCCGAGGAUAAGGCGUCAGGGCUGCUGAGACCUGAUGGUGGGCUGGGCCGUAUCGCCAAACUCGAUUGAUACGUCUCGGCCCACGUAUUUGAUUUUUUUGUAUUUAUUUUUAUUGCCUGAUAGUAUACGUAUCCGAUACAAUUGCCAUCUAACAAACAAACAAAAAACAAAGUCAACGGCCGCGGAAGUUGACACCCCGCCGCAGUGGCCAGGUCCAAUCCGGCGAAGAGCGGCGGCGUGAUUCCCGCCGGCGGCGAGCGUUGAGUCCUAGCUCUCUCUCGUACUCCCGUUCUUCAAUUUGUGAAGGUCCCAGAACCGAGCUCCUACUUCUCACGCCAUUCUACAAUUGGGGGUUCUUCAUAAAUGUUCCACGCGCAUACACAGCAACCUUACUCGCAAUCUUGCAGGGACGGAUUCAUGGAGGUGGUGAUGGGGGUAAUGUCGAGGCUCAUCCUCAAGAUUGGGGAUCUGCUCGUCAGCGAGUACAAGCUGCAGAAGGAGGUGAAGGGGGAGAUCAUGUUCCUCCAACCUCAGCUCGAGAGCAUGCAGGGCGCCCUCAAGGAGAUAACCAAGGUUCCGUCAGACCAUAUUGACACCCAGGACAAGGCCUGGGCCAGCGAUGUGCAAGAGCUCUGCUAUGACAUAGAGGACAACAUCGACACAUUCAUGGUGCGCGGCAUGGGCAUUGAGCCUGCAGGGCCGGAUGGCAUGAGGGGGUUCAUUAGCAGGAGCCUUGAUUUGCUGACAAGGCUCCGGAUUCGCCGCAAGGUUGCUACUGACAUCAGGGACAUCAUUACAAGAAGGCAAUAGAGCUCGUUGGCAUUGAUGAGGCAAGGGAUGAGCUGAUUAACAUUCUGGUGGAAGGGGAUGGUGUGUCCAGCCAGCAUGGCAAGGUAGUUUCCAUAGUUGGAUUUGGGGGGCUGGGAAAGACGACUCUUGCUAAUGUGGUGUAUGAAAAGAUCAAGGAAAAAUUCGAUUGCUGGGCUUUUGUUACCGUGUCUCAAAAUCCUGACACGAGGAAAUUCUGCAAGGGGUUUCUCUAUGAACUUGGAAAGAACAUCAAUGAUGAAACAUUGGAUGAGAGGCAGCUCAUCGAUCAAACCAGAAAACUCCUUCAGAUGAAGAGGUAUGAAGAAAUUGCACAACAUUUACACUCCGUCAAUUUCACAAUACUACUAUACUAUAAUCGUCAUGCACAAAGCUUACAUUGGCACUAACUCAAAAAGUAAGUGACCUUAACUAGAUUAGUUUGCAUAUUAUGAUAAGUUUUUUGUAUUAUAUGUGCAGGUACUGCAUUGUUACUCUGCAUUGUUACUGAUGACAUAUGGAGUGUCUCGAUUUGGGAUAUGAUUAGAUGUGCUUUCCCCAAUGAUGUUGGUGGAUACAUAAUUAUCACAACUACCUGUAUUUUAAAGGUAGCCGAACGAGUUGGUGGUGCUUACAUGAUGAAACCCCUUUGUCUUGAGAGCUCCAGAAAAUUACUAUACAGAAGAAUAUUUGGCAAUGAAGAGAAAUACAAAUGUCUUGAUGAGCACUUAACAGAAGUAUCUGAUAGAAUUUUAAAGAAAUGUGCAGGUGUACCAUUAGCCAUCAUUACCAUAGCUAGUUUGUUUGCUAAUAGAGCUAGAGAUACAAUGGACUGGUAUGAGGUGUGCAACUUUAUUGGUACUGGAUUGGAGUAUGGUCUAGAUGUAGAGAAUAUGAGGAAGAUUUUGGCAUAUAGCUAUUAUGAUUUGCCACCUCAUCUAUGGACUUGCUUACCAUAUUUAAGUGUAUUUCCUGAAGAUUCUGCAAUUGAAAAAUUUCGGCUGAUAUGGAUGUGGAUAGCUGAAGGUUUUUUACAACAUGAACAAAAAGGGAAAGGCCUAUAUGAACUUGGAGAAUAUUAUUUUAAUGAGCUCAUAAACAAAAGUUUGAUCCAACCAGUGUAUGACAUGUAUGAAGCCACAAUAGAAUCCUGCCGUGUACAUGAUAUGGUCCUUGACCUCGUACUUUCCAUUUCAAGUGAAGAAAAUUUUGUUACCAUAUUAAUCAAUGAGCACAACGCAUCUUAGGAAAAAAAAGGUUUGUAGAUUAUUGCUUCAGAGCAACACUGGUCAAGCUAUUCCUUGUGCUCGUAUGAACAUGCUACAAGUGAGGUCAGUUGUUGCCUUUUCACUAGCUUUUAAUCUAAUGCCAGCCCUUGGGACAUUCAGAGUUUUGCGUGUAUUGGAUUUAAAAAGCUGUUAUCUUUCACAAGGUUGUGAUCUUAAGCAUCUCGGAAAUCUAUUUCACUUAAGGUACUUGGGAAUAGGAAGCACAUAUCGUGCUCAGCUCCCUGAUGAUGUAGGAAACCUGCGAUAUCUACAGACAUUAGAUGUAGUGGGAAGUCUUUUUUUAAGUUUGCCAUCAACAAUUGUUCAGCUAAGAGAUUUGAUGUGUCUACGUGUCGACCAGAGUACAAGAGUGCCAAACGGGAUUGGGAGCCUAACAUCCCUUGAAGAGCUCUCAACCCUUUACAUAUGUGAUGACUCCAUGAAUAUUUUAGAAGAGCUAUGCCAUCUGACCGAACUCAGGGUGCUAGGCAUUUUCUUGUUCCCUACAGAGAAUGUAACCUUGGGGAAAUCUCUGGUGAUGUCCCUAUGCAAGUUGCAAAAAGUCCAGAGUCUGACUAUCUGGGCCACUGGUGGUGAAUGCAACUUCGAUGCAUGGGUUGCCCCUUGACAACUCCAUAGAUUGCAACUACAAUCCUGCUGGUUCUCAAGGCUUCCAGAUUGGGUGAAUUCAUUACUUCAGGACCUCUUCUCCCUACGGAUCUCUGUGAGGGAGCUACAUCAUCUUGAAAUUCUUGGAAAGUUGCCAGCCCUUCGUUAUUUGUAUCUGAUGGUGGACCAUGAGAACCUCAAAAUCCCUCAGAGAUUCAUCAUUUGUACUAGUUCAUUCCCAUGCCUUGUGCGAUGCAUGGUGUUGGGAUUUUUAGGAGCAGUGGUGUUUCAGCAAGGAGCUAUGAUAAGGCUUGAAAGCCUUGCAUUCACAUUCCAUGCAUGGGAGUUGAGAGAAAUUACGAGCAGUGAUGGUAGAUUGAACUUGGGCUUGGAGAACCUGCUGUCACUCCAGGAUGUCCUGGUUUACUUCCGAUCAAGAGGCACCAGUGUGAUGGAAGUGGAGGAGGCCAAGGCCGCACUAAGCCAUGCGAUUGAGAUUCAUCCCAGUCAUCCCAAGCAUGACAUAUGGGGAUGAAGGUUAGCUAGCCGGCUAGCCGUGGUUGUUAUCUUUUUUCUUUCCUCCAUUUUGUCCGCUGAUCUAAUCUUAAUUUUUCUCUGUUUUUUUUCUCACAUUCAUAUUGAUGUUCGUCUGUGCAACAGAUAUUCAUCCUACAGAUAGAUGAAUCCUGCGUGCACACAUACUUAACACAUGUAUUCUGCCAAGAAAACUAUCUAAUUCUGCAUACCAGUACAUUUUCUCAGUAGUGGCGAUCUUGUUUUAGUUACUCAUUUGACCGAGGACAUGAUGCAUGUCCUCUUUUGCUUUUCCAUCCACUCUAGGUAGGCAAAUAUGUUUUUUAGUCAUGUCUCUAUUUUUAAGGGGUAAUUUUUUUGGGUGAGCCUAUUGCAAUUUGUGCCUAUUGCCUCCUGGAACUUGUCCUCGGUGAUGAAGUUGUUAUCGCCCAUGGCGGCAGGAAAGCGAUGAGUUUAGCAGCGCGCAGGGGAAUUUGGGGCGAGGUGGAGGGGCGAUUGGCAGUAGGCAGAAACCAAGGAUGGUCCCGUCUGAUGAGCCCUUUAUUGUGGACUUUGACGUGUCCGGAUCUGGUUUUGGAGCUGUUCUGCAUCAAGGUGCAGGGCCUAUAGCUUUUUUCAGCAAGACGGUCACCCCUCAGCCUGCUAAACUUGCAGCCUAUGAACGGAAGUUAAUUGGGUUGGUUCAGACAGUAAAGCAUUGGCAGCCAUAUCUUUGGAUCCGGGAGUUCAUCAUUUGCACAGAUCACUGUAGCUUAAAGCAUCUCCUUGACCAGCACCUGUCCACAAUUUCGUAGCACACUUGGGUCAGUAAGCCAUUUGGCUACAGCUUCCAGGUUGAAUAUAAACCCAAGAAACAGAACGUUGCCGCUGAUGCUUUGCCUCGCUGAGAUGAACAGGACCUAACCGGCCAAGUCCACGCCAUCUCUCGCCCGGAGUUUGCUCUAUUUGACUAAUUCAGGGAGGAGGCGUCCUCCUUGCUGGAGGUACAGACCAAGAAGCAGGAGAUUGAAGAUGGGACAGCAGAGGCGGCAUGGUCUGUUGUUGAUGGAUUUGUCAUGCAUCGACGCCCAAUUUUUGUUCCUGAUUCAUUUGCCAUGUUGCCGCAACUCCUUGUUGCUGCCCAUGGUGCCGGCCAUGAAGGGACAUAGAAAACUCUCCAUUGGCUGCGCGCUUCAUUCUACAGUCCGCAUGCGCCCAAGUUGGUUCACGACUAUGUCCGGGGCUGUGAUGUCUGUUAGCACAAAAAGACUGAACAUCUCCUCCCGGCGGGAUUGCUGCAGCCAUUGGACGUUUCCCAGUCCAUUUGGAGUGAUAUCGCUAUGGAUUUUGUUGAGGGGUUUCCCAAGGUAGGUGGCCGGUCUGUUGUCCUUAUAGUGGUUGACAGAUUCUCCAAGAUGGCACACUUCAUCGCUUUGGGCCAUCCCUACGUAGCCCUCACAGUGGCUCAAGCAUUUUUUGAUGACAUAGUUCGCCUCCACAGUCUGCCAUGCUCCAUUGUUAGUGACCGUGAUCCUGUUUUCACUAGUACAUUGUGGAAGGAGCUCUUCACCCUUGCCGGCAUCAAAUUGCGCCUCAGCUCCGCUUUCAGGCCGCAGACAGAUGGACAAUCUGAAGUCACCAACCGUGUUCUAGGGAUUUAUCUUCGCUGCUUGGCAGGGGAUCGUCCUCACAGCUAGCUGUGUUGGUUGCCUUGGGCUGAGUACUGCUACAACACCUCCUAUCAGUCCAACCUGCAAUGUACUCCUUUCCGGGUGGUGUUUGUCCAUGAUCCGCCAUCACUGUUGUCCUACCAGCCGGGUUUAGCACGUGUGGUAGUAUUGGACCGAUAGCUCGUGCAGCAUGAUGAUUUUUUGGCAGAGAUACGGGAACAUCUUCUGCAACGUCUUCUGUAGGCCCAGGAUUAUAUGAAGGCCACACAUGAUAAAGCUCACAGGGCGCUGGAGUUUGAAGUAGGCGAUUGGGCCUGGUUGCGCCUGGAUCACCAUUCAGCCGCGGGUAUUAGUGACAAGACCAAUGCAAAGCUUCCUCCUUGCUUCUAUGGUCCAUUUCAGGUGGUUGAACGAAUUGGGCAAGUGGCAUAUCAUCUUUGCUUGCCACUAAAGGCUCGGAUUCAUGACGUUUUUCAUGUUGCCUUCCUGAAGAAACAUCAGGGACCUGUUCCUGAUCAGAUUAUUGCUCCUGAUCAGAUUAUUGCUCUGCCACCGGUUGUUCAUGGUUGUGCUGUUCCUACUCCGGAUAAGGUGAUGCGUGCUAAGCCUACAGCCAAUUCCUGGCAUCUUCUAGUGCAAUGGGCUGGCUGUGGUGCUGCUAAUGCUACAUGGGAGCCGUUGGACAAGUUCAAGGAAAGCUACGCUGAUUUCAAGCUCGAGGGUGAGCUUUUCUGCCAGGGGCGGAAGUGUUGUGGACAGCUUCUUUGGCAAGAAGUUCCACCGCAGGCCUAAAGGGCUGGCCUCUUCUAGUGCCGUCAGUUAGUUAGCCUCAGCUUAGAGAUAGACUUUGAGUUUGUUACAACUUAUAGAUAGAAUCCUAGUCUAUUAAAAUUUUGUAUUAGCCGGCUCAUUAUAUAAGAGUCUUAGGCGUCAGGGAUUUGGCAAGCAGAAAGGCAGAUCUGAACUCAGAACCUCCUAGGGAGGGCGAGUAGGACUCUGCCAAUCUGCCAUUGUAAUCAUAUCCAAUCAACUAGCCAUAUCAGGUGAACCUAUUGCAACUUGUACCAUUUCGCCCAUGCUCACAAUGCUCAAGAAUUGGGAGCAACUAUGUCCAUUUCGCCAUCUGCACCUGUACAAGUUGUCGAUCACCCUCCUGGAAGCAGCAGCAUCAAGACCAGAGAGGCCCUCUCUGACUGGGCGCUGAUGGAAAGCCUGGAGGUUCAUCUCAGUGAGAAACUGAGGAUGUGGCCGGUGUUGGAUGGUUGCACUUGAACUGACCUGACCUGAGAAAUCAAGUAAUGCUAGCUAUGGCCGAUGUGCUGUCUAUCUAGAAUUAGCCGGAAUGUAAUGUGUGUGAUGUCAGCCUAUUAAUGCUAAUUGAGUUAAGAACUUAGGCUGGCCUGAGUGCCAAGCUUUUGUGAAGAGUGACAGGCACUUCCAUGUUGUAAACUGAACCAGAAUCCUUGUUUUCCCUUUUGCAAUGCAAGCGGACUGGGGGUAUACCCCUACAACUCUAAAAAAACUUAUUGCAACUUGUGCUAAUUAAAAGCUGACUUGAUACUUACUAUAAUGGAUGAAACUACAUCACUGCUGGUUCUCUGCACUGAUGUUUGUUUCGCCCUUCAAUAUCAUUGUAGACUGAAACUGCAUGACUACUGGUUCUCUAAUCUGCUAUUUUGGACUCAUCCCAAACUUAUGGAUCUCUCUUUCAUUUGAAUAAUCUGGAUACCUUCGGGAGGUUGCUAGCUCCCCGUUAUCUUUAUUUGAAGGUGGGCCAUAGAAAAUUCAAAAUUCCCUUGUUUGGAUAAAGCCAAAUCAUCCCAAUACUCAUGUAUUGGAGUGAAAAGAAAAACCAAUUGGAAGGGACUACUGUGUUUCCAUUCAAGACCAAGGACAUUCGCUGUUGGUGCUUGUUCGUUCCAAUGCCUGGUAGGAAGUUGGUUGUUCAGAUUUAUAGGAGCUUUGAAGUUCUAAGCAAAAGAAGCUAUACUGUCGUGAUUUUCACCUUCAUCAUCUUGUGAAUUAGUCGGUGAAUAAAUAUGCAUAGUAUUUAUUUGUUUAAGGUCCUUUUCUUCUCUGCUAACAAAUGGCAGUGGUGCUUGCAAUUUCAAAUCACUACAUUUACUUAAGGACUGUUUUCAACUUUUGAUCCUUAUGUAUUCCUAGCCUGCUAAAGCUGACCUUUUAUUUUGUCACUAUAAACCCACUGCAGGUGAAAUAGGCAAUUCAGGAGACAGGCUUCUGUACAAGGAAUGUUUGUUUAUCAGUGUGGAAUGUAACCAUCAGCAGUUUUUAAAAGUUAGUUAUUUAUGAUAAAUGGUCAAAAUAGUUUAAGGUGAUUGCAAUCAAGUCAGUAAGCUAUGCCGCUCAGUAAACUAGUCCUUGCUCUUAUUUGGGUGUUCUAUGGAUUUCUUUUGGUUCUUAUUUGCAAAUAGACCCCAAUAAUUAUGAUAAUUACAUAAAUAGGAGCUGCCGAAGGAUCGGAGCUCAACUCAGAGCCGAAGCUGUUCGAGGACGACAACGAAGAGGAAGACUGCUCAAGUUCACAUCCAUCCGCUUUGAAUACGUAUUAGGCAUUGCUACUAGUAUGCUAGUGCUUUAUUUCUUUCGAAAUAGCAUGGUAGAUCAUGCUCGGCAUCUAACUUCUAUAAAUAUGCAACAAUUUAGGAAAAGUAGCUUUGACCCAAAAUACCUAUAGGUUUGCCACCCAUUUAAUUGGUUUUUGACUUUUGGACAAUCAAAAACAGAUUAGGAACCCAACCAAACCAAAGAGACCGUGAGCUAGAUAAGCAGCAUUCAUGGGCCGAGGAAGGAUCACAUCUGGGCUUUGAGCGUGACAUGCAUGCAUGCUGGCCCCUUCCAUGCAUGGACGACCUCUUGUUAUUUUUAUUAUGAUUUCCAAGAUAGAGAAACCAUUUAUUUAUUUUUUAUAAAAAAUAUCAGCGAGAUGCCCAAACAAGACUAAGCCCUUGUUUAGUUCACCCCCCACUCCCAACUUUGGCACUAUGUAAAAAGAAGAUUCGCCAUCACAUCAAACUUGCGGUACAUGCAUGGAGUACUAAAUGUAGACGAAAUUAAAAACUAAUUUCAUAGUUUUGUUGUACUUUGCGAGACAAAUUUUUUGAGCCUAAUUAGUCAAUGUUUGGACAAUAAUUCACAAAUACAAACGAAACGCUACAGUGUGCUACAGUGCUGUAACAGUAAUUUGGCACCUCCAAACUUUGGCAACUAAACAAGACCUAAGGCUACGGCACAUGGUAAAAAAUUGAGUGGGGACGGCCCCCACAAUCCUCCGCGUGAGCACCUCCUCACGAUUUCUGCCGUGUGGAGAACUCCACGGAUCGACGACGCUCGUGCCGCGCUUGUUCCGCAACGCGCAGGCUCGCUGGCUCGCUCGGCUCUCGUCUCCAAACUCUCUCCAGGCUCGCUUUCUCGGCUCUCGUCUCCACUCGUCCGCCGCCACCGUCCGCGAAAAAAAAUUCCGUCCUCCGUCGCCGGCUGCCGUCGUCCACGCCGCCGUUUCCACCGCGCACCUCUGCCACCCGCCGUCCAGUUCGCAUCGCCCCUGCAGUGCUAGAUACAGAGAAAAUACCAAUGGCGACCAUCAUAUAUGUUGUUUCAACUAAAGAGAGCACGAGUUUCAGUUUGACAACUGAGAUUUCCGGUCAAAAAGCGCUGGCAAUCAGCAAUCCUUCUCAUUCAUUGCUGGGUCCCAGAAAACCUUCCAGGACAUAUUAGCAGUACAAGAGGUUUCUGGAAGUUCCUCUACUUACAAAAAAUAACACACGACUUGCUACAAAAAAUCAAAGUAGAUUAUGAUGAAACUCUAUGAUGCACUUGCGCUACUCCAUUCAGUUCGGCAUGCACCGACGAACCCACGCCGAGAGAUAGAAAGCAGUCAUGAACUCAUGAUGAGCCACCGAAAUUUCGAGGCAAAUUUCCAUGAGGGAUGAAACUUACUCCGGCUAAAUGUCUUUCGAAAGCUUCGAUUUAGUUUUGGCGUCUGUCUCCCCAACCAGUUUCUUUUGAGGAAUUGGACGCAUCAGUCAAUGGAAACAUCCAUACUGACUAUGAACAGCAUUUUUUAUCUACUGGGCACAUUAAGCUUCUGAAAUUGGCACUACACUCUGCAGCUAUCCCACCAAAAUUAGCAGCAAUCCCACACGCGAGCGUCGAUUCCGCGUAUUGAUUACCUUCGGACACGAGGUAAAUCCUAAGUUCGUCGCCGUACUUGGAGAGCAUCUGGAUGUGCGACGGGUUCAUGUACGGCGGGACGCGGCUGAGGUAGCACACCCCACGCUUGCCGAACCCGUCCAAGCUCUUCCCCAGUAGCUUCCUCUUACCCCCUACUCCUACUACUCCUUCCUCGUCUUCGCUUCCAAGGCCUUGCUCGUCCAGCUCCUCAUCCAGGAAGUCAUCUUCCUCCUCAUCCGUGAACUGGUCCCUCUCCGUGGGACCCACCAUGGUAACUGGCUCAGGCGGCAACCGACAGGGUAGAGAAGGCCUGUGGGUGCGCCUGUGAUAGCGGCCGCCCUAAGUGCGGGGGCGAUGCGACCUGGACAGUGGGUGGCAGAGGUGCGCGGUGGGAAUGGCAGCGUGGACGAUGGAGGACGGAAUUUUUUUUCCAUGGACGGUGGCGGCGGACGAGUGGAGACAAGAGCCAAGUGAGCGAGCGAGCAGAGAGAGUUUGGAGACGAGAGCCGAGCGAGCGACCGAGCCUGCCUGUUGUGGAACCUGCAUGGCGCACGAGUGUCGUCGAUCCGAGGAGUUCUCCACGUGGCAGAAAUCGUGAGGAGGUCCUCACGGGAAGGACUGUGGGGGCCGUCCCCAUCCAAUUUUUGCCAUGCCAGAGGCCUAAUUAGUUUGAUCGAUGGCUCUUGGAGCGCGGAAAGGUCGUCAACGGAGGACUAUAAAUAUUCAACUUUUGAUCCUUAUGUAUUCCUAGCCUGCUAAAGCUGACCUUUUAUUUUGUCAUUACAAACCCACUGCAGGUGAAAUAGGCAAUUCAGGAGACAGGCCUCUGUACAAGGAAUGUUUGUUUAUCAGUGUGGAAUGUAAUCAUCAGCAGUUUUUAAAAGUUAGUUAUUUAUGAUAAAUGGUCAAAAUAGUUUAAGGUGAUUGCAAUCAAGUCAGUAAGCUAUGCUGCUCAAUAAACUAGUCCUUGCUCUUAUUUGGGUGUUCUAUGGAUUUCUUUUGGUUCUUAUUUGCAAAUAGACCCUGAUAAUUAUGAUAAUUACAUAAAUAGGAGCUGCCGAAGGAUCGGAGCUCAACUUGGAGCCGCAGCUGUUCGAGGACGACAACGAGGAGGAAGAUUGCUCAUGUUCACACCCAUUUGCUUUGAUUACGUAUUAGGCAUUGCUAUUAGUAUGCUAGUACUUUAGGUCUUUCAAAAUAGCAUGGUAGAUCAUGCUAGGCAUCUAACUUCUAUGAAUAUGCAACAAGUGAGGAAAAGUAGCUUUGGCCCAAAACACCUAUAGAUUUGCCACCCGUUUGAUUGGAUAAGCAAAAGCAGGCAAGAAGACCGUGAGCUAGAUAAGCAGCAUUCAUGGGCCGAGGAAGGAUCUCAUCUGGGCCUUGAGUGUGACAUGCAUGCAUACUGGCCCCUUCCAUGCACGGAUGACCUCUUGUUAUUUUUAUUACAACUUCCAAGAUAGAGAAACCAUUUAUUUUUAAAAAAAAUAUCAGCGAGAUGCCCAGACAAGACUAAGGCUACGGCACAUGCCAUGCCAGAGGCCUAAUUAGUUUGAUCGAUAACGGAAAGGUCGUCAACGGAGGACUAUAAAUAUUCAUAUUAUAAAAAUAAUAUAAUAUGUGAUCGUGGCAGAUGGUUUGGACUCGGGGAUCAAUCAAAUGCGCUAUGAGAGUACGUAGUGCAAGGCCACAUUUUGUUGUUUCAAUCAGUACCACAGUUUAUGCAAAUUGAGGACAAUAGUACAAGACUACGAGAGCACCAGCUACCCAAGAACUUUGUUAUUUUUAUAGAGAGGUGAUAGUGCGUCGUAUGGAACAAUUCCGUUACAAAUUAAUUAUGUGGCUGUCAAUUGUUGCUCAUCAAUGGAGAAAAGUUCUAGCUGAUGCCUAUAUGAUAGCUCCAUGAACAAAACAUAAAUAUAAACAAAUGACUCUAAAAAUUGUCUUGAGUUGAGUGACCUGCCAAUUAAGAAGCUGAUGAUCGUCUACCUCUUGUUUGUGUGCCACUAUGCCAGUGAGGCCAACAACAAUGAUAUCAAAGCUACCUUCUCCACGAAGACCAGGAUUCUGCGUCUCGUUUCUCCCCACCACCGCAAAACAAGUAAUCAUCCGGCUAAAUUUAGCUAGCUAAACUUUAAAAAAUUUCUUUUAGCUAAGGGAAUACCCCUUGCUAAACUUUAGGGACUAAACUUUAGUCCAUUUUAGCCUCUAAACCUCCAAACACCCCUACUUAUUUGGACUAAACUUUAGCCUCUAAGGGUAAGCAAAUAAGUCACCAAGAGGUUGCUUAUGGGGGCUAAAGUACACCCUGGACACCCUCUGCCCUCAUUAAUUGCUUGUCAGUUUCCCUCUCCCCUACCCCUCCGCAUGACCGCACCCACCAGUCCCCAUCAUUUGCCUCCGGUCGCCGCCACCGCCCCCUUCCUGGUUCCCCCCUCUCGCAUCCUCUCGCCAUCCCCUUCGGUGUGGUGCGGCAUGGCGCGCAUGUGCGGCGGCGGCGGCACACGCACGGGCUAGCAGCGAGUGGCACGCGCGUGUGCGCGGGCGAAGGCGCGGCGCGGCCACUAACCGGCCAAGGCAGGGCCUUUGGUCGUGGCGUUGCGCGGGCGCAUAGGCAUGGGGCUUGCCCCGGUCGCGACACGGCUGCGGUGACGCGUGGGACACCGGCGACCCAGGUCCGCGGCGGCCGGCGGCAAGGCAGUAAUGGCGGCAGCCUACUGACUAUGCUACUAGAUCUACCGAGGAGAAAAGAGCAAGGAGAGGUAAGCGGCUCACGGCAGCGCGACGGUGGCGAGCGGCGCGGCGCCGACUUCGGGCGGCGGUUCCUCAAGUGGCAGUGGCUCCGGCUCCCCUUCCACGGAUGGCAUCCUCUCCUCCUCCCUUCUCCUCUAUUCCCUUUCCUCCCCACGGCCCUCUCCUUCCUCUCUCACGCGUUGGCGGCGGCGGACGGGCAGCUCCCGGAGAGGAUGGCGAGGGGUGGGCAAUGUGGUCAUUGUAUAGGACAUUAAAUGUUGUUUAGCCCCUAAAACUAGACAGGAGGGCUAAACUUUAGUUCCCCCAAAUAAGAAAGUUUUAGUCCUUAAAUAAGCAAGGGUAAACCAAACAUGCUCUAAGUUUAGCGAGGGGUGUUUGGAUCGACAACCUAGUUAAAGAGGUAUUUGUCUAUUUUAUCCUUUUCUCCCAUUUUAGAAACUUUUCCCGAGGAAGGUGGAGGGGCAAUUUGGUCUUUAGUAAUUUAGCUAGGUUUAACAAGUAAAGAAAUCUUUAGCUAGCUAAAGUAGGUUCUAUUUGGAUCCAUAGCGAGCUAAAUUUUACUCGCUGAUCCAACCAGGUAAAAGUAGGCUUUUUUUAUUUACAAUUCUCAAACAGAACCUUGAACGAAGAGGUGGGUGGGCUUGUGAGUGCACGUGAUAAGUGAUAACCAAGGCUGGUCAUAAUGCGAGGUGACAAUGGCCCAAAGCACGAAGGAGUUGGUGUCAACUUGUGCUGUUGUCUUUCUAGGCACCGCGCUGCCACUCCCACAUGCAAAAAGUAUUUUCCUAGCUUGUGACAUUAAAAUUAGCUAAGGCCUUGUUUAGAUGGCCAAUUUGGGAGAUGCAAAAUUCCUGUUACAGCACUGUAGCACACUGUAGCGUUUCGUUUGUAUUUGUGAAUUAUUGUCAAAAUAUUGACUAAUUAGGCUCAAAAGAUUCGUCUCGCAAAGUACAACAAAACUGUGCAAUUAGUUUUUAAUUUCGUCUACAUUUAGUACUCCAUGCAUGUACCGCAAGUUUGAUGUGAUGGGGAAUCUUCUUUUUGCAUAGUGUCAAAGUUGGGAGUUGGGAGGUAAGUAAACAUGGCCUAAAACAGCUAGCACACUGCGGCGCUGCAUGCGCGCCACUGGCGCUAUGUCAGUGGUCUCUUGCGCUCAUAUAUGUGAAUCGAGAUGGGAGACAUCAGUCAUCACAAUUCUUUUAAGAGGUGUUUGGAUACUAGGUGCUAAACUUUAGCAGUGUCACAUCGGAUGUUCGGAUGCUAAUUAGAAGGACUAAACAUGAGCUAAUUAUAAAACUAAUUGCAGAACCCCUAUACUAUUUCGCGAGAUGAAUCUAUUGAGCCUAAUUAAUCCAUCAUUAGCAAAUGGUUACUGUAGCACUACAUUGUCAAAUCAUGGACUAAUUAGGUUUAAUAGAUUCAUCUCGUGAAUUAGACUCCAUCUGUGCAAUUAGUUUUAUAAUUAGCCUAUAUUUAAUACUCCUAAUUAGCAUCCAAACUUCCGAUGUGACAUGUGCUAAACUUUAGCAUGGGAUAUCCAAACACCCCCUUAGUCCUCGUUCAUUGAAGCACAUCACUGAAUUUCGGGUGGUUACGUCUCAGAAGAUUACUGCGAGCUCCGACACUGACACUAUUAGAAAUUUAUUUGAAAGGGAGGGAGCCAGAGCUCGCGGAGAAGGGAGAGGGAGCCCUCGCCCGCGGCUGGCGUGGAGGGCGGCACUGUGCUGCAUCCUCUCCUUUUCUCGGAAGAUGCUAAGGCUAAGGACAGGUAAAGGAGCGAACCGGUAUCUUAUAAUAAGUGGUAGGUGGGUAAUUUUUUUUAAAAUUGCAUACCUCCACAGCUCGUGAAAGUAAGAGAAAGUUGCUAUUAGUUUUGUAGUUUUAUACUGAGGAAAAAUAGCUUUGAUUUAAAACACCUAUGGAUUUGCCACCUUUGGCUUUUGACUUUUCGACGAACGCAGAUUGAGAAGAAAAAAAAAACUAAGCAAGAUAAGCAGCAUUCGUGGGCCGAGAAAGGAUCACACAUCUAGGCUUUGAGUGAGCAACACCCUUCCAUACAUGGAUGACCUCCUUUUAUUUUUAUUACAACUUUCAAGAUAGAGAACCCAUUUAUUUAUUUUUAAAAAUAUCAGCGAGAUGCCUAGACAAGGCUGAUACGGCACAUGCUACGCUAGAGUGUACUCCCUCCGUCCCAUUUUAAGUGUCGCUUGGAAAGCGUGACUGUGAGGGAAACACGGUUCCGAGCCACACUUAAAAAGGACAGAGGGAGUAAUUUGAUCGAUGGCUCCUUGAGCACGAAAAGGUCGUCACCGGAGGACUAUAAAUAUUCAUAUUAUAGAAAUAAUAUAACGUGUGAUCGUGGCAGAUGGAGCGGAAUCUCGACUGCCUUAUGGUUAGCAAGUGUCACAUCAAUGUUUAGAUACUAAUUAGGAGUAUUAAACGUAGAUUAUUUACAAAAUCCAUUACAUAAGUGGAGGCUAAACGACGAGACGAAUCUAUUAAGCCUAAUUAGUCCAUGAUUUGACAAUGUAUUGCUACAGUAAACAUUUGCUAAUGAUGGAUUAAUUAGGCUUAAUAGGUUCGUCUCGCUGUUUAACCUCCACUUAUGUAAUGGGUUUUGUAAAUAGCCUACGUUUAAUACUCCUAAUUAGUAUCUAAACAUUGAUGUGACACUUGCUUAAAAAUAAGCAAAGGAACCAAACGCCCCCUUAGUAUCGUUGGCACGUCUAUCCAAGACAGUGCCUGCUCCGUCCAUCCAGCCAGGCUUAAGCUGUUAAUAAGCACUCCUCCUAGAGAGAGAGACUGCUCUAAUCCAGGUCUCCAGCUGUCUCUCUCUAACAUGCUGAGUGAAAGACCAUCCAUGGAUAAAAAAAUUCAUAGCUCUACACUCUAAAAACUGGCAAGCCUUGACGAGCGGCUCCUUUUCGAUGGUUAGUGUGCUCCAACAAUACCGAGAAUUGAAGCCAAUGUGUCACCUGAAAUUUUUAUGUACUAUUAUUAAACACUAUCGUUGCUUAUGAGCCAUAUUGCCAACAAUAGAUGCAGCACCUAUUAAUAACAAAAAUAUUAUGCUCUCGACCCCCUUAUUUAUGCCAAUUAUUAAACAUAUAUUCUGUGCUUUGUAGUGGUCAGACUCCUAACACAAUGUGUACCGUAAACAAAUUUUUUUUGCAUAAUAACAUUAAAAAAGUGUUGCAAAGUUUCAGAUAGCAAGCCUUGCUCCCAUCCCAAUUUCUCCUAAUUCCUCCAAGCUAGAUUGUCUUUCGUAAGUAUCACUCUCCUUUUCAAAUACCACAUAAAUAUUUUUAUUUUGAAAGGAACCUUUAUAUGUUAAAUUUCUUGCGUAACUUUGACUCCCUUAUUGACUGGAGUUCACCAUGAAAACUCCAUUGUUAUGUAGAUUUCACCUAAAUAUAUUCGCGUCCUCAUUCAAAUUAAUACUUGCUAUUCUCACGACUAAGUUUAUACUACUCAAUUAACUUAUCCCAACUAAACUUUCUCCUAAACAAAACAUUAAUUGGGUUGGUACCAAGCACUUCCGCCACAGUUUUCGCACUAUAUUAAGGUGCUGUUUGGUUUCAGGGACUUCCCUAAACUUCCAAAUAGAGGGACUAAAUGGAGGACUAAAGGAAUUAGUCAUUUAGUCCCUGGGAUGACCAAAGGGGACUAAAGGUCCAGGAGGAUACCUUUACCCCUCAUUAUUGCAGCGUGGGAUGCAGAUUUUAUGCAUUGAUUAGGAGUAUUUUAAUCUUUGUUCAUCUGCUUUAAUGGCCUUUAGUCCCUGCAUCCAAACAGGAUAGGUUCCUAGAACCAAACACUAAGGGGGUGUUUGGAUAUCCCUUGCUUAUUGUUAGGGACGAAACUUUAGUCCAUUUUUAGCUCUAAACCUCAAAACACCCCUGCUUAUUUGACUAAACUUUAGCCCCUAAGAAUAAGCAAAUAAGCCACCAAGUGGUUGCUUAUGGUGACUAAACUGGACCCUAGACCUCCUACCCUCAUUAUUUUCUUGUCCGUUACCCUCACUCUCCCUAAGGGCACGUACAAUGCGUCUCUUCGCUCCAUCUGCGUGAUGUAUUUUUUGCAAGAAACCCCCCACCAGUGCCUGGAGACGGAAGCGUCGUCGUCUCGUGAGACGACGGGGAAGGCUCGUGGCCCGAGACCGAAACACCAGCUCUAGCAGUGUUGUACAUAUCGCCUUCCUAACUCGACGACACGCGGAUCCCGUGUACGUGCAGUUCUGGUUUGGACGUAUUAAACAGCUUGCAGAUGACUCUUGUAUUCGAGACUGUCACAGACGACCCUCUGUCUAUGGGUUGAACGUACCCUUAUAUGACCUGUCUUUAUACCUACCUGUAUGAUAGAUUCGAGACGUUUAGAGACAAAUACUUAUCUAUGGGUUGUACAUGCCCUAAGGGCACCUACAACCCACAUACGGGUGCCGUCUUUGUAGCUUGGGCGUUUGGUUCCCUUUGCUUAUUUUUAAGCAAGUGUCACAUCAAUGUUUAGAUACUAAUUAGGAGUAUUAAAUGUAGGUGUUGACGCCGGAUUUCGUCAUCAGAAGAAUCGGCGUCAAAGAGAAAAGGAAUCGGUCAAAAGGUGCUACAGUGUGGAAUCGGUCAAGUGGCUUUUACUUCGCUUCAGGUUCCCAAUCGGCAGUCCUUUGCUGAUACGAAAUCGGCCAAUCGGGAGGGAGGACUAAAAUGGGCCUGUAUGGGCUUGGUUAAGUGGAAAGAUAAGGUGGGGUUCAGCCCACGAAGCGUAGGGUAGUUAGUUUAGCACGGAUUGUGCUUGUAGAUAUUUGUUUUCUGUUUGAAUUAGAGAUAGAGUCCUAGUCGGUUAAGAAGAUUAUUUGUACGGGGCUAUAAAUAGCUACCUUUGUAAAUAUGUAAACACAACAAUCAAUCAAUACAACAAGUUACUUUAUUCUUCGUACUACUUUCGAGCAGGCGAUUUCGCCAUUGUUUUUCCUUCUCACGAGUUCGUGCGGGUUGGCAGGGCUGCAUCACCUUGAUCUCCGGCCGAUUCUGUAAGUUCCGCUUAUCGAGUAAUAUCUAAGCUUUAACUUCCGGCGUAUCGCUGUUGUUUCGUUUAGAUUUAUUCACUAGUUAUCGAUAUCAACUAGAUUCAUAGGUUUUUACCUGUUUUUCUAGCUUUUAUCACCAGUUAUCCCGCUAGGAAUCGGUAGUAUCGGCUUUCAUUACCUUCUGUUGCUAGAUAUAUCCGUUGCCGAUUAGAUCUUUUUCUAGUGCUGUUACGGCAUACCUUGUAUCUAUUACUUCGAUAUUUUUCUAACUACAAGGCUACAGGGAUCGUGCUGUCUAGUAGCCGAUUUCUCUACUACAGUAAAUCGGCCGAUCUGCCGAUAAGCAUUCUCGAUCGGAAACUUAGCCGAUCGUAGUUACUGAAUUUGAUACGUGUUUUUCCUUGCCAAUCAACAGGUCAGAUUGGCUGGCACGCCGCGCGAACCGCACCAGGGCAUUCACCCGAACAGGAGUUAAGCAGAUUCUCCCGGGUCGUGUGUCGGCCGCUGGACCGAUUUCUAGCGCCAACACACUUUUGGCACGCCCAGUGGGACCAUUACAAACGCUGUCAUGUCGAAAGCUGCUGAAGUCUCCGAAGAUAACGUCAUCGAAGUAACGGAAGCAGAUCUGAAGGACGACCAAAAAGAGGAUCUGAAUCAGUAUUUGGAGCAAGUCCGGAAAACUUGCUUGAAAUCCUUCAGUCGUUCCAGGAGCGGGGAAACUAUUAAAAAGUCUCCUUUUCCUACUCCCCGCCAGAUCACGAUCUCAGAAGAUUCGGACAAAAUGUCCGAUAUGAUUCAGCAAUCUCUUCACCACGCCUUCAUCACCCAGUCCCCGGUACUUUCAAACAUGGUGCAUAAUGCUGUUGUCAACUCCUUCGCCGGAGGCAUACCACAGGGGUACAAGGGGCCCACGUAUUUUCAGCCGAUUCCACCAAAUCAGGUUUAUCCGACUUCACAACCGAUCCAAUCCUCUGUUGAAGGAUCUGGUGCCUCUACGUCAUCAACUCCUUUGGGAUACGGCUCCAUCCAGCCGUCCACUGCACCACUCCCUCCAGUCAUUCCUCUACCCUGGAGGGCACCUUUAAACUCGACCGGUUUGAAUCAAUCGGUCAGCCAAGGAAAUUCCCCGUUCCAGAUACCUUCCCAAACGGCCACUCGGCCGAUCAUACCACCAUACCAGCCCAUCACUCCGGAGGUCAACAAGACGUCAGAGCUCAUGCUAUAUGAUGAAACGAGUGGUGCCUACAAACAGCCGUCCUUUACUACACCGCCGGCUUAUACUCAGAUGCCACCGUUUCACCAAUCCUCUUUCAUACAACCUCCGAUCUAUCAACAUGUGCCGAUUCCGCCGCCAGUUAUUCCCCAGCGACAACCAGAUUGGGCGGCGCAAAUCGCGGAAGUGAUGCAAGAGCAAUUCGGCUUGAAGCCGAAGGUUCAAACUUAUACCUACAGGACACCAUACCCGUCUACAUAUGAUUUGUUGCCGUUUCCCCAUCGGUACAAAGUUCCGGAUUUCACUAAAUUUUCCGGAAUGGAUGAUACUUCUACCGUAGAACAUGUGAAUAGAUUCAUCAUCCAAUGCGGCGAAGCAGCUACGCAAGAUGCCCUGCGGGUACGGUUGUUCUCGUCAUCUUUGUCUGGAUCGGCCUUCCAAUGGUUCACCACUCUACCUCCAAACUCGAUUAUCACAUGGGCCGAUCUAGAAAAGCAAUUUCACAAGUACUUCUAUGCUGGAGUCCACGAAAUGAAGCUGUCUGAUCUGACUAGCAUCCGGCAACGGAGUGAUGAGCCGAUACCCUCAUACAUACAGAGGUUUCGGGAAAUCAGGAACAAAUGCUACUCCUUGGCUCUAACUGAUGCACAGUUGGCCGAUAUAGCCUUCCAAGGCCUACUGCCACACAUCAAGGAGAAAUAUGCUUCGCAAGAGUUCGAGAGCCUAAGCCAGAUUGUCCACCGAUUGUCCGGACAAGAAGUGCGUCCAUUUGACCCAAGAAGGAAUUUCCAAAAGAAGGUAGCAUUCCUGGAAGAAGUAGAGGAUGAGGGAGACGCCGAAAUCGGGCUUGCAGAGUGGAUUAAGGGAAAGAAGCCAAUAUCAUGCCCAUUCGGCAAAAAGGAGCCAGAAGCAUUUGGCUUUGACACAACUAAGGCUGACAAGAUCUUCGAUCUUCUACUUCAGGAAGGGCAGAUUAAACUCUCGCCCUACCACACGAUCCCCUCUGCCGAAUAGUUGAAGAAGAUGAAGUAUUGCAAAUGGCACAAUGCCACGUCGCAUGAUACCAAUGAAUGCAAAAUCUUCAGACAACAAAUACAGUCGGCCAUUGAACAGGGCAGGCUCAAGUUUGAAGUGCCGGCAAAACCGGCCAAACCAAUGAAGAUUGAUCAGCAUCCGUUUCCUACCAACAUGGCGGAUACGGGUAAGAAUCCCCUCCAAACGAAAGUGCUGACAUCCGAAUCGGCAAAAAAGAGUGGCGCUGUCGAUCCCAGGAAUCAAGUCACAUCUGAAGACAUCAAGGGGAAGCGACGGAUGGAGGCCGAUGACGGUGAGCCAGAAGGACCACGCAUUACCUCCCAAUUCCUGCUCCAAAAAUACCAGCGCCAACAUGAACGAUCAAGGUCACGAGAGGAAGCAAUACGUCGGCACGAGGAACAUUGGAGAUGCCCAUUCUUCAUCCACUGUUGGGAGAAUAACCUCAGACUUCCAUCCGCUGAUACGUGCCCAGAGUGCAACGGCCCCUAUCGAAACAAUCGGCCGUUCGCAAGGUCUCGCUCUAGAGACGGAAGGCCAGAACCGAUCAGCAGGAAUCGGCGAAUUUCAGAUGAACAACGCCCUUCCAUGCGUGAUCGGCUGGGGGGCAGAAGCGACCGAUAUGAUCGGUCAGAAGGAAGAGGCCAUAAUAGGCAGGGGGGCAGGACUGAUCACCGCGAUCAAUCAAGUAGCAAAGCCAGCGUUCACAGCCGGCUCGAAGACAUGGCCGAUGCGCGGGUAACGGACGCGAACCAGAAUGGGAACGCGCCGGGAAAGAAGGGAGGCCAAUAAACCCCAGAUGGUGCCCCGACGGCUUAACCAAAUCACAAAAACGGAGAAUUCAACGCCUCCGCCAAUGGGAACAGCAAGAAGAAGAGGGCAUGAUGGACGAAAAGCAAGAAAGGCCUCGGGUGUGGCGCCCCAAAAGAAACGACAAAGGUAACGACGAGUCGGCGGGCGACGAAUCGGCAGCUGAAAUCGGUAUGGUUUUCAUAUUGCCGAUGGAGUUCAUGACCCCCGAUCAACAGGAGGUGUCGGCGAUAGAGGAACAAACAGCAAGGUUGGCUUUAGAACCGAUGAUGGCCACGUUUGAAAAGCCCGAGGAUGACGAACGACAGCAUAUGAAGGCGUUGUUCCUUAAAGGGCAUGUUGACGGUCGUCCCCUCACUAAGUUGAUGGUCGACGGUGGAGCUGCCGUCAACAUCAUGCCAUAUGCCGUACUCCGAAAGCUGGGAAAAAGCGACGACGACCUGACCAGGACGGACAUGAUGCUCAAGGACUUCGAAGGCAAGGUGUCAAACGCUCGCGGUGCCCUCUGCGUCGACCUCACCAUCGGCAGUAAGACCCUUCCUACCACAUUUUUCGUCAUUAAUGGCAAAGGGUCCUAUAAUAUGCUUCUUGGCCGAGACUGGAUACACGCAAACUGCUGCAUCCCAUCAACUAUGCAUCAAUGCCUUGUACAAUGGAUCGGCGAUAACAUCGAAGUGGUCAAAGCCGACUCCGCGUACAGCAUCGCAGCAGCCGACGCACAACAGUGGAGCUGCGAGACUGUCAGGUGCAUAUCAGGUAGGGUGUGGGAAACCGAUUUCCUGAAGGUCACCGAUUUUGGCCUACAGCCGAUCCGAGCAGUCGGCUCCGAAGAAGCGCAAUAAAUGGAUCAGUUCGCCAGAGAAGACGGGAAGCUGGGACACGGGUUCACGUCGGCCGAUUCAUUAGAGAUGGUAGAUUUAGGUGACGGGACCAAACCAAGACCGACUUUCAUUAGUGCAAAUUUAGAUCCAGAGUACAAGUGUAAAUUGACAAAUUUAUUAAGAGAAUUCAAGGAUUGUUUUGCGUGGGAGUAUCACGAGAUGCCCGGAUUAGAUCGAUCUAUUGUUGAACAUCGGCUACCCAUAAAACCAGGGUAUCGGCCGUACCAACAACCCGCACGACGAUGCAAUCCUAAAAUUUUACCGGACAUAAAAGCCGAAAUAACUCGGUUAAUUGAAGCGAAAUUUAUUCGGCAAUGUCGUUACGCCGAGUGGAUUUCUAAUAUCGUACCGGUGUAUAAGAAAAACGGGAAGUUGCGCGUUUGCGUCGAUUUCAGAAAUCUUAAUCAGGCCACACCGAUGGAUGGCUACCCCAUGCCCACGGCCGAUGUACUAAUCGACGCCGCCGCAGGGCACAAAAUUAUUAGCUUCAUGGAUGGGAACGCCGGAUACAAUCAAAUACUUAUGGCCGAAGAGGAUAUACCCAAAACGGCUUUCAGAUGUCCAGGACAUCUUGGUCUAUUCGAGUGGGUGGUGAUGACUUUCGGUUUGAAAAAUGCUGGUGCUACAUAUCAGAGGGCCAUGAACUAUAUUUUUCACAAACUCAUCGGCCUCCUGGUGGAAAUCUACAUCGACGACGUUGUGGUCAAGUCCAAAAGCCACGAGGAACACCUAGCCGAUUUGCGAAGGGUCCUAGAGUGCACCAAAAAACAUGGUCUUAAGAUGAAUCCCAACAAAUGCGCUUUCGGCGUCUCCGCCGGACAGUUCUUAGGAUUCAUGGUGCACGAACGAGGCAUUGAAGUCAAUCAGAAGACCAUAGCGGCCAUCAACAAAGUCGUCGCCCCACAAAACAAAACUGAGCUACAGUCUCUAAUCGGCAAGGUAAACUUUAUCAGAAGAUUUAUAUCUAAUCUAUCUGGACGGAUUCAGGCGUUCACGCCACUUCUGAAGUUGAAGCCAGACCAGGAGUUUAUAUGGGGAGAAGAACAACGCAAGGCGUUAGAAAACAUCAAGCGAUAUCUGGUCUCACCCCCAGUCCUGGUUCCUCCUCAAACGGGUAAGCCGUUUAAACUAUAUUUAUCAGCCGAUGACAAAGCUAUCGGGUCGGCUCUAGUCCAAGAGUUUGAAGGCAAAGAACGGGUAAUUUAUUACGUUAGUAGAAGACUCCUGGAUGCCGAAACAAGAUAUCCUCCAGUAGAGCGUUUGUGUUUGUGUCUUUACUUCUCGUGCACCAAACUCAGACACUAUCUGCUGUCGGCAGAAUGUAUAGUCGUGUGCAAAGACGAUGUAGUGAAAUACAUGCUGUCACUGCCGAUAUUGAAAGGGAGAAUCGGCAAAUGGAUUUUGGCUUUAUCAGAAUUUGACCUACGAUACGAGUCGGCAAAAGCCGUCAAGGGUCAAGUUAUGGCCGAUUUCGUUGCCCAGCACUGUGGGCCAGAGGUCGCCUUCGUAGAAACAGCGCCUUGGCAGUUGUUUUUCGACGGGUCAUCAUGCGGAGCCGGAUCGGGAAUCGGCAUCGUCCUCAUAUCGCCUCGGGGGGCAAGAUAUGAUUUUUCUCUGCCGAUAGAAACCGCCGCCACAAACAAUCAAGCAGAAUACAGAGCCGUAUUAAAAGGCUUACGAUUAUUGAGAGAGAUCAAGGCCGAUUCUGUUGAGGUCUUCGGAGAUUCGAUGCUAAUUGUGGAUCAGCUAACCGGAAGAGCUGAGUGCAAAGAUGACGUAUUGCGAAUCCAUCACGAAGAUUGCUUACAACUGUUGAAAGAAUUCAGAUCGGCAGUGAUCGAACACGUCCCAAGAGACCACAAUGAAGAAGCAAACAAACUCGCUCAACAUGCAUCUGGGUAUCGGCCAAUUCUGGGCGCCAUGGCCUUAGAGCUUGCAGCUGAUGAUUGGCGUAAGGAAAUUGCCGAUUACCUAAAAGAUCCUUCCAAAAAGGUGGAGCGACGAGUGCGUUUUCAUGCUACCAAAUACGUGCUGCUCGAAGACGAUCUGUUCUACCGAACGAUCGAUGGUGUUCUUCUUAAAUGCCUUGGAACAGAAGAAGCCAAGACUCUAAUGGGAGAAAUCCAUGAAGGGGUAUGCGGGGCUCAUCAAUCAGCACAUAAGAUGAAGUGGAUGAUCAGAAACAAUGGGUACUAUUGGCCUACGAUCCUGGAAGAUUGUUUCAAAUAUUAUAAGGGUUGUCAGGAGUGUCAAAAGUUUGGAGAUGUCCAGCGUGCACCCGCAUCGGCCAUGAAUCCCAUCAUCAAACCGUGGCCGUUCAGAGGGUGGGGAAUAGACCUUAUCGGCCAAAUUUAUCCGCCAUCAAGCAAGGGGCACAAAUUUAUUCUGGUCGCCACCGAUUAUUUCACCAAAUGGGUGGAGGCAAUCCCACUAAGGAAUGUGACCUCGGCUAUCAUGGCCGAUUUCGUAAGGGAUCACAUCGUCUACCGAUUCGGUAUCCCUCAAACUAUAACAACCGAUCAAGGAACAAUGUUCACAUCGGGAGAAUUUGAGGAGUUUACGACCGAUAUGGGCAUCAAGUUGCUGAAUUCGUCUCCGUAUUACGCUCAAGCCAAUGGUCAGGCAGAAUCUUCCAACAAAGGAAUAAUCAAGUUGAUCAAGAGGAAGAUUGAAGAAUGCCCCAAGAAGUGGCACCUAUGUUUGACCGAGGCCCUAUGGGCAUACAGAAUGGCCUGUCACGGAGCGACCAAGUUAUCCCCCUAUUAGUUGGUAUACGGUCACGAUGCAGUGCUUCCAUGGGAGUCAAGGGCAGGAUCAAGGCGCAUUUCACUGCAGGACCAGUUGUCGGCCGAUGACUACUCGGCUCUGAUGAAGGAAAAACUUGACGACUUGGCCGGCCAACGACUAAGAGCCCUAAUAAGCAUCGAAGAGAAUAAGAAGAGAGUGGCCAGAUGGUACGAUAAAAAGGUCAAGAUCAAACAGUUCUCUCCUGGAGAUUUGGUAUGGAAGUUGGUACUACCGAUUGGGUCGAAAGAUCCUAAAUUCGGCAAAUGGUCUCCUACCUGGGAAGGGCCGUAUAGAAUCGGCAGGUGCGCUCCAGGGAAUGCGUAUAUCCUGGAAACAACUGAGGGGGAAGAAUUCACUAGGGCCCUGAAUGGGAGAUACUUAAAAAGAUAUUACCCAAGUAUAUGGGUCGGGACCUAAAGGGAUAGACACAGUCAAAUAUGACCGACACAACUCGGUUUUAAGAUUCAUGUGAAAUCGACCAGAAUGGCCGAUUACGUUCAUAAUGGCCGAGGACAUUCAUUCGGGCCGAUUACAUUCGGUACGGGCGACCGAUUACAUGGCCGACAAAACACUAAGUCGCCCUUAGAAUAAAAAAUACAACAACUAAUUAUUCUUAUUCUUACGCUCCCUCUCAGCCCUACCCAGCUCUAUCAGGCGUCGAAUGUAUCUUUCCUCCAUGGCCUCCAUCGAACUCCCUGCUUCAGCUUGACGGGGAAGGCCCACGGGAGGGCGUGAGUCCGCUGCCGCCGCCAAAGCAACGGGCCGAGGUAGCAUACGAACCCUGUCGCUAGUAGGCCGCUGGUGCCGAGGAAACGAGCGGGCCCCAUCGGCAGGAAGCCGCGGAUUGCCGUUCCUUUCCAGGAAGUUCAGGAUCGCGCAGGCCGUUGAGGCGAUGUCACUACCAAGAAUGCUGCUGCGACGACCCCUCACGGCUCGGCGCGCAUGUUGAUAUUCAUUCACCACGGCCUCCAGAACCACUCGAGCAUCUACGGUGACGCGGUCUUGAAGCUCCGCCCGAUGAGCUAUGAUCAAAGCGUUGUCCUCCGGGGUCAGAGGAUCCUCAGAAUGGAGGCACUCGAUCGCGCGCACAAGCUCGGGGCUAAGGCAUUGAGGCUGAAAUAGAGAGGAAACAAGUUAAGCACGUUCACUUCCUAAGAUCUGAAAAAGAGAAGAUGAAGCGUCACCUGGUUAACGGAGGAGGACGACGAUGAAGCCAUGACGAAAUAAGCGGCGCCGAUGAGAGGAAGAGGAGAAAUGAGAGGGAAGCCAAAUCGGUGUUAUCGGAGAGAAAGCGCCGGGGCCGAUAUUUAUGGGAGAAUACAGUGAAAACUGAUGAGGCCACGUCCCAUCGGUAAUAAGGAAAGCAGUAAAUAAAGGGGAUCACGAAGGGUCAGUCAAAAGCGGCAGUAAAUGUUCGUACAAAACGGUCAGUGCUUUACAGAUUACCCAAAAGGGUAUCGAUAGCCGUGACGGCCCGACGCCGGAUCUGAUCGGCGGAGUCCAGAACCCGUUGGUCUUCUUCUGCCGAUCCAGGGACUUCCGAUGCGGUGCGGUGGAGCCUCAGAGCUUCCUGAGCAAGACGCUGCCUCUCCCGGGUCAAAUCGGCAAUAGCCGAAGGUAGUUCUUGAAGUCUGCUCUCUUCGGCGCUGAUGGCCUUGGUCACUUGUUCCAUUUCCUUGGCAAGGUCCGCUCUCCGCCGUUUGAGGCGAUCUAUCUCACUAAUAAUCGCCGGCCGUGAAUCUUCCAAGACAUGGAUCCGCCGAUUCGCUUCUUGAGCCUGGUGCUUGAAAGCAUUUUCAUCUUCACGAAUCUUGGCUAGUUUUGCGCGAUCGGCCAUAUGACGAAGGGCUCUAAAAACUGGGAUCCUCAUGGACUCAAUAAAAGCCGCCGGUGCCAACGCCUCUUCCGCUUCCUCUGGUACGCGUCCGCUGACGUCACUAAAAAGCUGCCGAAUCGGCGAAGCAUCUUCUACCAAUCGGCCGAUAUCCCCUUGAAGGAGGGAUCGGAUGUUGAUAAGCUUAGCCCGGACGUCAUCAGGGACGGAGCUUAAGGCGACUUGGCGAGAAGAGGUCUCCUCAUCAUCAGAGAGAACGACCGCGAAAGAGAAGAGACUGUUGUUGGGAGAAUCCUGUUCCUGAAGAAAUAAAGAAAAAGGGGUAAAUCGGCAGGGGGGUAGAAUAAAUCGGCUGGUAAAGCUGGUUCAAGAAACUCACCAUCUUAAAACGGGUUUCCUCGUGCUGCGCUUGCAGAGCCGUUGUACCUUGGUCAGUGACCUGAGUCAUGGGUUCAUCCGAUGAAGAAGACUCUACGACAAUCGGCACGGUGCUCGGACCGGCUCCCUGGGAAGGAAUCGGUUGUUGAGAAACGCUUGAUGUGCCGAUGGUCUGCGUCAAAGGAUCGGUUAAAUGUGUAAUGCAAAUACCCGAAGGAAGCCCAUAAGACAAGUACUGUACCUCAACGGAUGAAGGCAGGGGCGUAUUGGCCUCCGGUCGAGUUGUUGCUGACUGUGGUAUUUCCAUAGAAGAGCCCUAAGAAGCACAACAAGUUAACAAAAGUAAUUACCGAAUUGACAAAUCGGAAGAGAUAAAGUUUGAACUCACUUGUAAAGCUUCCAGCAACAGUGAGGCGGCUGCCGAUCCGGCUUGAAUAAUGGCUUGAGUGUCAUCAUUUUGUAUGGCCGGGGGUGGUGCAGUCGAGGCUUCUGCCGAUACAGGUACAGGAGGGUCCACCGAUUCCGUACGAGCCCGAACUCGGCGACUGGUUUUCUUGACGACUUUCUUCUGAACUCUCUUCGAUCGGCCAGAAAUUACAUCGACCGAUGGAGCGUCAUAGCCGAUGAGAGGGUAAAUGGUGUACGGAUAACUUUCUAUUAGCCGGCCACUGCGGCUGUGCGUGGGAGGGACUUGAUUCCCAGCCUAAAGGGGAAAUGAAAUCAUUAAGUGAUCAAUUAUGGCGAAAAGAGUACGAUCAGUAAUCAGAAGUACCUCAGCGUUGGGGUCAAUGUUGGAUGGAUCCAGAAGGUUGCAGUACGCCGAUGAUGAAUUGCAAAAUAAGAAUUGCUUCCAUUCGGCCCACCAAAGCUUGAAAGGCUGAGUUGCAAAUGGAUAUAACAGCCAAUCAUUCAAGUUGAUCGUACUGGAAUCCGGAAUUCGGUCUCGCAGCCGACAAUAGUCCAGGCCAGAUUUGAGUGCUUCUCUGAACUUGAUUUGGCCAGCGAAAUACACCCGUAUCGGCAGUUGACCCAUGCCGAAUUGCCGAGCAGCAGUAGAUGGGUUGUAGAACUCAUAUGUGGGGGCAUUUUUCCCCGAGAAGAAGUUGGCCGGUAAAAGUCCUGGUUUGAUCAACUCUUCAUAAAGACCUUCAUCAAAUCGGCCAGAAGUAGAGUCGAAGCAGGAGGGCAGCUCGAAGACUGGGAUGUCUCGUUGGUAUGGGAACCAGAUAGUGGCGUCUUCAUUAAAUCCGUUGUAAAAGCACCGAAAGUAUUCGGCUACUUUUGUGGCAGAGUAUGCACAAACCUGGAAAAGCUGACGCUGCUUCGCCAUAAGACAUACAUCGGCGGCGCUCUGAAGGGUCUUCUGCCGAUUCAAUAUUGGGAAAUGACAUGCGGUCUACUGGCUGCCGAGUGAUCCUGCUCAUAUAGAGGUUCAACCAUAAGUUGACAAACCACCAAGGCCCACCUGGGUUGCCGAUUGGUUCUCCUUUGGAAAGCUUUGUGCCGAUUUGGUGGAGCAUGUGGUACACAGCACCUAGAAGAUGUUUCCCGAGAGGGAUGCGGCUUCCUCUGGAUAGUGCUUCGGCUAAAGGUUGGGUAUUGGUUGUUGGGCCGGCGGCUCGUCCACAGAAAAAAUGUUUUUCGAGCCACAUUAACAGGAAAGCAGUGUGCUCCCUGUUAUCAACAGUACCGGUCUUCUGGUUCUCACUAAGAAAGCCCUUCCAGCCGCCGAUUCCUCUUGUGUCCAGCCGAUGUGACGGAACGGUCAAAAGUUGAUAAGGCGCGUCAGGGGAGGAUACAUCUAAGCCAGUCAAAAGGACCACAUCGGCCAGAGUGGGGGUCAUAGGACCAUGACCAAAUAAAAAUGCAUUAAGGGCAUCAGACCAAAAAUAGGAAGCUGCCAUCACCAGCGGCUCAUUUUUCUCCAUUUGCGACAGAGAAAGGUUGAUGCAUUGGCCGAUUUUAAGCUCAUCCCAUGAGACACUCCUCGAUGCGGCCACCCGUUGGUACCAUUCCCUCCAACCAGGGGUUUCAUUCGGCCAGGACCUAAAAGUACUUGCCCAUUGAUUCAAGUUCAUAUCGGACCGUUUGAAAGGUAUCCGGUCAGUUUCCAAAUCUAUAAGAACCGCCGGAUCUGGGUUUCCCAUGGGACCAAGGCAAACGAGGCCGGGACUAUCCGUAAGGUGAAUGGUAAUUCUAUCUCUAACCGCCUAAAAAAGGAAAAGAGGGCAUAGGGAUAUAAGGAGUAGAUCUAAAAAAAAAUAUUGCCGAUAAGGAGAAGAUUCGGUAUUUACCUCCGGGAUGAAGUUCUGAGUAAUCGGCGUAGCCGCCGACGUUGGCGCAGAUGAUGGGGCUGUGAAGGGAAUCGCCAUCGGAAUUUCUGAUGAAGCCCUUGCGCCUGUUGAAGAAGUGACGACCGUCGCCACCUCCGUCGGAGGAAUUGUUCCUGCGGCGUCGCGUGCUGGGGAGUUGCUGGAAGGAGUCGCCAUCGAGGGGAAAGGGGGAGAAGUGAUUGAAGCUGAAACUGGAAGACUUUGAUGGCAAGAUUGAAGAAAGAAGGAGGCGCGUGCGCUGGAAAGGAGAUAUGAGCUUGAAGAUGAGUUGCGGUGAAAUGGUAUUUAUAGGGUGCCUGAAAGAAGGGUAAAAAUGGAAUUUUCACCGCGCCGGCGCGUCAAGUUUUUCGGGGUAGUGGCCGUCGUGGGCGCCCGUUUCAAAAAAGUUGCAAUGAUCAGCCGGGAAACCGCGAAACCGAAGGAUAUUUUCACUGCGGCCGUUUCGGAGGAGAGGUUGUAAAGAAUUUCGAAGUAAAGGACUAUGUUUUACUCCGAAACUGGGGGGCAUGUGUUGACGCCGGAUUUCGUCAUCAGAAGAAUCGGCGUCAAAGAGAAAAGGAAUCGGUCAAAAGGUGCUACAGUGUGGAAUCGGUCAAGUGGCUUUUACUUCGCUUCAGGUUCCCAAUCGGCAGUCCUUUGCUGAUACGAAAUCGGCCAAUCGGGAGGGAGGACUAAAAUGGGCCUGUAUGGGCUUGGUUAAGUGGAAAGAUAAGGUGGGGUUCAGCCCACGAAGCGUAGGGUAGUUAGUUUAGCACGGAUUGUGCUUGUAGAUAUUUGUUUUCUGUUUGAAUUAGAGAUAGAGUCCUAGUCGGUUAAGAAGAUUAUUUGUACGGGGCUAUAAAUAGCUACCUUUGUAAAUAUGUAAAUACAACAAUCAAUCAAUACAACAAGUUACUUUAUUCUUCGUACUACUUUCGAGCAGGCGAUUUCGCCAUUGUUUUUCCUUCUCACGAGUUCGUGCGGGUUGGCAGGGCUGCAUCACCUUGAUCUCCGGCCGAUUCUGUAAGUUCCGCUUAUCGAGUAAUAUCUAAGCUUUAACUUCCGGCGUAUCGCUGUUGUUUCGUUUAGAUUUAUUCACUAGUUAUCGAUAUCAACUAGAUUCAUAGGUUUUUACCUGUUUUUCUAGCUUUUAUCACCAGUUAUCCCGCUAGGAAUCGGUAGUAUCGGCUUUCAUUACCUUCUGUUGCUAGAUAUAUCCGUUGCCGAUUAGAUCUUUUUCUAGUGCUGUUACGGCAUACCUUGUAUCUAUUACUUCGAUAUUUUUCUAACUACAAGGCUACAGGGAUCGUGCUGUCUAGUAGCCGAUUUCUCUACUACAGUAAAUCGGCCGAUCUGCCGAUAAGCAUUCUCGAUCGGAAACUUAGCCGAUCGUAGUUACUGAAUUUGAUACGUGUUUUUCCUUGCCAAUCAACAGGUCAGAUUGGCUGGCACGCCGCGCGAACCGCACCAGGGCAUUCACCCGAACAGGAGUUAAGCAGAUUCUCCCGGGUCGUGUGUCGGCCGCUGGACCGAUUUCUAGCGCCAACAGUAGGCUAUUUACAAAACCCAUUACAUAAGUGGAGGCUGAAUAGCGAGACGAACCUAUUAAGCCUAAUUAAUCCAUCAUUAGCAAAUGUUUACUGUAGCAACACAUUGUCAAAUCAUGAACUAAUUAGGCUUAAUAGAUUCGUCUCGCCGUUUAGCCUCCACUUAUGUAAUGGAUUUUGUAAAUAGUCUAUAUUUAAUACUCCUAAUUAGUAGCUAAAUAUUGAUGUGACACUUGCUUUAAAAAGAGUAAAUCGAGAGGAAUCAAGCUGACGUGGACAGUGAUUAAUGAAGUGGGAGAAGAGAGCCAUCGUCUCGUGAGACGACGGCCGGAGCUCGUGCUCCGAGAAGCAACAGACGGGUCGUCGCGCGUUGUGCGCGUCGACUCCACCUGACGACGGCGACGCAAGAUCUGCUGCGGCUAUACUUCUUUUGGCAGCGAAAAAUUAGUAAUGGAGUGCCUUCUCUCAACAUGCGCGUGGUGGCCGCCGGUCGCCGGCUCCGUGCCACCAGCCAGCCGCAUGCGCUGGCCGGUGCCGAGCCGCCCGUCUGGCCCCGCGCCACGCCGCCAAGCGGAGCUGCACUGGCAAACGAACGUCGCGCUGGGCAAGCGAAGUCUUGAUGUCGUUCCUUGCUGUUUAGCUGCUGGCCGCCUCGCCCAGAUCGAAACGGGAGAGAGAACGAGAGUCAACGGAAGAGACGGGGCCGAACAGGAGGGCCUCUUUGAAAAAUAUCUUCAUCAUGUUACAUUGUGACCCUAAUAAAGAUAGAAAUUACAUAAAGUUCUUUUAGGCAGGCUAGAAGGGUAUGAAUUAAAAUCAAAAUGUUACAUAUUAGUCCUUUACAUAGGUUUGCAUUCUCUCAAACGGCAUAUGUCAUUUAUUCUCACGCAAGCAACUAAAAUAGCGGCAAAGAUCAAGUGUACACUUGAUCACCGUUUCAUUCAUUAAAUAAUUUGUAGACAGUUAAAUAGACGGCUCACUCUACGAGCUGUCCUGUCUUUUUAGCUGUCUGUGUCUGACGUUGCAAGUCCCUAAACUAAACUGUUGUACGGCCCUAAGUAGAUUAGGCUAUUUACUGUCACUGUAGAAAAGCAACUCUUUUCUGUUGCUCACCUUGUGAUGAGUGUGUCAGAGCAUUUACAGAUGGCAGCACAGAUGGUGAACACUGGUCAGUAACUACAAAGGAUUGGCGCGUUAUUGGGGGUGUUUGUUUCUUUAGACACUCCUAAAAUUCUUGUCACAUCGAAUGUUUAGAUACUAAUUAGAAGUAUUAAAUAUAGACUAAUUACAAAACCAAUUGUACAGAUGGAGACUAAUUUGCGAGACGAAUAUAUUAAGCCUAAUUAGUCCAUAAUUUGACAAUGUGAUGCUACAGUAAACAUGUGCUAAUGAUGGAUUAAUUAGGUUUAAUAGAUUCGUCUCGUGAAUUAGCCUCCAUCUAUGUAAUUAGUUUUAUAAUUAGCUCAUAUUUAGUCCUUCUAAUUAACAUCCGAAUAUUCGAUGUGACAUGAAUUUUAUGAGGUACUAAAGAACCAAACACCGGCACCAGCCAUGGGGCCGUUAUCUCUAUAAGAGCUCCACGUAGGAAAGAGAAAGCCGGAGAGAAAAGCGCACGUCGCAAGCCGGCGAGAGCCGCUACGCGUCUUUCCACAUGCGAGCGGGCCCCACCAUGUGCGUCUUGUCCUCCUCCUCUCACGCACCCUCUUCAACUGUCGGAGGGGCUGGCGUUGGCCGCCGGCUCGGUGGAGAAGGGCGCGGGCAGGGGAGCUCGCUGCCGGCAAGCGCGCGGGUGGCGAGGCCGUUGGGCGCGGGCGGCCUAGCUCGCCGCCGUCCGCGAGCGCGUGGGUGGCGCGGCCGCACAAGCCCGGGCGUGGGGAGCUCGCCGCGGGUCGCCGUCGAGGCCUCGUCGGCCAGGAGCUGUGGAGAGAGAUGUGGAGAGAGCAGCGAGAGAGAUGUAAUUAAAAAAUAUUGAACCUUUUGCUUUUAUCGAGCUGCGGGGAAGCGGCAGUGCGGUCGGCCGGCCAUUGCGGGUGCCCCAAUCGCUAACCGAGAGGAAUAUUUCAUUUGGAGAGGAUUACAGGGAUGCGCGCCAACCUGCCCUUGAACAUGACCUCGACCCUCGAGCAGACGAAUAGUUUAGCGGCAGGAGAAUAUAUAGGACGAAUAGUUUAGCCCUUGGCAGGGAAUCAGGGAUCCAAUGCUCUUUCUACUACCUCUCUUUCUACUACCUUCACCUUCCCCCCGGGCAUCUGGAUCCCAUCGACCUCUGCUUCGUGCUCUUCCAAGGCGGCUGCGAGCGGUGAGCUGUGUUGCGGCCGAGCAAGCUUGAUUAAUCAAGCAACCUCGGUCCGGCGACGAGCGGCGGGCAGCGAUCCAGCAAACCAGCGAGUCCUAAGCACCGGCGACAAGGAGAGGGCGGCAACCGGUGAGUCCUCGCUCACUUCCGUUCUUUGUGCCCGUCUGUAGACCUCCGACGGCACUAUAAUUCAUCGUCACGCGCCCCUGCUUGCUACACCUACACCCAUACUGUACAACCUUACUCAUUGCUAACUCUUGCCCAGGGACAAAUCCAUGGAGAUCGUGACAGGGGCAAUUCCAUUGAUCUCCAUACACCACUGCUGCUCAUAGCUCACACAUACACACUACAAUCUCGCUCCUUGAGCCCAGAGGCAGAUCCGGCCAUGGAGGUCGUGACAGGGGCACUUCCGAGCGUCAUCGCCAAGCUUGGUGACCUGCUCGUCGGUGAGUACAAGCUGCAGAAGGGGGUGAAGGGAGAGAUCAGGUUCCUCCAAGCUGAGCUCGAGAGCAUGAAGGGUGCUCUUGAGGAAGUCUCCAACACACCGGCUGACCAGCUUCACAUUCAGGACAAGAUUUGGGCCAAGGAUUUGAGAGAGCUGUCCUACGAUAUAGAGGACAAUAUUGACACAUUCAUGGUCCGUGGAGAGGGCAAUGAGCAGGCCAAGCUGCGUGGCAUCAAGAAGUUCAUUGAUAGAAGUGUUGGUUUGUUCAGAAAGGCCAAGGUUCGCCAUGGCAUUGCUACUGAAAUCAGAGACAUCAAGAGCCGUGUUGAAGAGGUGGCCGAGCGGCAUGAUCGGUACAAGUUAUCAAACAGUAAUGUGGCUAAGCAUGUCCCAAUCGACCCUCGAAUACUUUAUCAGUACGAUAAGGUGACUGAGCUCGUUGGCAUUGAGGAGGCAAGAGACGAGAUAAUUCGGAUUCUGAUGGAAGGUGAUGAAGUGUCCAAGCAGCAAGACAAGAUAGUUUCCAUUGUUGGGUUUGGAGGCCUGGGAAAGACAACUCUUGCUGAUGUGGUGUAUAAAAAGCUUAGAGCACAAUUUGAGUGCGCAGCUUUUGUUUCGGUAUCUCAGACACCUGACCUGGAAGAAUUACUCAAGCGCAUGUUCUUUCAACUUGUCAGGAAGGAAAGUAACAAGAGCAGCGAUGUUGCCAGAGAGCUCAGAGAAUUCCUCGAGAAUAAGAGGUAUGAAAGCAUUUCAGUACACUUUAUUGGCAUCUGUUUAUAUCUAUCUUUUUGUUUGUUUGUAUUUUCAAGUAUGGACAUUGCAGCACCUAGUAAUCAGAUUUCAUUACUAGAAGAAACAGGCUCCUCAUUAUCAGCUCAUAUGUGUAGUAAAUUUGAAACCGAUAUGGAUAUGCAUGUUAUCCAUGCUAACUCAUAAUGUGAGCCAGUAGUGAUAGGUCUCCAAGUAUUAUUCACAAGUAUGGAUGCUAGUUAAGUAUGCAUGUUAGUUAUCCUUAUGCCUCUUAUUACGAGACCAGUGCUGAUACUUUGCACGCUUGUAAUUAUAAUUUUGUCUUAUUUUAAAAAUUGUAACUUUUUCAGACUUCAUAUGGCAAUUGUAGGUUUCAGCAAGAUCUACAACUGUUUAGUUGAAUAUUUAAUUAAAGUUAUUUAGAUGGCUAUAUAAUUGAUUAAAAAUUUAGAUGACGAGGGUCAAAGGAAGAAAACUCUCCAUUGCUGUUAGCAAUGAAAUCUAGAUUACAUGGUAAGAAGGGAUAGUGUGAUGGGGGAGGAUGUCCUUUCAAUCCCUGAAAACAUCUUACACGUCUAUUUUGUGCGAAAAGUACGUGACUUGUAAUUUGCGACUCGCAACAACUUGGGUAGAUCGGGGAUUACAUCCAGAUUUACGGAUUUUUUUCUUGCUACCUUUUGGUUCUACUGUCUCACUGGCUCUUAUUACAAGUCGGAAAGGAUACUAGCAUCUCUAUCGGCCAUGCAACAACGGCACGGAUACCGCCGGCUUGAAAAUAGAUAUGGAUGAGCAUAUUUGUCUUUGCUCCUUUUAUUUGCCACUUCCGGGCUUCAUGUGACUUCUACCAUCAACUAUAGCCCCUUUUGGGGUCUUGUCUUGCGUCCGCUUGUUUUCUUCUCGAUCCAUAUGGUCUACUUCUACUAGUGAUAUUCCUUUCAAUACUAUCUUGAUUUACUAAAUCUUUAAUAGCCCACUAGUUAGCAUAGCUUAAUUAAACAUUCUAUAGGAGAAAAAACUAACUUAUUAUAAAGUUUAAUUUGCUAGUAAUAUGGCUUUCUUGAAUUAUCUGGUACAGGUACUUCGUUGUUAUUGAUGACAUAUGGAAACUCUCAGACUUCAAAAUGAUUAAACGUGCUUUGCCUGGUAAUAAUGUUGGAAGCAAAAUAAUCACAACUACUCGUGAUCUCAAUAUUGCUGAACAAGCUGGCUCUAUUUACAUGUUGCAACCCAUGUCUCCAAACAACUCUCGGAAACUAUUUUUUAGAAGAAUAUUUGGUAAUGACGACAAAGACAACAACGAAGAAGAAGAAAGGUGUCCUAACGAUGAGUUGGCUGAAGUAUCUGAUAAAAUACUGAAGAAAUGUGCUGGUGUGCCCUUAGCUAUUAUUACAAUGGCUAGUUUGUUAGCUUGCAAAGCAAGAAAUAAAAUGGAGUGGUAUGAGGUCUACAAUUGUGUUGGUACUGGUCUGGAAAACAAUCUAGAUGUGAAGAAUAUGAGAAAGAUUUUGUCAUUUAGCUAUUAUGAGCUACCAUGCCAUUUAAGGGCUUGCUUGUUAUAUUUGAGCAUUUUUCCUGAAGAUUAUAAAAUUGAGAAGGAUCGUUUGAUAAGGAUGUGGAUAGGUGAAGGUUUUAUCAAAUGUGAAAAAGUAGGGAAGAGCCUAUUUGAACUCGGAGAGAGUUACUUCAAUGAGCUUAUAAACAGAAGCAUGAUCCAACCAAUAUAUUAUUGUUCAGAUGAUAUAAUGUCAAGCUGUCGUGUACAUGAUAUGGUGCUUGAUCUUAUCCGCUCCUUGUCAAGUGAAGAAAACUUUGUUACUGUACUAAGUGAUAUGGGAGGCACAUCUCCGUCAAAUACGAUUCGGAGGUUGUCCCUUCAGAAUGGCCAGAAAAGUCAUGUGAUGGCUCAACUUACAUGGAGCUUGCAACAUGCAAGGUCAGUUGUUGUCUUUCCAGCUGCUGAUUCUCUAGUGCCGCCUCUUGCCUGCUGGCGAGUUUUACGUGUUCUGGAUUUAUGUGGCUGCAAUCUUUCACAAGCUAAUAGUAGCCUUAAGUACCUUGGGAUUCUGCAUCACUUGAGGUACUUGGGACUACGUAAGACAAAUAUUUACCAGCUCCCGAAAGAAAUAGGAAACCUGCAGCUUCUACAAACAUUGGAUGUAAGUGCCAACAAAAUUUCCAGGUUGCCUUCGAGUGUUGUCCAGCUAAGAAAGUUGAUGUUCCUAUGCAUUCCCUCUACAAGAGGGCCAAACGGAAUUGGAAACCUGACAAGCCUUGAACAGCUGUCAUGGUUAGGCAUUGAUAACUCCAACGUAAAUAUUAUAGAAGAGUUGGGCCAGCUCACUGAACUGAGGAUUCUGCAUAUUCGAUUGGAUGAGUGGAACGACAAGCUGUUGGAGUGCCUACACAAGCUACAAAAGAUUCAAGAACUAGGUAUCAUGGUCUAUGAUGGUCAACCCAGCCUCGGCGGAUUAGAUGCCUGGGUUGCCCCUCGACAUCUCCGCGUAUUGAAUACAAUAGGCAGCUGUUGGUUUUCGACACUUCCAGCUUGGGUGAGUCCAUCGCUUCUUCCGGACCUCACCCAUCUAGAAGUCGCCGUGAGAGAGCUACAUCAGGCCGAUCUCGAAAUCCUCGGGAGGUUGCCAGCUCUUCGCGUUCUAUUUCUGGUGGUGGACAAGAAGAACCUCAGUAUCAUUCGGGGAUUCGUUGUUGGUGCUGGUGCGUUCCCGUGCCUUGUAACCUGUAGCUUCCGUCAAUUUGUAUGGCCAGUGGUAUUUCAAAAGGGAAGUAUGCCAAGGCUCAGAAAUCUUUACUUCUCUCCGUUUUAUCCGUUGGAGAUAAGAGGAAUUGCCUGUAAUGACGGUAGUCUCGACUUGGGUCUGGAAAACCUGCCAUCGCUGCAGCAUUUCGGUGCUGACCUACGAUGUGAUGGUGCUGGCAAGGAGGAGGCAGAGCAAGCCAAGGCUGCGCUGACGCAUGAAGCUAAAAUGCAUCCCAAUCAUCCCCAUCAUUAUAUCAAUAUUGCAGGUGCGCCAGCUUCCGAUUGUUAUUCCUUACUUGUUUCCUUCCCCUUUUUUCUAAACUGUAUUUGCGUUUAUUCCUUUGUUUGAUAUAUAGAUGACGAUGAUGAGUAAUAUAAGACUUUACGCCGGAAGGUGAAGCUGGAGCAGAGCAGAUGACAAAGUCCCUCUGUUUCGCCACGCAUGCAGAGGUUAAACUGCUCGACCAUGAGCUUUACCAGACACGCUCAGACUCAGAGUAUGCGUCUGAGACUCAGAGCUUUGAUCGUUUCUGCUGUGCAUCAACCAAUAUGGCAUUUCGUUGAGAGUGCAGGAUGACAUUGUCAGUGGAUAUGACUCCCUUCCCCCUCUGUACUCAUAUUAUCGUUUUGUUUCAUCGUAAGAUUUUUACUGCAGCCUGCUGUUUCAGUGCAAGGAACGUUUAUUUUACUCAUUGCAAGCUGUUGGAGUGCCUAUGCAAGCUACAAAAGAUGCAGGAACUAGUUAUCAUAGUCCGUCCUGGUCAACGUAGCAUCGGUGGAUUGGAUGCCUGGGUCGCCCCUCGACAUCUUCGCCUAUUGAAUAUACAAAACAGCUGUUGGUUUUUAACACUUCCGGCUUGGGUGAAUCCAUCGCUUCUUCCGGACCUCACCAAGCUAUCCAUCCUCGUGAGGGAGCUACAUCAGGCCGAUCUCGAAAUCCUCGGAAGGUUGCCAGCUCUCCGCGUUCUAUUUCUAGAGGUGGACAAUAAGAUUCUCGGUAUCCAUGCGGGAUUCGUUGUUGGUGCUGGUGCCUUCCCGUGUCUUGUAGUCUGUUGGUUCAAGCAAUUUAUGUGGCCAGUGGUAUUUCAACAGGGAGCUAUGCCAAGGCUCAGAAAUCUUAAGUUCUGGCAGUUUCAUCUGCGGGAGGCAAGAGGAAUUGCCUGCAAUGACGGUAGUCUCGACUUGGGCUUGGGGAACCUGCCAUCACUGCAGGAAGUCGAUGUUAUCCUGCGAUGUGAUGGUGCUGGCAAGGAGGAGGUGGAGCAAGCCAAGGCUGCGCUGAGGCAUGAAGCUGAAAUGCAUCCCAAUCAUCCCCGUCAUUCGAUUGGUGUUAGUUACAGGUGCGCCAACUCCUGAUUGUUAUUCCUUACAUGUCUCCUUCCCCCUUUCUUCUAAACUGUAUUUGCGUUUAUUCCUCUGUUUGAGAUGGUUGAUCUCCAGCUGAUCCUUCACCACGCCUUUCUUCUGGCCCCUUUAUUUGCCUCAAUUCUUCUAAUCUUCCUUUCGUAUAUUUCGGUCUGAUAUACAGAAGGCGAGACUGGAGCAGAGAUAGCAGAAACACACGCAGAGGUUAAACUGCUCGGCCAUGAGCUUUACCAGACACCCUCAACCUGUGAGUAAACAAUGAAUGCUGCACACAUGAUCGUUUCUGUUGUGCAUCAACCAAUAUGACAUUUCGUUGCGAGAGUGUAGGAUGACAUUGUCAUGGAUAUCAUUGUAAUACCUUCCCCCGCUGUACUCAUAUUGCCGUUUUGUUUCGUCGUAAGAUUUUUACUGCAGCCUGCUGUUUCAGUGCAAGGAACCACCCAUCAUCAGUUUUCACUUUUCAGUGCAAGGAACGUUUAUUUUAGUCAUUGCAAAGGGACUGAGCUGUCUCCUGCGCCCCUGAUCUAGUUGCCUUGGCUGUUUAUUUUGAUGAAAAAUAAAAAGGAGGUAUUUUCGGGUUAAUGUUGCAGCUUGUGACCGUAAUCAUCUUGUGAACCGUAAGCAUGGACGGCAGUAUGUAUUCAUUGUUGCGCGGUUUCUGAUAUACGAGGCCAACUGUUAUGGCAUUUCGUUGCAGCUACGAUGCCCAAGACCACAUUCAUUAUGCAUCUCUCUGAAGAGAUUCUAGCUGGCUAGACUUCUCUAAUCCAUGAUUUUUAGAAUUUUCGUGGCGGACGGGAUCGCGAUCCAGAAUUUUCAAAACGCACCCUUGAACAUUUUUAAAUAACCCUCUUAUUUGGAUUGCGAUUAUUGAUCGCGAUCUGAAUAUUUACAAACACCCCUUUUUAUUUGCAUAUAACCCUCUAAUUUGGAUCACGAUCCGAUUAUUUGCAAAAAUACACCUGGUCUGGGUCAUCUCCCUCCCCCACGCGUCCAGCGCCGCCGCCGUUCCUGCCCGCCUCGCCAUUCCAAGCCGCAAAGCCCCAUCUGUCGCCGUUUCCCUCCGUCGUGGCGGCAUGCCGUCUUCUUCCAUGCAAAGCCGCAGCAUGAAGCAGAUAGGCGUUUCUUUUCAGCCGCAGCAGCAGGCAAGAACCUGCAGAGGACCGUAACGAGUACCUUGCUUCGAGAGGUUCAACAGGCCAAAAAUAACGGGACGUCAAAAGCUGGACCUUUCCACUGGUAAAAUUUCAGCAAGUAUGGCACCAGGUCACGAGCAUCAGCUAAUUGUCCAACAAAAAAAAGCCGAAUUCGUAAAAACAAGUGUACUUUCUUUCUGGCAGUACAGAAGUUCUCAACGCUACUUGAAACAAACAGUGUGACAGGGCUGCAGUGAAUCAGACUAUCAGCGACUGCCCUAGUGGACUUGACAAGAGUAUGAUGAUGACAGCCAUGGCAACACGUACACUAGGCAGAUUGGCCCGCAUCAACAUGGCCACGCUUCGUACAAAGACUGUCUAUUACUGAUCGAUGAUGGGAAUAGCAAGAAUCUGGAAGCGUUUCACAGCCUUGCAAUGACGGCUUCGACCUCAGCAGGGGUGUAGAGGUCACUUGGGGGCGACCUUGGCAAUAUCAACGUUGUUUGGGGUCACCUGUUCAGAAUGCGAUGAUAAGAUCACAUGUUCCCCUAAGAGCGAGCUAUGGAGCAUGGAAUGGUUUGCCAUGCCCUACCUUCUCUUCCAUAACCUGCUUCAGGAUAGAAAGGGCUACGGUCUCCGCCUCCUGGAGGGUCAGAUCCUGCACCAAGAUGUCAGCAAGUUGUUACUCUCGAUUUUCUUUCGUUGGAAUAACAGCCGACAUUUUCUAUGGAUCUGCUCCCAACAUGGCAGUAAUGCAUACACUAGUACAAGUAUUUAAAUAAUGAGGUAAAAUCUUGGGGUGUCAUUCUGUGAGCAGCAUAUUGCCUUAAAGAUUCUAAGCAGAAUUGCAACCGACGUAUUACCCUUAGACACUGUUUCAAUGGACUGAGUUUAUAUAAGAUUUAAUCGGAGCUUUGAUGCAUAAUUCCAUGUAACUAGGGUUGACAUGCAUCAUAUCUCCGUAGAACUCUGUGAUUCUUUGAUUAACUUAGCAUUUAUCCCUUGUUGUACUGCUCCUGCAAGGAGCUAUCAGCUCCUUCAGAGCCUGAUCCAAUUGCCUUUGCGUUGCAUUGCCAAAAGGUCCCAGACGGGUCCGUGUAGUACCUGCAGGACACAGAAGGCGAUGAAUUCUUAGAAGUUCAGUGGCUUUGUGUAAAUUGAUCAUGACAUCAUUACAAAAAGAUUUGUCUCAUAAUAGAGGGAUGAAGAUACCAUGAUUGCAUAAUAACCAAACUAUAUGUCCGGGAUUUGGCUAAACAGAAUAAUGAUUUUUUCCAAACACUUCCUGGGAAGCAGGAAAAGAAAUACUUUUAUACUUGAAAACUAUACGCAUACAAAUAUAGAGCAUGAGCACAUAAAACCCUGCAGAAAAUUAACACUGAGCCUUCUUUAUAUCACUUAAGCUUGUUAUAGCUAAGACCUUGUCCACAUACAGAAUAGAACCCAAUACACGAUGAAGAUAACCACUAGGACAGUCCGUGUUCACAAGUUCAACAACUUUCUGUAUUUCCUUAUUUUAGAAAUUCCACUUUUCAAGUAAUUUCCCUUCCAAAGAUUUGAACAUAAUGACCUAGAACAAAACUGCCUAACAAACAACCAUAGUUCAUGGGAGUCAAACAAACGGUAAGUCUACUGUCUACCCUCUACAGCAACUAGACAUAGGCUACUCAAUACAGAAACCAUGACAACCUAAAAAGAGCCAACAGAGAGCAAUUACGAUGCAUGAUAGAAAAAAUAAGUAAAGCAUCCCACUUUACCAGGACAGUUUACAAAAAAGCCAAUAAAAAGAAGCUACCAUUAAUUGCAUGGUAGUACAAUGAUUUCAUAUAGCAAAAAAAUACAGCUGUUUUUUUUAAACAUGGAUUCUAAAGCCAGUUGUCAAAGAAAACACAGUUCAGUGAGCUAAAUGGAUCAAUACUUACAAGCUAGGUCCAUUCUCAUCAUGUCCAGCAAUUAGGAGAGACACUCCAAAUGGUCGUGACUGCACCAACAGAUAAGUACAUCAGAACCCCACUCCAUAAAAUGAUUACUUUUGCACAUCUGUUCUAGUUUAAUGCUCUUUAGUCCCUCCAACCAAAUAGGGGGGAGUAAACUUUAGUCCCUGACUAAAGGAGCAUUUAGUCCCUAAAAAUAAGUAAUUAAGGGCAAACCAAACAAGCCCUUACUGGGAAGCAGGAAAAGAAAUACUUUUAUACUUGAAAACUAUAUGCAUACAAAUAUAGAGCAUGAGCACAUAAAACCCUACAGAAAAUUAACACUAAACCUUCUUUUUAUAUAUAUCACUUAAGCUUGUUAUAUCUAAGACCUUGUUGUAGCUAAGUUUGUUACCAUUUUUAAUGAUGUAUAUCAAACAUAUUCAACAGAAAAGAGGUUAUCCUUUCAAAAUAGCAUGGUAGAUCAUGCUAGGCAUCUAACUUCUAUGAAUAUGCAACAAGUGAGGUGAGUUGCUGUCUUUCCAUCUGCUAUUAAUCUCAUGCCUGCCCUUUUGAGCUUUAGAGUUUUUCGUGUACUGGAUUUACAAGAUUGCCACCUUUGACAACCUUACAUUCCUAAGGAUCUUGAAAAUUUAAUUCACUUGAGGUAUCUGGGACUAAGACGCACACAUAUUGCUCAGCUCCAUGAAAAAAUAGGAAACCUACAACUUCGUCGAACACUAGAUGUAACAGGCAAUGGAUAAAAGGUGCCCCUAGCUCGAGUUGUGCUUUCUCUCCACUGUGGGUAAAAGGCAAUGGAUAAAAGGUGUAUCGGCGCGAAGGAAAAAUGGAGAUGCUGUGGCCACCGAAAGGGAGGUGAUGCGCAGGACCAGUACUUUUGCCUUUUGCUGUAGUCGCAUGGGCCAGUACAGAAUCAAUAAGCCUCGGGAGAGAGAAGAGAAGAGAAGAGGAUGGAGGAAAAUAAAAUAUUUUUUGUAUGUGGGUCCCACAAAAGUUUGUAAAAAUAUUUCCGCUUGCGACCAACCUGCCGUCUGCUUCGUGCUGUUCCAAGGCGGUUGCGAGCUGUGUUGCGGCCGAGCAAGCAACCUCGGUCCGGCGACGAGCGGCGGGCAGCGCGAUCCAGCAAACUAGCGAGUCCUAAGCACCGGCGACAAGGAGAGGGCGGCAACCGGUGAGUCCUCCCUCACUUCCGUUCUUUGUGCCCGUCUGCAGACCUCCGAGAGCACUAGGCACAGCACUAUAAUUCAUCGUCACGCGCCCCUGCUUGCUACAACCUUACUCAUUGCUAGCUCUUGCCCAGGGACAAAUCCAUAGAGAUCGUGACAGGGGCAAUUCCAUUGAACUCGAUACACCACUGCUGCUCAUAGCUCACACAUACACACAACAAUCUCGCUCCUUGAGCCCAGAGGCAGAUCCGGCCAUGGAGGUGGUGACAGGGGCACUGCCGAGCGUCAUCACCAAGCUUUUGGUGACCUGCUCGUCGGUGAGUACAAGUUGCAGAAGGGAGUGAAGGGAGAGAUCAGGUUCCUCCAAGCUGAGCUCGAGAGCAUGAAGGGUGCUCUUGAGAAAGUCUCCAACACACCGGCUGACCAGCUUGACAUUCAGGACAUCAAUGACACUAUACAAGGGCUUGCUCUAUCAAACUAUACAAGGGCUUGCUCUAUGAUCUAAGCAAGAACAUCAAUGACGAAGUAUUGGAUGAGAGCAUUUGUGGUACCUAUGAAGUUUCUUUUGACACCGAUAAUUACACUCUCCAUUCGUAAUACUAAGUCUAAAUAUGGUUCAUUAAAUCUUCAUGCGCGUCCCUUGUUAACUGACAAAACACAGCCACUUCAUCUUUAUCACAUCAUUAUUAACUGAAAAUAAUAUGGCAGCAUCUAAAAUCUUUGUUUUGUCAAAGAUUCUGAGUAGACUUAUUUUGUGUAGAAACUCGAUAAUCUAGCUGCUGCCUAACUAUUUUAGUUUAAUCAUUAAAUCACUACUGUCUAGUCUUCCUAUUACUAAUUGGAGGCUUCUUUUGAAUUUUGAAAAAGAGAGAAAUCCUAGAAAUUUUCAAAAAAAAAGAAAAACAUCCUACCAUCAAUAGAUUCAAAUCAUCAUAGCUAUUGAAUCUAUUAUGUUUUUAAAAAAAUUACCCACCUAUGCUAUUAUGAAAAUAGCAUAAAGUAACCUCCUAAAUCUAUAUAUAAAUUACGCACCUCUGCCAUUAUAUAAAAUAAACUAAAUUAACCCCCCAAUCCUCAUCAAAAUUACCCACUUAUGCCAUUAUAAACAAUAUUUAAAAUAACCCCUAAUUUACGACUAAAUUGCCUACCACUGUUACUUAAAAAACUUAAAGUAACCCCUUUAAUUUGCAUCUAUAUUACCCACGCAUACUAUUAUCUUUACCUAUUAUUAAAGCAAGUAACGUCUCUGCCUGAAUUUUUCGUCCGUCGUGUCAUUUUGCAAAAAACCCCCUGACGUUUCGUGAAAUCAACCCGCAGUCCACUUUUGAAGAGACGGGGGGCUCGUUUGCUAAAAAGUGCAAAGGGAGGGUGUUAAAGGUGAAAGAGGUUUUCUUUCAUAGAAACAGAUAUCCGCCUUCCCCACCUUCGGCCGCCUUCUCCUUCCCUCCCCUUUCGCCGACCAUCUUCGGCCGCCUUCUCCCUCCGCCCCUUUCGCCGGCCAUCUUCGGGGGAGAAGGCGCCGCCACCCUGUCCAACCGCCCCCCCCUACCCCAGUGGGGAAGGACUUAUUAUUCUGGCAAUGAUGACUAGGACCGAUGAAUCGUUUCCUGUUAAAAGAGUAAGAAGGAAAGCCCGAGCCGCAUCUAAACAUGACCACAUGAAAUAUGCGGAUACAACGUACCGUGACUUUCUNNNNNNNNNNNNNNNNNNNNNNNNNNNNNNNNNNNNNNNNNNNNNNNNNNNNNNNNNNNNNNNNNNNNNNNNNNNNNNNNNNNNNNNNNNNNNNNNNNNNGCUCCGAGCGCAGUGCUAUAGAUUUACCAUGUAGAUGUUGUUGUUUUGAACUUUUAACAUCACCAUAAAUUUUUUGAUUACUUGCAGAUUAUGAAAUGACGGACCUGGACUACUGUGCUCUAAUAACAAUAGAAACAUCUUUGGAAUCUGAUAUACUUGUGAAGAUAGAUGACAUCUUUGUCACACAAUCUCAAUUGUCAUGUUUGCUAGAUCCAAAAAAAUUCCUAAAUGAUGAUGUAAGUACUUUAACUGAAUUUUUUUCGAUUAACAUUUAUUUCUUUUGUAAUAAAUGUUUUUUAUUUGAAUCUUUGUAGGUCAUCAGCGCGUAUAUAUGUUGCAUAAAGUAUCAAACCCAUUUACAAAGUAGGAAUGAUGUUAAAUUUUAUUUAGAGAAUCCCUUUAUUUCUGUAAUUCUAAAAAGGGAUGGCAAGUUUGGUGUAGGUCAAGAUGGUAACCAUAUGACAAAGAUUGUGAGAAACUAUCUAAAGCAUGAAAUGGUAAUUUCUAUCUCUAUAAUUGACAUGUUUUUAAGGUUUUAAGAUUUUAAUUUGUAACUGUUAAUGUGUUGUACUAAUUCAAUUUUUCAUUUUAGAUUCUAAUUCCAAUAAAUAUCAAAGAAACACAUUGGUAUUUGGCUAUUAUUAACACACAGAAGUGUGAGAUACAAGUACUUGACUCGUUGUGUUGGGACUCCAACCGAGGUGAUCUUGCCGAUACGGUCAGUUUUUUCUGCAUUCAUUCUUCUUUGAUAUUAUAAAUUUAUCCUAUAUUUAAAUGUAUUUUUUCUGUUAUUAUUAAUUUAACAGCUGCAAGGACUACAAUUUCAUUUGGACAUAAUUGGAAGGCAACAAAACUUGAUUAGCCAUAACUGGAAAGACCUCCAGGUUAUUUCAUGGAUAAUCACAGAACAACUACAAGAGCCAAUUCAGAAAGAUGGGUAAGUUGAUAAAAUAUAUGCUAUCAUUUAUAAAAUUAUUUAUUUUGUUGUUUGGAGUACUCAUUGUUUUUUAACCAUGCAGCUCAUCUUGUGGACUGUUCAUGCUCAAGUUUAUGGAAUACUGGACUGGAGAUUCACUAUCUCAUCCUAUUACACAGGUUUUUGUUUUUUAUCUUAUGAAAUAAUAUAAAGUCAAUGACAUGCUAAUUUUUUACAAGUUCUAAUAAUGAUUGCUACCAUGCAGGAAGAUAUUAAUUGUUUUAGGUAUAAGUUAGCAGGCAUUCUAUUAUGUUGGAAAAGAAACACAGCACAAACAACUCCUAAAAAUAUCUCAUUGUUGGGUAAUUCAGAUGACCAAAAAGAACCCAAGGCAACAGAUUCAUUAUUAGAGGAAACAAAAUACCAAUCAUUAAUGUCUAUUCUUUCUAAGAUCAGUGAAAAUGAGUUAAUUGGUGGCCUUUGUGACUACAUCAAAUCAAUUAAUUGUCUAGAGACCUUGGAGUAAGAACCUUCUUAUUACUACUGUUUAUUUUUUUAUUAAUAGAAUAAUACAAUGUACAACAUAACAGUGUGAAACCAUCUUUUUGUCUUAAUGCAGAGAAGUAUGGGUGAGAAACUCCAAGCCAUAUUCCAUUAGUUUGACUGUCAGGAAGCUGCAAGAAAUUUUGAAAGAAGAUCUGCCCAUGGACUGUGAUUGUUUGAAUUUGGUUAUUCGAAAAUUCAUGUUUGACGAGAUCCAAAUGAUGAAGAAAACCAAAGGAACAAUAUCAAAGCAUUAUCUAGACACGAGGUUUUGGGUAUGUUCUUAUAAUCAUAAUAUAAAUAUAUUUUUUUUUCCUCAGGUUUUUAACCAAUAUUUUUUUUCAUAGAUGAUUACUGAUUAUGGACGACACCCAAACUUCCGUAAAAAGUUAGAUGUGGAUCAACUUGCAGAAACCGUUUGUAGCUGGCCUGGUGUUAAUUAUAGUGUUUCAAGAUGCAAAUUGGUAAGACAUCACUUCCCUAUACCUAUUCUUGCGAUUAUAGCUACUAGCCUUCUUGUACAUGUUAAUGCUCUUGCUCUUGUUGUAACAAAUAGCAUUUUGCAGAUUCUUAUACCAAUAGUACAAUUCAAUAAAACCUUUAUUCUGUUUAUACUAAACCAAGAUACAAGAACAGUCUAUAUUUUAGACCCUACUCCACUUGACCCUGUUUACAAAUAUAACCCAAAUGCAAGAUAUGUGAAGAAACUUUUAUGUAUUGCUGAAUUCUUGCCAAAAGCCAUGUCAAAAGUAUGCCCUGGCUCUAGAUGGAGUGAGGAUGUUUUCCUAUGGUGUCAAAUAAUUUUAUCUGAUGUUCCUAUCGAAAACAGGUAAGCAUUCUUAUAAGCACUGUUCUUAUGUUGUAGCUCAGGAUUGAUUUGAAGUUUUAUUGUAAAAUUCUGUGUCUUACUGGUUGGUCCAAGUUAACUGUGUUGUAGUCUCUAAUGAGCGCGAUUUGGUUGGAUUGGUAAUCAGGCUUUAGUCCACACAUCAAACUAUUAGAUAUGUGAUCAAUAAGACCUUUUCAUCCAUAGUCAGUUCCCAAGAUUUUCUGCACUUGAUGAGUCCUUUUUAGUUACCAAUUUGAACUGAAAGCACUGUACUGAUUUUUUGAUACUGUCCCUAUUCAGAAACUGAGAAAUAUAACAAAGUGUUAGAAUUUGACAUGUCAAACAUCCUUAAUUGUGUGGAUAUGUGGAUAAGAGAAGUUGGAGUCUGUUUCACAGUGUAACUUCUAACUGCUUAAUUUGCACAAUGCACAUCAUAUUAGCAUUUGACUGUUAAGAUGUCCACUAGACUAUGCAAUUGUUAAGCCAACAACAGCUUUGGUGAUGCCAAUUUGUUUUUGAGCGUGGUCCCCACAUGUACCUUCCUCUGAUUAAAUUAACUGCCCUACCCUUGUAAUUUCGUUAGCUUGAUCAUACUGGUGGCCUGCAUAGUAGACCUGUAUAUGCACUGCUCUGUCCUGCAUAUUAGACUUGUAUAUGUAAUGCUCUGUUCAGGUUUUCAUGUUUGGGUCAAACUUUAGUAUGAAACAAAAAAGUUUAGGAUGCCUUAGCUUUAGCUAGGAAUAAUGAUACAAGUUCAGGAUUCAGAAUCUUCCUUGUGGGAGGUAUCUAAGAAAAAAUUGCUAUUCAGAGGCAUUCCUUUCCUUUUCCACUGGAUGGUUGUUGCAAAUGACGCAAUAAAUCUUUCCCUUGGGGAAAAGCACAAAGGGAGUUUGUUUUGUUUUAUUGACAAGCCACACAGGAAGUUAGAAUUAACAUGUCAUAUCCAAUUGUAACUUCUUUUUUUGCUUAUUAAGAAAUGUGUGUGAAAUUGCAGAUAACAGCUUGCUUUUGACUUUAAUGAAAUAUACGCUGUGAUGCUGUUUUAACUUCUAUAGAGAAUGCAAGGCCUAUGAUGUUAUUGCUGAUUAUUAUGCCCAUGGCUUUGGUUUUGCUAAGAGCUUAAACAUCCAUUAACUUCCAAACAUUAUCUGAUGAAAUAGAUGACCAAUUGAACAGUCUUAUCUAAAUCUCAUCAUCUAGCUCUACUUACACCUGUAGUUGAUAGCUAGGAGUUGUACCCACUCGAUAUUUCUUCUGGAGCAGAGACCUUUUACAAUUUUACUCUCUAUUAUAGUUGAUUUCUUAUAAUAACUGCUUUAUUCACUGUACAGUGAAGACUAUAACUUCAAAUUCUUUCUUUUAGUAAAACAUGCACAUCUGUUUAUGCAAAAGUAGUUCAACCUUCAGUGUCGAACAUAUUAUGAAAAUAUAUGUAUUAUAUUACUCACUGAUGUUCUUGAUGUUCUUAUCUUAUCAGGGAACUAUCCGGUUAUCUUGUUUCUCUCUUCAUGUGCAUAUGGAAAGAUGAAGAACUACGGUUGCCAAUUUUAAAGGUUAGUUUCAUUAGAACUUCAAAUGUUACUAAUAUAUGACGCUAAUUAUUAAUUGUUUGCAUACAUAUAUGCAUGUACAGGAUGGCUAUGAACUAAGAAAGCAAUUUAUGGCACAACUAUUAACUUACAAGGACAAUGAAUGUGAAGACAAUUUGCCUGCCGGUGUUCGAGACUUUCUUAGGUGUAUCAAUGCUACUCAAAGUUAAAAAUAGUUAUGCAAGCACAGAGAAUGUAUGAGAUCAUGUUGAAACGGUCUACUAUUACAGUUGGACCUUUUUGUUUAUAGGAAUAUUUAUUAUUCACUCAUUUCAUAUAUGUAUCAUCAGCUCAGUGACAUGUUGGAUUUGUUGAACUGCAAUGUAUACCGUAUUAGUCCUUACAUGCAAAGUUACUAUAUCUUGAUGAAAGCUCUUAGUUCAGGAGAAGCCAAGUUCCCCCUUUCUUUGAUCUAUCUGAUUACUUACAGUUGCCUUUGGUUUUUGUUGAAACUUGAGUGCACCAUUUACCAGUAGACCUGAAAAGGCAAUCACCAAGAGGCUAGGAUAAUACUGUUGGAUCCAAAAUAAAGAACGAAGAACUUCUGAAAUGACUUUUUUUGUCUGUUGAAUCAUACAUGCUUAUGUUAUUAACUAAUGCAUGUCUCCAACCUGUAAAUCUCACUAAAUUGGUUAGGAACACAGCACUAAGAAAUGAUGCUAUCAGCUGCUUGAUACACGCUUGAAAUUUGCAGUGCAUAUUACAUCACACAAUAGUCAAAGCCGUUCAACCAAAUCAACAAUAGCAUCAAAAUUCACUUAGCCGGCUACCUGGGCUGCUGUAGGUGCUGCUGUAUCCCGUGUCCUUGGUGCAUUAGAAUGACCUUGAGCGACCAAGCGGCCCAAGCGCUGUCGCUUGGGAGUGUACUGCUUCAGACCUCGAGAGCUAACGCUGCCGGCGAGCACCAAAAUUGCCACAUCUAACGCCAACCUCCCCCUCCCACAGCCGGACUCUGCUAACCUCGCGACAUUCUCUGUUUACCGCCGCUCCCUUCUCUGUUUAUCGCCGCUCCAUCCUCCCAUCGCCGCCGCACUCAUCAUCCGGAGAUUGGGCCCCGUGGCGGCACCUGCGCAUCACGCCGCCGCUCCAUCCGCAUCCGGGACCGGCGACCGGUUCCCACCCCAUCGGUCCCCGGAGCUGGAUUAGCCGCUGCCACCGGAUUCCUCUCACCGUCCUCCCAUCGCCGCCGCACGCAUCCUACGGAGAUUCGGGCGCCGUGACGGCACCUGCGCAUCACGCCGCCGAUUCAUCCGCAUCCGGGAGCGGCGGCCGGUUCCCACCCCAUCGGUCCCCGGAGAUGGACGGCAGCACGAGGCACCUUUUCAUGGCUGGAGGAGCCUCUCCUCCUCCACUUCCAGGAGGAGGCUCCCGGCCGUCGAGAAUGUCCACUGCCACGACACCGCCACCAUCGUCUCCAGGAGGUCCUCAUGUCCACCGACGAGAUUCCGCUGUCUACGUCGACGCCCUCAACCUCCGGUUCCUACGCCACUUCAAGGACCCGCCCGAUGCCGGCCGUGUCGACGGAUUGGCAGCCGAGCUCGAUUCCGAAACGGAUUGGAAUCGAGGCUGACUCGGGAACAGACUGGAAGGAGAGUUUGCAACCGAAACGUAUUGGAAUCAAGACGGACACGGAUCGGAAUCAAGGUUGCGUUCCUGCCUCUAUACAUAGCUGCGGCUUUGUGGCCAGGAGACCAAGACAUCCUCGCCAUCGAUAAUACUCAGCAACAAGCACAAGCUUCUUACUCUACUUCCACAAAAGGUACGAUAAGUGCUGUUUUUGUUUUCCAAUUCCAAAAACAAGAUCAUUUUAUUUACUGUGAAUGUGAUAUUUUGCAUGACUCGUUGCGUCAAGGAUCUGGACUGCAGAAUAUGAUAUUUGAGUUGCAUGGCCAGGAACCCAGGACAUCCUCGCCAUCUAUAAUACUCAGCAACAAGCACAAGCUUCUUACUCUACUUCCACAAAAGGUACGAUAGGAGCUGUUUUUGUUUUCCAAUUCCAAAAACAAGAUCAUUUUUUUUACUGUGAAUGUGAUAUUUUGCAUGACUUGUUGCGUCAAGGAUCUGGACUGCAGAAUAUUAUAUUUGAUUUGCAUAUUUCUAUAUGCUUCAUAUUACAUUAUAUUGAAUGAUAGUUGGGAAAUUAGAUGUAUGGUGUGAUGAAAUCACCAGGCACUGAUGCUAUUAAUACUAUAUUUACACGGUGCUUUGCAUGCUUAGAACCUCACCAGCCAAUUAUAGCGGCCCAUGUUGCUUAGGAUGGUCAACUAAAUCAAUGAUCAACUUUCGUGAGUACAAGUGAAAAACCGUAUUGUAUGACUAAGGCUCAUUUCUUUUGAAGCCAAUAUAGACACUGCCUAUUAUGGUGUUUGAACGUAUCUGAAUGCAUAUAUUUUCAGCCUAUUCCUUACCAAAGACUGGAGUGCAGAUGCACAACACCGAACUAAGAAUUGGUUGAGAGAAUUAGGAAUGAGCACCUCAUCAACUUGUGGGCUUAUGGGAGAACCAUGAUGGACCCUUAUUUCAGCACUGACAGUUGCUGUAGUAAUUGUUAAGCCAACGACAGCUUUGGUGAUGCCAAUUUGUUUUUGAGCGUAGCAUCAGCUUGAAAUUGGCCAGAUGCCCAGAUGGAAUUGAAUGAAUAUCCCUGCUAGCGCCUUUUUCCCUGUGAACUUGUCAGCUUGUAGGCAUGUAGUGUUGGGCAACCUUUUUUGCUGCCUGGAAGGUGCUUUUUUUUUUCUUUCCUGCAUGCAGUUUCUCGGGGCGCACUAGCUUAGGCACCAUGUGAAUGAAGCACUUAGCGAGACAUGUAUCCAGAGGCAUUCCUUUCCUUUUGAGUGAUAAAAUAGAACCUGUUUUACAAUUCCAAAAACGCAGGGAGCUACUGUGUACCAAUUAAUAAUGCAGUUUAGAUCUUUUUUUUGUCUUUCAAAACAAAUAAUUAGAUCAUGUCGUACCAGUUGGCAAUAUGAAAUGAACAAAGCUAAUAUUUUUGAAAUAUUGCAUAUCCUGAAAACUUGAAGGUUACAUUCAAAAAAGACAACCUGUUGUUCCAAGAAUUUCUUUCCAUGAUACAACAGCAUGCCAUGGUUUUCCUUAGUGAUUUAAUAGAUGAACCUAGGCUAAUUAGUUUGUUUCAAUCAAGUUUAUGUAACAGAUUGCAUAAUAGAUAUCCUAUCUGAAAUUAAGCAAUCCCCUUUCAUGCUAAUUGCAGACAACUCACAAGAAAAGAUUUUGAAGCUGCAAUAAUUGCUUGUCCGUGGACUUCUUACUGGAUUACCUUCUCAACAUAUCACACACAUAUAGUUAUCUCCAGCGAGCGGCGUAUAAUCAAUGACAACUCUUGGUAUGUUGAAUAUUAUUCAAAUCUUACAAACCAUUAAACACAGAAUUAGUGUUUCUCGGUCUCAUAUAUUUUCAUAAUAUUAUAUAUAUCUCUUUGCAGAAAAACCAUUUGAAUCAACAUCGCAACUCUUGGAUCCCAAAGAGCAGAAAAGGAAAAGAGAAAGAGAUAGGUAUGCACGUAUGACUGAUCAAGAAAAGCAGGAGAAACUCAAAAAACGUCGUGAAGCCUAUCAUCAACAUAAAAGAACAAGAACAAAUUCAACUCAGAUCCAACAAAAAUGCUCAGAGGAGACUGAUCAAGAAAAGCAGCAAAAAAUACAGAAAAAAUGCAUGCAUGAGAAGGAAAGAUAUGCAAACAUGCAACCAAACCAAAAGAAAGCAAAGUUACAACAAGAUUCUGCUAACCGUGCACGACGACGUAACACUCUAAGCAAGAAUUCAAUAGCAAUGGAGAACCCUGCAAAUAUCGUAACAGAUGAAGACUAUUCUACAAAGACCAAAGUCAUACAUGAUCUGCAAUCUAUAAAACAGCCAACAAACAUGAAGGAAGGUAAUACUCCUAAUUGCAUAUAUGACUCUAACAAUCACAUACAACAUGCAUCAAUUUUUACAAUGAUAACAAUCUUUCAUGGACAGAUAUCCCCUAUUCAAUGGGAACAGCAACCAAGGAUGGAGAAGAACCAAAUGAAUCAAUCAUUGAUGAUGAACCAUAUGGUAAGGAUAUAUACUAAAUUUAUAUUCUCAUGCAAUAGAAAACAACAUAUAAUUCACAUAUUUCUAUGCAGAUGACGAUGGAGUUGUAUAUGAAGAAGACACCGAUGAAGAGGGUAACAUAUUUUCUGGUCAAGGUAUGAUAAACAUGUUAAAAUAUUUUCACAUCUCAAUGUUAGUACUUCUCUAAUUUCUUUAAUCCUACAAAUCAUAGCAGAAUGGGAAGAUAUAGAGGUACAAAUAAAUGAAAAUGAGUCAACCGUUCCAGAACAUUCAAACAUCAAUGAUCCAUAUGACCUCGUCUAUAGUAACAUACCAGACAACACACACAAGCUGAAACCUGUUGAAAAUUGCAAAUAUUGCGAUGCAAAGAAAUUUCACCAUGAACCUGAAGGCCUAUGCUGUCGAAAAGGACAAAUAAAACUUGCAAAUCUUGAGACACCACAUCAGCUCAUGAGACUAUGGACAAGCAAUGACUCUGAUGCAAUACAUUUUCGAAAGAAUAUAAGGUUUUUCAAUGGCCACUUCUCAUUUACUUCUCUAUACUGUCACCUCGAUAGAGAUACAACUACAAUGAGAAAUAGCGGUAUUUACACCUUCCGAGCACAUGGUCAAAUCUAUCACAACAUACGGUCAUUUGGAAAAGAUGGUUCAGAUCCUAAGCAUCUAGAACUCUACUUCUAUGAUGAUGAUCCAAGCCUAGAGCAUCGUUACCGCUAUUGCCGCAAGGAAAUGUAUGAGCAAGAGAAACAUGUAUUACUCAUUAUAACCAAUAUUCUUCGCAACAAUCCAUACUCUGAACAAUUUAGGACUUUGGGACAGGAAGAAAACAUUGAGGAGUACAGAGUGAUGUUGAACCUUGACCAAAGAUUGGACCAAAGGACAUACAACGCACCAAUCACAUCAGAGGUAGCUGCAGUUUGGGUUGAAGGAAAUGAACGAAGGAAUACUUUUGACAGAAAUGUAAUACUACAUGGAAACAACAACGAAAUACAAGGAAUCCGAUCAUACGCUGGAUGCUACGAUCCAUUGUCUUAUCCUCUGUUCUUUCCAAGAGGUGAAUUGGGAUGGCAUGCCGAUAUCCCAAAGGUUGGAAUUACUACAGAAGAUAUAAAGAAAGCUCGUGCUAAUAAAAAUAACAAAAACAAUGACCCAGGUAACUAAUUCAAAUAUUAGCCUUCAUAAUUACAUUUACUAAUUAAAUAAUUGCCUAUGCCGUUAACAAACAAUUAUAUUUGUCCAACACAGAUUCAAGUGGUAGAAUGUGGGUAACCAUGAGAGAAUACUACUGCUAUAAAUUUCAUGUGCGACCAAACAUAUUUAACCCAAUAUUAUACGGCGGACGACUUUUCCAACAAUUCGCCGUGGAUACAUACAUCAAAAUUGAGAGCUCACGACUGGACUUCAUAUGGAAUCAUCAAAAAGAGAUAAGGGCGGAUCUAUACCAAGGCCUUCUAGAUAGCAUUCAUGCAGGACAAGACAGGGGAGAUAAGGUCGGAAAACGGACAGUGCUUUCGUCAUCAUUUAUUGGGGGUCCUCGAGACAAGAUGCGUCGGUACCUAGACGCCAUGGCUUUAGUCAGAAAAUAUGGGAAACCGGACAUAUUCCUCACGAUGACAUGCAAUCCCAACUGGGAAGAGAUCACGAAUGAACUUGGGGUUGGUCAAACACCACAAGAUCGCCCUGAUCUUGUUGUUCGUGUUUUCAGAGCAAAACUAGAAGAAAUGAAAAAGGAGUUGUUAGAAAAGCACAUGCUAGGCAAGGUGAAGGCCUAUACCUAUGUUGUAGAGUUUCAAAAGAGAGGUCUACCGCACGCUCAUUUCUUGCUUAUAAUGACCGGAAAAUAUAAGCUUACUUGUCCAGAGCAAUAUGAUAGACUAAUCUCGGCGGAGCUCCCAAACAAACAAAAGUACCCAGAGUUGUACAAGAUGGUUAUCAAACAUAUGAUGCAUGGACCUUGCGGUACAUUGAAUAGGAACUGUGCAUGCACAAAGAAUCGAAAAUCAUGCAAGAACUAUUAUCCAAGGCCAUUUAACGCUACUACCAUUCAAGGCAAGGAUUCUUACCCAUUAUACAGGCGACGUGAUGACGGCAACAAUGAAAUAGUCCGAGGGCACAAACUAGAUAACAGGUGAAUACAGUGCCCCCUCACAUGUGGUANNNNNNNNNNNNNNNNNNNNNNNNNNNNNNNNNNNNNNNNNNNNNNNNNNNNNNNNNNNNNNNNNNNNNNNNNNNNNNNNNNNNNNNNNNNNNNNNNNNNNNNNNNNNNNNNNNNNNNNNNNNNNNNNNNNNNNNNNNNNNNNNNNNNNNNNNNNNNNNNNNNNNNNNNNNNNNNNNNNNNNNNNNNNNNNNNNNNNNNNNNNNNNNNNNNNNNNNNNNNNNNNNNNNNNNNNNNNNNNNNNNNNNNNNNNNNNNNNNNNNNNNNNNNNNNNNNNNNNNNNNNNNNNNNNNNNNNNNNNNNNNNNNNNNNNNNNNNNNNNNNNNNNNNNNNNNNNNNNNNNNNNNNNNNNNNNNNNNNNNNNNNNNNNNNNNNNNNNNNNNNNNNNNNNNNNNNNNNNNNNNNNNNNNNNNNNNNNNNNNNNNNNNNNNNNNNNNNNNNNNNNNNNNNNNNNNNNNNNNNNNNNNNNNNNNNNNNNNNNNNNNNNNNNNNNNNNNNNNNNNNNNNNNNNNNNNNNNNNNNNNNNNNNNNNNNNNNNNNNNNNNNNNNNNNNNNNNNNNNNNNNNNNNNNNNNNNNNNNNNNNNNNNNNNNNNNNNNNNNNNNNNNNNNNNNNNNNNNNNNNNNNNNNNNNNNNNNNNNNNNNNNNNNNNNNNNNNNNNNNNNNNNNNNNNNNNNNNNNNNNNNNNNNNNNNNNNNNNNNNNNNNNNNNNNNNNNNNNNNNNNNNNNNNNNNNNNNNNNNNNNNNNNNNNNNNNNNNNNNNNNNNNNNNNNNNNNNNNNNNNNNNNNNNNNNNNNNNNNNNNNNNNNNNNNNNNNNNNNNNNNNNNNNNNNNNNNNNNNNNNNNNNNNNNNNNNNNNNNNNNNNNNNNNNNNNNNNNNNNNNNNNNNNNNNNNNNNNNNNNNNNNNNNNNNNNNNNNNNNNNNNNNNNNNNNNNNNNNNNNNNNNNNNNNNNNNNNNNNNNNNNNNNNNNNNNNNNNNNNNNNNNNNNNNNNNNNNNNNNNNNNNNNNNNNNNNNNNNNNNNNNNNNNNNNNNNNNNNNNNNNNNNNNNNNNNNNNNNNNNNNNNNNNNNNNNNNNNNNNNNNNNNNNNNNNNNNNNNNNNNNNNNNNNNNNNNNNNNNNNNNNNNNNNNNNNNNNNNNNNNNNNNNNNNNNNNNNNNNNNNNNNNNNNNNNNNNNNNNNNNNNNNNNNNNNNNNNNNNNNNNNNNNNNNNNNNNNNNNNNNNNNNNNNNNNNNNNNNNNNNNNNNNNNNNNNNNNNNNNNNNNNNNNNNNNNNNNNNNNNNNNNNNNNNNNNNNNNNNNNNNNNNNNNNNNNNNNNNNNNNNNNNNNNNNNNNNNNNNNNNNNNNNNNNNNNNNNNNNNNNNNNNNNNNNNNNNNNNNNNNNNNNNNNNNNNNNNNNNNNNNNNNNNNNNNNNNNNNNNNNNNNNNNNNNNNNNNNNNNNNNNNNNNNNNNNNNNNNNNNNNNNNNNNNNNNNNNNNNNNNNNNNNNNNNNNNNNNNNNNNNNNNNNNNNNNNNNNNNNNNNNNNNNNNNNNNNNNNNNNNNNNNNNNNNNNNNNNNNNNNNNNNNNNNNNNNNNNNNNNNNNNNNNNNNNNNNNNNNNNNNNNNNNNNNNNNNNNNNNNNNNNNNNNNNNNNNNNNNNNNNNNNNNNNNNNNNNNNNNNNNNNNNNNNNNNNNNNNNNNNNNNNNNNNNNNNNNNNNNNNNNNNNNNNNNNNNNNNNNNNNNNNNNNNNNNNNNNNNNNNNNNNNNNNNNNNNNNNNNNNNNNNNNNNNNNNNNNNNNNNNNNNNNNNNNNNNNNNNNNNNNNNNNNNNNNNNNNNNNNNNNNNNNNNNNNNNNNNNNNNNNNNNNNNNNNNNNNNNNNNNNNNNNNNNNNNNNNNNNNNNNNNNNNNNNNNNNNNNNNNNNNNNNNNNNNNNNNNNNNNNNNNNNNNNNNNNNNNNNNNNNNNNNNNNNNNNNNNNNNNNNNNNNNNNNNNNNNNNNNNNNNNNNNNNNNNNNNNNNNNNNNNNNNNNNNNNNNNNNNNNNNNNNNNNNNNNNNNNNNNNNNNNNNNNNNNNNNNNNNNNNNNNNNNNNNNNNNNNNNNNNNNNNNNNNNNNNNNNNNNNNNNNNNNNNNNNNNNNNNNNNNNNNNNNNNNNNNNNNNNNNNNNNNNNNNNNNNNNNNNNNNNNNNNNNNNNNNNNNNNNNNNNNNNNNNNNNNNNNNNNNNNNNNNNNNNNNNNNNNNNNNNNNNNNNNNNNNNNNNNNNNNNNNNNNNNNNNNNNNNNNNNNNNNNNNNNNNNNNNNNNNNNNNNNNNNNNNNNNNNNNNNNNNNNNNNNNNNNNNNNNNNNNNNNNNNNNNNNNNNNNNNNNNNNNNNNNNNNNNNNNNNNNNNNNNNNNNNNNNNNNNNNNNNNNNNNNNNNNNNNNNNNNNNNNNNNNNNNNNNNNNNNNNNNNNNNNNNNNNNNNNNNNNNNNNNNNNNNNNNNNNNNNNNNNNNNNNNNNNNNNNNNNNNNNNNNNNNNNNNNNNNNNNNNNNNNNNNNNNNNNNNNNNNNNNNNNNNNNNNNNNNNNNNNNNNNNNNNNNNNNNNNNNNNNNNNNNNNNNNNNNNNNNNNNNNNNNNNNNNNNNNNNNNNNNNNNNNNNNNNNNNNNNNNNNNNNNNNNNNNNNNNNNNNNNNNNNNNNNNNNNNNNNNNNNNNNNNNNNNNNNNNNNNNNNNNNNNNNNNNNNNNNNNNNNNNNNNNNNNNNNNNNNNNNNNNNNNNNNNNNNNNNNNNNNNNNNNNNNNNNNNNNNNNNNNNNNNNNNNNNNNNNNNNNNNNNNNNNNNNNNNNNNNNNNNNNNNNNNNNNNNNNNNNNNNNNNNNNNNNNNNNNNNNNNNNNNNNNNNNNNNNNNNNNNNNNNNNNNNNNNNNNNNNNNNNNNNNNNNNNNNNNNNNNNNNNNNNNNNNNNNNNNNNNNNNNNNNNNNNNNNNNNNNNNNNNNNNNNNNNNNNNNNNNNNNNNNNNNNNNNNNNNNNNNNNNNNNNNNNNNNNNNNNNNNNNNNNNNNNNNNNNNNNNNNNNNNNNNNNNNNNNNNNNNNNNNNNNNNNNNNNNNNNNNNNNNNNNNNNNNNNNNNNNNNNNNNNNNNNNNNNNNNNNNNNNNNNNNNNNNNNNNNNNNNNNNNNNNNNNNNNNNNNNNNNNNNNNNNNNNNNNNNNNNNNNNNNNNNNNNNNNNNNNNNNNNNNNNNNNNNNNNNNNNNNNNNNNNNNNNNNNNNNNNNNNNNNNNNNNNNNNNNNNNNNNNNNNNNNNNNNNNNNNNNNNNNNNNNNNNNNNNNNNNNNNNNNNNNNNNNNNNNNNNNNNNNNNNNNNNNNNNNNNNNNNNNNNNNNNNNNNNNNNNNNNNNNNNNNNNNNNNNNNNNNNNNNNNNNNNNNNNNNNNNNNNNNNNNNNNNNNNNNNNNNNNNNNNNNNNNNNNNNNNNNNNNNNNNNNNNNNNNNNNNNNNNNNNNNNNNNNNNNNNNNNNNNNNNNNNNNNNNNNNNNNNNNNNNNNNNNNNNNNNNNNNNNNNNNNNNNNNNNNNNNNNNNNNNNNNNNNNNNNNNNNNNNNNNNNNNNNNNNNNNNNNNNNNNNNNNNNNNNNNNNNNNNNNNNNNNNNNNNNNNNNNNNNNNNNNNNNNNNNNNNNNNNNNNNNNNNNNNNNNNNNNNNNNNNNNNNNNNNNNNNNNNNNNNNNNNNNNNNNNNNNNNNNNNNNNNNNNNNNNNNNNNNNNNNNNNNNNNNNNNNNNNNNNNNNNNNNNNNNNNNNNNNNNNNNNNNNNNNNNNNNNNNNNNNNNNNNNNNNNNNNNNNNNNNNNNNNNNNNNNNNNNNNNNNNNNNNNNNNNNNNNNNNNNNNNNNNNNNNNNNNNNNNNNNNNNNNNNNNNNNNNNNNNNNNNNNNNNNNNNNNNNNNNNNNNNNNNNNNNNNNNNNNNNNNNNNNNNNNNNNNNNNNNNNNNNNNNNNNNNNNNNNNNNNNNNNNNNNNNNNNNNNNNNNNNNNNNNNNNNNNNNNNNNNNNNNNNNNNNNNNNNNNNNNNNNNNNNNNNNNNNNNNNNNNNNNNNNNNNNNNNNNNNNNNNNNNNNNNNNNNNNNNNNNNNNNNNNNNNNNNNNNNNNNNNNNNNNNNNNNNNNNNNNNNNNNNNNNNNNNNNNNNNNNNNNNNNNNNNNNNNNNNNNNNNNNNNNNNNNNNNNNNNNNNNNNNNNNNNNNNNNNNNNNNNNNNNNNNNNNNNNNNNNNNNNNNNNNNNNNNNNNNNNNNNNNNNNNNNNNNNNNNNNNNNNNNNNNNNNNNNNNNNNNNNNNNNNNNNNNNNNNNNNNNNNNNNNNNNNNNNNNNNNNNNNNNNNNNNNNNNNNNNNNNNNNNNNNNNNNNNNNNNNNNNNNNNNNNNNNNNNNNNNNNNNNNNNNNNNNNNNNNNNNNNNNNNNNNNNNNNNNNNNNNNNNNNNNNNNNNNNNNNNNNNNNNNNNNNNNNNNNNNNNNNNNNNNNNNNNNNNNNNNNNNNNNNNNNNNNNNNNNNNNNNNNNNNNNNNNNNNNNNNNNNNNNNNNNNNNNNNNNNNNNNNNNNNNNNNNNNNNNNNNNNNNNNNNNNNNNNNNNNNNNNNNNNNNNNNNNNNNNNNNNNNNNNNNNNNNNNNNNNNNNNNNNNNNNNNNNNNNNNNNNNNNNNNNNNNNNNNNNNNNNNNNNNNNNNNNNNNNNNNNNNNNNNNNNNNNNNNNNNNNNNNNNNNNNNNNNNNNNNNNNNNNNNNNNNNNNNNNNNNNNNNNNNNNNNNNNNNNNNNNNNNNNNNNNNNNNNNNNNNNNNNNNNNNNNNNNNNNNNNNNNNNNNNNNNNNNNNNNNNNNNNNNNNNNNNNNNNNNNNNNNNNNNNNNNNNNNNNNNNNNNNNNNNNNNNNNNNNNNNNNNNNNNNNNNNNNNNNNNNNNNNNNNNNNNNNNNNNNNNNNNNNNNNNNNNNNNNNNNNNNNNNNNNNNNNNNNNNNNNNNNNNNNNNNNNNNNNNNNNNNNNNNNNNNNNNNNNNNNNNNNNNNNNNNNNNNNNNNNNNNNNNNNNNNNNNNNNNNNNNNNNNNNNNNNNNNNNNNNNNNNNNNNNNNNNNNNNNNNNNNNNNNNNNNNNNNNNNNNNNNNNNNNNNNNNNNNNNNNNNNNNNNNNNNNNNNNNNNNNNNNNNNNNNNNNNNNNNNNNNNNNNNNNNNNNNNNNNNNNNNNNNNNNNNNNNNNNNNNNNNNNNNNNNNNNNNNNNNNNNNNNNNNNNNNNNNNNNNNNNNNNNNNNNNNNNNNNNNNNNNNNNNNNNNNNNNNNNNNNNNNNNNNNNNNNNNNNNNNNNNNNNNNNNNNNNNNNNNNNNNNNNNNNNNNNNNNNNNNNNNNNNNNNNNNNNNNNNNNNNNNNNNNNNNNNNNNNNNNNNNNNNNNNNNNNNNNNNNNNNNNNNNNNNNNNNNNNNNNNNNNNNNNNNNNNNNNNNNNNNNNNNNNNNNNNNNNNNNNNNNNNNNNNNNNNNNNNNNNNNNNNNNNNNNNNNNNNNNNNNNNNNNNNNNNNNNNNNNNNNNNNNNNNNNNNNNNNNNNNNNNNNNNNNNNNNNNNNNNNNNNNNNNNNNNNNNNNNNNNNNNNNNNNNNNNNNNNNNNNNNNNNNNNNNNNNNNNNNNNNNNNNNNNNNNNNNNNNNNNNNNNNNNNNNNNNNNNNNNNNNNNNNNNNNNNNNNNNNNNNNNNNNNNNNNNNNNNNNNNNNNNNNNNNNNNNNNNNNNNNNNNNNNNNNNNNNNNNNNNNNNNNNNNNNNNNNNNNNNNNNNNNNNNNNNNNNNNNNNNNNNNNNNNNNNNNNNNNNNNNNNNNNNNNNNNNNNNNNNNNNNNNNNNNNNNNNNNNNNNNNNNNNNNNNNNNNNNNNNNNNNNNNNNNNNNNNNNNNNNNNNNNNNNNNNNNNNNNNNNNNNNNNNNNNNNNNNNNNNNNNNNNNNNNNNNNNNNNNNNNNNNNNNNNNNNNNNNNNNNNNNNNNNNNNNNNNNNNNNNNNNNNNNNNNNNNNNNNNNNNNNNNNNNNNNNNNNNNNNNNNNNNNNNNNNNNNNNNNNNNNNNNNNNNNNNNNNNNNNNNNNNNNNNNNNNNNNNNNNNNNNNNNNNNNNNNNNNNNNNNNNNNNNNNNNNNNNNNNNNNNNNNNNNNNNNNNNNNNNNNNNNNNNNNNNNNNNNNNNNNNNNNNNNNNNNNNNNNNNNNNNNNNNNNNNNNNNNNNNNNNNNNNNNNNNNNNNNNNNNNNNNNNNNNNNNNNNNNNNNNNNNNNNNNNNNNNNNNNNNNNNNNNNNNNNNNNNNNNNNNNNNNNNNNNNNNNNNNNNNNNNNNNNNNNNNNNNNNNNNNNNNNNNNNNNNNNNNNNNNNNNNNNNNNNNNNNNNNNNNNNNNNNNNNNNNNNNNNNNNNNNNNNNNNNNNNNNNNNNNNNNNNNNNNNNNNNNNNNNNNNNNNNNNNNNNNNNNNNNNNNNNNNNNNNNNNNNNNNNNNNNNNNNNNNNNNNNNNNNNNNNNNNNNNNNNNNNNNNNNNNNNNNNNNNNNNNNNNNNNNNNNNNNNNNNNNNNNNNNNNNNNNNNNNNNNNNNNNNNNNNNNNNNNNNNNNNNNNNNNNNNNNNNNNNNNNNNNNNNNNNNNNNNNNNNNNNNNNNNNNNNNNNNNNNNNNNNNNNNNNNNNNNNNNNNNNNNNNNNNNNNNNNNNNNNNNNNNNNNNNNNNNNNNNNNNNNNNNNNNNNNNNNNNNNNNNNNNNNNNNNNNNNNNNNNNNNNNNNNNNNNNNNNNNNNNNNNNNNNNNNNNNNNNNNNNNNNNNNNNNNNNNNNNNNNNNNNNNNNNNNNNNNNNNNNNNNNNNNNNNNNNNNNNNNNNNNNNNNNNNNNNNNNNNNNNNNNNNNNNNNNNNNNNNNNNNNNNNNNNNNNNNNNNNNNNNNNNNNNNNNNNNNNNNNNNNNNNNNNNNNNNNNNNNNNNNNNNNNNNNNNNNNNNNNNNNNNNNNNNNNNNNNNNNNNNNNNNNNNNNNNNNNNNNNNNNNNNNNNNNNNNNNNNNNNNNNNNNNNNNNNNNNNNNNNNNNNNNNNNNNNNNNNNNNNNNNNNNNNNNNNNNNNNNNNNNNNNNNNNNNNNNNNNNNNNNNNNNNNNNNNNNNNNNNNNNNNNNNNNNNNNNNNNNNNNNNNNNNNNNNNNNNNNNNNNNNNNNNNNNNNNNNNNNNNNNNNNNNNNNNNNNNNNNNNNNNNNNNNNNNNNNNNNNNNNNNNNNNNNNNNNNNNNNNNNNNNNNNNNNNNNNNNNNNNNNNNNNNNNNNNNNNNNNNNNNNNNNNNNNNNNNNNNNNNNNNNNNNNNNNNNNNNNNNNNNNNNNNNNNNNNNNNNNNNNNNNNNNNNNNNNNNNNNNNNNNNNNNNNNNNNNNNNNNNNNNNNNNNNNNNNNNNNNNNNNNNNNNNNNNNNNNNNNNNNNNNNNNNNNNNNNNNNNNNNNNNNNNNNNNNNNNNNNNNNNNNNNNNNNNNNNNNNNNNNNNNNNNNNNNNNNNNNNNNNNNNNNNNNNNNNNNNNNNNNNNNNNNNNNNNNNNNNNNNNNNNNNNNNNNNNNNNNNNNNNNNNNNNNNNNNNNNNNNNNNNNNNNNNNNNNNNNNNNNNNNNNNNNNNNNNNNNNNNNNNNNNNNNNNNNNNNNNNNNNNNNNNNNNNNNNNNNNNNNNNNNNNNNNNNNNNNNNNNNNNNNNNNNNNNNNNNNNNNNNNNNNNNNNNNNNNNNNNNNNNNNNNNNNNNNNNNNNNNNNNNNNNNNNNNNNNNNNNNNNNNNNNNNNNNNNNNNNNNNNNNNNNNNNNNNNNNNNNNNNNNNNNNNNNNNNNNNNNNNNNNNNNNNNNNNNNNNNNNNNNNNNNNNNNNNNNNNNNNNNNNNNNNNNNNNNNNNNNNNNNNNNNNNNNNNNNNNNNNNNNNNNNNNNNNNNNNNNNNNNNNNNNNNNNNNNNNNNNNNNNNNNNNNNNNNNNNNNNNNNNNNNNNNNNNNNNNNNNNNNNNNNNNNNNNNNNNNNNNNNNNNNNNNNNNNNNNNNNNNNNNNNNNNNNNNNNNNNNNNNNNNNNNNNNNNNNNNNNNNNNNNNNNNNNNNNNNNNNNNNNNNNNNNNNNNNNNNNNNNNNNNNNNNNNNNNNNNNNNNNNNNNNNNNNNNNNNNNNNNNNNNNNNNNNNNNNNNNNNNNNNNNNNNNNNNNNNNNNNNNNNNNNNNNNNNNNNNNNNNNNNNNNNNNNNNNNNNNNNNNNNNNNNNNNNNNNNNNNNNNNNNNNNNNNNNNNNNNNNNNNNNNNNNNNNNNNNNNNNNNNNNNNNNNNNNNNNNNNNNNNNNNNNNNNNNNNNNNNNNNNNNNNNNNNNNNNNNNNNNNNNNNNNNNNNNNNNNNNNNNNNNNNNNNNNNNNNNNNNNNNNNNNNNNNNNNNNNNNNNNNNNNNNNNNNNNNNNNNNNNNNNNNNNNNNNNNNNNNNNNNNNNNNNNNNNNNNNNNNNNNNNNNNNNNNNNNNNNNNNNNNNNNNNNNNNNNNNNNNNNNNNNNNNNNNNNNNNNNNNNNNNNNNNNNNNNNNNNNNNNNNNNNNNNNNNNNNNNNNNNNNNNNNNNNNNNNNNNNNNNNNNNNNNNNNNNNNNNNNNNNNNNNNNNNNNNNNNNNNNNNNNNNNNNNNNNNNNNNNNNNNNNNNNNNNNNNNNNNNNNNNNNNNNNNNNNNNNNNNNNNNNNNNNNNNNNNNNNNNNNNNNNNNNNNNNNNNNNNNNNNNNNNNNNNNNNNNNNNNNNNNNNNNNNNNNNNNNNNNNNNNNNNNNNNNNNNNNNNNNNNNNNNNNNNNNNNNNNNNNNNNNNNNNNNNNNNNNNNNNNNNNNNNNNNNNNNNNNNNNNNNNNNNNNNNNNNNNNNNNNNNNNNNNNNNNNNNNNNNNNNNNNNNNNNNNNNNNNNNNNNNNNNNNNNNNNNNNNNNNNNNNNNNNNNNNNNNNNNNNNNNNNNNNNNNNNNNNNNNNNNNNNNNNNNNNNNNNNNNNNNNNNNNNNNNNNNNNNNNNNNNNNNNNNNNNNNNNNNNNNNNNNNNNNNNNNNNNNNNNNNNNNNNNNNNNNNNNNNNNNNNNNNNNNNNNNNNNNNNNNNNNNNNNNNNNNNNNNNNNNNNNNNNNNNNNNNNNNNNNNNNNNNNNNNNNNNNNNNNNNNNNNNNNNNNNNNNNNNNNNNNNNNNNNNNNNNNNNNNNNNNNNNNNNNNNNNNNNNNNNNNNNNNNNNNNNNNNNNNNNNNNNNNNNNNNNNNNNNNNNNNNNNNNNNNNNNNNNNNNNNNNNNNNNNNNNNNNNNNNNNNNNNNNNNNNNNNNNNNNNNNNNNNNNNNNNNNNNNNNNNNNNNNNNNNNNNNNNNNNNNNNNNNNNNNNNNNNNNNNNNNNNNNNNNNNNNNNNNNNNNNNNNNNNNNNNNNNNNNNNNNNNNNNNNNNNNNNNNNNNNNNNNNNNNNNNNNNNNNNNNNNNNNNNNNNNNNNNNNNNNNNNNNNNNNNNNNNNNNNNNNNNNNNNNNNNNNNNNNNNNNNNNNNNNNNNNNNNNNNNNNNNNNNNNNNNNNNNNNNNNNNNNNNNNNNNNNNNNNNNNNNNNNNNNNNNNNNNNNNNNNNNNNNNNNNNNNNNNNNNNNNNNNNNNNNNNNNNNNNNNNNNNNNNNNNNNNNNNNNNNNNNNNNNNNNNNNNNNNNNNNNNNNNNNNNNNNNNNNNNNNNNNNNNNNNNNNNNNNNNNNNNNNNNNNNNNNNNNNNNNNNNNNNNNNNNNNNNNNNNNNNNNNNNNNNNNNNNNNNNNNNNNNNNNNNNNNNNNNNNNNNNNNNNNNNNNNNNNNNNNNNNNNNNNNNNNNNNNNNNNNNNNNNNNNNNNNNNNNNNNNNNNNNNNNNNNNNNNNNNNNNNNNNNNNNNNNNNNNNNNNNNNNNNNNNNNNNNNNNNNNNNNNNNNNNNNNNNNNNNNNNNNNNNNNNNNNNNNNNNNNNNNNNNNNNNNNNNNNNNNNNNNNNNNNNNNNNNNNNNNNNNNNNNNNNNNNNNNNNNNNNNNNNGUACGUUAUUACAGCAAGGGUAGCACUCAUGUGUUUUUCGUUAAUAGUAAACAGCAGACCACAUUGAAACAGAGUGCAUAUACAGAGAGGCAGAGCUUUCUAGUGUAUAUAUAUUGUGCCAUACGCAAGUAGAUAGCAGACCAGCUACUAGCUCGCAAAUGCCCUAGCAUGCAGAAGUUUUAAGGAACUACAGUGCACUAGGACAUAUGCUUUGAUCACCUGGCGUAGUACGAACUUCCUGGGUUCAUGGGCAGGCUCUCACCUUCUUGUGUAGGAUAACCAAUACUAGUGGCACCUUCUAUUUCAAAGCUAGCAGUCGACGCUCCACCGAGAAGACUCUGAGCCUCCAUCUCAACAUCGACUUGUACCCAAGGAUGCAGUGAAAGCUUCCUCAAUCUGCUGAGCUCAUCGGCGAUCUCCUUCAUCGAUGGUCUGUUGCUGCCACACAUGUCCAGGCAUUGCUUGGCUAGCUCCGCAAGGCCUCUGAUCAAUUCAUUGUUCUCUUGUCCCUUUACAUGGCUCGGCAAGAUCGCAUCAAGGUUGUUCUCCUUCAUAGAGGACAAGAAAUUUGACGACAGACUUCUUUCCGUCUCAGGCCCAUCCAACUUCAGAGGCUCUUGGCCAGUGAGUACCUCUAGAAGGAUAACACCAAAGCUAAAGACGUCGCUUUUCUCUGUCAAUUGGCAUGUCAGCAUGUAUUCAGGGUCGAGGUAGCCACAGGUACCUUGAACCAUUGUGACAUACUGCUCUUUAUCUGAUGGGGCUAGUAUGGAGGCUCCAAAAUCUGACACUUUUGCCAUGUAGUUUUCAUCUAAAAGAAUAUUGGCAGUCUUCACAUCACCAUGGAUAAUUGGGGGAGAUGCGUAUGAGUGUAGGAAAUUGAGACCUUCAGCUGCUUCAUGAGCAAUCCUUAAUAAAGUGCUGAAAGAGAUUUGUAAUGCUUGGUUCUUGCCAUGGAUAAGUUCAAACAGUGUGCCUUUUGGGAUGAAUUCAUAGACCAACAUUGGAACUUCCACCUCAAGGCAACAACCCACUAGUUUGACAAUGUUCUUGUGGUUGAUCUGGGAGAGUAUUAGCAUUUCUUGUCCAAAUUCCUUCUUUUGUCUUUCAUCAAUAAGUGCACAUCGCUUAAUCGCAACAGGCAUGUUGCCCUUAACUAUCCCUUUGUAGACUGUUCCAUGGCCUCCUUUUCCAAUUAUUCUGCUCUUGUCGUAGUUGUUUGUGGCUUGUAUCAGUUCAGCUUCGCUAAACACCGUGAAAGCAAGACCUUUUUCUGAUCUCAUCCUCUCAAACAGAAUCAUGCCCCCAUGUUCUCGAAAAUGUUCUUGCCUAACUUGGUUCAGCUUUCUCUUUUGAAGAAUCAUGUAUCCGAAGGAGGAGAAAAUCACGAGAACAAGAGAGCCGACUGCAACUCCUGCAUAAAAGCAUCGAAUAAGAGCAUAUUGUCAGAAAACGUGCUUUCCUUCUUAUAUAUAUUGCCAUGUGGCAUUUCUCAAAUAUAUUGGUCCAGCAAGCUGAUCUCGGCGUCCUACCUAUUAUUAAGCCAGUAUCAGGGUCGCAUGUGGUUCUUUGCCUGUUAAACUUCCUUCCUGCUCGACAAGAACACCGGUAGCCUCCUUCCGUGUUGUGGCAAACACCGCCUGAAGGGCAUGGGCGGCUACUACACUCAUCAACGUCUGCAGUAAGAUGAGCAAAACCAAGAACGAUAAAUACAAGUUUAGAGAUUGAAUAUUGUUCAAAGAUAUUGUUAGUCAUCUUAGCAUACUCGUUACCUUGGCAUCCACCUUGAAGAUACGGGUUGCCUUGGUACCCUUUGGAGCAGUUGCACAGGUACCCUAGCCCGUUGGCUGAAUCCACGCACCCGCUGUUGGUGCUGAGGCAUGCGUAAGUGCCCGUGGCGACCUCACAUGUCGUCUUGUUACUUAUCGCCCAGUCCAUCACCACUGGUGCUCGCCCAAUUCUUGUGUCAUUGAACGUGGUCGUGCUGAUGUACUUGGUGCUGAAAUUGAACGCCUCCGCCUCCAUCAGCACGGCGUAGCUGCAAGGGCUGAACCUCUGAACUUUGCUUGUGUUGAAACCGCGACUGAACAAGACCUCGUAAUAGCCCAUAUUCCUAGGUAUGGCUGUCUGGCAGCAGCCAAUUCCGGAGCAGGGUCCGUCCGCUAGGUCUGACAGAUUCCGGCAAGUUGAGACACACCCACUUAGGUAACCGGUGCUGGUGUUGUCGUAGAUAUAGGCGAGGGUGUUGCAGCCAAUGACGGUGAACUUAUUGUGGACGUCUGAGAAUCGGAAUGGGCCACCUCUUAUGUCGAGCCACCAACGAUUAUCCUCCAUCUGACCGGAGGAGUUGUUGUAGCAGUAUGUUGAGAUUUGGUUGAGCACCCUGAUCGUGCCUUGAGCCAAGGAAAUGUUGAGCACCUCCACGAAACCGAGGAAUGGCUUGUAGACACCAUCGUGGAUCUGGCAGCUGACGUUGAAGCUGCUUGACAGCGAGCAAUUGUCACCGAUGCCGAACGGGUACGGAAUCUCAACACCGCCACACUGCGUUUGGCAUUGAGAGCUAGGAACCGCAAGAGCGGGGUCGUGCUUUGCUGCCAACAGAAGUAGAAAACCAAGACCAAGCUGCAGAAAGCGCACUUCCAUAUAUACUCCUUGGCUGGAUAACUAGAAAGUAGAAAUCAUGAUGUUGCGAAGGUAAGAUAAAUCAGUGGAUGCACCGUAUACCUAAUAAGUUCUGCUUUGUGUACUACAUGUACUAAAAGAAAAUUCCCAUUAUGCACGCUUAAAAAAUUAUUGAUAAAAAUCUUCACACAUGCAGACAUGCUCCGUGAAAAGAAACAAAAAGAUAGCUGAAAAGGUACUAAUGGGUUAUGGAACCCCCAAUAUCUUCAAGUCGAAGAAUAUUAGGUUUCAUGGUCAAAGGAAUAUAAUGUUAGGUAAGGACAAGACAAUUCCAACAAAUCGAUCUCUCGCUAAUUAAAAAACCGUGAAGUAUCUCUCAUGCAUAAUCAGCAUGUAAGGCCGGAUUGGUUUGACUUGCUCAAGGAAAUGCUAGUAAAGCAUGGUUUUGCAAAGCAGUCAUGGUAAUUUAAAGCCGGUUUAGUGUCUUGCAUUGGGAAUAUACGAGCGUUCAUCUUAUUGGCGUAGCAUCUAAAAGAAUCUAAAAUCAACCUCUUCACAUGCAGAUAAAAGAACUAAAAGGGAAGAGGGCUGAUAAACUAAACUGUUGAUGAGGAUAAACUUAGUAGAAGAAUCAGCAUGAAAUAGCAAGGGAGUACAGCUUUCAUCGAAUUAGUAUAUGUACCUUAGCUUUGAGGAGAGGUUUUUGAGCCUAUCUUCCCCGGAACGCCGAGAGUCGCCAACGUAGAGAACUGAUUGACUGAACCUUUGGAGAUUGCUUCGGUUAUUUGUUCUAACAAGAGCAGACAACCCUAUGUGCGUUGGAGUAUAUAGGAAGUGCACAUCCACAUCACUGUACGGGUCGUCGGGAAUGAGUCAAGACACAGUGCACAACAGAGACCAAGUCGUGGCAGACAGUGCCUGCAAUUUUUUCCGGCCUCAAGUACCCACCAGCGAGAACGCAUCAUCAACAGAUAAUGACAUAGUUAGACUUUGAAAUUAAUCUUUUUCGGUGGAUAAAAUUGUUGAGGAGGAUAACUACUAAUGCAAAAACUUAGCUUCUCAUUUUUCAGAUAAAAGGAAGACAUAAUUUUAGCCUCUCUCAUUUUGUGAUGACCUAAACACAAGCCAGCCGCCCAUCUCUCUCUCGCGCGCGCGCUGCCACACACAGGAUUCCAGGAGAAGUGGAGAAAUGGUAUAAAUUAUUCUAAUUUUUGCCUGAAUUCUGAAAGAACUCACGAUUCAAACGAUCUUGGGAAUGUUUUCUGCCUUUUGCCGGACGCCCGGACUCUUGCUUCAGCUGAAUAAUCCAUCUUGGAGUGGUAAGGUAACCUAUAUUGCAAUUAAGUUUGAAAUGACAAAAUUGGAAUCUUCUUUGCUACGAGGGUGAGAAAUUGGAAACAGACACCGAUGGUCAUGCAAGGCGACAGUGUAACACGUGUGGUGAAUUUUUAACGCUGUUCUAUACUUCUAUCUCUUGGAAAAACGAAACUUCCUCGUAGAAACUUAUCUCGCGUCAACGUACGUGGUCGUCGCGAGUCAGUCAACGCACAGCAGCGAUUGAGUCUAAAGAAACUUUUGUUUCAAAAAAAAAAACAGGGCCUUCAAAUACGUCCUCCAGUACUUUGUCUUAACAAAGAUAAAUCUUGGAAAAAAAACAAAGAAUACGUCCUAGCGUGUAAAAACGAUGUCGUGCAGUGGUAAGCUUAUUAUUCCUACCACACAAGCCACUGCAAGUUGAAAAAUGAUAAUAUUGGGGUCUUCUUUGCUCUGAGCUAGGGUGACGGUGCUGGAAAUUGGAAUCAGUCACCGAUCGCCAUGCAAGGCGACAUUGAGAUCUUCUUUGCUCUGAGGGUGAAAUUGGAAACAGUCACCGAUUCCAUGCAAGGCGACAGCGUAACGUGUGGUGCAUUUUUAACCGUGUUCCAUACUUCUACCUCUUGGAAAAAUGAAACUUACUCGUAGAACAAAACCACUACUGGAAAAAUGACGUCCAGACCGAUUAGUAACCUCCCUCUAGUACCGAAUGUGCAACCGGUACUGGCAAUCCGGUACUAGAGGGGGUCCUUUAGUACCGGUUAAAAUACCUGGUACUAAAACCCUUUAGUACCGGUUAGGGGUACUAGCCGGUACUAAAGGGAUUCCCACGCCACGUGGGGAGGUGGCCUUAUUAGUAUUGGUUGGUAUCCCCAACCGGUACUAAGUUUUUUCUCCCUUUUUUUCUUCUUUCUGUUCCUUUAGUCUAUAUUCGUAUUUCGUAUUUGUUUCCUUUACAUAUAGUUAUUCUAAUAUGCUAAUUUAUGGUGGGUUCUAUUUAGAUUUAAUAUAAUAUUUAAAAUAAUCUUAUAUAUAUACAUAUUGUGUAUACACAUAUGAAUAAUAUUACAAUUGAAACUUAAUAAAAAUUUGGCACUAGACUAGAUCCUGAACUAUGGAACUCCCCCGCAGGAUUUGUGACCUCAUCCAGAAGAAAUCCACACAGUUGAUCUUGUAUUUCCCUGAAAAUUUCGGUGUGGUCUAGUUCUUCCUUCCUGUUCCUCUCUUCUUGUUUAUCAUUUGCAAAUGAAUUAGAAAUACUUAAUCUAAAGUUAAAGCAUAUUAACUUUUUUUUAAGUAUAAGCAUAUUAAUUUUGUAUACGUACAAUUAUUUGGUGUUCGAUGGUAUGCAUCAGAUCCACAAAUUCGUGGAUGAAGUUACAAACAUAGUAUCCGCAAUAAUGAGUACCCUCCUGCUGUCUCAAAAACUAUAUAUACGAAAAAAAAAGUUAUGAAAUAUUUGUUAUGUUAAAGGAAGUGUCACGAGAUUUGAAAAUUGAACACAUACCGGGAAAUCUAUAUGCAAAACAAGUUUCUUGUUGUAAUCACACUUGUGAGUUUUAAGAAAUUGAGUCCAGCAUUUGUUCAGAGUGCCCAUGAGGUUAUUGAAAUUUUUUUUGGGUUUCCUCAAGGAGUCUCAGAUAGUCACUAAGCUCUGAUCGGGGAUAAUAAUAAUGAGUACCCAAUGGUACCUGUAGAUCCAAAUUGAAGGUAGUUAGUAUUAUGUGUAAGUGCUAGUUCGGAAAAGAAAGAGAUGGGAAAAACACUCACUCAUAGUGCCAAGGUAUUAAUAUACAGCUCUUCUCCCAGUGCCAAACUGCCAAGGUACUUUUGCCUUUUGCUUUUCUUGCGACCAACCUGCCCUUGACUUGACCUCGAGCAUCAAUUAUUAAUUGCCUUUCCCUUCCCCUGCAUCCGCAUCCCAUCGACCUCUGCUUCGUGCUGUUCCAAUCCAAGGCAGUUGCGAGCGGUGAGCUCCGGCGACGAGCGGCGGGCAGCGCGAUCUGGCAAACCAGCGAGUCCUAAGCCCCGGCGACAAGGAGAGGGCGGCCGGUGAGUCCUCGCUCACUUCCGUUCUUUGUGCCCGUCUGCAGACCUCCGAGAGCACUAGGCACUCGACAGCACUAUAAUUCAUCGUCACACGCCCCUGCUUGCUACACCUAUACCCAUAGCGUACAACCUUACUAAUUGCUCUGCCCAGGGACAAAUCCAUGGAGAUCGUGACAGGGGCAAUUCCAAGCCUCCUCGACAAGCUUGGUGAAUUGCUAGUUGGCGAGUACAAUCUGCAAAAUGAGGUGAAGGGAGGGAUCAUCUUCCUCCAAGAUGAGCUCAAGAGCAUGCAAGGUGCCCUCGAGAAGAUCUUGAGGACACCAGCAGAUAAGAUUGACAACCAGGACAAGAUCUGGGCUAGGUAAAUGAGAGAGAUGUCCUACGAUAUAGAGGACAAUAUUGACACAUAUAUCGUGCAGUGCAAGCGGAGGAAGAGGAAGAGGAAGACGGAUGAACAGCAUAGCUUCAAGGAAGCCAUUGAUAGGAUCCUCGAAUGGUUAUGGCAGCCUAUGAUUCGUCGUAAGAUUGCUACAGAAAUCAGAGAGAUCAAGAGCCGUGUCAUCGAGGUGCAUAAACGGCGCCGCAUGUAUGAGGUCAGCCUUGGUGUUGAUAAGCCUGUAACUGUGGACCCUCGUUUAUUCGCUCAGUACACGGAGGUGAAAGAGCUUGUUGGCAUUGAUGAGGCAAGGGAUGAGUUAAUCAAUAAGAUUUUGAUAGAAGGGAAUGAAGUUCCCUUGAAGCAAGGCAGGAUAGUUUCAAUUGUUGGAUUUGGAGGCCUGGGAAAGACAACUCUUGCCAAUGCAGUGUACAAAAAGAUUAGAGCACAAUUUGAUUGCUAUGCUUUUGUUUCUGUUUCUCAAAUUCCUGACCUGAAGAAACUGUAUAAGGGCUUGCUAUAUGAUCUUGGCAAGAGCAUCAACGAAGAAACAUUGGAUGAAAGGCGACUCAUAGAAGUACUCAGAGAAUUCCUUGAAGACAAAAGGUAAGAAAGCAUUCCUUUGGCCAAUUUAUACAUAUGAACUUUUUUUGGACUGAUAAUUUAUGCCUCUGUUCACAAUACUAUAAGUCUGCAUAGGGUUAAUUAAAUGUUCAUGCAGGUGGCCACAACCACUUAAGCAUUACCACAACAUUAUUAAGUGCAAAUAAUUUCCUCACUGGACCUCGAUUUGUUUUGAUAAAAUUCUGAGUGGACUUAUUUUAUCCACGGACUUGCCAAUCCACCUGCUCCCGAGCUAUUUUAGUUUAAUCAUUAAACCAUUAGCAGUGGUCUGAUUUGCUUAAUUUUCUUGUAGCUGGUAUAUGAACAACAUUAGAGCUUUAUUCAGUCCUUAAACCACUAUUUUUGGCUAAUAACUUGGCAUAUGUGUAGGUAUUUUGUUGUUGUUGAUGACGUAUGGGAUUUAUCAGUUUGGAAAAUGAUUAGAUGUGCUUUGCCUGAUAAUGAUGUUGGAUACACUAUUAUUACAACCACCCGUAUUUCUCAUGUUGCUGAACAAGCUGGGGGUGCUUACAACAUGAAACCUCUUUCUUUGAAUAACUCCCGAAAACUACUGUAUAGAAGAAUAUUUGGUAAUGGGAACAAAGAGAACAAUGAAGAAGAAGAAAAAUGUCACGACGAGCUGGCCGAAGUAUCUGACAGAAUAUUGAACAAAUGCACUGGUGUGCCAUUAGCUAUAAUUACGAUGGCUAGUUUGCUGGCUUGCAAAGCAAGAGAUAAAAUGGAGUGGUAUGAUGUGUGCAAUUCUAUUGGUACUGGUCUGGAAAACAAUCUAGAUGUGGAGAAUAUGAGAAAGAUUUUGUCAUUUAGCUAUUAUGAGCUACCAUGCCAUUUAAGGGCUUGCUUGUUAUAUUUGAGCAUGUUUUCUGAAGAUUAUGAAAUUAAGAAGGAUCGUUUGAUAAGGAUGUGGAUAGGUGAGGGUUUUAUCCAAUGUGAAAAAGCAGGGAAGAGCCUAUUUGAACUCGGAGAGAGUUACUUCAAUGAGCUUAUAAAUAGAAGCAUGAUCCAACCAGUAUAUGAUUUUGAUGACAUAAUAAUACAAGGUUGUCGUGUACAUGAUAUGGUGCUUGAUCUUAUUCGCUCCUUAUCAAGUGAAGAAAACUUUGUUACUGUACUAAGUAAUGUACUAAGUAAUAUGGGAGGCACAUCUCCGCCAAAUACAAUUCGGAGGUUGUCCCUUCAGAAUGGCCAGGAAAGUCAUGUGAUGGCUCAAGCUACAUGGAGCUUGCAACAUGCAAGGUCAGUUGUUGUCUUUCCAGCUGCUGCUUUUCUAGUGCCGCCUCUUGACUACUGCCGAGUUUUACGUGUUCUGGAUUUAGAGGACUGCAAUCUUUCACAAGCUAAUAGUAGCCUUAAGUACCUUGGGAAUAUACAUCACUUGAGGUACUUGGGACUUCAUCAGACAGGUAUUUCUCAGCUCUCGGAAGAAAUGGAAAACCUGCAUCUUCUACAAACAUUGGAUGUGAGCCGCAAUAAAUUUCUCAUGUUGCCUUCGAGUGUUGUCCAGCUAAGAAAGUUGAUGUGCCUAUACAUUGACGGAUUUAUAACUGCACCGGACGGAAUUGGAAACUUGACAUGCCUUGAACAGCUGUUAGGGUUAUGCAUUGAUCCCUGCACCAGAAACGUUAUAGAAGAGUUGGGCCAGCUAACUGAACUGAGGCAGCUGUCCAUUGAUUUGGACGAGUGGAACGACAAGCUGUUGGAGUGCCUAUGCAAGCUACAAAAGAUGCAGGAACUAGCUAUCGGCAGUAGGGGUCAACGCAGCAUCGGCGGAUUGGAUGCCUGGGUCGCCCCUCGACAUCUCCGCGUAUUGGAUACACGAAACAGCUGUUGGUUUUCAACACUUCCGGCUUGGGUGAAUCCAUCGCUUCUUCUGGACCUCACCAAUCUAAAGAUCGCCAUGAGGGAGCUACAUCAGGUUGAUCUCGAAAUCCUCGGGAGGUUGCCAGCUCUCCACUAUCUAGACCUGCUGGUGGACAAUAAGAACCUCAGUAUCCUUGCGGGAUUCGUUGUAGGUGCUGGUGCAUUCCCGUGCCUUGUAAACUGUUACUUCACGAAUUUUGUGUGGCCAGUGGUAUUUCAGCAUGGAGCAAUGCCAAGGCUCAGAGGCCUUGAGUUCUGGUGGUUUUAUCUGCGGGAGGUAAGAGGAAUUGCCUGCAAUGAUGGUAGUCUCGACUUGGGCCUGGGAAACCUGCCAGCGCUGCAGAACAUCUAUGUUGACAUGCAACGUGAUGGUGCUAGCAAGGAGGAGGCAGAGCAAGCCAAGGCUGCGCUGAGGCAUGCAGCUGAAAUGCAUCCCAAUCGUCCCUCACAUUUGAUCGAUAUUAUAGGUGCGCCAGCUCCUGAUUGUUAUUCCUUGUCUCCUUCCCCCUUUCUUGUAAACUGUAUUUGCAUUUAUUCCUCUGUUUGAGAUGGUGGGAUCUCCGGGUGAUCUUUCACCACGCCUUUCUUCUAGCCCCUUUGCCUCAAUUCGUCUAAUCUUCAUUUGGUAUAUUUCGGUCUGAUAUACAGAUGACGAGUAAUAUAAGAGUUUACGCCGGAAGCUGGAGCAGAGCAUAUGACAAAGUCCUUCUGUUUCGCCACGCAUGCAGAGGUUAAACUGCUCGGCCACGAGCUUUACCAGACACCCUCAGACUCAGAGCAUGCGUCUGAGACUGAGAGCUUUGAUCGUUUCUGCUGUGCAUUUCGUCGCGAGAGUGUAGGAUGACAUUGUCAGUGGAUAUCAUUGUAAUCCCUGACGAACUUCCCCCUCUCUACUCAUAUUACCGUUUAUUUUAGUCAUUGCAAAGGGACUGAGCUGUCUCCUGCGCCCCUGAUCUAGUUGCCUUGUAUCGUCUCAGUGGUUCAGGGCUUUGGCUGUUUUUGGGUUAAUGUUGCAGCUUGUGAGCGUAAUCAUCUUGUGAGCCGUAAGCAUGGACGGCAGUAUGUAUUCAUUGUUGCGCGGUUUCUGAUAUACUAGGCCAACUGUUAUGAAAUUUCAUUGUUGCUGCAGCGGCGAUGAGCAGAGGCAUCAGCGCUGGCACAGUGAUGGCGAAGACGAAAAUAUAGAUAAAAAUAGAGAGAUAGAUAUGCAUGGAUACAUAUAGACAUAGAUUUUAAGGACCUUGAUCCUCGAAACAUAUUUUACUCUCUUAAUUGACCAAGUUCUGUGCGUUAGAAUUAGGAAUUAAUUGAAAAAUGCAAAGGCAAUACACGGUACAUGGUUCAUGCGGGAGUACGGGUCGAUGGACUAGUGAAAUCUAGAUUACAUGGUAAGAAGGGAUAGUGUGAUUGGGAGGAUGUCCUUUCGAUCCUUGAAAACUUGUUACACGUAUAUUUUGUGCAAAUAGUGUGUGACUUGUAAUUUGCGACUCGCAACAACUUGGGUAGAUCGGGGAUUACAUCCAGAUUUACGGAUUUUUUUCUUGCUACCUUUUGGUUCUACUAUCUCACUGGCUCUUAUUGCAAGUCGGAAAGGAUACUAGCAUCUCUAUGGCCAUGCAACAACGGCACGAUACCGCCGGCUUGAAAAUAGAUACGGAUGAGCAUAUUUGUCUUUGCUCCUUUUAUUUGCCACUUCCUGGCGUCAUGCGACUUCUACAGUCAACUAUAGUCCCUUUUGGACUUGUCUUGCCUUCGCUUAUUGUCACACCCGAUUUUAAGGACAAAAUCGAGUGCAUUAAAUACAUGUGCGCCAGGAUCAAGUUACACACAUGUACGACAAUCGUGAAUAACAAAGACAGUGCUAAAUCGAAUUGAGAGAGUAUUAAACAUUAUUACAUGACCGAAAGUCUCAAUAAAACAUAAGCCUAAUUUAUUAAGCAGCGGAACUCCAAAGAUGACGACGACUCCACAGGCAGCUAACUGAAGAAACGUACACCUAGAACUUCUCAAAGUCGUGUAGAUAUUCCUCUUCCCAAUUAGCUUGGUCUGAACAGCGGUUUUGCAAGGGUGAGUACACUUAUGGUUGGUACUCAACAAGUCGUGGGGAAAUAGUGUAGUUUAAGGCAAAUACAAGGUAUGGCUAAGGCAUAAAUAGCAUUCGCUUUUAAUUAAGUUGGUCAAGUUUUAUUAGCAAUUAACUAAGUAUAAGUUCAUACCACCCGAAAUUAAACAUGAUCAUAAAUAAAGUAAACAACAUAUGCAUGAAAUGACAACAAGUUAAAUCCAUCUUCCGAUAACAUUAUCAUGUGAGGGUCCAGGCCGCUCUUAACCGUGAGCAUGGCUGAUCGAUCAGUUUUACACUCUGCAGAGGUGGCACAUCUUUACCCACAAGUCGCGUAAAAGUUCAAAAGAACUUUGGACCCAACCAUGCGGUGUUUGCAAGGCACCAUACCACACUUCCGAGGUGUGAUUGCAUAGGGACGCUACGAGGCCUUUACAAAGAUUCGCUAGCAAUGUGGUAACCCGCUAAGGUUUCAGGUCGAAGUGAAACAUAGCAGUCCCCUAGUGGGUAUAGUGUCUUAGCCAAGCCCACUUCCCAAGAGAGCGAGUGCUAUACCCCAUCAACGCCUCCCCUCUUGCCCUUUCGGUAAGAUUACCCCAAACUAGAGUUUCUAAUUAUUCAGCCAAGACCAAAGCCAUUUAGUCUUGUGGUAGCACUGUUUUCCUGGGAGGUUCUCCAUGUUCCGAUUAACAAUAAUGAUCUUGUCUUAAUGAAAGGUAUAACAGAAGUAAAGCAAGAUUAAACAUUGUGUUUAGUUAAACCACCAUACCAAGUAAGCACUAAGCAUGAGCUACCCAACAUAAAGUAAACCGGUUGGUCAAGGCAAAGGUAAUACAAUCUAGGCGAACCUUAAUUGGGACCCAUCAAUUUAAUCUUAACGUGUGCAUAGCAUAAAUGUUGAGUACGAGAAAGUAAAGGUGUAUAGGAUGAAAAGUAGUGAUCAAGGGCACGACUUGCCUUCUUGGCCUUGCUCCUGCUGUUCGUACUCCUUGAAGGCUUGAUCUUCAACUCCCUCGAACUGCGGGACGUCUACACGCGUCACACGAGCACAUACAAGCAAACAUGGGCAAAAAGUAAGAAAACAGUACAUCAAUCAUAGUUAAACAGAGAAAACAAGCUUGAAAAGUUGAUCUACGCUUUAAAACGAACACGUGGAUAUAAAGAACGCGAAAAACGGAGUUAAGAUGCAAAAGAUAUGAUUAAAACAAGAUCCAGGGACUUUUCUGUGAGAAAAACAAAACUUUUAGGGCCAAACCGCGAAAACCGAGGGCUUAUACGUAAUUACACGUAUAAACCGAAGGUCUAACGCGCAAAAACUCAAAUCCGGACGGUGGGUUGAUUUUUGGAAAGUUCAAGGAAAAACCGAAAAGUGCGAGGGCAGAUCUGUGGAUAUUUUUCAAAGCGAUCUGGACCGCGGGUUGAUUUGCGGAAAAGGUCGGGGCUUAAGAGAAAAAAGGCGUGGUGCGGCACAGUUGACCGUUACGCGGUCUUGUUUGACUCGCUAUCGACCGUCGGAUCGAGAUCGGACGGCCACAGUCAACGAUGACUCGCGGCAGCGGCGGAAAAGGGGCAGCCGGCGACGGCGAGCGGCGGCGGGCGACGGUGAGCGGCGGCGAGGUCGCCGGAGUUGACCAAAAAGGCGCUCCGGGGCAUGGUUUGGCGCGCGGAUUGCACCAGAAGGAAGAGGAGGGUGCGGCGAACUCGUUUUAGGGGUCUACGGCGACCGGAGUUCACCUGAGGCGGCGCUAGGCGGCGGGGAAGAGGCGGCGGCGCUGGAGCUCGCGGCGCUAGGGUUCGGGUGCUGCGGGUGCGGGCGGAGGAGACCGGGGGGGCAGCUUAUAUAGGGGCGGUGCUUGGAGAUAGAGCGGCCCCGAGUUUAACCCCCCCCCCCCCCCCCGAAGGAGUCGGAGCGGAGGCGGGCGGUUGCGGAGUCGGCGGCGCGGCGGUUGCGGGAGGGAGUCCCGACCGGAUACGGCCGGAGGAAGGGGAUGAUGGGUGGGGCCCACCCAUCAGGCCGGAGGAGGGAAGCGGUAGGCGGGCCGGCGUGACUUCGUGGGCCGGCGCGCGUUCACGGGCUGCGGGAAGGAGGUGAAGCGGUGGGCCGCGGCGGUGGGGAGUUGGGCCGGCAAGGAGAAAAAGAGGAAGGGGCCAUCGAGCUAUUGCGGCUGGGCGGCGAGAGAAGGUGGAGCGGGCCGGGGCACUGGUGCUAGGCUGGGCCGAAAGAAAAAGAAGAAGGGAAAGGAAGGAGAGAUGCGGCCCAGGUGGAGAAGAAGAAAAAGAAAAAGAAAGAGAAAAGGAAAAAGGUUUUGGAAAUUGAAUUUAAACUUGAAAUUCAAAUUUUUGGUUCAAACUCCAACCAUCAAAAAUUAUGCUCCAGCAUGAAUGCACAAAUAAUUCCUAUGUUGAAUUAAUUAAAUUAAAGAAAAUGAAAUUAAAUGCCUAGAAUUUAAAUGACAUCCUAAUUUGAGCAAAUUUUAAUGAAUUUGAAUUCUCUAAAAUUUUGGGUGUUACACUUAUUCUCUUCUCCAUCCAUUUGGUCUGUUUCUAGUAGUGAUAUUCCUUUCAAUACUAUCUUGAUUUACUAAAUCUUUAAUAGCCCUCUAGUUAGCAUAGCUUAAUUAAACAUUCUAUAGGAGAAAAAACUAACUUAUUAUAAAGUUUAAUUUGCUAGUAACAUGGCUUUCUUGAAUUAUCUGGUACAGGUACUUCAUUCUUAUUGAUGACAUAUGGAAACUCUCAGACUUCAAAAUGAUUAAACGUGCUUUGCUUGGUAAUAAUGCUGGAAACAAAAUAAUCACGACUACUCGUAUUCUCAAUAUUGCUGAACAAGCUGGCCGUGCUUACAAGUUGCAACCCAUUUCUCUGAACAACUCUCGGAAACUAUUUUUUAGAAGAAUAUUUGGUAAUGACAACAAAGACAACAAUGAAGAAGAAGAAAGAUGUUCUAACGAUGAGUUGGCCGAAGUAUCUGACAAAAUACUAAAGAAAUAUACUGGUGUGUCAUUAGCUAUAAUUAUGAUGGCUAGUUUGCUAGCUUGCAAAGCAAGAGAUAAAAUUGAGUGAUAUGAGGUGUGCAAUUCUGUUGGUACUGGUCUGGAAAACAAUCUAGAUGUGGAGAAUAUGAGAAAGAUUUUGUCAUUUAGCUAUUAUGAGCUACCAUGCCAUUUACGGACUUGCUUGUUAUAUUUGAGCAUGUUUCCUGAAGAUUAUGAAAUUAAGAAGGAUCGUUUGAUAAGGAUGUGGAUAGGUAAAGGUUUUAUCCAAUGUGAAAAAGGAGGGAAGAGCUUAUUUGAACUCUUAGAGAGUUAUUUCAAUGAGCUUAUAAACAGAAGCAUGAUCCAAUCAAUACAUGAUAAUUCAUAUAAUAUGAUAUGGUCCUAUCAUGUGCAUGAUAUGGUGAUUGAUCUUAUCCGCUCCUUGUCAAGUGAAGAAAACUUUGUUACUGUACUAAGUAAUAUGGGAGACACAUCUCCGUCAAAUACGAUUCGGAGGUUGUCCCUUCAGAAUGGUUAGGAAAGUCAUGUGAUGGCUCAAGCUACUUUCACCAUGCAACAUGCAAGGUUAGUUGUUGUCUUUCCAGCUGCAGCUUCUCUAGUGCCAUCUCUUGCCUGUCUGCCGAGUUUUACAUGUUCUGGAUUUAGAGUACUGCAAUCUUUCUCAAGCUAAUAGUAGCCUUAAGUACCUUGGGAAUAUACAUCACUUGAGGUACUUGGGACUAUGUAAGACAGGUAUUUCUCAGCUCCCGGAAGAAAUAGAAAACCUGUAGUUUCCAGGUUGCCUUCAAGUGUUGUCCAGCUAAAGUUGAUGUGCCUGUACAUUGACGAGUUUACGAGAGUGCCAAACGGAAUUGGAAACCUAACAUGCCUUGAACAGCUGUCAUUGUUACGCAUUAAUGACUCUGCCAUAAACAUUAUAGAAGAGUUGGGCCAGCUAAGUGAACUGAGGCAACUGUUCUUUGGAUUGUACGAGUGGAACGACAAGCUAUUGGAGUGUCUAUGCAAACUACAAAAAAUGCAGGAACUAUUUAUCGGCGGUCCUGAUCGGCGGUCCUAUUCAACACAGCAUCGGCGGAUUCGGUUCCUUGGUCGCCCCUCGACAUCUCCCCAUGUUGAGUAUACAAGACAUCUGUUGGUUUUCAACACUCACUGGUAGAGAACUCGGUAUUAGUCCCGAUCGGUAGAGUGCAAAUCUUCCAAAAAUCCAUCCAGGAUAAACCAACCGAGACAAAAGGGGGGUCUUUUGUCCCGGGUCACUCAACCGGGACUAAAGACCCCCUUUUAUCCCAGUUGGUAAUACUAACCGGGAUAAAACAUGUCACCACGCCAGGCGCUGCAAAAAAAAAAAAGAAAUCCCAAGAGCCCCACCCCCCCCACAUCGCAAGUCAUGCGCGUGCGCACUGCGUGGGAUUCGAACCCACGACCUCCAACCUUGCAUGUAGCUUCCUUGCCAUCCCACCUACACAACACAUCUGACUAUAUAGGGGAUGCAAUCCUUUUAUAUUAACUCGUGGGAACCCUUUUAUUCCGGUUAGAAACACCAACCGGGAUAAAAGACCCCCUUGUAUCCCGGUUGGUAUUACAAACCGGGAUAAAAGGGUUCGAGGGAUUUACUCCUCUUUCAGUCACCCCGUUGGGGACCCUUUUAUCCCGGUUUGAAACACCAACCGAGAUAAAGACCCCCUUGCCUUUUAUCCCGCUUUGCAAUACCAACCGGGAUAAAAGACCCUCUUUUAUCCCGGUUGGUGAAAGGGGUCUUUUAUCCCGGUUGGUUUUUCAAACCGGGAUAAAAGGUCUCUCAGGAUCUUUUUUUUCCACUAGCCUUUGCAACCGGGAUAAAAGGUCCCGGUUGGUGAGCCCCCGCCAGUGACUGAGCUUUAGUCCCGGUUGGUGAACCUUUUGUCCCGAGCCAACUUUAAACCGGGAUAAAAUGGGGUACAUGGAAGGUGAGUUCUCUACUAGUGAGAGCCAGCUUGGGUGAAUCCAUCGCUUCUUCUAGACCUCACCGUGCUAUGCAUCGACGUGAGGGAGCUACAUCAGGCCGAUCUUGAAAUCCUCGGGAGGUUGCCAGCUCUCCGCUUUCUAAAUCUGGUGGUGGACAAUAAGAACCUCGAUAUCCUUGCGGGAUUCGUUAUUGGUAGCCUUGUAAGCUGUUGCUUGUGGCAAUUUGUAUGGCCAGUGGUAUUUCAGCACGGAGCUAUGCCAAGGCUCAGGAAGCUUUUGUUCUUGUCAUUUUAUCUGCGGGAGAUGAGGAAUUUCUUGCAAUGACGAUAGUCUCGACUUGGGUCUCGAAAACCUGCCAUCGCUGCAGGAUGUCCGAGCUGACCUGCGAUGUGAUGGUACUAGCAAGGAGGAGGCAGAGCAAGCCAAGGCUGCGCUGACCCAUGCCGGUGAAAUGCAUCCCAAUCAUCCCUCACGCUGGAUCAAAAUUACAGGUGCGCCAGCUCCUGAUUGUUAUUCUUUACUUAUCUCCUUCCCCCUUUCUUCUAAACUGUAUUUGCGUUUAUUCCUCUGUUUGAGAUGGUCGAUCUCCAUCUGAUCUUUCACCACGCCUUUCUUCUAGCCCCUUUGCCUCAAUUCUUCUAACCUUCCUUUCGUUCUGAUAUACAGAUGCCCUUUACGCCGGAAGGUGAAGCUGGAGCAGAGCAGAUGACAAAGUCCCUCUAUUUCGCCACGCAUGCAGAGGUUAAACUGCUCGGCCAUGUGCUUUACCAGAUACCCUCAACCUGUGAGUAAACAAUGAAUGCUGCACACAUGAUUGUAAUCCCUGACUAACUUACCCCUCUGUACUCAUAUUACCGUUUAUUAUAGUCAUUGCAAAGGGACUGAGCUGUCUCCUGCGCCCCUGACCUAGUUGCCUUGUAUCGUCUCAGUGGUUCAGGGCUUUGGCUGUUUUUGUGUUAAUGUUGCAGCUUGUGAGCGUAAUCAUCUUGUGAGCCGUAAGCAUGGACGGCAGUAUGUAUUCAGUUGAUCGACCAUACUUGCAGACAUUUGAUUUGUUCAUUAUUCAGUUGCUAAAUCAUACGGAUCAAGGCAUCAAGAAGUCCAUGGUAACAUUUGUAGAUGCAGGAUUGGGCCGCAGCAGCAGUAGACGAGCCCGCUGUCCGGGUUGAAACCCAAGUACUUGCACCUUCAUACAGAUUAUCUUUUUCCGGAUGCUACUGGACGGCGCUGCCAUCAGCUGACUAUGCUGCAGCGGCGAUGAGCAGAGGCAUCAGCGCUGGCACAGUGAUGGCGAAGACGAAAAUAUAGAUAAAAAUAGAGAGAUAGAUAUGGGUACAUAUAGACAUAGAUUUUAAGGACCUUGAUCCUCGAAACAUAUUUUACUCUCUUAAUUGACCAAGUUCUGUGCGUUAGAAUUAGGAAUUAAUUGAAAAAUGCAAAGGCAAUACUGACAUCGUUUUUCCUGGAUCCACAUUGAGAGGAAAAAUGAGAAUGUACUGUAAUCAUAUUGCCACCGUCUACCAUCUCUUUCUCUUCUGCACUGCUUCUAGAAAAAUCAUGUGGCCACGGAGGAGCUUGGGCCGGAGGAGAAGCUGUCCCAGAGGGACCUGGGGACGGGGAAGAAGGAGAAGCUAUCGAUAUGAGAAGCAAUAAUUUGCCUAUCACCGAUCCAUACGUCUCCCACCUGCCCUGUUCCAAUAAUUGCAAGACAGCAGGACGCACAUGCUGUGUUUCAGCGUGCAAUGAAAGUAGUGAUGCAAUACUCUAGGGUUUUUGGUUCCCUUUACGUGUCACAUCGAAUAUUUAGAUACUAAUUAGAAAUAUUAAACGUAGACUAUUUACAAAACCCAUUACAUAAGUGGAGGCUAAACUGCGAGAUGAAUCUAUUAAGCCUAAUUAAUCCAUCAUUAAUAAAUGUUUACUGUAGCAAUACAUUGUCAAAUCAUGGACUAAUUAAGCUUAAUAGAUUCGUCUCACCGUUUAGCCUCCACUUAUGUAAUGGAUUUUGUAAAUAGUCUACGUUUAAUACUCCUAAUUAGUAUCUAUACAUUCGAUGUUUCGGUGUGCUUUUUCUGUUGUGUGCGUAAUAACUUUGCUCCGCAGAACACGGUGCCCUGCUAGGUCCUGUUGUUAUUCGUUUACAAAACUGUAAGCGAUCUAAAAAACAUUUGUCAAGUGGCACCCUGUUCGCUUCAGCUUAUUCAAUUGGCUUAUCAGUCACCAAACAGUGUUUUCCUCUCACAAUAAAUCAGCCGUUUCAGCUUUUCAGCCGGCUUAUAAGCUGAAGCGAACAGGCCCUGGAUUUGUCAAGAAAUUGCAAGGAAACUUUUCACAGUCGACAGGGACCAAAGAAAUUCCAUCGAUAUUUCAGGCUGUGGUCAAUGGGUUUCUACACUGAUAGGCAUACCGCAGGCCUUGACCUCGUGCCUUGCCGUGGUUCUCUUGACAAACAGAUGAGGAAGAAUUCAAAGUCCUUCUCAGGUGUGACGUGCAAUCGUCACAGUCGCAUGGGCCACGAAUGAUAGGGUUCCACAGUGACCUCUUGUAUUAGCUCUCUCGUCUUCCGGUAUGAACGGUCGUCAUUCGUCUGGUGAGGCCGCUAUUAAUUGUUUGCAUCCAUUUGCAUCUUGUGUCAUGUUGCAGAAUUGUAUGCAUAAGCAGAGACUUGUGACGUACGAGGCGUGGUUGUGCUCAAAAGCUAGCUUAAGCACCACAGUGUAACUCCCUACGCCACUACUACUGCUCCCUGCUCACACACAUACACAGCAAACUUCCUCCUUGCACCAAAACCAAGAGGUAGAGCUAUGGAAGUCGUAGCGGGCGCACUGCCGAGUCUCCUCCCCAAGCUUGCUGAGCUACUUGUUGGAGAGUACAAUCUUCAGAAGGAGGUGAAGAAGGGGAUAAUGUUCCUCCAAGAUGAGCUUGAGAGCAGCUGGGUGCCCUCGAGAAGAUCUCCAAGAUACCAUCAGACAAAAUUGAUGACCAGGACAAGAUAUGGGUCAGGAACGUGUCGCACCUGAUUUUAGAGCAAAACCAGAUGAAUAAAUUACAUAUGCGCUAGGAUCAAAUUUUACACGUGCAACGACUUCAGUAAAUAACAUAGAUAGUGCCAUGUGCGUUAGGAUCAAGUUUCACACAUGCAACGACUUCAGUAAAUAACAUAGAUAGUGCCAAAAGAUAAAGAGAGUAUUAAAUUUAUUACAUGACCAAAAGUUUUUAAUUCGAAUAUCAAAACGAGUCUUUAUUCUAACAGCGGAACUCCAUCGACGACGACAAUGACUCCACAUGCAGUUGACUGGUGGCACACAUACGCCUGGAAUUUUUCAAAAUCUUCAAGAACCUCCUCAAAGUUGACGUGAUCCAAACAACGGUUUUUGCAAGGGUGAGUACAAUUAUGGUUGAUACUCAAUAAGCGUGGAGAAUGUGUAGUGUAAGGCUAUUCAAAGAUAGGCUAAGGUUUAAUAGCAUUUUAAUUGGUUGGUCAAAUUUUAUUAGCAAUUACUAAGUAUAAGUUUAUACCAUCCACAUUACACAUGAACAUAAAUAAAGAUCACAACAAUAAAUAACAUCAAUUUAAUUCAACUUUCGAUAAAUUAAUCAUGUUAGGGUCCAGACCGCUCUUGACUGUGAGCACGACUGAUAUAACAGUUUUACACUCUGCAGAGGUUGCACAUUUUUACCCACAAGUUGCAUAAAAGUUCAAAAGAACUUUGGACCCAACCAUACUGUGCGGGCCAGGCACAAUACCAUACUUCCAAGGUACAUGACCCAAUGCUCUGGUCGCUCUGCAGGAAUUGGUACUUGAUUUUCCCGCCACUCUACCAUGAGGUAGACUAGUGUCUAGGACUUGAUUGCUAUCCUUGGCUUGAAGUCUAAGGAUAAUGCCCCGGGUUCCACUGCCCACUUGGAUAUCCUCCCCGUUGCAUCGCCGUUUUGGAGAGUUUCGCCCAAGAGAAUGUCUGUGACGAUGGAGAUGCUAUGCUCCUGGAAGUAGUGGCGUAUCUUCCGCGAGAUGAAUAGUAUUGCAUAUAACAAUUUCUGAACUAGCGGGUUGCUUUUCUACAGUGACAGGUAUAGUGCGAAAACUGUGGCGGAAGUGCUUGUACCAACCCAAUUAAUAUUUUGUUUAAGAGAAAGUUUAGUUGGGAUAAGUUAAUUGAGUAGUACAAACUUGAUUUCUCGAAGAUUUUUGUACCCUGGAAGAUUUCUCGAAGAACAAAGCAUGCAUGAACAAAGCAACGCUGAGACCAAUGCCAGGGCUUGUCCCGGGUGCCCAGUAGCAUGUAUAAUCACGCAACUGCAAGCAAUCAAAAAAGAUCUUGAGAACAAGUGGACCGGGGUGAUUGUAUUUGUCAAGAAAUUGCAAGGACCCUUCACAGUUGACAGGGACUAAAGAAAUUGCAUUGAUUAUCUAGGACCCUUCACAGUCUACAGGGACUAAAGAAACUGUAUUGAUAUUUCAGGCUGUGCUCAAUUAGUUUCUACACUGAUAGGCAUACCGCAGACCUUGACCUCGUGCCUGGUCGUGGUUCUCUGAACAAACAGAUGAGGCAAAAUUCAAUGUCCUCGUUAGGUGCAACGUGCAAUUGUUACAAUUGCAUGGGCCACUGAAUGAUAGGGUUCUGUUGACGCUAGAAAUCGGCUGAUCGAAUUCCCAGCGUCGGACACACGAUCCGGGAGAAUCUGCUUAGCUCCUGUUCGGGUGAUCGCCCUGGUACGGUUCGCGCGGCGUGCCAGCCAAUCUGACCUGUUGAUUGGCAAGGAAAGAAACGUGUCAGUUCCCAGGGGUUGCGAUCGGCUAAGGUUCCGAUCUCGAGAAAGCUUAUCAGCGAAUCGGCCGAUUUGCCGUAAUAUAGAAAUCGGCUAUGAUGCAGCCGAUUACCGGGCAACGUUAAUGAAGAAAACUGCUAGAGUAAUCUAAACAACGCUACAGUAGCAACACUAGGAACAGAUCUAAUCGGCUAUGCGUAAAAUAAAUAGAUUAAACAACGAAGUACAAGAAAAGCCGAAAUUACCGAUUCCUAGCUGGAUAACUAGUGAUAAAACCAGAACAACAAGUAAAACCUAGAAUUCUAGUAAAUAUCGAUAACUGAUGAAUAAAUCUAAACGAAACGACAGCGAUACGCCCGAAGUUAAAGCUUAGAAUUUACUCGAUAAGCGGAACUUACAAGAUCGGCCGGAGGUCAAGUUGAUGCAGCCCCGCCAACCCGUACGAACUCGUGAAAAAGAAGAAAAGUAUUGGCGAAGUCGCCUGCUUGAAAGUAAGUAUGAGGAAAUAGUAGUUUGUUGUAUUGAAUUGAUGAUGAUUACAGAUCUACAUGGGUGGCUAUUUAUAGCCUGUUACAAACGACUUCUUAUCCGACUAGAACUCUAUCCCUAAAUUUAAACAGAAAACGAAUAUUUACAAGUACAAUUCGUACUAGGUCGAUUAUCACGCGCUUCAUGGGCUGAUUCCCUCUUCAUUUUCAUAAUCCUUUUUAGGCCCACACCAGCCCAACUAUUCCAGCCUCCUAAUCGGCCGAUCACCCCAUCGGCAAGGGACAACCGACUAGGACCCACAUGUCGAGCGUUUAGACUACUAAGGUCGGGCGUGGCGAAACUCCAAGAGUCAAUCGGCCAAUCCUCGACUGUAGCAUCAAUCGGCCGAUCCUCAACUGUAGCACCAACCAACCGAUUCUUGACUGUAGCACCAAUCGGCCGAUUUCCAAUCGUCGCCCUUGCAUCUCGCCGCAUCUUCUAAUUUCUUCCUUUCCUAACGCCGAUUUUACUCGUGUCGAAAUCUGGCGUCAACAGGUUCCAUAGUGACCUAUUGUAUUAGGGGGUGUUUGGUUUGGGGCUGCUAAAGUUUAGUCACUUUUAGUCCCUAAACUGCCAAACACGGUGACUAAAAGCCCUUUGGUCCCCAAGAGGUUGCUAAAAGGGACUAAAAGGGACCUUGGACAGGGUGUGCCCCUUAUUAAUACCCCGUCCCUCCCUUCCCCACCCCGCCGCUGGCCUCCGCCCUCCCCGGCACUCGCCUCGCUGCCAACCCCCUUUGGCCCUGACCACCCGCCCACCGCUCCCGGCCGUCGAUAAGGGCCCUGCGAGGCCGCGCACGGGGAGGCGCAGGGACGCCAUGCGGCCGCCAGCAUUGCAGGACAUGCUGUCCCAGGCGCAGCACGCAGGGGCGGAGGAGGGGACCACACGGCGCGAAGGCCGGCACCACCGACGCCUGUGAGGUUCCCGGCGAAGGCCCGCAGUGCACGGAGGUCGUCCAGGUGGCAUGACACGGCUACCGCGGCGGCGGCGCGCGACAGGAGAAGUGGGAGCAAGAGUGCGCAUUUGGCGGUCAUGGAUUUGAGGCUUGAGCAUGUGCUGUGUGUGCCUGCAUGGGGAAGCAAAGAAGGAAAAAGGCAACGGGAAGCAUUGAUUAGGGGUAGUUUGAUCUUUAUUCAACUGCUUUAACGGCCUUUAGUCACUAGAACCAAACAGGAGGAUUAAAGUUUAGGGUGUGUUUGUAAGGGAUGCUAAACUUUAGCACCCCACUUUUAGCCCCUUUUAGCACAUGGGUUCCCAAAUAGGGGUGAUAAAAGGUGUGUGCUAAAGUUUAGGACCUCCAUUUUCUUCAGCACAUCCAAGAGGUGCUAAAAGGUGCUAAUGGGUGCUAAAAGUGGUCCAAGCCCACUUUUUCCCCUGUUGCCCUCCCGCAUCCCCUUUCUCUCUCUCUCACAACGCAUAUGAGGGGCACUGUUGUCAUUUGCCACCAAAGGUGCUAAAGUUUAGCACACUAUCCAAGCAGCCCAAGGUACUAAACUUUAGCCCUCCAUUUAAGGGUGCUAAACUUUAGCACUUGGUUCCCAAAUGGGGCCUUAGUCCAGUGAAUAAAGGGGGAUUAAAGUUUAGGGGUUGUUUGGUUCCUUGAGCUAAAGUUUAGUCCGUAUCACAUCGAAUAUUCGGAAGCUAAUUAGGAGGACUAAAUAUUAGUUAAUUAUAAAACUAAUUGCAGAGAUGGAGGCUAAACGGCGAGACGAAUCUAUUAAACCUAUUUAAUCUAUCAUUAGCAAAUGGUUAUUGUAGCAGCACAUUAUCAAAUCAUGAACUAAUUAGACUUAAUAGAUUCGUCUCACCGUUUAGCCUCCAUCUGUGUAAUGGGUUUUGUAAAUAGUCUAUAUUUAAUACUCUUAAUUAGAAUCUAAAUAUUCGAUGUGACAGGGGCUAAAAAUAAGCAACGGACCAAACGCCCCCUUAGUUUAGUCCCUAAAGGAACAAACAGGUCCUUAGCUCUCUCAUCUUCCGGUAUGAAUGGUCAUUCGGCUGGUGAGGCCGAUAUUAAUUGUCGCAUCUAUUUGCAGCUUCUGAUAUGUUGCAGAAUUGUAUGCAUAAGCAGAGACUUGGUCAAUGCAACCAGGGAGGAAAUUGGAAAACGUAUAUAUAUACAAAAACAUGCUGGCAUGAGACCAUAAGAAAUUCUCUUGCAGCAGAAUGACUUCUCUUGAUUUUUUUUUUUGCCUUUUUCCUCAAUAUGAAGGUCAAACUGGUGUUUCAAAGCCAACAUGUGUCAUAAGUAAACCUAGGAUAUCUAGAUGCACGUCUAGUCGGGAUUCUGGAUUUGACAUUGAGUUCAUGGGGUUCCAGUGUUAACCGAGAGAGAGAGAGAUGCGUACCUUCACCCCUAGGGGUGGAAGCGGCAGAGCCGCUGGCCAUUUCAGGUUCUGUCGGUGAAGUUUUGCGCGUGAGCACGUGAGCGUGGCCCUCCUGGACAAGCAGCGGGGCCAGGAGCAGGACGUGCAGCGACCAGCAAUCAUUGAGUUUGGUGGUUGAGCAGCGGGGCCACUGAGCUCUUUCGGGCUCUUUCGUUCUCUGCCAAGCCAGCAGCGACCAGCAAGCAUUGAGUUUGGUGGUUGUACCAGCUAGUAGUGGGAUUGGGAGCCACGUUAUAAAAAGAUGAUAUCACAUUCUAUUGGUGCGUAGGUCCUGUUGUUCGUUAUUUAUUUAUUUAUUUUUGCCGAAAGUGUACCUCCGUAUGUAAGAUGAGGCUAUCACAUUCUUUCUUUCUGCAACCUGUCCCACAAAAGUUUGUAAAAAAUUUCCCCUUGCGACCAACCUGCCCUUGACGUGACCUCGAGCAUCAAUUAUAAUUUGCCUGUCCCUUCCUGCAUCCGCAUCCCAUCAACCUCUCGUGCUGUUCCAAGGCGCUUGCGAGCUGUGUUGCGGCCGAGCAAGCUUGAAUCAAGCAACCUCGGUCCGGCGACGAGCGGCGGGCAGCGCGAUCCGGCCAUGGAGGUGGUGACAGGGGCACUGCCGAGCGUCAUCACCAAGCUUGGUGACCUGCUCGUCGGUGAGUACAAGCUGCAGAAGGGGGUGAAGGGAGAGAUCAGGUUCCUCCAAGCUGAGCUCAACAGCAUGAAGGGUGCUCUUGAGGAAGUCUCCAACACCCCGGCUGACCAGCUUCACAUUCAGGACAAGAUUUGGGCCAAGGAUUUGAGAGAGCUGUCCUACGAUAUAGAGGACAAUAUUGACACAUUCAUGGUCCGUGGAGGGGGCAAUGAGCAAGCCAAGCUGCGUGGCAUCAAGAAGUUCAUUGAUAGAAGUGUUGGUUUGUUCAGAAAGGCCAUGGUUCGCCAUGGCAUUGCUAAUGAAAUCAGAGACAUCAAGAGCCGUGUUGAAGAGGUGGCCAAGCGGCAUGAUCGGUACAAGUUAUCAAACACUAAUGUAGCUAAGCCUGUCACAAUUGACCCUCGAUUACUUUAUCAAUACGAUAAGGUGACUGAGCUUGUUGGCAUUGAGGAAGCAAGAGAGGAGAUAAUUCGGAUUCUGAUGGAAGGCGAUGAAGUGUCCAAGCAGCAAGACAAGAUAGUUUCCAUUGUUGGGUUUGGAGGCCUGGGAAAGACAACUCUUGCUGAUGUGGUGUAUAAAAAGCUUAGAGCACAAUUUGAGUGCGCAGCUUUUGUUUCGGUAUCUCAGACACCUGACCUGGAAGAAUUACUCAAGCGCAUGUUCUGUCAACUUGUCGGGAGGGAAAGUAACAAGAGCAGCGAUGUUGCCAGAGAGCUCAGAGAAUUCCUCGAGAAUAAGAGGUAUGAAAGCAUUUCAGUACACUUUAUUGGCAUCUGUUUAUAUCUAUCUUUUUGUUUGUUUGUAUUUUCAAGUAUGGACAUUGCAGCACCUAGUAAUCAGAUUUCAUUACUAGAAGAAACAGGCUCCUCGUUAUCAGCUCAUAUGUGCAGUAAAUUUGAAACCCAUAUGGAUAUGUUAUCCAUGCUAACUCAUAAUGUGAGCCAGUAGUGAUAGGUCUCCAAGUAUUAUUCACAAGUAUGGAUGCUAGUUAAGUAUGCAUGUUAGUUAUCCUUAUGCCUCUUAUUACGAGACCAGUGCUGAUACUUUGCACGCUUGUAAUUAUAAUUUUGUCUUAUUUUAAAAAUUGUAACUUUUUCAGACUUCAUAUGGCAAUUGUAGGUUUCAGCAAGAUCUACAACUGUUUAGUUGAAUAUUUAAUUAAAGUUAUUUAGAUGGCUAUAUAAUUGAUUAAAAAUUUAGAUGACGAGGGUCAAAGGAAGAAAACUCUCCAUUGCUGUUAGCAAUGAAAUCUAGAUUACACGGAUACUACCAGCUUGAAAAAUAGAUAUGGAUGAGAGUUAAGGACCUACAUGAAUAGAUGAAUAGGUGUUAGUCUUAGUAACAUUCAUAUUUGUCUUUGCUCCUUUUAUUUGCCACUUCCUGGGCUUCAUGUGACUUCUACCAUCAACUAUAGCCCCUUUUGGAGUCUUGUCUUGCGUCCGCUUGUUUUCUUCUCAUCCAUAUGGUCUACUUCUACUAGUGAUAUUCCUUUCAAUACUAUCUUGAUUUACUAAAUCUUUAAUAGCCCUCUAGUUAGCAUAGCUUAAUUAAACAUUCUAUAGGAGAAAAAACUAACUUAUUAUAAAGUUUAAUUUGCUAGUAAUAUGGCUUUCUUGAAUUAUCUGGUACAGGUACUUCGUUGUUAUUGAUGACAUAUGGAAACUCUCAGACUUCAAAAUGAUUAAACGUGCUUUGCCUGGUAAUAAUGUUGGAAGCAAAAUAAUCACAACUACUCGUGAUCUCAAUAUUGCUGAACAAGCUGGCUCUGUUUACAAGUUGCAGCCCAUUUCUCCAAACAACUCUCGGAAACUAUUUUUCAGAAGAAUAUUUGGUAAUGACGACAAAGACAACAACGAAGAAGAAGAAAGGUGUCCUAACGAUGAGUUGGCUGAAGUAUCUGACAGAAUACUGAAAAAAUGUGCUGGUGUGCCAUUAGCUAUAAUUACGAUGGCUAGUUUGCUAGCUUGCAAAGCAAGAGAUAAAAUGGAGUGGUAUGAGGUGUGCAAUUCUGUUGGUACUGGUCUGGAAAACAAUCUAGAUGUGGAGAAUAUGAGAAAGAUUUUGUCAUUUAGCUAUUAUGAGCUACCAUGCCAUUUAAGGGCUUGCUUGUUAUAUUUGAGCAUUUAUCCUGAAGAUUAUAAAAUUGGCAAGGAUCGUUUGAUAAUGAUGUGGAUAGGUGAAGGUUUUAUCCAAUGUGAAAAAGCAGGGAAGAGCCUAUUUGAACUCGGAGAGAGUUAUUUCAAUGAGCUUAUAAACAGAAGCAUGAUCCAACCAAUACAUGGUAUUUUUGGAGAAAGCUGCCGUGUACAUGAUAUGGUGCUUGAUCUUAUUCGCUCCUUGUCGAGUGAAGAAAAUUUUGUUACUGUACUAAGUGAUAUGGGAGGUACAUCUCCAUCAAAUACGAUUCGGAGGUUGUCCCUUCAGAAUGGCCAGGAAAGUCAUGUGAUGGCUCAAGCUACAUGGAGCUUGCAACAUGCAAGGUCAGUUGUUGUCUUUCCAGCUGCUGCUUCUCUAGUGCCGUCUCUUGCCUGCUGCCGAGUUUUACGUGUUCUGAAUUUAGAGGGCUGCAAUCUUUCACAAGCUGAUAGUAGCCUUAGGUACCUUGGGAAUCUGCAUCACUUGAGGUACUUGGGACUAUGUGAGACAGGUAUUUCUCAGCUCCCGGAAGAAAUAGGAAACCUGCAGCUUCUACAGACAUUGGAUGUACGCAUCAACAAAAUUUCUAGGUUGCCUUCGAGUGUUGUCCAGCUAAGAAAGUUGAUGUACCUAUACAUUCAUGGGUCUACAAGAGUUCCAAAUGGAAUUGGAAACCUGACAUGCCUUGAAAAGCUGUCAUGGUUAGGCAUUGAUGUCUCCACCAGAAACAUUGUAGAAGAGUUGGGCCAGCUAACUGAACUAAGGCAGUUGUCCAUUGAAUUGGACGAGUGGAACGACAAGCUGUCGGAGUGCCUAUGCAAGCUACAAAAGAUGCAGGAACUCGUUAUCACAGGCUAUCGCCGCUAUCUUGGUCGACGCAGCAUUGGCGGAUUGGAUGCCUGGGUCGCCCCUCGACAUCUCCGCAUAUUGAGUACACAAGGCAACUUUUGGUUUUCAACACUGCCGGUUUGGGUGAAUCCAUCGCUUCUUCCGGACCUCACCUAUCUAGAAGUCGCCGUGAGGGAGCUACAUCAGGUUGAUCUCGAAAUCCUCGGGAGGUUGCCAGCUCUCCGCAAUCUAGAACUGGAGGUGGACAACAAGAACCUCGGUAUCCUUGCGGGAUUCGUUGUUGGUGCUGGUGCGUUCCCGUGCCUUGUAAGAUGUCACUUCCUGGAAUUUGCAGUGGUACUUCAACAGGGAGCUAUGCCAAGGGUCAGAGACCUUACGUUAAUAUCGUUUUAUCUGCGGGAGGCAAGAGGAAUUGCCUGCAAUGAUGGUAGUCUAGACUUGGGCCUGGGGAACCUGCCAUCGCUGCAGUAUGUCCAGGUUGCCUUGCAAUGUGAUGGUACUAGCAAGGAGGAGGCAGAGCAAGCCAAGGCUGCGCUGACGCAUGAAGCUGAAAUGCAUCCCAAUCAUCCCGAUCAUGAUAUCGGUAUUAUAGGUGCGCCAGCUCCUGAUUGUUAUUCCUUACUUGUCUCCUUCCCCUUUUCUUCUAAACUUUAUUUGCGUUUAUUCCUCUGUUUGAGAUGGUGGAUCUCCAGCUGAUCUUUCACCACGCCUUUCUUCUAGCCCCUUUGCCUCAAUUCUUCUAAUCUUCCUUUGGUAUAUUUCGGUCUGAUAUACAGAUGACGAUGACGAUGAUGAUGACGAGUAUGACGAUGAUGAUGACGAGUAAUAUAAGACUUUACGCUGGAAGGUGAAGCUGGAGCAGAGCAGAUGACCAAGUCCCUCUAUCUGGCCACGCAUGCAGCGGUUAAACUGCUCGGCCAUGAGCUUUUCGUUGCGAGAGUGUACUGUACUCAUAUUACCGUUUUAUUUCAUCGUAAGAUUUUUACUGCAGCCUGCUGUUUCAGUGCAAGGAACAACCCAUCAUCAGUUUUCACUUUUCAGUGCAAGGAACGUUUAUUUUACUCAUUGCAAAGAGACUGAGCUGUCUCCUGCGCCCCUGAUCUAGUUGCCUUGGCUGUUGAUUUUGAUGAAAAAUUAAUAAAAAGAAGGUAUUUUUGGGUUAAUGUUGCAGCUUGUGACCGUAAUCAUCUUGUGAGCCGUAAGCAUGGACGGCAGUAUAUAUGUAUUCAUUGUUGCGCGGUUUCUGAUAUACUUGGCCAACUGUUAUGAAAUUUCGUUGCAGCUACGAUGCCCAAGACCUCAUUCAUUCUGCAUCUCUCUGAAGAGAGAUUCUAGCUGGCUAGACUUCUAGUCAAGAAGUCCAUGAUUUUCAGAAUUUUCGCGGCGGACGGGAUCGCGAUCCAAAAUUUUCGAAACGCACCCUUGAACAUUUUCAAAUAACCCCCUUAUUUGAAUCGCAAUUAUUGGUCGAAAUUCAAAUAUUUACAAAACACCCCCUUUUAUUUGCAUAUAGCCCCCUAAUUUGGACCGCGAUCUGAUUAUUUUACAAAACACAGGCCAAAAAUAACGGGACGUGAAAAGCUGGACCUUUCCACUGGUAACAUUUCAGCAAGUAUGGCACCAGGAUAAGAGCAUCAGCUAAUUGUCCAAAAAAAAGCCGAAUUCGUAAAAACAAGUGUACUUUCUUUCUGGCAGUACGGAAGUUCUCAACGCUACUUGAAACAAACAGCGUGACAGGGCUGCAGUGAAUCAGACUAUCAGCGACUGCCCUAGUGGAGUUGACAAGAGUAUGAUGAUGACAGCCAUGGCAACACACUAGGCAGAUUGGCCCGCAUCAACAUGUCCACACUUCGUACAAAGACUGUCUAUUACUGAUCGAUGAUGCGAAUAGCAAGAAUCUGGAAGCGUUUCACAGCCUUGCAAUGACGGCUUCGACCUCGGCAGGGGUGUAGAGGUGGUACUUGGGGGCGACCUUGGCGAUAUCCACAUUGUUUGGGGUCACCUGUUCAGAAUGCGAUAAUAAGAUCACAUGUUUCCCUACAGAGCGAGCUAUGGAGUAUGGAGUGGUUUGCCACGCCCUACCUUCUCUUCCAUAACCUGCUUCAGGAUAGAAAGGGCUAUGGUCUCCGCCUCCUGGAGGGUCAGAUCCUGCACCAAGAUGUCAGCAAGUUGUUACUCACGAUUUUCUUUCGUUGGAAUAACAGCCGACAUUUUCUAUGGAUCUGCUCCCAACAUGGCAGUAAUGCAUACACUAAUACAAGUAUUUAAAUAAUGGGGUAAAAUCUUGGGGUGUCAUUCUGUGUGAGUAGCAUAUUGCCUUAAAGAUUCUAAGCAGAAUUGCAACCGACGUAUUACCCUCAGACACUGUUUCACUGGACUGAGUUUAUAUAAGAUUUAAUCGGAGCUUUGAUGCAUAAUUCCAUGUAACUAGGGUUGACAUGCAUCAUAUCUCCGUAGAACUCUGUGAUUCUUUGAUUAACUUAGCAUUUAUACCUUGUUGUACUGCUCCUGCAAGGAGCUAUCAGCUCCUUCAGAGCCUGAUCCAAUUGCCUUUGCGUUGCAUUGCCAAAAGGUCCCAGACGGGUCCGUGUAGUACCUGCAGGACACAGAAGGCGAUGAAUUCUUAGAAGUUCAGUGGCUUUGUGUAAAUUGAUCAUGACAUCAUUACAAAAAGAUUUGUCUCAUAAUAGAGGGAUGAAGAUACCAUGAUUGCAUAAUAACCAAACUAUAUGUCCGGGAUUUGGCUAAACAGAAUAAUGAUUUUUUCCAAACACUUCCUGGGAAGCAGGAAAAGAAAUACUUUUAUACUUGAAAACUAUUACGCAUACAAAUAUAGAGCAUGAGCACAUAAAACCCUGCAGAAAAUUAACACUGAGCCUUCUUUUUAUAUAUAUCACUUAAGCUUGUUAUAGCUAAGACCUUGUCCACAUACAGAAUAGAACUCAAUACACGAUGAAGAUAACCACUAGGGCAAUCCGUGUUCACAAGUUCAACAACAUUCUGUAUUUCCUUAUUUUAGAAAUUCCACUUUUCAGAUAAUUUCCCUUCCAAAGAUUUGAGCAUAAUGACCUAGAACAAAACUGCCUAACAAACAACCAUAGUUCAUCGGAGUAAAACAAACGGUAAGUCUACUGUCUACCCUCUACAGCAACUAGACAUAGGCUACUCAAUACAGAAACCAUGACAACCUAAAAAGAGUCAACAGAGAGCAAUUACGAUGCAUGAUAGAAAAAUAAGUAAAGCAGCCCACUUUACCAGGACAGAUUACAAAAAAGCCAAUAAAAAGAAGCUACCAUUAAUUGCAUGAUAGUACAAUGAUUUCAUAUAACAAAAAAAUACAGAUGUUUUUUUUAAACAUGGAUUCUAAAGCCAGUUGUCAAAGAAAACACAGUUCAGUGAGCUAAAUGGAUAAAUACUUACAAGCUAGGUCCAUUCUCAUCAUGUCCAGCAAUUAGAAGAGACACUCCAAAUGGUCGUGACUGCACCAACAGAUAAGUACAUCAGAACCCCACUCCAUAAAAUGACUACUUUUGCACAUCUGUUCUAGUUGAAUGGAAACAAAAAAGUAGAUGGGCGAUGCAGUUUUCUGUGGGGCUGGGUUGCCAUGUUAAAAUAGUUGGCAAAUGGGAAUAUUUUCAAACUUUUUGUAACUGAAACUUCAAAAAGCAAUUCAGGGGUCCAUCUUCACCUAUGCCCUUGGUAAGAAGGUCAAAGAUCAAAGAGACAAUGCAGGCAGGAUGGGUCUCGAUUAACGAAUUCCUCACUAUUUCAUAAAGUUUGGUAGCAUGUGUUCUCUCUUCUCCAAUGCUACUACUAAACUUCAAGCACCACUCAAAAAUCUUAUGCAUAUGAAAUCCCAUAUAUAUAGAUAGUGGUUUCGUUAUCGUCAAUUCACUCAUUAAACUCCUUCAUACUUUAGUUAAGUAACCAUUAUUGGAGUAAUAGGGCUAACUAGAACACCUAAAUGCGAAAAAGGGUAGAAAGUGAUUCUGAUUACGCCUCUACUUAAUUCAACUUCCUCUUAGUCAAAACAUUUCAAAAAUAAGCAGAAGAUCAUCAAGCCACAUUUAGAAUGCAGCAAACAAAGAUAUAGGUGUAAACCCUCUUAGUCUGCAGGUAAUUAAUCUUGUUUCUUGUGUUCUGGAGGUGGUGUAAUAACAUAAACGAAGCUCACCAUUGACUCUUCGUCACCUUCACCAAAGCGCAGAGCCAAGUCACAGAUAGCUUGUGUAGAAGAUUCUACAGUCAUUGGCUCCCCAUAUGAGAACCUAUGAUUCUGAUUGUAAACAUGUCAAGUCAGAUAAAGAUUAACAGAUAAAGCUCCCCAAACAUGUAAGUUUUUACAUCAGUAAGAAAGUACCUGGGUCUCAACACGAGCAUGCUCGACUAGCGUUCUAGCAUCAGCAAUAAGUCCACUCAUGGCACAGCCUAUGUGCUCAUCAAUUUCCAUUAUUUUCUCCACACUGCUGGGUUCCUAUAACAUCAAAGAGCAAAGAAACAUUGAAUUCAUUAACAGUUUAAGCAUUAAACAACCUAUAACAUGAAAAUCAGAGGCUAAGUGGAGCUGCUAAAGCUACCAAAUUGAAUGAAGUUGAGAGUUUAAAACUCUAAAGUUGUAUCAGCUUGAGUACAAAAUAUUACGAAAAUAUUGUAGUAGAAUUAGGGGCUGCACCAAGAAUGUAACAACUGCGUGAAAGAGGAAUAUCCUAACAGAACUACCUAAGGACAAGCAUUGUAUAGGAAACCAUGAGAGUAAAAUGAUAGACCAAAUGAGAGGAGAUUCCUAUUGAGCAAGUGGCCAACAAGCAAAUGUUUCUCAACUGAACAUCCCAAUGUUUCGUUGUGCAAUGUUCAAUAUCACAAGCUAAAAGGAAGAAUAAGUAAGUUCGUAAGUACCAGCAGUGGCGAGGUGACACGUUUCUCAACAGCGAGGACAACACCAUCCUUUGUCUUCAACCCGAUUGCAGUCGAUCCCAACUGCAAGAGCAAAAGAAACAGCAACAUAAGCAUCACUUUGGCACAAGAGCAUGGAAUCAAAAUCAGUAGGGGUUUGUGUUUGUGUGUAUUGUGGUGCAAGAGUUGUUAUUGAGCAAUUUCCUACUAAAUGCAGUGAUCUGCGGCUCUCCUAAAAACAAGCAUGGCACCACAUCUCAACUGGAAUUGACACAUCAUAACAAACUGAAAAGCCAUACAGAACCUUCAACAAUCCCAAACCCCAACUAGUAAAAUUGAGGGAUCCAUACUCCAGACUUGAGCACCAAACAACCGCAACGCCUAAAUCUCCGCAAUUUAGUUCAUCCUAAGAAACCCCAACUUCCCCCUCCCAGAUUCGCGAGCAAGCAGCCGCCCAAACCCCACAAAUCUAGCCCCCUUCCCCCAACAGUCUGCACAGGCGCUCGGCAUCACGGCUUCCCCGCCGUCCAGAUUCGAUCCAACACCUCGCCCUUCAUCUACGAGUCGAGAGACAGGAACGGGAGGGAGAAAUCUCACCUUGAUUGCCUCGAUGGCGUACUCGACCUGGAACAGCCGCCCCUCCGGCGAGAAGGUGUUCACCCCGCGGUCGUACUCCGUCCUGCACGCAAGGGAAACGCAGCCGCGUCAGCGCCGGACGCGCCGCCGGCGGAUCUAAUCGAGGGUUUAAAGAGGAAACAGAAUCUGAAACUUCACGGGCGGGGAAGGGAAGCAUCGGCUACCUCGUGAGAAACAUCCUGUCGUGAAGGCGAAGGCGGCGGCGUCGGCAGCGGCGGCGGGUGCUGGAUCGAACGGGAACUCCGCGUCGGCGCCUCCCUCUUCUCCUCUCGCCUCUCUCUCUCCCCUCUCGCUCGCUUUUGAUGGCUUCCUGAGCUUCUUGCGAACGAAGUUGAAAGAGCCGAGAUGAAGGCACGUUGUCUCACUUGCAGGCGGGUCCCACACGCCAGGCAGACGGGGCCUAGGUUUCCUACUUUCCUCUCCCUCAUUCCCGUACACACCUAGCUGGGCUAGAUUGUGGGCGUUCGGCUCACGCCAUGGCCCAUUGGCGGCCCAGGUUGGUCCGAUAAUAGAAGCCCAUCCAUCGUCUCCGGCUCUUGGGCAGCGUUUGGUUUCCCGAACGAAAUCAUACGUGCACCGUUCUAUCCUCACCCAUCAGACCGUUUGUAAACGGUUGCCUGACUCGAACGAUCUCGUUCAGAAACGAUCCAGAGUCAUCGAAUAUUCCUAUUCCUUUUAGAUCUUGUAUCCUCCGUGCGAGAAAAAAUAUCGAACUACGCCAUCCUAAACGGAUCAUCUCGCUUGCAUCUGCUCACCUCCACCCCUUCUCCCCUCUUUAAUCCAGCCUUCCCUCACGCAGGAGCUACCAGAGCCGCACAGACUGUUGCUACUGGCGCUCGUUCUCUCCUGGUGACGUGGUGCUCUUUGCGCAGGUACAGACUUCUCCUCGUCGCCCACUCAAUCUGGUUGCAGGUUUGGUUCUGCGUUGAAUCAAAGGUUAAGAAUGGGUUUGUGCUGUUCAAAUCUGAUGUUGUACCGGGAGAUUUGCAAACGAAUAUGUUGAUUGGUUGCAUUACAGGUUUCGGGUGCUUCUAUGGUUUCUUUUACAUUUGAUUAGUACAGAUGUGAUUCAGUCUUGCUGAUUUUUUUAUUGCAAACUGAUUUGCUGUUGUCCAAUACAAGCUUCACGUGAUAGCAUGCGUGCAAAACUAAUUUGUUCAGUCCAGUAGAUUAGCACGGAUGUUUAAUUUCUCUUAUCCCUAAAAAUCUUGAUACAUGUUUUGCACUGUUUUGGAUAAUGUAGAUGGACAACAGGAACCUAAUUAGGAGAAAAUUGUUGAUGCUUAUUACUGCAGCAUAUGCAGCUUCAUGUAUGGUGGCUUUGUUUGUAACGUCUAGACCAUUAAGCAAUAAUAGGCAACAUACUACUUAUGGGCCCAUGGAGGAGUGGGAUAAAUUUAGGAUUGAGCAUCUAACACAAGGAUCUAGGAUGAUACGACCUGCGCAAAAAUGAUAAGGCUUAAGAGAAUCUCAUUUUUCCGAUUGUGCCAAGUUUUGAGGGAACGCUCUCUGUUACGUGACACUAAUUAUGUGUGCAUUAAGGAAUAAAUUUCUAUGUUCUUGAAUACAGUUGAUCACAACCUAUAAAAUAAGUUAGUUGGUAUCAUAUCGUUCAAAAUCAUCCUAUCCAGAUGAACCUUCCCAUACAUAUUCCACCUCGUUCGGGUAACCAAACCCUAACCUGAGAUGACGGCGAGAUGGGAACGGACGGUGUAUGCUGGACCACUGGCAGUGUUACAGGUAGGUCCCACGCGCCAGGCAGACGGGCCUAUUUUUCCUCCCGCAUCUCAUUCCCAUCUUGUGUACACCUAGCUGGGCUCCAUUGCCGGCUGCGUGGGCUCACGCUGUGGCCCAUCGGCGGCCCAAGUUCGGUCUGAUAAAAGGAGCCCACCGUCUCCGCCUCGAAGCGCGCCUUCCCAUUUCCUUUGAACGAACAGACGCGCAGGGCAGGAGAGAGAGAGAGAGAGAGAGAGAGGAGUCAUGUCGGCGGCGGCUCAGCAGCAGGGGGCGGCGGGGGCGGAGCAGCAGGAGGAGGUGGAGCACGGGCCCUUCCCCAUCGAGCAGCUUCAGGUACGGUCCUGGGCACCUGGCUCUUCCCGUCCCCUCGCCGAAACACUUGCCGGUUUCUUGGCCAGCUUCCUUCCUGUUCCUCUCCGCCCGCGGCGGCGUCUCCGGCUUUUCUUGGGGGGUCCGGGUCUGCGUGACGGGAAAUGGGGGUGGUUUCCGUAGCGGGCUAGGGUUCUUUGUGUGGGGGCGUUGGGUUCUUGGCCGAGGAUUCGAAGGUUCUUGAAUCUUUUGCCCCUUCCUUGGAUUUCCCGGCCCGCGCGCGGAUGAACUGGCAUGGCUUUUCCCAGUUGUUGCCGGCUUGCCGCGGCUUCUUGAUUGAUCGAUUGGUUCGCCUCUUCCCGUGAAUGGCGUCAGGAUUCUGGGCAUUUCUUGAAUUUCCGGUUCGUGCGUGGUCGAAUCGACAUCUUGUCCCCAGAUUCUUGGUUGCAAAAACCUAGGUUUCUUGAUUGAUUGAUUGAUUGAUUAGCAAUUCCCCCCUGAAUGGCGUCAAGAUUGAGUGGUUCUUGGAAAUUCCUGUUUGUUUGGAGUUGAAUCGGGAACAAAUUUUUAGUUGUUAUGGAACUCUAGGUCCUACCUCGUCAAGAUUCGUCCUUGAUUCAGGGCGUCAAGGCUGAGCUUCUCUUGAAUUUUUCUGGUGGCUUGCAGUCGCAGUCCACUUAGGUUGGGGUUUCCUGGAUUCAUUUGGUGGUUUCUGCAGUGAUAAACAGUUUCAACGUUUAGGACAUUUCCAGCUGAACUGAGAUGUGUGCUCUCAAUUGAAUCUAUCUAGUCUCUUGAGUUCAUUCUCAGAUACUUUUUGAGAUUUGCUUGAGAAAUGAAUCAUGAAGUUACUAUUCAGUUUCUUGUGAUAAAUGCUAUUCUAAAUGAUUUUCCUAUGCCUGAAGCAUUUUAAAAGAUGGUGUUAGUUUUUCCCUACCUGACCAGUUCUGAAAAUGAGAAAUUUGCUGCCUGAACAAAACUGGCUUGUUAAGUAAUGAAUGAAUGAUGGAAAUACAAUUCAUUGCUUAAUGAUAUAACUUUCUUCAAGCUCAACGUAGAAUGCCAAUCCUCUUUAGGAUGUAUUUUGCAAUUUGUUUCCAUUCCCUCGUUUCAGUGCCAUCUUGGAUCUGCAGAUUGCAGAUUCUGCAGUAAUAAACAGUUUCAACAUUUGGGACAUUUCUGACUGAACAGAGAGGAUGUCCUCUCAAUUGAAUCAUAACUAGGCUACCAAGUUUAUUCAGGGAUAUGCUUUUGAGAUUCGCUUGAGAAAUGAAGCAUGAAUUCACUAUUCAGUUUCUCAUUAGAAAUGCUCUCCUAGUUGUUGAUUUUUCUUACAGCAUUUUAUAUUUGCCAGUUUUCCCUAUCUGACCAAUUCUGCAAAUGAAGAAUUUGACACCUGAAUAACACUGGCAUAUUAAUUAAUGAAUGCAUGACACAAGUGCAUUUCAUUGCUUAAUGAUAUAACUUUCUUCAAGCUCAAUGUAGACCGACAAAGAUCUUAGGUUUGCAUUUUGCAAUUUAUUUCUAUCGCUUUUUUUAGUGCCAUCUAAGGUGCCUGAUUAAUUAGUUCCUGUUUCUUGAAAACAUUUAGAUGUACACUGCUGUAUUAAUAUUAAGUUUGUGCGUAAUUUGUUGUCUAGGCAUCUGGAAUAGCUGCACUGGAUGUAAAAAAGCUCAAAGAUUCCGGUCUCCACACUGUGGAGGCUGUGGCUUACACCCCAAGGAAAGACCUUCUGCAAAUCAAAGGAAUAAGUGAAGCUAAAGUUGACAAGAUAGUUGAAGCAGGUAAGUAACAUGAGGCUGCUAAAUGUGCUGAUCGUGUUGAGUUUCAGUUGUACGGAAAUUGUAUUGCACACUAUAAAUGCCAUAAUUGUCCGCAAACCUUUUGCAGCAUCGAAGAUAGUUCCACUGGGGUUUACAAGUGCCAGCCAACUUCAUGCACAGCGGCUGGAGAUUAUUCAAGUUACAACUGGAUCAAGAGAACUUGACAAGAUCUUGGAGGGUAAUGCGCUUGUUCAUUCCAUGAUCCUUCUUUUCCUUCAGAAUUUGUAUGCUUAUCCAGUUGUAACUUCAACUUGAAUACUCUGUUAUGAACUUCUUUCAACAGGGGGGAUAGAAACAGGAUCUAUCACAGAGAUAUAUGGUGAGUUCCGCUCUGGAAAGACUCAGUUGUGUCACACUCUUUGUGUUACUUGUCAGGUGAGGUUUUUGUCUGCCCACCUCUUUUUCCAUUUCAUGCUUGAAUUGUUUUGUUGGUCUCAAACAUGCUCAAAAUUCAUAUUACAGCUUCCAUUGGACCAAGGUGGUGGUGAAGGAAAGGCUCUAUACAUUGAUGCAGAGGGUACAUUCAGACCACAAAGGCUCCUGCAGAUCGCUGACAGGUGAUACCUUGAUUGCAUUCAUAUUGUAUUCUAACAUAAAUUGGAUUUCUAAACAUGAACUUUCUGGAAUCUAGGUUUGGACUGAAUGGUGCUGAUGUGUUGGAGAAUGUGGCUUAUGCCAGAGCUUAUAAUACGGAUCAUCAAUCCAGGCUUCUGCUGGAGGCAGCUUCCAUGAUGAUAGAGACCAGGCAAGUUGAAAUUCCAACUUUCAUUUGACUUUAGAGUCUACCUGUUGACUGUAUGUUACUUUAAGCUCAUAACAAGAACAAAUGUGCUUUGUUUGCUUUAUAACCGACUGGCAUUUCUGCACUUGGUAAAUAAGGUAAUAUAUAUUUGGUUGUCUUUUCUGCUUAUGAAUCAUAGGAUUCAGGCCUUAGUUAAUAUACUGUUUCUUUCUAUCACAUACCAAUUCCAUAUGAACUUAAAGAAUAUAUAUAGCUCUUUCAAAGAACUGGACUUCACUACUAUUUAAAGCAGUAGCUUUGUGAGUUUUCACUCUGUGCAUAGAUCAUGAAAAUCCCGGUUUUCUUCAUGUCAUAUUAGUCAGCUAAGUUAACACAGAUGUAAUGUGGUUAGGCAGCUGAUAUAUAUUUCAGUCCAAAAUGUACAGUACGAAUAGGGUACUAUGCUUAUACUGUAUAUACUGCUGAAAUGUUCAUUAUUUAGUCUAAUUGAGAAAUGCUACUGCAUGAUUGCAUCAUAACGGGUGAUACAAAAACAGCUGAAAAAUUGUCAACGCAACUGCUACUCUGUCAGCGAUUUUCAUUAAUUCUGCUUACAGAUACUUGUUUGCUGCACUCGUCAACGUAUCAGAAUAGCUGGUCCUGUUUCCAGUGAUUCUUCGUAUAUGAUUGUUAUGAAGAUUAGUAAUAGCAGAGCUAGCUGUUGUUCCAAAUUUCUCAUCUGAAUUUUUGAAUGUCUACAAUUGCAGGUUUGCUCUCAUGGUCGUAGACAGUGCCACAGCUUUGUACAGAACUGAUUUCUCAGGAAGAGGAGAGCUAUCAGCAAGGCAGAUGCAUAUGGCUAAGUUCCUGAGGAGCCUUCAGAAGUUAGCUGAUGAGGUCAGUUAUAACUUACUAUAAGUUAGCAAUUUUUUUAAUCAUGGAGAAAACUGAAGUCUUUUAUCUUUAUGUUUAUAUUUAUGUUAUAAGUGAUUUUUAAACGGCCCUCAUGAUUGUUUGGUUUGCUUAAUUUUGAUUGUUCACUGCAGUUUGGAGUAGCUGUGGUUAUCACCAAUCAAGUAGUAGCACAAGUGGAUGGCUCUGCUAUGUUUGCUGGACCGCAGAUCAAGCCCAUUGGUGGAAACAUCAUGGCUCAUGCUUCCACAACAAGGUGAUUUACUUUGUAAUAUGAUACAACCACUUAUCUGUAUCAAAUCCCCAACUCCUGUUGUAUUCCUAUCCACAUCUUAUCAUAAAAUGUCAAUACUGUUUCAGGCUUGCUCUUCGCAAGGGAAGAGGGGAGGAGCGAAUCUGUAAAGUAAUAAGCUCUCCCUGCCUGGCUGAAGCCGAAGCGAGGUUUCAGAUAGCUUCUGAAGGUGUCGCAGACGUCAAGGAUUGAGACCAAUUGACCAUCUACCUCUACUUACUACAGGGCACAGCACUUGACCUCCGUUGCUGGCCUGCUGCUUGCUUUGUAACUGCUGGGUCAACUGCUGUGUUGCCCCUCCUUGAUGUACAGAGCACUUGCUUUCGCAAGAUGCAAAUGCAAAUGCAAAUGCCGCACAUCUGCCGUGAUGUUGUGAGUGCCACUGUUGUAUAAAACGAUGUUUGUACUGCAUUGCAUGUGACAUCUGCUACAUAUAUUGAAUCAAUUGUAGUUUGUUCUGCCGAAUCAGCUGUUUUCUCUCAGUUUAUCUUGCAUUCAGUUUAUAUACAUGCCAGCUACUGAAUCAGUAGUGUACUAGUGUGACUGUGUCUGUGCGGGGGAAAUUAUGACACUGCAGAAUUAUGGAUGGCAAAGGCAAUCGCCUGGAUUCUAGAUCUUUUUUUUCUGUGAAUGGGGACUGUGGUGCAUAAUAUUCAAAUACCUUUAAAUUUGCCAUGAAACAUUCUGGAUUCCCUCAAAGAUUUGGAAUGCUACUGGCUAGUGCCUGCUGAAUGCUGACAGAUGGGCAACCGGACAUAGUUAUAUGAUCGUUUAUGCUUUCUAUUGUAGAUGUUCAACUAAAUGAAUCUAUUGAUUUUGGUUGGAUAAAAUUCCAGCAGCCUAAGUGUAAUUUUUAACCACCGGAGUUAUGCUGGAUAAAAUUCCAGCAUCUUGUCAAUAUACAAGGAAAGUGAUGUUGCUGAAGAUUCCCAACCGUUCACAAGUGCCAGGCAGCCCUUGCAUUGAUGUUCAACCUUCAUGGUAAGCCAUGGAUAGUUCGAGGUAGUAUAUUGCAAAAGCCAUCCACGAAAGCCAGUUGACUUCAUAGCAGAUCGUGGUUGCACGAAAGUCAUACGCGCAUUUCUCGCCAUUGACAAACAUACGUGCGAGCUGGAAACUAGUUGCUUGGCAUCAAGGCCGAGGUCAGAAGAGCCUCUCGUGUUGAUGCAACGGCGUCCCAAGUUCCAUGAACAUGUCAGUCGUCAUCAAAGAAAACAUUCGUAUUGCUUGGGUGUACCACUUUGAAUACCGUACCUGUCAAACAACAAGGAAAAGGUCAACAAAUUAAUGUUGAACUAUUUCUAAGUAAUAUAUGAACAUUUUGUUUGACUUUUGUUGAUAUAUUCAUAUAUCAAACCACAUCUGUCUGACACCAGACAUCCAAAAACUAAAUGCCGAACUACUCCUAAGUCAGAUCAAACAUGUUUUAGCUUGCACAUUUUGUCCUUGUUUUCGUCUUAAGUUUGUCCCUUGUAAGCUCCUUGUUCUUAAACAAAAGCAAUAGGAAGAUAGGUGUUCUAGGUAGAACAUGAACCUUUAAUAUGAAAAGUAAAUGAGUUGGAAUGAAUCAACAAAAAAUAGUCAUCCAUUCACACCCUACAAUGACUGUGAACUAUGCAGAAGUACAGAAGUCGAAAACUGUGGUACUAAACUAUGUAUCUCAUCAUGAAAAAAAAAACCCUUAAGGUUUGUGCACUUUGAAUCAGUCCCAGCAUCAGUCCAUUACUCACACAUCUUCAAGCCUAAUGAUCCUGUGUUUCCAAUGGUCGCGGCCUUCUCCUUAUUUUACUGAUUUCCGGAGGGAGCUAGGCAUAAGUUGGGCUUUGACAAGCUUUCUAAAAGCGCCUAAACAUAAACCGCACCUCACGAGCUGCCGAGCUCUGACUCUUGACCAUUUGCCCUUCUCUUCAUCGAUCGAUCGAGAGAUAGAGAGCACAAACCUACCCGUUCUCGACCAAUGGCCGCCACCGCUGCCCUGGUCUUUGCAGGGAAGUCGAUCGCGACGCCUGCCAUCUCGUUCAUCGUCAACAAGGCGUUCAGCUACCUCAGCGAGUGGCACCAGGCCGAGGGCAUGGAGGCCGUCAAGGAUCGGCUUCUGCAAAGACUCUCAGAGAUCCAGGCAGUGUACGCCGCUGUCAACCUCGAGCAGAUUGAAGCACAGAAUGGCAGUGCACUGAACCGGUGGCUUUGGCGGUUCCGAGAUGCGGUUGAGGGUGCUGAGGAUGCACUUGAUGAGGUAGACUACUACAAACUGGAGGAAGAGGCACAUGCACGAAAUCUUCAACAUCAGGUACGCAAUCCGGUCAUCAGUUUCAUAAGAGAAAGAGUAGUUGAAAGAUUCGUGAGGCAUGCCUCUGAAGGAAAAAUGGUGAAGACGCUAAGGAAGGCUUUGGAGGAUUUAGAUGGAGUUGCAAAAGGUGUGUGCACAUUCCUUCAACUCAUCAGCCGUUUUGACACUCAUCCCUUAAUCGGCCAUGCUGAAAGCAGCUAUCAACAGACCAGCUCUGCUCUGACAGCUACUGAGUUCUUUGGCCGUGACAGGGAGAAGGAACAGAUCAUGAGGUGGUUGACUGAUAAGUUGGAUGAAGGUUCAAGCACUUCUAGAAAUAGCACAAUUCCAGUGUUUGCAAUAAUCGGAAUCGGAGGUAUAGGGAAGACCACCCUUGGUCAACUUGUGUGCAGAGAUUUAGAAGGUUCAUCUCAUUUUGAGAUAAUUGUGUUGGCACAUGUGUCUGGUAAUACCUUCAGUGUAACGAGGAUAACAAAGAAGAUCUUGGAGGCAAUUACAAAACAGAAGCCAAAUGCUGAAACUUUGCAAGCAUUACAGCAAAUUCUCAAACUGGAACUCGAGAAUAGGAAGUUUCUGCUUAUUCUAGAUGAUGUUUGGGAAGACGGCCAAAGGAUGGAAUGGGAACUAUUAAUGGCUCCUUUUCAGACUAGCCAAAGAGGAAGCAGGAUCCUGCUGACAACCCGAAUGCAAUCUGUGGCAGAUAUGGUUACAAGUGUGAUGGGAAGUAAAAAGGAGUAUAUGCACUUACGUGGACUAGAUGGAGACGACAAUUUUAGACUAUUUCAGAAAGUUGCAUUUGAAGAUUUGAAAGCUGAAGAUUACACACAUCUCUUGCGAGUAGCUAAAAAAAAUCGUAUUGAAGUUUCAAGGGUGUCCAUUGGUGACAAAGAUUGCGGGUGGUUAUCUGAAGGAAAACGUCAGUGAACAAUAUUGGGAGAACUUGCACACACAACUUGAACAGUUAGAAGGGAAAUUGGAUGUUAUCGUCAUGACUGUUCUUCGAUCAAGCUACCGGCAUCUACCUGAAGACUUGCAGCUUUGUUUCAGAUACUGCAGCAUAUUUCCAAAAAAUUAUAUGUUUAAGAAGGACGGAUUGGUGAAAAUGUGGAUGGGCUCAGGACUGAUUCAUGUUAAAGGUGGAAUGGAGAGGCCAGAAGACAUUGGUGAAGGAUACUUGGCACAAUUGACAAGAAAAUCAUUCUUUUCUUUUGUGCCAACAGGAGAUCCUUACAGCAAACACUACACCGGAUAUUACAUCAUGCAUGAUUUAUUGCACGAUUUGGCACGCAAUGUUUCUUUUAGUGAAUGUGUAAGACUUGAAUAUGGUGAUUAUAUGCAUGACAGACAUACAGUCAGACACUUAUGGAUUGCAAAAUUCAGCAAGUUAACAAUUGAGGAGAUUGAGGCAAUACCAUUCUUCAAGAAUUUGCGUACACUUGUCAUAGAAAGCUCCAGUGAUCUUGGCAUUGUACAUGUACAUGCACUGGAGAGAGCUGUAGAAAACUUGAAGGGCUUGCGGUUAUUGAUCUUAAAAAGGGUACCCAAGUUCUGCUUUGCAAAAGAAGUUGCUAAUAAGCACCUUCGUUAUGUCUCUUUCUCUGGGAUGCAGGAAGUACAAGGACUUUCUAAGCUCUAUCACUUGCAAAUACUUGCUUCGGAGAGGAGUAUUAACCUAGGGCCAGAGCAAUUGAAGAAGCUUGGAAAUCUUUCUCGUCUGAGAUAUGUGUCUUAUGGAAUUAAUGGAUUUGGUGAGUUUUUUGUUGUUGGACUAUCUUCCCUUCAGGAAUUGCACAAUUUUCAGGUUCAAGAGAAGGAAGGGUACCAAAUACAUUCCUUGAGAAAUUUAAGCAAACUUUGCAAGUUGAAGAUGUGCAACCUUGAGAAUGUUAGAAGCCAUAAAGAGAUUAUCAAGGCCAAGCUGAGUGAAAAAUUCCACCUUAGAUCACUAUCACUUAACUGGUCUGAGACCAAUGAUGCCCCAAAGGAUGAAGAUGACCGGAUUCUUGAUCAGCUUGAACCACAUACUCGCCUUCAAAAUCUUGAAAUUGCAUGUUACAAUGGUGUUCGAUUUCCAUCUUGGUUUAAUCACCUGUCCCUCACAAAUAUGGUGUCACUAGAGCUGCGAAGGUGUGGAAAGUGGGUGCGCCUCCCAGCCUUUGGAAAACUGAAGUUGCUCAAGCAUCUUGAAUUGCAAAAACUUACUGAACUGAAACAGAUAGGCAUAUCACCUGAUGUUUCCUUGCCUCAAAAUCUGAAAACUCUGGUGGUGGAAGGUUGCAAAGAAUUGAGGGAGCUGCCACUUCUACCUCCUAGUUUAGUUCAAUUGGAAAUCAAUGAUGUUGGAUUGAGCACCCUCCCAAGAAUCGAGGAGCGACAUGGUACCAACAUGGGUUCUGAAGGCAUGCCACCUAAGCUAGUCUUGGUUAUCAUCAGAGAAUGUCCAAAUUUAACUUCUCUUGAAAGGAGCUUUCUACUGCAGGAACACUAUGUACGUGCUCUUCGGAUCCUAAGCAUUGUUGAUUGUGUAGGAUUAAUAACUGCACCUUUGUUAUUUGGAAAAAUGAACCAGCUCACAGAAUUUCGUAUUGGUAGCUGUUCCAAAUUGGAAAUGCCCCCUGCCAAUCAACUUGGGGACCAACUCAGUCCGGGGAAUUCCUGGAUCAAAUGGAGAAUGAGAAAUCCUGAAGAUAAGCAAUUUUCCAUUCCCAACACACUCAAAGAACUCUCCAUGGUGGAGUGUCGUGGCUUCGAAGUUCCACUGCUGAACUCACUGUUUGGUCUGACUAACCUCACUUCAUUGAAUUUGUGCGAUUGCGCCAAGGUGGAGUCCCUUCCAUCACCACGGGUGUUCACAAGUCUUCAGGCACUGCGAGAGAUUUUUGUGACAAGGUGUAGUUCUUUGUUAAGCCUGGGUGGGAUGGGAGUCCUGCCAUACCUUACCUGGCUGGAAAUCACAGGGUGCCCAAGCCUUCACAGUAAGACCUUGUUUACUUCCCAAGUUGGGAGGUGCCAAAUUAGCAUUUUGCCAUAAAUGCGACACUGUAGCGUUUCAUUUGUAUUUGUGAAUUAUUGUCCAAAUAUUGACUAAUUAGGCUCAAAAGAUUCGUCUCGCAAAGUACAACAAAACUGUGCAAUUAGUUUUUAAUUUCGUCUACAUUUAGUACUCCAUGCAUGUACCGCAAGUUUGAUGUGAUGGGGAAUCUUCUUUUUGCAUAGUGUCAAAGUUGGGAGUUUGGAGGGAAGUAAACAAGAGCUAAAGGUGCAUAUUCUUGGGUGGGAAAUGAAAAUCUAAAGGUCUACUCACUCUGGAUCCAGACCCCAAAUGACUUAUUCCUGAAGCCAUUGCGGACAUUGCGCGACACCAAAAGCUUGAUUAUCUCAGUUGGCUUUAGAAGCAUACCUCAGCAAUGGCUGCAACAAAAUAACAUGUCCCUCAAGUCCCUGGAAAUACUGAAACCAGAUACCAGGCUACCACUGGAAGACCUUAUUUCUCUCAAGAGAUUGGAGUUUGAUGAAGCUCGUCGUCACCUAGAGUUUCCCAUUUUGCCCUCCUCACUUGAGUCUUUCAUUAUCAGAAAAUGUGAUCCAGAGUUGGAGAAGAAAUGGACAACACAAGAGACCCCUGAAUGGAACAGUAUUUCCUGCAUACGUCAUGUGAAAAUAGGUUUUUUCUCCCGUAUUCCUAUUUCUUACUCACUUCUCUCAUGCCAUUAUCUCCCGCAAUUUCUCAGCCUAGUAGACUGGAUAUGUUAAUCCUGUGCUAGGUGUUUUUUCAUGUUGUUGGGGUAUAAGUGAAUUGCCCACCUCUCCCCAUUAGCUUAAGCUUUUGGGUUGAAUUGGUUGGUGCAUGCAACUCAAUACAUGUUAAUCCAGAAUUAUCUCCUGUGAGAAUGUGUUUAGGCAUCUGGCUGACUAUUAAGUUAAUUUUUGCAGGAGACGAGUACUACAGUUUCGGUAAACAAAGCGAAUCAUUUCCACAGUGGAUUUCCCCAUCCCUUGAAACGAACAAGGGUUAUCUAACAUACAAGAAAAGAAAAGGGUAUAUUACUGCAUCGUCUUAGUAAUUAAAUACAGGCACUUCACAUUUCUAGAUUCUCACUUCGUUAUGAAUCUACUCCACUGGUACGUUACAGAUCCGCGAAAUCCAAACUGCAAACCUGCCUUUAGGUUCCAGAAACAAGAGAGGAAUUGAACCGGAUCCUUCUUAUUAGGAUGAGAUUGGACAGGUCUGCGAGGAAGAGACGUUCUUCUGGGAUAUGUGUUUCGCUUGGUAGGUUUGGGCAGAAGCUUUUGGUAUAUUCCGUACGUGUUAGAAGAAGGUCCCAAAAGGGGCAGCCAAUAACGUUACCAGAUUCGUUCUGAAACUUUAUCCCCACUUGAGUGGUAUGGUUCUUCGCGGGUUUGAGAGCCUGGUAGGAUGAUUAGUAGAGAUUUUGUUCCCGACAUCCACACAAUCCCAGGGAUUUAGAGUGUGGUUUGUAAGGCGAUGUAUAUGGUUCUUCUCCAUAGUGGAUGAUUGCUCACAUCUCUUCCGUUUAUAGGUUUUCAGGUAAAUCAUUGGUCUCAGGCCUCAAUUUGGUGCUCCCUCUCUCUCUCUCUUCUCCCUCCUAUUUGGUUACCACACUUGCUACUUUGAUGACAUAAAGGAUGAUUUGUGCUGAUUUCUUGUCUGAUACUGUAUAUUAGUAAUGUAAGCCAUUGAUGAUGGGUGAGUGACAGAGGGGGGGGGGGGGGGGGGGGGUUCUUAUUCGGCCAAAAUUUAGCUACUGGAAUUGGUUUGGACAAAAACACAAGCACGUGGUGUGCAUGGGGCGCUUCCUGUGGGCGGCGCGCUCUAGGCACAUUACGCGCACAGGUAAGGCAUCUGUAUGUAGAGGUAGAGAACAGGGAAGAACAAGGAACCAAGCAAACCAAAGAAUCAGAGGCGAUACGCUCUGAUCCGAGUAGAGAACGGCAAGGUUCGAGAAGACAAACUGGAGCAGGACCCGUCGCAGCUGAGGGCUCGACCGCCGCCGCGGCCGCCCCGGGCUCGCUCCCUCCUACCCGCUCAGGCGCUCCGAUCCGCCGCCGCCGCCGCCGCCGCACGCGGAAGCCAUCAGAUGCCACGGGCACGCGCCCACGCCGUCGCACGGGAAAGCGCUACACGCCCUCGGCUGCCAGCGGGGACGGCCUUGGUGGGGCGCCGGGAGGUGUGUGGACACUCGGUGGCAACACGCGGUACGGGGGCGGAGGGCUGCGUGGCGGCGGCGGCAGCGUCGCAGGAGGCCGCGGCAUCGGCGAAAGGGGAGCCGUUAGGAGGAAAAAAAAUUCUCUGCGGCGGUGCCGCACCGCGCCUGGGCGCCCACAUGACCGACGCGUAUCCACAGAGCACCCAUCCUUUCCAUCAGCGAACCAAACCGAGCCGGGGUCUCCUCCGCGAAGCAGAUUGAGCUGAAUUCCGCUACGGAGCAGAAACAAAAAUCAAAUUGGGUCUUUGAAAAUAGAUCGAGCCCCCCUGUCCUCGGGCGUUCGUCGCCGAUGGUGAGUGGCACCUCCGGCCGUCGAGCUUGAUGCCGCGGCUGCACGUGGACUCUAGCUACUUGGAGCAGGUGCAGUUGGGCAGUUCGCGUGCGUCCAAGAGGUGCAUACCCAGCAGAACAUCACCGACUCAGAGGAUGAGAGCGCAUGGUGUCCAAUCCUGUCCAAUCCAGUCAGACUCGUCGGCUCCAUCCGUUAACCACGCCGGCGGCCACCUCUACAGUGACCCGCUCCUGCAGCCAUGGCAUCCUCAUGUACCGAGGCAAACCGUAGUAGAUGCAAAUCCAGAGAAAGGCAAGGAAUACUGCCAUCUUCAGACAUCAUCUGUGGUUGGUUGCAGCCUUGUUGCCGGUAGCAAAACUAUGCCGGGCAUUUACAUCCUGAUGUUUUGGUAGCGUAUUGUCGGAUGGAUGGAGGAUGGAGUUUAGAUUUCAGGAGAAGAUUUGGUUCAGGAUCUCUAGUUAUUGAGCCUUUGUAGUGUAGGUUCGGUACUGAUUUGAUUUAUUCUGUAGUAGCAAGUUUUGUUGGAAUUUGUAGAGGAGAUAUGCAGUGUCAAUUUUGAAUCAGUACCAAUUAAUCUGAAUGUUCGAAGUGUUGCUGCGGGAUUUGAUUUGGUUCCGCCCAGCGCUCAGCUUAGAAGAAAGCUCCAUGACCCAAGUCAGCUUGAUCCUCUAGCAGAGGAGACGCAGGCUCGACUCCAUUCGAUCGCUGAUGGAAAUGUCCAUGGACACGCGUUGGCCAUCUGGGCGGUGUUGCACCAGACGCGCGGUGCGGCACCGCCGCAGAGAAUUUUCUUCCCGUUAGGAGAUGCCGCUGGACAGGAUUGGAAGACACGUGGCGAAUUAGUAAUUCUUCCUGCUUCCAAACAUCGACUUCAAAAUUGUUUUUUUCUUUUCUAGGAAAAUACACAGAUUCCAUAAGAGCAUCUACAGUAUGAACCCGUUCCCCAAUCCAACCACCAUAUUUGAAGAUUGCUCCAGCCGACUCAAUUUACUUUUCUCUUCUGCCAAUAAUUAUUGGGACAAUCCAAUAAUUCAACCCAACUCUUCCUAAUGGAGUAGAAGUUGUGCCUCUCCCAAUGUAGUUGUUGGAUCGGGAUGAGAUUAUUGGGAGACUGCAAGAGUAACUCUUCCAAUAAUAAUAAAAAAAAUAUUGGAAUAUACCUUUAACUAACUAUUAGGAGAUAUUUAUUGAUGCUCUGAUCUCGAAGCACUUUCUUCGUAUAAAAUAUUUUGGAUGUGCUGGUGCCCGGACGGACGGAGGCAAAUGUAAUUGGAUUGUCGCGGACAAAAAGCACGUCGACAAGAUAUUCCAAUAUUUUAAAGAUGCGCGUCUCAGUUUUCUAAAGCUGAUAAUGAAAUAGAAAAUAAUAAUAAUAAUGGACGCGUAAGUCUUUUUAGGGAAUAAAGGACGCGUAAGUACGAAGUCCAUCACUCAUGGCCCCGCAAAUAAUGUUUCAUCGUGGGCCAACAAGAGAAACAAGCAAGAACUUCAUCCGUGGGCCAAGCUAGAAAAUGAAGUGGGUGGGUGUGGCAAACUUCGCUUGUGGGCUAACAAAUCAACUCGUGGGCCAACACGUCUGGUACAUUCCCUCGGCCCACUUAACCCGCCGUCCAGAGGCCCAACUAAACUGACCCAUCCCUACCCGUAUCCCCACUUCCUCCUAAACCCUAGGCAACAUCAUCUACCAGACUACCACGCCUCCCGCCGCCAUUGCCGGCGGCGAGGACAACACCCCUCCCCCCCUCUCCCUCCAUGGCUGCUCCGCCCUACGGCGGGAGCACAGACGACUCGCCCGAGGACUACUCCGCCGCGGCCACCGUCGUCCGCUUCGACCCGCCGCUCCCACUCCUCCGCGCUCCCGUCCCCUCCGCCGCCCCCGGCGAGCCCCACGUCCUCGCCUUCCGCGACGCCGCCAGCUGGAGAGCCGCCUGGGACGCCGCCGAAGCCAGCCUCGUCUCGCAGUGCGAGGUAACGAUCCCCCCCCUGACUACACCGUCUCCCCUCCUCGGUCGCGCCUGUGUUAGCAGUUAGCAAAGCUUAGGGGUUUUUUUGGAUGCGUGGAACCAAUGCGCAAGGGAAUGUAGCCGUGCGUGCAGGGUUAGAGCAGAUUCGGCGCGUAGGUUAGAUUGUUACGGUGAGUGUGCCGAUGCGGCUACCAGCGCUGGAAACUUUGCCUGUGGAGUGUGUAUUGUGGUUGUGUUUUGUUCUUGCAGCUGGCCGAGGUGCCUCGCGCUAGUUAUGCGAGGCAGUAAGUUUAUCAGCUGCGGAUAUCGAACAGGGCAAACCAGCUCCUGGCUACUGGAGUUCAGUGGUCGGGGUUGACAAUGCUCUAUAACAUCAAACUACUAUGUUUCCCCCCUUGUGGUUUUCAACUUUCUGAUGGUGCAUAAUGUGUUCUUUGCGGAAUGCUGUUUAUGAAGUCAGAAAAGGCAGACUAGUUGUGCCUAUUUGAUUGGACUUGUUUUCGUCCUUCUGCGCCCAUUUGCUCUUCUACAGUUUGAGCAAAAUAUAUGUUUCAUCAGAAGAUUAAUUGUGUGUUUGUUUCAUCGAAUCCUGUUUUGUUCUGUCUUUUGGGGAAACAACCUCACCUACAGUUUUUUUCACAACAUUAGCUAUUCUACAGUUUGAGCAAAAUAUAUGUUUCAUCAGAAGAUUAAUUGUGUGUUUGUUUCAUCGAAUCCUGUUUUGUUCUGUCUUUUGGGGAAACAACCUCACCUACAGUUUUUUUCACAACAUUAGCUACAAUCUAUCAUACAUGGUUUUGCACACACAUAAAGUUGUGCUCCAUUCAUAAACAACUGGGUGACAUAUUGAUGUUAUCUGAUAAUCUGAAGUUAACUAUUGGAAACUUUGACUACAAAAUACUUUUCACAUGUUGCUUGGAUUAUACGAGUAGAUUUUAUCUUAGAACAUAGUUUCUUUAGAGUAUGCAUUUGGUAUAUUUUAUAGAUAUAUUAUUAUAAAAACUAGUAGUCAACGAUUGGAAUAUUUGACUUCAGACAAUCCCGAAACCUCACUUUUUUGUGACUGGAGACAGUAUUUUUCAGUCAGAUGAGUUAUGUUUUUUCUUAUUCUUUAAUUUGGCUUUCCAAUUAUAUGCAAGUUAUGUUCUCUUCUUCAAAUUAGACCUAUGUUCACUUCUGUUCUGUCUCAAAUGCUAUUGAGCAUCAGUUUUGUAACUGAGACAGAGGAGUUCAUUUUCUUUUUCCUCCCUUGUUCUCUCAUACCUAAAAUGUAAGGGCUUUGAUUUACCAUUGCAGCUGGCCGAGUUGGCUGGCUCAAGUUCUGCCAGUCAAUAAGUAUAGCAGCUGCAUACAUAAAAGAUAGCAAACCAGCUCAUGGCUACUUAGCUUUAGUUGUUGUGGUUGACACUGCUCCACAGUGCUCUUUUUUUUUUUUGACAUCUGGCUGUUAUAUUUUCACACCUGCUCCACAGUACUCAUGGCAUGUUCGAUUCUCAUAUUGAUAUUGGCAUCUAAUACAGUGUCAACGCUGAAACAGAGAAUUUGCAAUUGACACGUGGGAAGCACAUUAUUUUGCAGUUAGAACGUUCAUUGUAAUUUGAUUUAGUGAUUCUUCCAGUAUCUGUAUGAUAUAAUCCUUCAUUAUUUUAUGCCAUAGUGUUGCAUUAUGAAGAGCUAUACACGUUGAUAAAUGGUCUCAGAAGUAAAUUCCUGGAAUGUGCAUAUUGACUAUGUAUUUCCUGUAGCAGAAGCAUUGCUUUCCGCAGACAUGAAAGGCUGAACUUUUCAUUUUUAAUUUGUGUUGGAUACAUCAUUCACAUUUGACAUAUGCUUUAAUCUAUGUGGUGUGUACUGUGUACCUAGCACAAGGUUUUUUUUGUUUCAUAGGAGGCUUUUCACCUUCAAAAAUGUAAUAACAAGAUGUUGAUGCACAACUUUUGCAGGCUGGUGCACGGUCAGGGUGCUCAAUCACUGCAUCACGCAAAUGCAAACCCCCCUGGUGGAAAGGCUUAUUGGGAGCUGCCCCGACUGAUUAUGAAGAAAGAGAGAGAUGUGAAGAGCGAGAGAUGGCCGCUUGUCUCGAGGCAGCCAAGGAGGCUUGCAUUAAGUUUGCAAAGGGAAAAUGCAUUGGACCAUUCCGAGAUGCAAGGAUCGCCUCUGGGGGUCUCCUGGAAAAUACAGAUUUUGAUGUCUGGGGUGCUGGAGGUGACAAAACAGCAUCAGCAUCAUCAUGUGCUCUGAACAAUCAGCAGUUGUUCAACCCUGAUCACAGUGUGACAAACUACAGAGGAAGUGACUUGCUAGACAGAUUGUCAGCUAAAGACAAUGAUAACGCUUGAUGGCUUCCCAACAAAAGUGUAAAACUGGUGAAGACAUCAUGAUGGGAUCCAGAAUUGAAGCAAUAAUCAAAUAACGGCGUACAGAAGUCUGAGGCUGGUGGUUUCAUGCCAUAUUGAAGUUGGUUCAGUGGCUAGAGAUGGUGAAAAACUAACUUCUGGGAAUGGGUGCAGAAGAUAAGAGAAGAUUCCAGUUAUGAGGGCCCAGAGGAAGUGCAGUAACCGCGGAGUGGAUAUCAAAAGACUACUGUUUAUUGUGCGUGUUGACCUAUUAUUCGAGUUGGUGCUCGGGGCAACACAUCAGGCAUACCGUUUCUCAGUACGUCAAUUGCAGGAAAACACAAUUAACUUUUCUAGAAGCAACUGCAAUAAUGCGAAUAGUUUUCUGAGUUGUGGAGCCAUGGAGGAGACGGCAAUCUUUAUGCAGAUUCUCGCAGCUUGAAGAUCAAUCUCUUCUUUUGUGGUAUUAGCCAAGUGUACUUGAAGAUCUGUGAAGCAAUCUGUUCUUUUGGGAUAUUAGCCAAGUUUACUUGAAGAUCUGUGAAGCAAUUUAUCCUUUUGGGGCAGUAGCCAAGUAUUCUUGAAGAUCUGUGAAACUUUUUAUCCUCGCCUCUUUUGGCGUAUACACUGGAAGUGAAUCGAUUGCUUCCAUAUUCGAUUUGUAGCAGCACCCACCUGUGUAAUAACUGACGAUGUGGAAGAGUAGCUCGCUGCCUAGUACUGGCAGUUGUACAUCAUCUCUAUGCCAACAUGCGUUGUGCUUGUAUGGUUUCACGCGCUGCAGAGUCUGUAAGCAAUAAAAGUAGGAUCAGAAAUGCACGGGCGAUUUCAGCCUCAGGGGCCGGUGCCAAUUAAACAUCGCUGCUGCGCAGCCUGGACAGUGAAUGGCAAAGGGGCCAUGCAUGAAGCGUAGUCAGCCCAACAGCGCUCCUCCACCGGCUGGAUUAUUUUUCCUUUCUAUUUCUUCCUUGCAGUUUACCUUUCAUUUUGUGCUGCAACAGAAGCAAUCUUUGCAAAGCAAGGAGGAAACAAAAAUAAGCAGCUUCUAAAUAGCAUCACCCUUAUGCAUGCCGGGGCUGAAUGACAGGGCAGAUUACGAAAUAGUGAGACUCUAUUUUUGCAUAUUACUAUCUAUAAGGUGUAUCUGUGCUCAGAAAAUCGAUUGCAACGACACAGGGAAGCACCAAGAGAAACAAUAGUGAAAUCUGAGAGGAAAGGAAUGCACAAUGGAUGAAAACAACAUUCAGCUCCCAAUACCAUAGGUGCAUAUAACAAACAUGGAAACUACCACAUCAACAGCAUGCAUGUGCGUGUGUUCAAGAGAAUUUGUUACAAUUCCCACACUUUGCUGCAGUAAAUCUUUCGAGUGGAUCUCAUCAGAGUGCACGCUCACCGUUCUUCCAGCCCUCCAAUUCCUCGUGACCAACAGCCUCGUUGAGAUAUUUGAGAUGCUGGAUUCCACUGAAAUUACGGUAGAAUACAAACUUGGGACAGAGCAGGUGAAGAGAGGUGAUUGUGCUCAUGCUUCCGUCAUGGAUAUGCACUUCGGGAAGGUCUGAGGCUUCGAAGCACAGCCGCUGAAGGCUUGGGGAUCCACCCCUUUGUAUGAUGAAGGUCUGAGGCUUCGGGAAGUGCUGCAGCUUGAUGGAGCUGCGCAUGCAGGGACCUUCAAGUGAUACAGAGUCAUGGAAGUUAAAAGAUUGUUUGCCGAAAUCAAUUGGUAGAGACUCAAUUCCAUUGCCUUUCGAGAACCACUUCUGGAGGGAGCAAGUUAGGUCUUCUGACUUGGUGACAGAUUGCUCGCACCAUAUCUUAACCUUCUUCAGAAACCUCAUGUGAAGCAGGAUGAGUUCAAAACCAGAGUUGCCGUCCAUGAUAAAUCCUGACAGAGUCUGCAGUACACUUUUGUCUGAGAAGAAUGCCUGCAGCUUGCUCCUCUUCUUCUUAUUCACAAGUUCUUGAGGUAGCUCAAACUGACCCAACAGGUGAACCAACCGUGGGAGCAUGAUGACUUCCAAAGGCACAGUCUGUUCACCUCUGUCUCUCGGAUGUCCAACGUCUCUAAACACACCAGUUUGUCUAUUUUUUUGGGGAUACAGUAAACAUCACUGCCCCUGAGGCUCAGGUACUUGAGCAAGAUCAGCUUGCAUAUGCAACGAAGAGUACGCUCGUCAACCCCCUUGCGACCCUCAGGAUCUAAGACUCGCACCAAACGGCAGCUCUGGAAAUGAAAAGGCUCACCGUUAUGGUCAGCAGUCCGUCGUCACCGUGAAUGGAGGCCCAGUACUCGCGUCUUAGGCCUGGAUUGGGCCCAGCAGUGCGCGGGUGUUCAUUGUGAGGAUCGAGGUGGGGAAAUCAAUCAGCAAGCAUCUUCAACCGGGUCGAUGUCCUCCUCCUCCGGUCUGCUUGACUUCUUGUGAUCUUAUAGUCCAUGGGUUGGAGUCCUAUGAAAGAGCAUAAAUGGAUGUCCAUACCUUAGUCACCAGAUACUUCUUCGACCCAUUCUUCCUCCUCAACUUACAGUCAUUAUCCUUAGUGCCCGUGCUCCUAUUUCAAAAAGAAAAAGAAAAAAAAUUCCAGACAUAUUGAUGUUGUUCAUGGAAGGAAUCGGUGCUCGUAGCUUAAAAAAGAGAGGGAUGAAUUAGGCACUUAUGGCUUCCACUAGUUGCAUCAAAAUAUAAACUAAAUCAUGCUAUCUAAAUGUGCAAUCUACGGUUGAUCUAGUGUGAAACUCUCAUCCCAAAAUAAGUUUUGCAACCUAUAGCCAAACCUAUAAAGAUACUAUUAUAGGAAAGUAAAGGCACACAAGUUGCAAGUAUGAAAUACCAAAACAUAAGAAGUGGAUGAGGGGAAGCAAACUCCUGACACAAGGAUUUAUCCCGUGGUAUCGGUAGGCACUAAGCCACCACUAGUCCACGUUGUUGAAGCACUCACACAAGAGUAUUGCUUCCCGAUCACCAAAUAUCUCCUAAUGUGCCCCUUGACUUGCCACAAAGGCUCGACUACUAAGGCUCAUGCCAAGUCCCUCGAUCACUUUGAUGCCGUCUUCACUAAGGAGCUUCUCCACGAAGGAAAGGGGUUUCCAUGUCCCCCGCACAGUGAGAGGUUGUCGACGCCGCUCCACACCAAGCUGGAGAGUCGAAGACUUACCGGCGAGCCAUCAAGGCUCCAAGACAGUGGCACAUCUCUUGUACAGCGGUGGUUCACUCUAUGCACUCACUCUUUUUUAGGCCUAUCCUACAACUAACCAUUCUUCUAAGCUUGUGCUAAGCCUUUUAUGGAUCACUUAAGCACUUUUGGUGGCAUGCAUGGAUGUGUUCAUGAUGAGUCUUGGUGUUCAAUGCAUCCCUGGAUACUUCAUCAACUCGAGGUGGUGGUAUAAAUAGCCCCAAGGGCUCAAAGAGCCGUUGCUCCAACGGCUAGUGAAAAAGGAUACCAUCGGAUGUUCCGAUGGUCUAUUUUUAGCCUGCAUCGGAAUAUCCGGUGCAACUAGCAGUUGGCUCCCCACACACAAGUUCCUCAGGAAUUCGAUGACCCCAUCGGAUCAUCCGGUGCCACUGUUCACGUCAUUGCUCCAACGCUUUCUCCGAUGGUGCUGUCGAAUCAUCCGAUGUUGAAGAAUUUUUGCCUAAAACCUCUCUGGAACUUCUCAAAGAAAAUAUGCUUUGUCCGACGGUCAACACCAUAGGGCAUCCAAACAUCUGGUGCUAUAGGGUUUCCUCUGCCUCCUCAGCGAAUUGCUCUGAUGCUUGUAAAAUUACCUCCAUCAGAUCAUCCGCCAUUUUUUUUCCUGUUGUACCAAUUGGUCUGGUGGUUGCUUCGACACUUUUUAGGUGGGGCAUUGGAGCAUCCGAUGGUGCAUUUUUUAUUCCAAUUUAUCCAAUGCAAGCACGCUAAAAAUAUUGUCACUUGGAUGGCCAUGUUCGCUACAUUCAGCCUUGCUUUAGUGGAGCAGGAAUCAGUGAAAUCGUCUUCAGCUUCAAUGCCACCCGAGGUUCAGUCUUUACUCUGUCUGAUUCGCUGAUUUGUUAAUUUCUUUUAGGGAGACUAAUCGGUACCAGAAAUUGGGCCAUAUCGCGCCUGCGAAAAUCUCAGCUACUAGCAGCAAUUAGAUGCCCCCUAUAGAUCAUCCAAGAAGAGCCUUAUAUAGUAAAAAAAAAGGCUAAUAAGAAAUAACAAAUGCGAUAGUUUUAGUCGAUCGACUAUGAAUUAUAAAAUAGGAUAUCCAUUACAGAUACAGAAUCAUGGCUUAUAUCACCAUGGUUAUCAGGUCCACACACAUAUAAUACAUAGCCCAACAAAACACAUAUGCAUGCAAAACAAGGCCUGCUAUAUGAUCUAUGCAGUCCAGCAUGCUUUAUUCAUGUUUUCAGUGCUAGAAAGCAAUAUACACAUCAGAUGCUGUAUUAUUCAUAGAGAUGUGUAAGGACCAUGGACGCUGCAGCUGGUCCACGCCAUUUCGUUUCAGCGUACGCAUGCAUACUGUAUGCAUGACGAAGUAAUCUCCCUCAACCACAGAUAUAAAGAUUCAUGCAUGCUGCCCAUAGGAGGAGCUGCCAGCAGAACUGGGUCCCUGCGGAUCGAUGUACACUUCCUGUUGUGUAGAAACUGAAGUAUUUUCCAGUGAGUUAAGGUCUGGGAGUGACUUGCCAUGCUCCAGGACAGCCAUUACUUGCUCCAUGCUAGGCCGCUUCUUACUAUCAUCGGGGUAGGAGCACCAGAGCCCUAGGGUGAUAACAUUCUCCAUUUCACUUCUAUGGAACUUGCCCUGUAAUUUGUCAUCAGCAGCCUGGAGGAUAGAUCUGUUGGUGUACUGCUUCCAAACUGUUUCCCUGACCAUAUCUUUUUUGCAAGCGAUAUCAAGCAGGACGAUGCCGAAGCUGUAGACAUCAGAGCUACGGCUAAACUCGACCUUCCCGAAGGGUUUCUUGCACUGUGGAUCUAGGUAAGCCUCGGUUCCUAUAGGGACCGUCAGGAGCUUUGAACUGUCAGAGUCAACGAUCCUCGACAGGCCGAAGUCAGCGAGUUUGGCAUUGAAGUUGUCAUCCAGAAGUAUAUUGCCCGGCUUGAUAUCUCUGUGCAAGAUGAAUGGGUCGCACUCGUGGUGGAGGUAAAGAAGAGCAUAUGCUAUGUCUUUCACUAUCUUGUAUCUGAUUAUAGAUAGGAAAAAAUAAAAAUCUUCAAUAUCUUGUUGGAUCUCAAAUGUAUAGUAUUGCAUGCUCAAUUAAAGAACAUGUAGGUAUAUAUGUAAAGUACCUUGUUUCCCAUGGUAGUAUUAUUUCGUCUUUGUGUAGGUGGUCGUGCAGGCUUCCCUUAGGCACCAAUUCAUAGACAAGGAAGAGCUCAUUGUUUUUGUUCUUCCAACACCAACACAUGAACUCAACAAAGUUCCAGCUGUUUCCACUGCACCAACCAACGAGUUUGACAAGAUUCUUGUGCUUUACUGAAGUGAUGGCAUUGAGUUCGUCAUAAAAAUUCUUGGUGUCUGGUUCCGGCAUAGCAUGGGACUUGUUCAGGAUCUUCUUUACUGCUACUUCACAUCCCGAUUUCUUCAGGUACCCUCUAUAGACCACCCCAAAGAAACCUUUUCCAAGUUUCCUCUCAUCAGAGAAAUUGUCUGUCGCGGCUGCCAAAUCACUAUACUCGAACUGAGUAGGCCCCUGCUGCUUCCCCUGCUUCUUAAAAUCACGGUGUCUGUUUGUCCACUUCCAAUAGGAGAGGAUAAACCAUGCCACGAACACCAAUAGCACCACAGAUAGUAGUGCUCCUACAAUAAUCUUUGCUAUCGUGAUGUCCUGACCUGUCAACGGGCAUACAGUAUAUAUGCAUUAUAUGUGGCACAUGGAUGCAUUCAUGUAUCUGAUUAGGACGACAAAAGCACAACACGGUACUACAUAGCCCAUGAACAUUAUUGAUAACCCAUAAAAGUCAAAACUAUUGGUCAUCAACUGUUCAAUAUUGAGUUAUAUUUUCUUGUUUAAUAACCUGUGGAGUAAAAAAUUACUUUCCAAGGUUAAAAGGUUAUAUCAGGGGAAACACAUGAUACAAUGGAAGUACCAAAUUUGUUUACUAUUAAUUGAAUAAUCCAAUAGAUUAUUGAUUAUAAUUCAAGUAAAUGGAAUAUCAUUGGUCCCAAUAUUAUUUUACAUUUUUAGAUGAAGGAAGCAUUACUUCCGGUUUCAGCAGCGACUGAGGAUGCACACAACGAUUAAACUCCAUAGACAUCUAAAUAGGUACUGUUGACGCCGGAUUUCGUCACCAGUAGAAUCGGCACCAAGAAGAAAAGAAGUCGAAGAAGUACAGUUGGAAAUCGGUCAAAUGGUGCUAUAAUGCGGAAUCGGCUAGCAACUUUUGCUUCGCUUCAGGGUGAAUGCACCAGAAUCCCAAUCGGCAAUCCUCUGCCGAUGAGAAAUCGGCCGAUCAGGAAGAUGGACUAGUUGGGCCUGUAUGGGCUUGGAAAGAUGGAAGGAUAGGGUGGAGGUCAGCCCACGAAGCGUGGGGUAACUAACUUGGCACGAGUUGUGCUUGUAGAUAUUUGUUUUCUAUUUGAAUUAGAGAUAGAGUUCUAGUCGGUUAAGAAGAUUAUUUGUACGGGGCUAUAAAUAGCUACCUUUGUAAAUAUGUAAACACACAAUCAAUCAAUAUACAACAAGUUACUUUCUUCUUCGUACUUACUUCCGAGCAGGCGACUUCGCCAUCACUUUUUCUUCUCACGAGUUCGUACGGGUUGGCAGGGCUGCAUCACCUUGAUCUCCGGCCGAUUCUGUAAGUUCCGUUUAUCGAGUAAUAUCUAAGCUUUAACUUCCGGCGCAUCGCUGUUGUUUCGUUUAGAUUUAUUCAUCAGUUAUCGAUAUCAACUAGAUUCAUAGGUUUUUACCUGUUUUCCUAGUUUUUAUCACCAAUUAUUCCGCUGGGAAUCGAUAGUAUCGGCUUUCUAUCGUUAGAUCCAUUCGUUGCCGAUUAGAUCUUUUCCUAGUGCUGUUAUUACAAGCUUUGUACCGAUUACUUUAGUAUUCUUCUGUCUACGAGGCUAUAGAGAUCGUGCUGUCUUGUAGCCGAUUUCAUUAUCACAGUAAAUCGGCCGAUUCGCCGAUAGACUCUCUCGAUCGGAAACUUAGCCGGUCGCAGUUUCUGAACUUGACACGUGUUCUUCCUUGCCAAUCAACAGGUCAGAUUGGCUGGCACGCCGCGCGAACCGCAUCAAGGCAUUCACCCGAACAGGAGCUAAGCAGAUUCUCCCGGGUCGUGUGUCGGACGUUGGGAUUCGGUUGACCGAUUUCUAGCGCCAACACACUUUUGGCACGCCCAGUGGGACCAAUACAACCGCUGUCAUGUCUAAAGCUGCUGACGUCUCCGAAGAUAACGUCAUCGAAGUGACGGAAGCAGAUCUAAAGGACGACCAAAAGGAAGAUUUGAACAAGUAUUUGGAGCAGGUCCGGAAAACUUGCUUAAAAUCCUUCAGUCGUUCCAGGAGCGGGGAGACUAUUAAAAAGACUCCUUUCCCUACUCCCCGUCAGAUCACAAUUUCCGAAGAUUCGGAUAAAAUGUCCGAUAUGAUUCAACAAUCUCUUCAUCACGCCUUCAUCAAUCAAUCCCCGGUACUUUCAAACAUGGUGCACAAUGCCGUGGUCAACUCCUUCGCCGGAGGCAUACCUCAAGGGUACAGGGGACCGACGUAUUUUCAGCCGAUUCCACCAAAUCAGGCUUAUCCGGUUUCACAGCCGAUCCAGUCUUCUGUUGGAGGAUCCGGUGCUUCCGCGUCAUCGACUCCUUUGGGAUAUGGUUCUACCCAACUGUCUUCUGCGCCAUUCCCUCCAGUCAGCCCUUCACCCUGGGGGGCACCUUUAAACGCGGCCGGUCUGAACCAAUCGGUCAGUCAAGGAAAUCCUCCGUUCCAGACACACUCGCAAACGGCCACCCGGCCAAUCAUACCACCAUACCAGCCUCUCGCUCCGGAGGUCAACAAGACGUCGGAGCUCAUGCUAUAUGAUGAAACAAGUGGUUCAUACAAACAACCAACUUUUACUACACCGCCAGCUUACACUCAGAUACCACCUUUUCAUCAAUCUCCUUUUGUUCAGCCUCCGAUUUAUCAGCACGUGCCGAUACCGCAGCCAACUGUUCCCCAGCAACAACCAGAUUGGUCGGCACAAAUUGCAGAGGUAAUGCAAGAACAAUUCGGCUUGAAGCCGAAAGUACAAACUUAUACCUAUAGAACACCAUACCCAUCUACAUAUGACUUGUUGCCGUUCCCCCAUCGGUACAAAGUUCCUGAUUUUACCAAAUUUUCGGGGAUGGAUGACACCUCUACCGUGGAACAUGUGAAUAGAUUCAUCAUCCAAUGCGGGGAGGCAGCUACGCAAGAUGCCCUGCGGGUACGGUUGUUCUCGUCAUCCUUGUCUGGAUCGGCCUUCCAAUGGUUCACAACUUUGCCACCAAACUCGAUUAUCACAUGGGCCGAUCUAGAAAGACAGUUCCACAAGUACUUCUAUGCUGGGGUCCACGAAAUGAAACUGUCUGAUUUGACUAGCCUCCGGCAAAGAAGUGAUGAGCCGAUACCCUCGUAUAUACAGAGGUUUCGGGAAAUCAGAAACAAAUGCUACUCCCUGGCUCUAACCGAUGCGCAGUUGGCCGAUAUAGCUUUCCAAGGCCUGCUGCCACACAUUAAAGAGAAAUAUGCUUCACAGGAGUUCGAGAGCCUAAGCCAGAUUGUCCACCGACUGUCCGGACAGGAAGUGCGUCCAUUCGACCCGAGAAGGAAUUUCCAGAAGAAAGUAGCAUUCCUGGAAGAUUUAGAGGACGAUGAGGAUGCCGAAGUCGGACUUGCAGAGUGGAUUAAGGGAAAGAAACCGAUAUCAUGCCCAUUCGGCAAGAAGGAGCCGGAAGCAUUCGGUUUCGAUACAACUAAGGCUGAUAAAAUCUUCGAUCUUCUACUCCAGGAAGGGCAGAUUAAACUCUCGCCUUACCAUACAAUACCCUCUGCCGAACAAUUGAAGAAGAUGAAGUACUGCAAGUGGCACAAUGCCACGUCACAUGAUACCAACGAGUGCAAAAUCUUCAGGCAACAAAUACAGUCGGCCAUUGAGCAAGGCAGACUCAAAUUCGAAGUGCCGGCAAAAUCGGCCAAACCAAUGAAGAUCGACCAACACCCCUUUCCUACCAACAUGGUUGAUACGGGGAAGAGUUCGCUCCAAACAAAAGUGCUGACAUCCGAAUUGGCCAAAAAGAGUGGCUCUGUCGAUCCCAGGAAUCAAGCUACGCCUGAAGAUGUCAAGGGGAAGCGGGGAAUGGAGGACGAUGAUGGUGAGUCAGAUGAACCACGUAUUACUUCCCAGUUCCUGCUCCAAAAGUACCAACGCCAACAUGAACGGUCAAGGUCCCGAGAGGAAGCGAUGCGUCGGCACGAGGAACACUGGAGAUGCCCGUUCUUCAUUCAUUGUUGGGAAAACAACCUCAGGCUACCAUCGGCCGAUACCUGCCCAGAGUGCAACGGUCCUUAUCGAGGCAAUCGGCCGUUCACCAGGUCUCGCUCCAGAGACGGAAGGCCAGAACCGAUCAGCAGGAACUGGCGCAACCCAGAUGACCAGCGCCCUCUCGUACGUGAUCGGCUGGGGGGCAGAAGUGACCGAUAUGAUCGGUCAGAGGACAGAAGCCAUAAUAGGCAGGGGGGCAGGCCUGAUCGACAUGAUCAGUCAAAUAACAAAGCUAGCGUUCAUAGCCGGCUCGAAGACAUGGCCGAUGCUCGGGUGACGGACGAGAACCCGUUAGGACGCGAACCGGAGUGGGAACGCGCCGGGAAAGAAGGGAAGCCAUUAAACCCCAGGUGGUGCCCCGAUGGUUUAACCAAAUCACAAAAACGGAGAAUCCAACGCCUCCGCCAAUGGGAACAGCAAGAGGAAGAAAGCGCAAUGGACAAGAAGGAAGAGAGGCCUCGGGUGUGGCGCCCCAAAAGAAACGACAAGGGAAGCAAUGAGUCGGUGGGUGAUGAAUCGGCAGCCGAGAUCGGUAUGGUUUUUAUAUUGCCGAUGGAGUUCAUGACCCCUGCCGAUCAACAGGACGUAUCGGCGAUAGAGGAACAGACAGCACGGUUGGCUUUAGAACCAAUGAUGGCCACGUUCGAGAAGCCCGAAGAUGACGAACGACAACAUAUGAAGGCAUUGUUCCUUAAAGGGCAUGUUGACGGCCGUCCUCUCACUAGAUUGAUGGUCGACGGAGGAGCUGCGGUCAAUAUCAUGCCGUAUGCCGUACUCCGGAAGCUGGGGAAAAGCGACGACGACCUAACCAGGAUGGACAUGAUGCUUAAAGACUUCGAAGGCAAGGUGUCAAAUGCUCGCGGUGCUCUCUGCGUCGACCUCACCAUCGGCAGUAAGACCCUUCCCACCACAUUUUUCGUCAUUAAUGGCAAAGGGUCCUAUAAUAUGCUUCUUGGCCGAGAUUGGAUACAUGCAAACUGCUGCAUCCCGUCAACUAUGCACCAAUGCCUCGUACAAUGGGUCGGUGACAGCAUCGAGGUGGUCAAAGCCGACUCUGCGUACAGCAUCGCAGCAGCCGACGCACAGCAAUGGAGCUGCGAAACCGUCAGAUGCAUAUCAGGUAGGGUAUGGGAAACCGAUUUCCUGAAGGUCACCGAUUUUGGCCUACAACCGAUCCGAGCAGUCGGCUUCGAAGAAGUGCAAUAGAUGGAUCAGUUCGCCCGAGAGGACGGGAAGCUGGGGCACGGAUUCACAUCGGCCGAUUCAUUAGAGAUGAUAGACUUAGGUGACGGGACCAAACCAAGGCCGACUUUUAUUAGUGCGAAUUUAGAUCCAGAGUAUAAGUUUAAAUUGACAAAUUUAUUAAGAGAAUUCAAGGAUUGUUUUGCUUGGGAGUAUCACGAGAUGCCCGGUUUAGAUCAAUCUAUUGUUGAACAUUGGCUACCCAUAAAGCCAGGGUAUCGGCCGUACCAACAACCCGCACGGCGAUGCAAUCCUAAAAUUUUACCAGAUAUAAAAGCCGAAAUAACUCAGCUAAUUGAAGCAAAAUUUAUUCGGCAAUGUCGUUAUGCCGAGUGGAUUUCUAAUAUCGUGCCGGUAUACAAGAAAAACGGGAAGUUGCGCGUUUGCGUUGAUUUCAGAAAUCUUAAUCAGGCCACACCGAUGGAUGGUUACCCCAUGCCUACGGCCGAUGUACUGAUCGACGCCGCCGCGGGACACAAAAUUAUUAGCUUCAUGGAUGGAAACGCCGGAUACAAUCAAAUACUUAUGGCCGAAGAGGACAUAUCCAAAACAGUUUUCAGAUGUCCAGGCCAUCUUGGUUUGUUCGAAUGGGUGGUGAUGACUUUCGGCUUGAAGAAUGCUGGCGCUACAUACCAGAGAGCUAUGAAUUACAUUUUUCAUAAACUCAUUGGCCUCCUGGUGGAGAUCUACAUCGAUGAUGUGGUGGUCAAAUCCAAAAGCCACGAGGAACACCUAGCAGAUUUGCGAAGGGUACUAGAGUGUACCAAAAAGCAUGGUCUUAAGAUGAAUCCCAACAAAUGCGCUUUCGGCGUCUCCGCCGGACAGUUCUUAGGAUUCAUGGUGCAUGAACGAGGUAUAGAAGUCAAUCAGAAGACCAUAGCGGCCAUCAACAAAAUCGUUGCUCCACAGAACAAAACUGAGCUACAGUCUCUAAUCGGCAAGGUUAACUUCAUCAGAAGGUUUAUAUCUAAUCUAUCCGGACGACUCCAGGCGUUCACACCACUUCUGAAGUUGAAGCCCGACCAGGAAUUUAUAUGGGGAGAAGAACAGCGCAAAGCGUUAGACGAUAUCAAGCGAUACUUGGUCUCACCGCCAGUAUUGGUUCCCCCUCAAACUGGUAAGCCGUUUAAAUUGUAUUUAUCAGCCGAUGAAAAAGCUAUUGGGUCGGCUCUAGUCCAAGAGUUUGAAGGCAAAGAGCGGGUAAUUUAUUACGUCAGUAGAAGACUCCUGGACGCCGAAACAAGAUAUCCUCCGGUAGAGCGGUUGUGUUUGUGUCUUUACUUCUCAUGCACUAAACUCAGGCACUAUCUACUGUCGGUAGAAUGCGUAGUCAUAUGCAAAGAUGAUGUAGUGAAAUACAUGCUAUCACUGCCGAUAUUGAAAGGACGAAUCGGUAAAUGGAUCUUAGCCUUAUCAGAAUUUGACCUACGGUAUGAAUCAGCAAAAGCCGUCAAGGGUCAAGUCAUGGCCGAUUUCGUCGCCCAGCACUGUGGACCGGAGAUCGCCCUCGUGGAACCAGCGCCUUGGCAAUUGUUUUUUGACGGGUCAUCGUGUGGGGCCGGAUCCAGAAUCGGCAUCGUUCUCAUAUCGCCUCGGGGGGCAAGCUAUGAUUUUUCUCUGCCGAUAGAAACCGCCGCUACUAACAAUCAAGCGGAGUACAGAGCUGUAUUGAAAGGUUUACAAUUAUUGAGAGAAGUUAAGGCCGAUUCUGUUGAGAUCUUCGGGGAUUCUAUGCUAAUUGUGGAUCAACUAACCGGAAGGGCUGAGUGCAAAGAUGAUAUAUUACGAAUCUAUCACGAAGAUUGCGUACAGCUUUUAAAAGGAUUCAGAUCGGCAGUGAUCGAGCAUGUUCCAAGAGACCGCAACGAGGAGGCAAACAAACUCGCCCAGCACGCAUCUGGAUAUCGGCCGAUUCUGGGCGCCAUGGCCUUAGAACUUGCAGCCGACGAUUGGCGUAAAGAAAUUGCCGAUUACCUGAAGGAUCCAUCUAAAAAGGUGGAGCGACGAGUACGCUUUCACGCCACCAAGUACGUACUGCUCGAAGAUGACCUGUUCUACCGAACGAUCGAUGGUGUCGUUCUUAAGUGCCUUGGGACAGAAGAAGCCAAGACUCUAAUGGGAGAGAUCCAUGAAGGGGUAUGCGGAGCUCACCAAUCGGCACAUAAGAUGAAGUGGAUGAUCAGAAACAACAGGUACUAUUGGCCUACGAUCCUCGAAGACUGUUUCAAAUAUUAUAAGGGUUGUCAGGAGUGUCAAAAGUUUGGAGAUGUCCAACGUGCACCCGCGUCGGCUAUGAAUCCUAUCAUCAAGCCAUGGCCAUUCAGGGGGUGGGGAAUAGACCUCAUCGGCCAAAUUUAUCCACCAUCGAGCAAGGGGCACAAAUUUAUUCUGGUGGCUACUGAUUACUUCACCAAAUGGGUGGAGGCAAUCCCGUUGAGGACUGUGACUUCGGCUAUCAUGGCUGACUUCGUAAGGGACCAUAUCAUUUACCGAUUCGGUAUCCCUCAAACUAUAACAACCGAUCUAGGAACCAUGUUCACAUCGGGGGAGUUUGAGGAAUUUACGACCGAUAUGGGCAUCAAAUUGUUGAAUUCUUCUCCAUAUUACGCUCAAGCCAAUGGUCAAGCAGAAUCCUCCAACAAAGGAAUAAUCAAGUUGAUCAAAAGGAAAAUUGAAGAAUAUCCGAAGAAGUGGCACCUGUGUUUGACUGAGGCCCUGUGGGCAUACAGAAUGGCCUGCCAUGGGGCUACCAAGUUAUCCCCCUAUCAGCUGGUAUACGACCACGACGCAGUACUGCCAUGGGAAUCUAGGGCAGGAUCAAGACGCAUCUCACUUCAGGACCAGUUGUCAGCCGAUGAUUACUCAUCUCUGAUGAAAGGGGAACUCGAUGAUUUGGCUAGCCAACGGCUAAGGGCUCUGAUAAGUAUCAAAGAAAAUAAAAAGAGAGUGGCCAGGUGGUACGAUAAGAAGGUCAAAGUCAAGCAGUUCUCCCCUGGAGACUUGGUAUGGAAGUUAGUACUACCGAUCGGAUCGAAAGAUCCUAAAUUCGGAAAAUAGUCCCCUACCUGGGAAGGGCCGUAUAAAAUCGGCAGAUGCGCUCUAGGGAAUGCCUAUAUUUUGGAAACAAUAGAAGGAGAAGAAUUCACUAGAGCUCUGAAUGGGAGGUACUUAAAAAGAUAUUACCCAAGUAUAUGGGUCGGAGCCUAAGAAAUCAACACAAUCAUACAUAGCCGAUACGAGUCGGUUUUAAGAAGCACAUAAAGUUGACCGGAACGGCCGAUUACAUUCAUUCGGUACGGACGACGGAUUACAUGGCCGACAAAGCGCUAAGUCGCCCUUAGAACAAAAAUACAAAAAAACAAACUAAUUAUUCUUCUUCUGGGAUGCCUUCCCAUUCUGAGCACGAAGGCGCGAGGCCUCUGCCGCCGCCAGGAUGACGGGCCGAGGAAACAGACGGACCCUAUCGGUAGGAGACCGCUGGCCGCCGUUCCUCUCCAGGUAGUCCAGGAUCGUGCGGGCUGUCAAAGUGACGUCAUCUCCAGGAACGUCACGACGACGAUCCCUCAUGACUGGAGAUCGGCGACGGUUUUCAUUCACCACGGCAUCUAAGACUGCACGAGCCUCUGCAGUAAUGUGGUCUUGGAGCUCCUCUUGGUGGGCCAGAAUCAGAGCCUUGUCCUCCGGGGUCAACGGGUCUUCGGAGUGGAUGCACUCGAUGGCGCGUACAAGCUCCGGACUAAGGCGUUGGGGCUAAAACAAAGAAGGAGUAAGGUGAAGUAUUCAUUUCCUAAGAUCUAAGAGGAAAGGUCGGGACCUCACCUGGUUGACGGAAGAAGAUGACGAUGAGGCCAUGACGAAACAGUCGCACUGAUGAGAAGAAGAGGAGAAGCGAAAUGGGAGCCAAGUCGAUGCUAUCGGGAGUAAGCGCCGAGGUCGAUAUUUAUGGGGAAAAUACGUGGAAAUCUGAUGAGGCUACGUCCCAUCGGUAAUAAGGAAGGCAGUAAAUAGAGGGCGUCACGAAGGGUCGGUCAAAGAAGGCAGUAAAUGUUCGUACAAAACGGUCAGUGUUUUACAGAUUACCCAAAAGGGUAUCGAUAGCCGUGAUGGCCCGACGCCGGAUCUGAUCGGCAGAGUCAAGAACCCGUUGGUCUUCUUCUGCCGAUCCAGGGACCUCCGAUGCGUUGCGGUGGAGUCUCAGAGCCUCUUGAGCAAAACGCUGCCUCUCCCGUGUCAAAUCGGCAAUAGCAGAGGGUAACUCUUGAAGUUUGUUCUCUUCGGCGCUGAUUGCCUUGAUCACUUGCUCCAUGUCUUUGGCAAGUUCCGCCCUCCGUCGUUUGAGGCGAUCUAUUUCACUAAUGAUCGCCGGCCGUGAAUCUUCUAGGACAUGGAUACGUCGAUUCGCUUCUUGAGCCUGACGCUUAAAAGCAUCUUCAUCUUCACGAGUCUUGGCCAGUUUCACGCGAUCGGCCAUAUGACGAAGGGCCCUAAAGACUGGGAUCCUCAUGGACUCGAUAAAGGCCGCCGGGGCCAAGGCCUCUUCCGCUUCCUCUGGUACUCGUCCGCUGACGUCACUAAAGAGCUGCCGAAUCGGCGAAGCAUCUUCUACCAAUCGGCCGAUGUCCCCUUGUAGGAGGGAUCGGAUGCUGGUAAGUUUAGCUCGGACGUCGUCAGGAACGGAGCUUAAAGCGACUUGGUGGGAUGCGAUUUCCUCAUCAUCAGAAAGAGCAACCGCGAAGGAGAAAAGGCUGUUGUUGGGGGAAUCUUGUUCCUAAAGAAAAUAAGGAAAAGGGGUGAAUUGGCAAGGGAUCAAAGCGAAUCGGCUGGUUGAAAGCUGGUUUAAGAAUUUACCAUUUUAAAACGAAUUUCUUCAUGCUGCGCUUGUAAAGCCGUUGUGUCUUGCUCAGUGGCUUGUGCCAUAGGUUCAUCUGACGAAGAGGACUCCACAAUAAUCGGCGCGGUGCUCGGACCAACUCCCUGGGAAGAAAUCGGUUGUCGGGAAGCGCUCGGCGUGCCGAUGGACUGCGUCAAAAAAUCGGUCAAAUACAUUACACGGAUACCCGAAGGAAAUCCGUAAGAUAAGUACUGUACCUCAAUAGAUGAGGGCAAGGGCGCGUUGGCGUCCGGUCGAGUUAUCGCCGAUUGUGGUAUUUCCAUAGCGGUGCUCUGGGAAAUACGGAGUUAAGAAAAGUUAAUAUUUAAAUAACGAUUGGAGAUGGCUAAAUUCGGGCUUACCUGCAUAGCUUCCAACAAUAAUGACGCGGCAGCCACUCCGGCUUGUGUGAUGGCUGGUGUAUCGGCACUUUGUGUGGCCUGGGGUAGUACAGUCAGGGUUUCUGCCAAUACGAGCAUGGGAGGAUCCGCCGAUUCCGUACGAGCCCGGACUCGGCGACUGGUUUUCUUGACGACCUUCUUAUGAACCUUCUUCGAUCGGCCAGCAAUCAUGUCAACUGACGGAGUGUCGUAACCGAUAAGAGGAUAGGUGGUGUACGGAUAGCUCUCUAUUAGCCGGCCGCUGCGGCUGUGCGUUGGAGGGGCUCGAUUCUCGGCCUGAAGAAACAAUGAAAUCAUUAGGUGCUCAAUCAUGUUGGAAAGAAUAAAAUCGGUAAUCAGAAAUACCUCGGCGUUGGGAUCAAUGUUGGCCAGAUCUAGAAGGUUGCAAUAUGCCGAUGCUGAGUUGCAGAAUAGAAAUUGCUUCCAUUCGGCCCACCAAAGUUUGAACGGCUGGAUGGCAAAUGGAUAUAAUAGCCAGUCAUUCAAAUUAAUCGUACUGGAGUCCGGAAUUCGGUCUCACAGCCGACAGUAAUCCAGGCCAGUUUUAAGCACAUCUCUGAACUUGAUUCAACCAGCAAAAUACACCCGUAUCGGCAAUUGACCCAUGCCGAAUUGACGUGCGGCAGUAGACGGGUUGUAGAAUUCGUAUGUAGGGGCAUCUUUCCCCGAAAAGAAGUUGGCUGGUAAGAGUCCUGGUUUGAUCAGUUCCUCAUAAAGAUCUUCAUCAAACCGGCCAGAAGUUGAAUCGAAGCAGGAGGGGAGCUCGAAGACUGGAAUGUCUCGCUGGUAUGGGAACCAGAUAGUUGCGUCCUCAUUAAAUCCAUUAUAAAAGCACCGAAAGUACUCGGCUACCUUUGUAGCGGAAUACGCACAACCUGGAAAAGCUGACGCUGCUUCACCAUAAGACAUGCAUCGGCGACGCUCGGUAGGGUCCUCCGCCGAUUCGAUAUUGGGAAACAUCAUAUGGUCCACUGGCUGUCGGGUGAUUCUGUUCAUGUAAAGGUUCAACCAUAGAUUGACAAACCACCAAGGCCCACCUGGGUUGCCGAUUGGUUCUCCCUUGGAGAGUUUUGUGCCGAUUUGAUGGAGCAUAUGGUACACGGUACCCAGAAGAUGUUUCCCGAGAGGAAUAUGGCUUCCUCUGGACAGUGCUUCAGCUAAGGAUUGGGUGUUGGUUGUUGGGCCGGCGGCUCUUCCACAAAAGAGGUGUUUUUCCAGCCACAUCAUCAGGAAAGCUGUGUGUUCCCUGUUCUCAACAGUGCCGGUCUUUUUGUUACUACUGAUAAAGCCCUUCCAGCCGCCGAUCCCCCUUGUGUCCAGCCGAUGUGACGUUGUGGUCAAAAGGUGGAAAGGUGUGUCAGGAGAAGAUAUGUCCAGGCCGGUCAAGAGGACCACAUCGGCCAGAGUGGGAGUCAUAGGACCGUGUCCAAAUAAAAAUGCAUUAAGUGCGUCGGACCAAAAAUAGUAAGCCGCCAUCACUAACGGCUCGUUCUUCUCCAUUUGAGACAGAGAGAGGUUGAUACAUUGGCCGAUUUUAAGCUCGUCCCACGAGACGCUCCUUGACGCGGCCAUCCGUUGGUACCAUUCCCUCCAACCUGGGGUUUCAUUCGGCCAAGAUCUGAAAGUGCUUGCCCAUUGAUCUAAGUUCAUAUCGGAUCGUUUGAAGGGUAUCCGGUCGGUUUCCAAAUUUAUAAGAUCUACUGGAUCUGGGUCUCCCAUAGGGCCAAGGCAAACAAGGCCAGGACUUCCCGUGAGAUGGAUAGUAAUUCUAUGCCUUACUGCCUAAAAAAGGGAAAAAGCGUACGGGAAUGUAAGAAGUAGAUCUAAGAUAAAUAUGUUGCCGAUAGGGGAAGGAUUCGGUAUCUACCUCCGGGAUAAAGUUCUGAGUAGUCGGUGCGGUCGCCGAUGCAGGUGUAGAUGACGGGGCCGCGAUGGGGAUCGCCGUUGGGAUUUCUGAUGGAGCUCUCUCAUCUGUGGAUGAAGUGACGGUCGUCGCCACCACCACCGGAGGUGCUAUCUCUGGAGCAUUGCGUGCGGGAGAACUGCCGGAAGGAGUCGCCAUUGAAGGGGAGGGAGAAGAAGUAACAGGAGCUGGAACUAGAAGACUUCGAUGGCAAGGGAGAGUAUUGAAAGAAGAGGGAUGCGCGCGCGUUGGGAAAAGAGACGUGAGCUUGAAGAUGAGCUGCGGUGAAGCACUAUUUAUAGCGUGCCCGAAGAGAGGGUAAAAAUGGAAUUUUCACCGCGCCGGCGCUUCGAGUUUUUCGGGGUAGUGGCUGUCGUGGGCGCCGAUUUCAAAAAUUGCAAUGAUCAGCCGGGAGACCGCGAAACGGAAGGAUAUUUUCACUGCGGCCAUUUCAGAAGGGAGGUUAUAAAGAAUUUCGAAGUAAAAGACUGUGUUUUACUCCGAAACUGGGGGGCAUGUGUUGACGCCGGAUUUCGUCACCAGUAGAAUCGGCACCAAGAAGAAAAGAAGUCGAAGAAGUACAGUUGGGAAUCGGUCAAAUGGUGCUAUAAUGCGGAAUCGGCUAGCAACUUUUGCUUCGCUUCAGGGUGAAUGCACCAGAAUCCCAAUCGGCAAUCCUCUGCCGAUGAGAAAUUGGCCGAUCAGGAAGAUGGACUAGUUGGGCCUGUAUGGGCUUGGAAAGAUGGAAGGAUAGGGUGGAGGUCAGCCCACGAAGCGUGGGGUAACUAACUUGGCACGAGUUGUGCUUGUAGAUAUUUGUUUUCUAUUUGAAUUAGAGAUAGAGUUCUAGUCGGUUAAGAAGAUUAUUUGUACGGGGCUAUAAAUAGCUACCUUUGUAAAUAUGUAAACACACAAUCAAUCAAUAUACAACAAGUUACUUUCUUCUUCGUACUUACUUCCGAGCAGGCGACUUCGCCAUCACUUUUUCUUCUCACGAGUUCGUACGGGUUGGCAGGGCUGCAUCACCUUGAUCUCCGGCCGAUUCUGUAAGUUCCGUUUAUCGAGUAAUAUCUAAGCUUUAACUUCCGGCGCAUCGCUGUUGUUUCGUUUAGAUUUAUUCAUCAGUUAUCGAUAUCAACUAGAUUCAUAGGUUUUUACCUGUUUUCCUAGUUUUUAUCACCAAUUAUUCCGCUGGGAAUCGAUAGUAUCGGCUUUCUAUCGUUAGAUCCAUUCGUUGCCGAUUAGAUCUUUUCCUAGUGCUGUUAUUACAAGCUUUGUACCGAUUACUUUAGUAUUCUUCUGUCUACGAGGCUAUAGAGAUCGUGCUGUCUUGUAGCCGAUUUCAUUAUCACAGUAAAUCGGCCGAUUCGCCGAUAGACUCUCUCGAUCGGAAACUUAGCCGAUCGCAGUUUCUGAACUUGACACGUGUUCUUCCUUGCCAAUCAACAGGUCAGAUUGGCUGGCACGCCGCGCGAACCGCAUCAGGGCAUUCACCCGAACAGGAGCUAAGCAGAUUCUCCCGGGUCGUGUGUCGGACGUUGGGAUUCGGUUGACCGAUUUCUAGCGCCAACAGGUACACACCAGGUUCGAACCCUAAUAGGUGGACUCCUAAUUUUAUAUAGAUUUUUACAUACAUAUGUGUACAUUUGAUUACAUACAUCCAAUGCAACCAAAGGUUCAUUGUGUAAAAAGAAUCUAAACAAGUUUCUCUAGCUACUUGUAACUAUAUGUGGACUCAUUAAUUACAACUUUAUGUAGUUAUAACUAAAACAUAAUAAUCAAGCACAUGGAUGAUAGUCAUAUUGUAAUUACAGUGGAACAUAUUAGUAUACCUAUGUACACAUACAUUAUAAGCUUCAGUUAUGCAUAUACAUGGAUGAAGUCGAACGUGUUGAUGUAGAUGUUGCAGAAUCAGCAAGCGGUCGCGUGUAGAUGCUGCCCAAAAACAUGAUUGCCUCCCGUGCAAGAGUCUCGCGCAGGGGCGGAUCCAGAACGGGGCUGCGCCCCGGGCUGAGCUGUUGAAUCACACCUAAAAUAGUCUAAUUUUAUCUCCUAAGCCUCAUUUUGUUAGGCUAAACAGCACAUAGGUUAAAGGGACUCCAUGGUCUCACCCCGGGCUGCAGCUCGGGCAGCCCGGGCCCUGGAUCCGCCCCUGGUCUCGCGGCAGUGGUUUCGAAGAUCCCGCUUUCCUUCAAGUCCGGUGCACGUCAAAUUCAAAGGUCGACGAGGCGCAGCAGUAAGAGGUUCAGCAUAGCAAAAAUAGAGUGCGCGAGUGGAGAGACGAGCAUGUGACAGCCUGCCUUACAACCAGGAUGUCUCCUUCCCCUCGUCAAGCAGUAGAAAAUACGAGCGGGCUGCGCGUGUGUGUAACAACGAUCUUCUUCUCUCUCAUAUGCAUCUAUUUUGCAUAGAGAGGAGACUCCCAUAUUUAAUCAAAGCAACCUCUCCUUGAAUUAGCAAUAUGGGACUAAAAGUUGUGCAUGCUUUGGAAUUUUCAGAUUAGGCCACACACAUGGCUUAAAUCCAACAAAAAACCACUAUGUUCACUUUUGUUGUGCCUCAAAUGCAAUUUAUGAUCAGUGCAAAUGGAUCCCUGAGACAGAUGGUUAUUUUUCCUUUUUUUUCUUUCUUGUUUUCUCAUUCCUAAAAGUGCAAAUGGAUUUGGUUUACCAUUGCAGCUGCCAUCUUUGGCCGUUCCGAGAUGCAGGGAUCGCCAUCUUUGGCCGUUCUGAACAAUCAGCACUCGUUCAGCUUAUCGACAAGCUACAAAGGAAGUGACUUGCUAGACAGCUUAUCAUCUGAAUUCUGAAGACAAGGAUAGAUAACCCUGGUUGACGGCUGUGCAAAGACAUUACGCUUGUCAAGACAUGCAUCAUAAUGGAAUUCAGCAGAACUAGACCCAAUACUCAAAUAAUGGCAUACAUGAGGCCUUACGCUUGCGGCUCUGUUGCUGAUGAAGCCGGUACGGUUCAACGGCUGGAGACUGCACCUCCCGACUGGAGAUCAAUGUAUGAUGAUGAUCGAUGCGCUGGGCAUUUCUUUGUGGAUUGUUGGAGUACUCUGUACUCCGUAGUCUUUUAGACACAAUGCAGCUGCAAGGAGAGUCAGAAAGAAAUACGCGCGCAGAAUCUCAGCCCCAGGAGACGAUCGAGGCCGGUUGUGUUUCGCUUGUAAUCUUGUCGAUCGAAGCAAUGCGUGGUAUUGCAAUGCAACAUGUGGAGCAAGCCAGCUCUGGAGCUCCUUCAGAGUUGCUGCUACACUGGCCAGUGGCUACGCGGCCUCAGAGUUACGGUGCCGUGUCAGCUGCUGUAUUGGCUAUUUGAGACUCCUGAACCUCUAUACUACACCUGUGCUGCUGUGCAGAGGCAGUGUCUCCUCUGUCCAUGGAUUUGAUCCGUUGGGGCUUGUUGAUCAUGUCCACAUAGGUGCCACGGCAGACACGUGGGCAGCGACAGGAAUCGGCGUGGGGUCGUUGUUGCUUGUCAGGACUUGAGGACAAUCGGCGGUUGCAGAGGAUGCAAUGCAAGCAGGAAUCCUACGGACCGGUGCUCCCCGCGUCGCCGACACCAUCUCUCCCGUGGACGGAGCAAUGUGCCGUCGUGUCGCGUCCGGCGUGGCGGCGUCCCACCGGCGUUCGGUUCACGACCUGCCGUCGGCCGCCGCUUCCUUUCCACUGCCACGCUCUCUGCUCUUGUGUGCUCGUGCUCCUGCGCACACAUUUUGAGAGGCGCCAUGCCAUUCAUCUCUCCCGGAGACGGGGCUCCACGACAAGGCGUGUCCACAGUGCCUUCGCAGAUGCAGACAUGCAAGUACGGGUGCCCUAGAUGGCCGUGCCCUGUCCCGCUGUCCGACGACUGGCUUCACGGCACGGGCCGCGGGGCCCACAGCUACAGGGCUUUGUCCCAUCCGUUGGCGGCGCGUGCGCCCCAGUCAACGUGGGACUCUGAUCUGGGAGGCAGCAGCUGGGUUAACUUGUUAAUUACCACCACUGCUAAUCGCGUCUCGCGGCAACCAUGAGGCCUGCUCAAUGGGCGCAAUUUGCAGCCGCCAGGUUCACGCGCUGGGCAGUCGCGUGUUAGGGUGCGGAGCUGAAUCCGGCCCAACCCACUCUACUCACACACAAGCCGGCACCCCAUCAGGACUAAAUCUAUUGGAGCCUAUAAUGAUAAGAUCUUACACCUAACUUAACCCAAAAGGUGUAACUUAACCUAAAAGAUUAGUGUAAUUCUAAGAGCAAUUUCAAGAAUUUUUAAAAAGUUCUUCCCCAAAACGAUGUAUCGAGAUCUAUUUUAAAAUUUUUCUUUCCCAAAAAAUAUAUCAACCCACACCAGAAGACGCCAAUAGCUACCACUAAUAUUUUAAAACACGUCACGUCAUCAUAAUUGGACCCAUUAGUUAGGCUGCCCACUUCCCCAGGACACCUCAUCCUCGUGAGACCUCCCUCCCCCUCGUGAGACCUCUAGCGCAGUGCUUUUUUGUUCUUUAGCCCUUUCCGCGAAAGAUUCUCACAAAUACGCCCCUGGCGGAACCAAUUCCAAAAAUGGACCCUUAGCUUGGCGCCAUCCACGCUGGCGCCAACUUUACACGUCUCGGCGCCAGCCAUCCUAGCGCCAAGGUCCAUGCGCAGCUGCUAACGCGGAUGCCAACGUGGCGGGGGCUUGGCGCCAUCAUGGAUGGCGCCAAGCUUGGCGCCGUAGGCCUUGGCGCCGAGCAAUUUACCCCGUGCCUCCUGGCGUUUCGAACGAAACAAGUAUAAUUAUUCCGAGGAGUGUGCAACAAACUACGCUCUAGUUCAACUGGUUAGGAUGUGAGCUUCUUAUUCCAAAGAUCAGAGUUCAAACCCUGCCCACGGUACAGGUGAGUACUCCCGGAACUAGCAUACCUUUUUUUUUGUCCCGAACCGGUACAGGUGAGUACUCCCGGAACUAGCAUACCUUUUUUUUUGAACUCUGAUCUUUGGAAUAAGAAGCCCAUGUCCUAACCAGUUGAACUAGAGCGUAGUUUGUUGCACACUUCUCGGAAUAAUUAUACUUGUUUCGUUCGAAACGCCAGGAGGCACGCGGUAAAUUGCUCGGUGCCAAGACCUACGGCGCCAAGGCUUGGCGCCGUGAUGGAUGGCGCCAAGCCCCCGCCACGUCGGCAUCCGCGUCAGCGGCUGCGCAUGGACCUUGACGCCAAGAUGGCUGGUACCGAGACGUGUAAGCUUGGCGCUAGCGUGGAUGGCGGGGUCCAUUUUUGGAAUUGGUUCCACUAGAGACGUAUUUGUGAGAAUCUAAAAAAAGCUAAAAAACAAAAAAGUCGGCCUCUAGCGCCGCUAGCAGGACCUGCGCAUGGAGGAUUUUGCCACCACCCCUGCCAUGAGAUGCACCCAGUUGUGCAUCCCAACGAGCCAACGAGCUGGUCCCUCUUCCUCUUCAGGUGCGCCGAUCCAGCGCUUGGUCCUUGGUCGGCGACAGGACGAACCUGUCCUUCGUUGAGCCCAAGUGCUGGCUGGCAUCGCCGCUGCUCUCGACCACCUUGUGGUCCUCCAGUGGUAUAUCAAAGGUCUGAUCGACGAGCUCAAGGUACUUACGAUACAUUAGUUUGACGGCCAUGGCGGCGGCGGGGUCGAAUCCGAUAGCCUCGGCAACAGCGCCCAUAGGACGCGACGACGGCGAACCCGCUGCAAGCGCGAACGGCGAGGAAUAGGCGGAGAAGCUUCACCUUGUGGCCGCCCUCGAGCGGCGGCGGCGGGAUCGUGAAGCACGAGGCCGCCUUCGGGUCCCAUGCAUCGGUGAGGAAGGCCGCGAGCACGGCGUCGAACAAAGUGGACGCGCGCACGGCCGUGAACUCGGCCUCCGGGAUCUCUAGCUUGGAGAAGACGAUGAUGAUCUCAUCUGCCUCGUUAGUGGAUCUAGCAGAUGCUAUGUCAGGCACCGAGAAAGAUGCCUUUGUAGUUGUUGCUUCAGUUUGCCUUGGGACUACCAACAAUACAGUCCAUUUGGUACUCAACAAUAUAGUUUGCCGAGUGUACCCCCUAGCACUCGGCAAACUAUAGGGUUUGCCGAGUGUCCCAUCAAGACACUCGGCAAACUAGUGCCUUUGCCGAGUGCCCUAUGUUGACACUCGGCAAACACUAACGGCCGUCACGGAGGGGCGCCGCCGGCGGCACGGGGAAGUCACGUGGGCGUAAUUUUUCCGAGUGUCAAAGUUUGCCGAGUGCCUGUUGGGUGUUUGCCGAGUGUUUUUUGGGUGGCACUCGGCAAACCGGUAUUUCGCCGAGUGUUUUAUUUUUGCCGUGUGUUUUUUACGUUACACUCGGCAAAACGACUCUUCGCCGAGUGCCCGAAAAAAAGCACUCGGCGAAGUAAUUACACUCGGCGAAGAUAAGCUUUCCCGUAGUGAACGAAAUUUGCUUGAAAGACAAAAGGUUGGCUUCCUAUCUAAACUUCAUGCAAUUGAUUAUGCAUCUUCUUCAUUGGUUGCAAUAUUAUAUCACUCUCCCUAUAGCUGUUGCAUCGCAUUCCUCCUCCGAGUUCUAACUACCAACGGAUAGGGGCAUAGUACAAAAUUUGUUGAAACAUAGAUGAAGAAUAAGUUUGUAAUGGUUACUAGGGUUCUUGUCAAUCGGGAUAGAAGUAUGAGUUCAUUGUUUAAAUCUUAGCUUAAUCAUAAAUAAAAAAAAUUGAUUUUUUCUCCCAUGUGCACCCACAAAUUCUUUGGAGGCUUAUUUACACAGUACCAUUAAUUUUUUUAUAAGGAAACAUGCUCAUUAAUAUCAUGAUUUAUUAUUUUUUAAAUGAUAGAUAUUCCACUUAUAUAUAGUUUUUGUUUGAUGGCCGUGCAGGAGUCAGCGAAGGGCUACGAGUUUGCGCUGAUGCACGUGAUGAAAUAAAAAAAGUUGUUGACAUCCACUAUUAUACUUUGCAAGGAACUUAGGAAAACAUUGACAUCCAAUCUUGAAAAACCCUUCUAUGGAGAAUGUAUAUGAGCAUAUGAUUAACAGCAAUCAUCAGGAUGGGGAGGUGGUCAAAGAAAAUAAUACUCGACCAUAUGAUUAACGGCAAUCAUACGAACAAUGAACAAUAAGAUGUUUUCUUAUUGAGAGUUUUAUUAGAGUUUUAUUUUGGGAAAAGUUAUACAUUGCUCGGGUGAUUCAGAGCUCCCGUCACCUGAAUUUUACACCAUCCGAUCUGACGAUUUGUUUUUUCUCUCCGUCUGAUCAAAUUAAAGCUGGGCUUCUUUUAUUGCGGUACAACUUGCCUCUCUCCUCCGCCCUGUGCUUAUUGCGGUACAGCUUGCCUCUCUCCUGCCUGCCUUGUUCGGUAUAGCAUGCUGCGGCUGCGGCUGUGCAGCCAGGCUACAGCUUUUGCAGCCAGUUGUAUCCAGCUACCAGCAGCUUUCUUGGCACUGUUUGGGCUACAGCAGAAACAUGAAGCAGCUACGGUUAGGAUUUCAUUUACAUUAGGAUUCUUAAUGAUUUUGUUACUGUAAUUUCAAUUUGUUUAUUGUGUAAUUUUAAAUCUGUGUAAAUUUGCAUGUUGUGUUUGCAUCUUUAGGGUUUCCACUAACCUAAAAUUAUUUGUUCUUUGGUUAACCAUAGAAAAAAAUAUGUUCAACUAUUUAUUUUGCUCUUCCUUGUUUAUAUAAUAUUUUUUUAAUCAUCUGAUCAGAAUAUUAGAGUCAUAACUUUCAGGUGGCAGAUCUAUUUGCAUCACCUGAAUUUUUUUCCAGUUCAAAACUGGGUGUUAUUCCCCUGCAAAUCACCCGGGUGAUUGCAGUCAAAAUAACACCCGAGUGACCAGUAGACAGCCCUUUUAUUUUUAAUAAAUAUUUGAAUUUGGAUUGUUAGUUAUAUGUUAUUUCACUUUCAAUUUCGGUAAUAUAGUAACUAUUUAUUAUUAUAUUAUACAUGAUCUUGUAUGCCAUCCUUUUUUUAUCACCUGCGGCACGCGUCCACUAGUUUAUUAUUAAAAAACAACUAAUUAUUAUCACCGCUGCUGAUCCUUGGGCUCAAUUUUUUGGCGAAGCGUAACUGAGAGCUAUUACGCGUUGAGAUUGUUCUUGCGUAGCGUGCGCUCUUCAGAGAGUAUCUUGGCGAAGCGUGCUAGCGCUUCUUCGUUUGUGCCCUCACCAUCAACGGUCUCGUAGAUCCCUGUCUCGAUGUUCACUCUCGUCACCGGUUUCUUGAGCAGGACCUUGCCGAUCCCUAUCAGGGUCUCCAUGUUCUCCUUGGUCGCGAUGUCCACUGAUGACGUGUUCCCCUUCAACGAGUCAUCCUACACAAAUAUAAUGCAUAUCAUUGUCGACGACAAACUAGAUCUGUGGAGCUAUCAAGAACAACUUGAGCUUUAUCAGUAAAUAUACCUGGAUGCGAAGGUAGCUCAUCUCAGAGUGGAAGGCCUCAAAGAGCACGGCUGCAUGGAUGUCGACCAUGCCAGAGCUGGCAUGGGAGAGCAUGUCGAUGAUCGGGGUGAAGCCGCCAUUGUAGAGCCACUGGACGGGACCCCAUUUAGCACACUGAUGUGCGGUGUACUUCUCCGACUGCUUCGCCGACCCGGUCCCGAUAGAGAUGAUGAGGUAGUCCCGGUAAUCGACGGAGUCCCUGUUCAAAUGGAAGUCCGAAUUGCGACGGAGCACCUCCUUGGUGAGCAUGGACAUGGCCAACAUGGUGGGGUUGUUGGCCGCCAUGCCGCCGUCGACGAGGUGGAACUCCCGAGACUUGCCGUUGGGAGCCUCGGUCUUGAAGAAGUGGGCCGGGAAGUAGGUUGGAGCUGCUGAUGCGCUGAUGCAGAUGUCGGAGAGGAGCGCGUUCUUGAGGGGCUCGUUCUUGGCCUCGUAGGUGCUGAAGAUGACCGGCUGUAGGUACUUGACGUCGAACGCCGGCACGAUGACGUUGGUCACCGUGUCCGCGAUCCUAACGUCGUGGGUGAGGUUCUUGAUCUUGUCGUGAAGGAACACGCCGUCGUACUUGGGACCCCUCAUCGUGGACAUCAGGUCCAUCGCCGUAGACAGCCAUCCUGCCCUGCAGAAUCAACAUCGAUUUCAGUUCCCGAAUCUCUUAGAAUGGGUGCGGCGCAGGAGGGGGCCAGGGGACGGGCGGAAGAAGAAAGGAGCAGGGAGAAGAUGCGGCGGCGCUCGGGAGGAACGAGCAACAGCUGGAGGAGGGAAAAGGGUAGGGGCAGUAUUGAUUAGGAGUUACAUUUAUUGCUCUUUAGUCCCUACAACUAAACAGGCGGGACUAAACUUUAGUAUUCAAGUUUUAGUUUCUAAAAUAAGCGAGGGCAAACUAAACAGACCCUAAAUCGCUUCAGAUUCUUACUGGAUUGAGAACUUCAAAAUGGCUGCUUACUUUCUCUGUGGGAAGAUCUUGGGGCAGUUCUCGAGGUAGAAGGUGGUGAGAUCCUUGGCAGCGAACAGCGGCCGCUUGUUCUCGUUCGGCGCCGCCAGCAUCAUCGUGAGCAGGGCGCCGGUGCUCGUCCCGGCGAUCACGUCGAAGUAGUCGGCGAUCCGAGCGUCCGGGCCGUCCAGCUCCUGAAAUUGUUCACAUCACGUGCAACCAGUCUUACUAUAUUGAUCAUGUGCAGAAUGGAUUUCGAACGAAUUAAAAUACUGGAAUGUGCUGAUGAUGUGCAAGUAGUCAAUGUAUGUGCUUCUUGGGUUUCUGCACCGGCAGCUUAGUACCUGGAGCUUGGCCUCGAGGCAGGCGAUGAUGGUCGCCGGGAUGAGACCACGGAUGCCGCCGCCGUCGAUGCUCAGAAUCGUGAUGAGCUUCCCCUUUGACGGCGGUGGCUGUGGCACCGUUGUCGAGGUGGCACCGUUGCUAGCCAUGGCGAGAUUGUAUGAGAUCAAGAAGAGAAUCUAAGGAGAGAUUAUCACUUCUACGAAUUUAUGAUGCAAUUAAUGCAUUAUUUAUUUAUUUAUGCACCUAAAGCAUUUUCAUUGUAUAGAAGUGCCCCGUCCAAACCAUAUUUCUUCGAUGGGACCUAUAAGAAUUUGAUGUCAUAUGUUAUAUUGGUACCAAUGUAUAGAACUAAGGGUUGAAUUCAGAGGCAAUUCCUCACGUACCAUUAAAAAGUUUGCAAUUUCAUAUCUACCACCGAAGAACUUGAUGUGUACCAUUGGUUCAACUUUUUUUUGACCUCAGUGCCAUUGACGUCUAAUUUGGGAGGACUGAGAGGUAGCAUCGAGCGGAAAAUGCCUAUUUUACCCUCUUGUUACUGUUUCCCCUUUCUCUGCCGGACCGCCCCAUCCAAGCGUGCGGCUCCUCGCUGCACCCUCGCAUCGUCCACGGCGUGCAGCGCCACAGCCCACCCUCUUGCUGCCCCUUCACAUCGUCCACACCGCGCGUCCACGUAGCCUGUCCUCUUGCUAAGCCCCCGCGUGGGCCGUCCGUGGCGCUCCGUCCAUCCCCUUGCUCCGCGACAGGUCGUGCAUCAUUGGGAUGGCAUCCGCCAUGUGCCGGAAGUCCUGGGACCAAGGCCAUCGAUCUUGUUCACUCUGAAGCCAAGAAUGGUGCGCUGAACACACACUGCCGGUUCUAUGUCAAGGCCGAGGAUGGCGUUUGCGAUCGAGGCCAAGAAGUUCGAGAGUGGUCAUCGGGUGCGCCGUCCUGGGAGCAUGGACAGCAUCUGCUGUGAACCACCACGCCGGCCACCUGACGAGCUUCAUGUUGCCCUUGCGUAGGAAGGACUCGUACUGGAGUGAGAAGGGGCUAGGAGCCCAGAACCAAGCGGCAACACCCCGCGAGGCUAGGCCAGCGUACACCCUCCGUGCUGCCACGGUUCGUUGCCACGGUUCGCUGGACAAUUUGGGUUAAUGAAAUCACGUGAAAGAGAAGAGGGAGGCAAAAACCAAAACGAAAAAGAAAAGAAAAUGGAUGGGACCGUCCUGUAAGCAGGGUAUUGAAGUUAUUUCUACAAAUAACUGGCAUCUAACGGAGACUUCAACACCAAAACUAGACGGUAAUAUGGCACUGAGGUCAAAAAAAAAGUUGAACCGAUAGUACGAGAGGCGCAUAAAGUUUUUCAGUGGUAGAUAUGGAAUUGCAGACUUUUUUAAUGGUCUGUGAGGAAUUGCCUCUUAAAUCUACAAACACAACCCACACCCCUCACUCCACUCUUUCUCUCUCAUCCUCCAUAUUUUAUUGCUUAAAACGCAGUUCCAUAGAAACCAGGAUACAUAGCUGCAUUUAUUGCAUAGAACCAGCUAGGAUACACCCAUUGGAGAGGCCCUACGUUGCACAUUAUCCUAUCACGCAAAUAGAAAUCUGAAUUGAUUCAACAUGUAACCAUCAUUUGUAGGGGAUUUUAGCUAGACCGGAUCAUUAAGUUUUCAAUAAAAUUUAUGGAAUCAUCAAUUGGUGGAGAGUUAACUUGCCCUUAUAUUACCUGAUUCUUGUAAGAAAAUGCAAAAAAAAGGAACCAGGCUCGUGCAAAUUAAGCAAAUAUUUGAGCAAACUUAUAUUAAGUAGAGGAUGCUUAAGAUCAUUAAAACAAUCUUAUAGUUCAUUCAGUUCAGAAAACUAGCAUUUGUGUACCUAGAAUAUUCGUGAAGAGUUUGUGUGGGCAGUGCCCAGAAUCUUUUCACAACCUGAAAGUCAUAAUACAUAAGAUAUCAUCACAAAAAGAUUAAUCCCACUGAUUGUUGUCAUACCUGGUAUAAUGAAGACCUUGGAUCAUUUCUGGGCUCAUUAACAUCUGGAGGAACCUUUUGAACCAUGGUUUCUGUCUUAUUCAGCUUAAGAAUUAUGUCAGCGAUAGUAGGUCUCUUAGAUGGAUCAUAUUCUGCACAAAUUUGUGCUAUUUCAAUGCAUAUCUUCAUUUGUUGGCACUCUACAUGUAAUGAUUCAUGCCACUGGAAAAUUCAAUAUGUUGUAAGGAAGACAGCAUGUAUAUAUUAAAGAAAUAAAAAGUAACACUCAAUAUAUGUCACUACAGAUGUUUGAUGGCUCUUAAAGAUUAAUUUUUUUACAUGAUUAAUAAAUAACUUAAUGGUAAUACUAUGGUAAUACUAUUUCCAUUUAAAGAAUUGCCACCUUAGAAUGUGCAACCAAACUGUAUUAACUUAAUGGUAAUUUUUUUUUGUAUGGAGCAGUAUUAGAAGUUCAGAAUGAUGGUAAAUUUGAGAUAAAAGAUACUUCCCCAUGUAUAGUUGCACAAGUCAGAAUGACCAUUUGACCAACAUCUUCUAACUUUGGCCGGCACAUCAUUUGCUACCUGUCCAAUCUAUGCAAGAUAAGACUAGCUGUUGUUCAAUCUUUAAGACCCUCAUUCCUCUGUAGUCAGUAUUGGGUUAUGGCUAGAAAGCCCCUCUUCACUUUUCUCAACUACAAAACUUGGUUUGCUACUGUUUCUGAACUUUUAGGUGCUGUGAUCUGAGGUCUAAUAUUACUGUGGGGUCUAGUCUUCUCCAUAUGAGGCCUGAAGUUUGCUACAUAGCACAGACUAAUUUUUUCUUUCACAAGAGGAAGAUAGUUCAGUAUGUAAAAAUCACUUCCUCAGGGUUUAUAGUUUUUUUUUUGAAAGAAACAGGAGGGGCUAGCCCUACUGAAAUAUAUUAACAAAAAGGGUCUGAAAAGGUUACAGAGCAAAAAAACACCAAAACAAAAAAACAAGAGAAAAGUAAAAGAACAAAGAACAAAGAGGAGGUUCAGAGGGAGUGGAUCCAAUCUAAGCAUUCCUGACUUAAAACAGGGGUCAUCCUAUGCGAAGCCACCAACGAGAGCUCAGAAAAAAAUUUAGAUCGAGUUCCUGAAGUCAAAGGAUCCACACUAUUAAAAGUCCAGUCGUUCCUUGUAGUCCAAAUACUCCAAGACAUGAGGAUGAUGACUUCCAUGAAGAAGGAGGUGUUCAAAUGGCUUCUAAUCUGAUUGAAGAUAUGAACAGACGAUCUUAUGGAGACAAAGGAAAUCCCAAUCGAAUUCCAGCAGGCUUUUGCAAAAUUGCAUCUUAUAAAUAGAUGUGUUACCGUCUCCCUUUUUUGGCGGAUACACAUUUCGCAGACGUUAGAGUCCAAAUGCAUCCCCCUUCUUUGUAGGACAUCUUUUGUGUUUAGCCUGUCUAUAAGCAGAAGCCAGAAAAAGACUUUGUGUUUUUUCUGACAUUUCGAUUUCCACAGCCAGCGAUGUAUUGGGUGUGUUUCCCUUUGUCCUGUUAAUGCCUUGUAUGCUUUACUGACCGAGAAGGUUGAGGAUUCACAGAUAUAAGACCAAGUAUCAGAAUCAUUCUGUGAGACUAUAUUGUGCAUAAAAUCCUGAAGCAUAAGGAAUUCCGAAUGAGCUUCUGUGGAUAAAAAUAAGUGAAACAGCAAACCGAGAUCUGUCGUGUUUAUUGCUUUGUGAUACGAUAUAUUUUUGUUCCGAGCAAAGGAAAAGAGGUGGGGAAGCUCAGUUUGUAGGAAGUGGUCAUUCCACGAGUCUUGCCAGAGCAGAACAGUGCUUCCAUCCGCAAUCCGAGCAGAUGCAAAACCCUUGAAUUUAUGUAGCAACUUGACGAUAUCCUUCCACCAGAAGGAACCCUUCUUCUGAACACCCGGAAGAGUACCAUUGUUGUACAAUUUGUCCCAUAUCAAGUGUACCCAAGGCAAAUCAACUUUGGAGAAAAAUUUGUGUAAGAACUUUAAUAACAGAGCCUCAUUCUGUGUAAUUAUGUUGAGCACCCCUAAUCCCCCUUGACAUUUGGGUAAGCAAACUAAGGGCCAAGAAGCUUUGGACGGUUUGGUAGAUGUUAGAUCUGAGCCUCUCCAGAGGCAGUGUUUGCGGAAUUUGUCAAUCUGAUGGAUAACCCCUUUAGGUAGUUUCAAAGUGGCCAUCUGAAACAUAGCUGAUGAUGUUAACACAGAGUUCACCAACUGUAAUUUUCCUCCUUGUGAAAGCAUAGAUGAUAUUCCACCUAAUUUCCCUUCUAUUCUUUUGAUCAAAGGGAGAAAGUCUUGCAUAUUAGGUUUACGUAAUCCCAGAGGUAAACCCAGUUAGGUGAAAGGAAAAGCACCUGUUUGAUAAUUUAGGAUACCAGCCAGAAGAUCAAGCUUGUCCUGCUGAGUGUUUAUGGGGACCAUCAUGGAUUUGUUGUAGUUAACUUUUGUAUGUAGGACUGUAAAUUACAGAGAUGUGUUAUGGUGGGCAUCCCCUACAGGGGGCGUAGGCAGCAGCAGCAGGCCCAGGCGCCUGAAGGGGAUGAGCCCAGUUAGAGUUGGAUUAGGAUAAGAAAGAGAUAGAGUUGGUUCAGGCCUUUCUUGGCCAAGGAGUAAUCAGUUAGGAUUCUCUUUUUAGGGGUGAUAUAUAAACCCAAUUGUACUAGGGAUUAAUCAAGCAAUCAUAUCAGAAAGAUAUCGUUGCCCAGCUUCCCACGUUUUCCUCGUCUCCCUGCUCGACGCCGUGCGAACAGCACAGCGCCUCCCCGUCGCCCUUCCUUCAAGCCUUGACCCCCUGCUUCCCACCAGUACUUCCUAUGCAACAGGCAGCGCUCUACCAAUCUGGUACCAGGGGUGCCGGGCGCUGAGUCCCCUGAUCCGGAUGCCGUCACCGCUGGUUCCACCAGCGCCCAACCAGAGGGCAGCCACUCCAUCUUGCUCACCAUCCAAUGUCAAUCGGUGGACAUCUCCAAGCAGCUCGCCGCUCAGCACCUUUGCAUCGCUGAGGUGGAGAAAUGCCCUAUGGAUUCUGCUGCCAACACACCUUGGAGGAGGAUAAAGUCUGGCUGGCGUCGUAUCACAUGACGGGGAUGGCCUAGACUUGGUACUUCAUGCUGGAAUGCAACUCUGGGCCUCUGUCGUGGUUUGAUUUCAAGAUGUUGUGCAAUCAAUGCUUCGGUCCACCUCUCUGGAGUAAUCCCUUGGGCGAGCUGGCGUGGCUGCAGUUCCGUUCCACGAUGGCCGAGUACCAGGAGCGUUUCCUCGCUCUUCUGUGCCAUGCUGAUCGCUUGGCGCCUCGUCAACAGGUGCAGCUCUUCACGGCUGGCUUCCCAGAGCGGAUUCACAUCGAUGUUGAGCUCUAGGACCCCGACGACCUGCAGGCAGCCAUGUCUUUGGUGCGGGCUUAUAAGCACUGUUCCCUCGCACCGGAGGAUUCUACUCCCAGCCGGCCACCUCGCUCAUCAGCCUGGCCAUCCUUCCCUGCUCCAGCAGCACCGCGCGGUGCUCCUCCGACAUCUAUAGCAACAGCGCCAGCUCCCCCACUACCGGGCGCCGCUGCCCUAUCACGCCUGUUCCAUCGGCUGUCCCUGGUCAAGCUCCAGGAUCACCGCAAGCAGGACCUCUAUUAUAAUUGUGACGAGCAGUAUGUCCUGCAGCCACCACUGCUAGCGCCUCUUCUACAUUAAGGUUGCAGACUACGAUGACGAGGAGUCCCCUGACCACAACAUGGAUGAAGCCACGCCAAUCAUCUCCCUCCAUGUGUUUACUGGCAUCCGAACUGAGGAUACGAUGCAGUUCAACAUCCAGUACAAGGGCGUGGUCUUCUCGACUCUGAAUCCACCCACAACUUUGUCAACAGUGCUACCACCUAUCACCUGGGCAUGCCCAUCUACCCGUGUAUGGGUCUGCAUGUCGGCGUGGCCAACGGCGACAAGAUUGCCUGUGAAGGCCGUGCCCUGGACGUUCCUAUCACCAUCAGCAUGGAGGCGUUUUCCAUCAGCUGCUAUGCCAUUCCCUUGGGCUCCUUCGGUAUGAUUCUGGGGGUAGAAUACCUCAGUUCUUUGGGCCUGAUUUUGUGGGAUUUCGAUGAUCUGUGUAUGGCUUUCUAGCCUGGUGACCGUCGGGUAUUUUGGAAGGGAAUUGGAUCUGCCCGAGAUGAUAUUUAGGAGCCCGCAGUGCGCGCCGUUAGUGGUGUGGGUGCUGAUUUAAUGGAUCGAUUGCUGCUGGAAUCUGAAGAUGUGUUUCAGGACCCGUCUGGUCUGCCUCCAUCACGCGCCUGUGAUCAUCAUAUCCACUUAUUGCCUGGCACAGCUCCGGUGGUAGUCUGGCCUUAUCGAUACCCACAGUUUCAGAAGGAUGAGCUCGAGUGGCAGUGUCAGAUGAUGUUGGAACAAGGCAUUAUCCGCCCAAGCACCUCAGCAUUUUCAGCACUUGUAUUGCUUGUGAAGAAGGCCGAUGGCGCUUUUGUGUAGAUUAUCGAGCUCUCAACUCCAUAACUGUCAAGGACAAGUUUCCUAUUCCGGUGGUGGAUGAGUUAUUGGAUGAACUACGAGGUGCCCGUUUCUUCACCAAGCUGGACCUCCGUUCAGGCUAUCAUCAGGUCCGUGUCCACCCGGACAACAUUGAGAAGACGGCGUUCCGCACACACCAUGGUCACUUCGAAUUCUUGGUGAUGCCGUUUGGUUUGACCAAUGCACCGGCGACCUUCCAGAGUCUCAUGAAUGAGGUGCUUCGACCGUUUCUCCGCUAUUUUGUUCUUUGUUCUUUGAUGACAUUUUAACCUCCAUUAACACUUGGGCGGAGCAUUUGCAACAUGUGCAUGCUGUCCUUGCCACGCUCCGUGCCAAUUCACUGUUUGCAAAGCGCUCCAAGUGCUCAUUUGGAGCACAGUCCGUCGCCUACCUUGGCCAUGUCAUCUCGGGGGAUGGUGUGGCUAUGGAUGCGGACAAGGUGGCUGCUGUGACUACUUGGCCGACCCCACGGUCAGCCUGCAGCCUCCGCCGUUUCCUCGGCCUCACAGGAUAUUAUGGCAAAUUCAUCAAGGAUUUUGGGAUCAUUGCCGAGCCAUUGACUAAGCUCCUGCGCAAUGAGGGUUUUCUAUGGUCCACUGAGGCUAAAACAGCCAUGUCCGCAUUGAAGAAGGCGCUGUUCACAGCUCCUGUUUUGCAGCUACCCACAUUUGACAAGGAAUUCCUAGUGGAUUGUGAUGCUUCAGGGUCCAGGUUUGGUGCUGUUUUGCACCAGGGAGCUCGUCCUAUUGCGUUUUUCAGCCGGCCAUUUGCUGCUCGACACUUGAAAAUUGCGGCAUAUGAGCGAGAAUUGAUUGGGUUAGUCCAAGCUGUGCGUCAUUGGCGGCCUUAUCUUUGGGGCUGCCGCUUCAUCAUCCGCACUGACCAUUACAGUCUCAAGUACAUGUUGGAUCAGCGUCUCUCUACUAUCCCUCAGCACCAAUGGAUCAGCAAGCUGUUUGGUUAUGAUUUUGCCGUCGAGUACCGCUCGGGCUGUCUGAAUAUAGUGGCUGAUGCAUUGUCACGCCGUGAUACCCCAGAGGGUAGUAGUACAGGCAAUUUCUGGUCUAUCCUUUCAGCUAUUGGACGACAUCAAGCAUGACACGGACAAAAUAGAUGCGCUGCGUACAGCCCAAGAGGACAUUCUGGCUGGCCGGCUAGGUGAUCCUUGGAGUGUCCAAGAUGGCCUGGUUCUCUAUGGUGGCCGCAUAUUUCUUCCUGAAGUGUCGGAGCAUGCUUGCAUGGUGCUCCAUCUGGCGCACACGGUCGGUCAUGAAGGGGUUCAGAAGACUCUCCAGUGGCUGUGCGCUGAUUUCGGUAUUCCCCAUGAUCUCCGCUUAGUCUGGGAGUUCGUUCGGUCUUCGGUGCAUCACCGGUGAUUGCCCUCGGGCGUGGGUUGCUUGGCUUGGCUGCCUUGGGCCGAGUAUUGCUACAACACAUCCUUCCAUUCAGCCCUCCGGACGUCCCCGUUCCAUGUGGUUUACGGUCGCCCACCUCCGGCCAUGGUACCAUAUUCGCCAGGUACAGCAGCACUACCUGAGGUGGAGGAAUUGCUAAGGGAACACGACAUAUUCCUCAUUGAAGUUCAAGAUCGCUUGCUGCAAGCACAUGAAUACUCCAAGCGCUACUACAAUGACCAUCACAGGGAGUUGGAGUUUGCUGUUGGGGACUGGAUGUGGCUGCGUCUUCUUCACCGCCAAGCCCUGUCCUUGGUUGAUCGUCCAAAGGGAAAGUUGGGGCCCUAAUAUGCAGGGCCGUUUCAGAUUCUGGAGUGCAUUGGCGAGGUUGCCUAUCGGCUGCACCUUCCUGCUGGUGCCCAGAUUCAUGAUGUGUUCCAUGUGGAGCCUCCUCAAGUGAUUCCAUGGUGAUCCACCGGUACAAACUCCUCCACUUCCUGCGUUGGAGAAUGGCCGUUUCCUUCCCCUGCUGACCAAGGUACUAUAGGCUAGGGUUCGGCACGGCAUUUAGGAUGUUCGUGUUCAGUGGGCUGGCAUGAAUGAGAGUCAAGCUGGGAACCGUUGACACAAUUCAAGCAGUCCUACCCGGAGUUUCAGCUCGAGGACGAGUUGUUUGCCAAGGCGGGGAGAGAUGUUAUGGUGGGCAUCCCCUACAGGAGGCGCAUGCAGCAGCAGCAAGCCCAGGCGCCUGAAGUGGAUGAGCCCAGUUAGAGUUGGAUUAGGAUAAGAAAGAGAUAGAGUUAGUUCAGGCCUUGCUUGGCCAAGGAGUAAUCAGUUAGGAUUUUCCUUUUAGGGGUGAUAUAUAAACCCAAUUAUACUAGGGAUUAAUCAAGCAAUCAUAUCAGAAAGAUAUCGUUGCCCAGCUUCCCACGUUUUCCUCAUCUCCCUGCUCGACGUUGUGUGAACAGCACGGCGCCUCCCCGUCGCCCUUCCUUCAAGCCUCGACCCCCUGUUUCCCACCGGUACUUCCUACGCAACAGGCAGCGCUCUGCCAGAUGCCUGUUUACCAGUGUUCAUUUUGUCAGAUUAGUAUUGCUCGAGUUCACCUUCUUUUGGUGGCUCUUUCCUGGGAACAAUACUUAAGCUAGAGGCAAUCUGAACUAGAGGCAAACCGUGAAAGAUAAGCCUUUUUUGUCUCUCUGGUCAUACACAAGUUGGCAAAACACUGACUAAUAUUAUGCAAGGAAUCCAAACAAGAGGAGAUGGAUCAGCAUAUUGGGGCAUGGCAAUUGUUCCCUGUCUUUCAGGUUCCUUUGUGAACUUUUGAAGCAAAGCCUUUGGGUGUAAGUAUAUCAAUCGGUAAGGCAUAAGUCAAAAAGUAUUAAAAAGGCAGGAAAAUUAUUCUCACAUUUUCAGCAAUACUCUCGUUACUCCCUAUCAACAGCCUUGUCAUGAUAAUGCCCAAACUGAAUAUAUCUGACUUGAAAGAUAUUUUUUGUUUAUCUAUGAAUUCUGGUGCGAUAUAUCCUCUGCAGGAAAUAAAAUGGUUUGAAGCAUUACGGUGUAAAAUUCACAGAUUUGGUUUCAAGAAAGACAAUGAGGUCUCGAUAAGAUGAGCUUACGGUGUUCCACGCAAGUUGGUAGUGAAUAUUGUGGACUGGUUUUCAUCAAUGCACCUUGACAGACCAAAAUCUGUAAUUUUUGGCUCCAUGUGAGCACCCAGCAACACAUUUGCAGGUUUGAGAUCCAAAUGAUUAAUGCGUCUUUGGUGCAGAUAAUGCAAACCCUGACAAAUUCCCUUAAUUAUUUUAUAACGAAUACUCCAUUCAUAUCCACCAAUGCUUUCUGUACAAGUGAACAAAGGAGCACUCAAAUUAUUAACGUGCCAUUGUUCAUAGUGAAUUUUCACAAACAAAAGGAGCAAACCGUAAAUGAAACUUUCAUAUUCAAAAUAUUUGGAUUACAAACACUAUACACUUCUCACAGUGGAUGUUAAGAGCAUUGAACUCUGGGAGUUGUUGAAACUUAUUAUCCCCAGUAUAUUAUCUGAGUGGAGCACAUGCCUCAAAAUUUUUAAAACUAUUCCAAAGGGCUGGAAUUAAUACACGGCAGUAACUAGUGCAAAUUUCUAGGCAUGAUAAAGUUUUUGAAAGUUAGCCACUUCUCACUUCUCACACAAUCAGGUGAAUGGAUAACUGAUAUCAUGAGGUACUUGUUUUGUGAGUUGACAUGGUGAAUAUAAUAUUGCAAAUUUAUACCUUGAAGAUAAUGGUGAAGACUUCCAUUUGGUACAUACUCAAAGCAGAGUAAUCUUUGCUGCACCUCAACAAUCCUCUGUUUACCAUCUACUUCCAUCAGAUAUCCUUGUGUAUCUGCACAGUAGCCUAUAUAUUUUACAAUAUUUUUGUGCUUUACCCUCUUUAAACAAGCAACUUCGUCCAAAAAUUGCUUAUCAGUAAAACUUUCUGAUAUGGAAAGCUUCUUCACAGCAACCAUCCCGCUUCGAAGACCUCCCUGUUUAACAUAACAUGCAAGGCAAGUAUACCACUGUUAACCUCCCUGUUUAACAUAACAUGCAAGGCAAACAAGAUCCAAUAGCAUACCAGGUAAACCACUCCAAACCCACCAUCACCGAUAACCUGAGCAAAGUUUUUUGUAACUGAUUUUAUUACCGCAUAUGGUAUCGUGAUGGGUUCUGCAUUCACAUCGCUAAGUAUGCGCUCUAGGUCUUCAACUCCACUUUCUUGAUCACCCAUUUCUGUAAGUCACAAAAUACUGUCAAUGAGAACCAAUGUAAUUUUUCCUUUCCAGACAACGUGUAAAUUUCACUCACUCUGUUGAAGAACACAUAACUUUUCAGAUAAGAAAUGGUCACAGUAAUAUAUUAGUCAAAGCACCUCUUGCAAGAAGUAAUGAUAAUCAUUAUUUUCAACAGAUCAAUGUAAAUGCAUAUUUGUGUUCUAAAAGCAGUUGAGCUUGUAAAAGCACUAACCUGGAAGUCCUGAAGGGAUGCCAGCAGCAGCUCCCAAUACAACCAAGUUGAAGUCCGCAAGAAUAGAAGGGUUUCCGCCCACUUACCCAACCCGCGGAGGCAGAGGGAGAAGACCGGCAGCGCGUGGGGAACGGAACGGGGAGAUCUCAAAUUUCUCGAGGGGGAGGGAGCUUGCGAUGGUUUGUGGCUGCAGACCCCUCGAUCUGGGUUCUUGGGAAAGGUUUCUCUACGAGUGUUGAGAGAUCGUGGGUGUGUACUUCAUGGCUAGUUGCAGGUCUGGAACGCAGGCUAUAUCUGUGCAAACCAAGAUCGACUUGAUUAGAAUCUACUCCUCAACACGAUUUUCCAAAGGCCAAGGUUUACUUAAUGUUAAGGUCGUUCUGAUCAACUAGAUAUUCAAAAGAGUUGGUAGCAUAUAUGUUGCUUUCAAUGGAGUGGUUAAUUUGUUUUCGUCUCCUUAGACUUGAUGGCUUCUUGAACAAGGAUGGAAUUAGUCGUUGGGUUUCUGAAAAGUCUUGUCUGAUAUUGAUACCAUACGAACAAGUGGCCCUUUGUUUAUUGUGCCAUGGCAAGGCUUUCGUUAAUUACCGCCUGCCUGGAUGGAUUUUAGUUUCAUCACAGACGUGGUCCAGCAGCCCUGGAUGCUUCUACAUUACUUAACUUCCAUAGAGAAUUAGCAUAAAACGAAGACGAAGACGAAGCUUUCAGCAGGGAGUUCUCUUCAGUUUCCAGCUGCUCCUCUGUUGUUGCAUAUAGCAUCCUUUAGCUUUGAUCUUCUCUGCUCAUGGUAUGUCGCUGGCUGUGGAGAGGGGUCUGAUGUCUGCCUUAUUCUUCUCAGAAAACAUGUCUUAUUUGCAGCUAUUGAUCACAUGGAAAGAGAGAAGAAACUUGAUGCUAGGGACUGCACCCGUUUCUGUUGAACCUCUCUUGAUGUUGGAGGCAACAAAACUUGCAUCGGCGCAUCCUCAUCACCCUCUGAUCAGUACCAUAUCAGUUAAUUGUUCAGUUAUUCAGGUAAUUGUCUAGUUCUAGUAGCUCUAACUAGUACAUGUUAUUUUUCUUCUUGUCUGUCAAUCUGUUGGUUUGAUUGACUGAUAGUUCUCUGUCUUCUAUUCCAUGUCUAGCUUUCUCCAAGCAAUAACUUUAUAUCUCAUUGGCCACUGUGGUUAUUUUAAACUAUAAACCGCUUGAUCAUCUAAACAAAACUACUUAUGUAAGAUUAUUACUAUUGAUCGAUACUUCUUAGUAUCAAUCACUUCUCGUUGGAAGAUACUGUCUGUAAGGUAACCAUAACGCUUCAGAUUGCUACAAUCAGGGGCGGAUUCAGAACGGAGCUGCAUCCCGGGCUGAGCUGAUGAAUCACGUUCAAAACAGUCUAAUCUUGUCUCCUAAGCCUCAUUUUACUAGGUUAAACACCACAUAUGUUAAAGGAACUCCAUGGUUUCGCCCCGGGCUGCAGCCCGGGCAGCUCGGGCCCUAGAUCCGCCCCUGGCUACAAUGGUUUACUUGUUUCUGUGAUGCCGCUACUACUACGACAUAGAAGCUAGAGUGUGAGAAUCCGAUUACUGCUCAAGAAGAUGGAUCAGAAAAUUGGAACGCCAUAAAUGGACACCACAUGGAAGUUACAAGAACUAAAAUUAUGACUAAGUCAAAUAUUUCUGUUGGUUUUCUCUGCGGAGUGCUGUCACACCUAGAAAUUUUAAAUUUCAGGAUGUGAUUAGAAAGAAUAAUUAAACAAUGAUUUUCUCAUAAUUUUAAAAAUUUUCUAACAUUUAUUUUCUUAAUAGGAAAUAUAGUAUAGGAAAAACAAUCCAGAGGCACUGGCAGCGGCAUCCAAGGUGCGCCAGGUGCACCUGCCACGGACCACCAAUUUUUUGUUGGGCGUUGGCAUCUGCAUCCGAUCGAGCUGGCAGACAUGCGUACAGCCAUGCCAGGUUUUUUUUUCACGUCGCAAGAGCACCGAGGCGUCGUUUGGUUCAAUACAUAGCUUGAGCACUACCAUUGAACUCGAUACACCACUGCUGCUCAUAGCUCACACAUACACACUACAAUCUCGCUCCUUGAGCCCAGAGGCAGAUCCGGCCAUGGAGGUGGUGACAGGGGCACUGCCGAGCGUCAUCGCCAAGCUUGGUGACCUACUGACCUGCUCGUCGGUGAGUACAAGCUGCAGAAGGGGGUGAAGGGAGAGAUCAGGUUCCUCCAAGCUGAGCUCGAGAGCAUGAAGGGUGCUCUUGAGAAAGUCUCCAACACACCGGCUGACCAGCUUGACAUUCAGGACAAGAUUUGGGCCAAGGAUUUGAGAGAGCUGUCCUACGAUAUAGAGGACAAUAUUGACACAUUCAUGGUCCGUGGAGAGGGCAAUGAGCAGGCCAAGCUGCGUGGCAUCAAGAAGUUCAUUGAUAGAAGUGUUGGUUUGUUCAGAAAGGUCAUGGUUCGCCAUGGCAUUGCUACUGAAAUCAGAGACAUCAAGAGCCGUGUUGAAGAGGUGGCCAAGCGGCAUGAUCGGUGCAAGUUAUCAAACAGUAAUGUGGCUAAGCAUGUCCCAAUCGACCCUCGAUUACUUUAUCAGUACGAUAAGGUGACUGAGAUCGUUGGCAUUGAGGAGGCAAGAGAUGAGAUAAUUCGGAUUCUGAUGGAAGGCAAUGAAGUUUCCAAGCAGCAAGACAAGAUAAUUUCCAUUGUUGGGUUUGGAGGCCUGGGAAAGACAACUCUUGCUGAUGUGGUGUAUAAAAAGCUUAGAGCACAAUUUGAGUCGGAGCUUUUCUUUCGGUAUCUCAGACACCCGACCUGGAAAAAUUACUCAAGCACAUGUUCUAACAACUUGUCGGGAGGGAAAGUAACAAGAGCAGCGAUGUUGCCAGAGAGCUCAGAGAAUUCCUCGAGAAUUAGAGGUAUGAAAGCAUUUCAGUACACUUUAUUGGCAUCUGUUUAUAUCUAUCUUUUUGUUUGUUUGUAUUUUCAAAUAGCACCUAGUAAUCAGAUUUCAUUACUAGAAGAAACAGGCUCCUCAUUAUCAGCUCAUAUGUGUAGUAAAUUUGAAACUGAUAUGGAUAUGUUAUCCAUGCUAACUCAUAAUGUGAGCCAGUAGUGGUAGGUCUCCAAGUAUUAUUCACCAGUAUGGAUGCUAGUUAAGUAUGCAUGUUAGUUAUCCUUAUGCCUCUUAUUACGAGACUAGUGCUAAUACUUUGCACGCUUGUAAUUAUGAUUUUGUCUUGUUCUAAAAUUUGUAGUUAAGUAUGGAUGCUAGUUAAGUAUGCAUGUUAGCCCUCUAGUUAGCAUAGCUUAAUUAAACAUUCUAUAGGAGAAAAAACUAACUUAUUAUAAAGUUUAAUUUGCUAGUAACAUGGCUUUCUUGAAUUAUCUGGUACAGGUAGUUCGUUGUUAUUGAUGACAUAUGGAAACUCUCAGACUUCAAAAUGAUUAAACGUGCUUUGCCUGGUAAUAAUGUUGGAAAUAAAAUAAUCACAACUACUCGUGAUCUCAAUAUUGCUGAACAAGCUGGCUGUGCUUACAAGUUGCAGCCCAUUUGUCUAAACAACUCUCGGAAACUAUUUUUUAGAAGAAUAUUUGGUAAUGACAACAAAGACAACGAUGAAGAAGAAGAAAGAUGUCCUAACGAUGAGUUGGCUGAAGUAUCUGAUAAAAUCCUGGAGAAAUGUGCUGGUGUGCCCUUAGCUAUUAUUACAAUGGCUAGUUUCCUAGCUUGCAAAGCAAGAAAUAAAAUGGAGUGGUAUGAGGUAUACAAUUCUGUAGGUACUAGUCUGGAAAACAAUCUAGAUAUGGAGAAUAUGAGAGAUUUUGUCAUUUAGCUAUUAUGAGCUACCAUGCCAGUUAAGGGCUUGCUUGUUAUAUUUGAGCAUGUUUUUCUGAAGAUUAUGAAAUUGAGAAAGAUCGUUUGAUAAUGAUGUGGAUAGGUGAAGGUUUUAUCCAAUGUGAAAAACCAGGGAAGAGCCUAUUUGAACUCGGAGAGAGUUACUUCAAUGAGCUUAUAAACAGAAGCAUGAUCCAACCAAUACAUGAUAGUUCAGAUGAUAUGGUAUCAAGGUGUCGUGUACAUGAUAUGGUGCUUGAUCUUAUCCGCUCAUUGUUAAGUGAAGAAAACUUUGUUACUGUUCUAAGUAAUAUAGGAGGCACAUCUUAGUCAAAUAAGAUUCAAAGGUUGUCCCUUCAAAAUGGUGAGGAAAGUCACAUGAUGGCUCAAGCUACAUGGAACUUGCAACAUGCAAGGUCAGUUGUUGUCUUUCCAGCUGCGGUUUCUCUAGCGUCGGUUCUUUGGCUGCUCCCGAGUUUUACGUGUUCUGGAUUUAGAGGAUUGCGACCUUUCACAAGCUGAUAGUAGCCUUAAGUACCUUGGGAAUCUGCAUCACUUGAGGUACUUGGGACUAUGUCACACAGGUAUUUCUCAGCUCCCGGAAGAAAUAGGAAACCUGCAGUUUCUACAAACAUUGGAUGUAACGCUCAACAAAAUUUCUAGGUUGCCUUCGAGUGUUGUCCAGCUAAAAAAGUUGAUGUGCCUAUACAUUGACCGGUCUACAACAGUGCCAAACGGAAUUGGAAACCUGGCAUGCCUUGAACAGUUGUUAUUGUUAGGCAUUUAUGACUCCACCGUAAACAUUAUAGAAGAGUUGGGCCAGCUAACUGAACUGAGGCAGCUGCAUAUUGGAUUGGACGAGUGGAACGACAAGCUGUUGGGGCUACAAAAGAUGCAGGAAACACGUAUCAGAGUUGAUCCUGGUCAACGCAACAUUGGCGGAUUGGAUGCCUGGGUUGCCCCUCGACAUCUCCGUGUAUUGCGUACAAUACGUAGUUGUUGGUUUUCAACACUGCCGGCUUGGGUGAAUCCAUCGCUUCUUCUGGAUCUCAUCGGGCUAUCCAUCGCUGUGAGGGAGCUACAUCAGGUUGAUCUCGAAAUCCUUGGGAGGUUGCCAGCUCUCCGCUCUUUAUAUCUGGAGGUGGACAAUAAGAACCUCGGUAUCCUUAGGGGAUUCGUUGUUGUUGGUGGUGCAUUCCCAUGCCUUGUAAGGUGUUACUUCCAGCAAUUUGUGUGGCCAGUGGUAUUUCAGCAUGGAGCAAUGCCAAGGCUCGGAGAGCUUUGGUUCUUGUUUUAUCUGUGGGAUGGUAGUCUCGACUUGGGCUUGGGGAACCUGCCAUCGAUGCAAUAUGUCAGGGCUGCCCUGCUAUGUGAAGGCUUUAGCAAAGAGGAGGUGGAGCAAGCCAAUGCUGCGCUGACGCAUGCAGCUGAAAUGCAUCCCAAUCAUCCCCGCCAUGAUAUAUAUCUAUAUGACUGAGCCAAGGCUUCUGCUGUUAUUCUUUCCAUCGACUUGGGCAUUGGGAACCUGCCAUCGCUGCAGGAUGUCAUGGCUUACCUGGGAUGUGAUGGUACUAGCAAGGAGGAGGUGGAGCAAGCCAAGGCUGCACUGACGUAUGCAGCUGAAAUGCAUCCCAAUCAUCCCCGCCAUGUUAUAAAUCUAUAUGAUUGAGGUGCGCUAGCUUCUGCUGUCAUUCCUUGCUUCUCUCUAUUUCCCUUUCUUCCGAGCUUCGUUUGCAUCCCCCCCCCCCCCCCCCCCCCCCCCCAGAUUUCUCAGAUUAUUUUGAACAUUAUAUUUCUCAGAUUGAAGUGAUGGACCAUGGACUAAGGUGUGCCAGCCUGCCUGUCAGAGACUACUGCAAAAAUAUAUUUUUUCCAGUGUCUGUCUCGGAUUCACCUGAGGAAUAGCGAGCUGGAGAAAAGAUUUUGAGUUAACGCCCAUGACAAGUUGCUCCUUGUUAAAAAGUUCCUCGGUUUCCUCACAUUUGCAGAGAAGAGAUCAAAUUGCCCGGCCUUAUGAGUAAAUGAAUCCUGGACACAUGCAAAUGAUCUGUGUACCACUCCUAUAAGUGGUGAUGUUUUUUUACUCAGUUUUCAAUGGAAAUGUCACAGGUAUAGCUUUGUGAUUGUCGCUCUAGGAGAUGCUGUAUUUUUUCCCUUGAGAUUCUAGCACGAUGGAAAAUUGGUGACAUCUCACCUACCACACCUGCUGUUGUAUUUUUGCGUAAUUUGCAGCUUUUCACGUUUAUCAUCAUGUGAGCCGGUGAGACGUCAGAGCAUAGAAGUCAGUAUCUAUGCAUAGUCGGUUCGCAACUAGGACACACAUGCUCUAUUUCGGCGUGCAAUGAAAGUACUGAUCCAAUGCUCUGUUUCGGUGCUCCGUUUCGGUGUGCUUUUUCUGUUGUGUGCGUAACUCUGCUCCGCAGAACAUGGUGCCCUGCUAGGUCCUGUUGUUAUUCGUUGCUUAUCUCAUUUCCCAUUUCUUCAAAACUGAGUUUCCUAUGGAAAUAUCACUAUUACGAAACCGUAAGCGAUAAAAAAAAGAUCUUCACAACAAGCGUUCUGAUCUGGCGUCGCGGCAUCUCUUGUUGUGGCAGCGGUGAUGAGGACGCAGAGUUGUCGCCCCGGAGAGUAACUGUCCGAACUUGAGGUGAUGCCCCCGUGAUACCACCUUCUUCGUAGAUAGGCGAUAGAGAAGCUCCUUCCUGAUACGGGAGAGUAUCAAGAUAGGCGAUGAGACAUGCCUCGUUGAUCGUGGCAAGAGGCUUCAUGCUAGGCUAGUAGACGAAUCUACCUUGCGGAGUAGAUGUGAUCAUCAGGUCCUGAUGCGGACCUAAUAAAGUAGUUUCUUCAACUGGAUUCGAGUAAUAGUCGAGGUCUUCCAUCGGAUCUGAGUAGUAGUCGAGCUCCUUGAUCGAAUCUGAGUAGUAAUCAGGGUCGUCCAUGAUGGACUGCGAUCUGGACAGGGCAGCUUGGUAUGUAGAAGCCGCGUUGCGGAAUCCGAACGAGACUCGAAUUAUAUUGUAAUCCGAUUCGCACGAUGGCUUGGCGCCUGCUCGUGUGAAACAGUCCGACUGGAGGAAGGAGUCGAGUUGUACUCAAAAUCGCUCCCCCAACCUCUUGUUAGGUCAGAGAUCAAACUUUCGCCGAAAUGUUUUGACAAGAUCCUCCAAAGCUAAGCACCGGAGAUUUGUGGCAUGUUGCUUCUUCUCCGGGGCCAGCGCAAUAUGGCGGUGGAAGUUGCCAGCACCGUCUGCGAUGCAGAUCCAGGAGCCGAAAAUGAACAUCAUGCCUUUUUUGAAAGAGAUGACGAGCUUGAUGACGAUUGGUGCCAUUGAAUUCACCAAGGAUUUUCGGCGAGUCCCCCUACCUGGCGCGCCAGCUGUUGGUGUUUAGACCCAUCAACCAACCGAGGGGGUGCCCGAGGUAGUGUUUAGUGUGUGGGACUCGCCAAGAUCAGGAACUCGAUAGUGAACAAAGACAUGAUUUAGACAGGUUCAGGCCGCAAGAUUGCGUAAUACCCUAUGUCCUGUGUGUUAUAUUGGAUUGUUUGAGUUGCGAUGUCUUGGAGGGGGUCCUGCCCACCUUAUAUUAUCAGGGGCAGGGUUACACGUUGGUUGUUUACAAGAAUACUAGUCGGAUGUGGCUAGGAAUGUCCUACUCUGUUACUACAGAGAGUUUUCUAAUCCUCGACUAGUUCUUGCCUUUCCAUGUAGACCAUGCCGUCCUUCAUCGUACUCUCCAUAUCAGAUAUAUCUUGGUGUCCAGCCCUGUACGUAGAACUAUCCAACCUGUACAACAGAUGUCACUGUAUGUAUAAAAUUUUAUCCUGAAGCACUUGAUUUUAUUUUAAAAUCGGGUAUCACGCUUGCUUCCAACUUGUACGACUUCACAAACUUGUUGCCAGUGUAGGGAAAUCCAUGUGAUCUAAACAAAAACCACCAUAAGCAAUGAUGCCACCCAAGAGAUGGAGGUCGGGGCUCUACCUGAUUUCACUAUAAAUAAAAGCUAAAUGUACACCCAAUGUUUAUCACGAGCCAGGCUUUCCAGGUCGAAAUUGACAAACCAAAUCUGCACAGCCCAGCAGCCCAACCAAAUGCUGCUGCUCUGUCUUUAGGGAGAAUAAUCUCCCCAACAGUUUUUCCAUGACAUUAUCUAUAUGCAUGCUUUUACACACACAAUAUAACUGUACUUUUCAGUCAGAGGAGUUAUGUUUUCUCUUAUUCAGAAUUUACCUUCCCAGUUAUAUGCAACUUAUGUUCUCUUCUUCAAUUGAAAUCUAAAUUCACUUCAGUUCUGUUUCAGAUGCUAUUGAUCUUUGGUUUCAUGUCUGAGACAGGCAGUUUAUUUGUGUUCCUUUUCUUUUUCUUUCAUAUCUAAAAUGUGAAUUUACCAUUGCAACUGGCCGAGGUGGCUGGCUCAGGUUCUGCCAGUCAGUAAGUAUAGCAGCUGCAUAUAGUAAAUGGAGCAAACCAGCUCAUGGCUGCUUAGCUUUAGUUGUUGUGGUUGACACUGUUCCACAGUACAAGUGGCAAAUGCAUUUCUCAUGUUGGAUUUUUCAUUUAAUAUAGUGUCAACACCUAAACAGACGAUUUGUAAUUGACACGUGGGUAUCACAGUUAGCAGUUAGAACACACUGUAUGAGGUUUGGUGAUUCUCCCGUGUGUUACUGGCCUUUAUGUAAAUAUAAAAUGGUCACAUUAUCUACCGAGAAACUUUUGUCAAAUUUCAUGUCAUCGUGUUGCUCUUUGAAGAGCUACACAUGUCAUGAUCUCAGAAGUAAAUUCAAAUUUUCUCAAAUCUAGUUAUGCUGCUUUUAUGCAUGACUGUAUUUCCUGUAGUAGAAACAUUGCUCCUGCAGAUCUGAUAGGCUGCACUUGUCAUAUUUCAUUUGUGCUGCAUGUAUCACUUGAAUUUGAUGCAUGCUUUAAUUUGUGUGGUGUACUUAGUGCUAGAUUGUAUUUCAUAAGAGUCCCUUUUCCCCCUAAAAAUGCAAUAACAAGAUGUCGUUGAUGUUACGUAGCUUUUCAGUCUAGUGCACGAUCAGGGUGCUUAGUCACUGCAUCCAGUGAUACAAGCGCCCUGCAGACCUGAAAGGCUGCUUGUCAUAUAUUUCAUUUCUGUUGCAUAUAUUAUUCACAUUUUGCGCUUGCUAUAGUUCGUGUGGUGUACUUAAUUGUCUAUAUUAUGUUUCACAAGAAACCUUUUCUGAAAGCGUUUGCCAAAACGCACCGCCCUCUAUGGGGUCCUGUUCCAUAUAAGGGAGCAGAUUUGCACUAUUGCAUGGUCAGUGGAUCCACAAUCCAGUUUAGCAGGUCAUCAUGCCUGCAUGUCUGCGCUAGCCUAGCGGAGCGUGCAGUCACCACGGCGAUGACACUCUCCCUAACUAACCAGCCGUUACAACUUACAAUGCAUAUGCACACGCACGUUACAUGCAUAUGAAACACACACAAGUUCCAUUAUUUUUCCCCUUUAAGAUGCAAUAAUAACCAUAUGUUGCUGAACAACUUUGCAGGCUGGUGCACGAUCUGGGUGCUCAAUCACUGCGUCACGCAAAUGCAAACCCCCCUGGUGGAAAGGCUUAUUUGGAGCUGCCCCGACUGAUUACGAAGAAAGAGAGAGAUGUGAAGAGCAAGAGAUGUCUGCUUGUCUCGUGGCAGCAAAGGAGGCUUGCAUUAAGUUUGCGAAGGGAAAAUGCAUCGCACCAUUCCAAGAUGCAAGGAUCGCCUCCAACGGUCUCCUGGAAAAUACAGAUUUCGAUGUCUGGCGUGCUGGCAGUGGCAAAGCAUCAUCAACAUUGUUGGCUGUUCCUAACAAUCAGCACUUGUUCAGUUCUGGUCCCGGUGUGACAAGCUACAAAGGAAGUGAUUUGCUAUACAGCUUAUCAUCUGAAGAGAAGGAAAACUCUGGUUGAUGAUUAUGAAAACACAUUACGCUUGUCAAGACAUCAUGAUGGAAUUCAGAACUAGACCCAAUAAUCAAAUAAUGGCGUACAUGAGGCCUUAUGCUGGUGGUUUAAUGCCACGCCUGCAGUUUUGUUACUGAUGAAGUUUUGUUCAAUGGCUGGAGACAGUAAAGAAAUUAAAUUAUGGGAAUUUACUCUGAAAAUUGGAAAAAGGACUGGAAUUUCGAGGGCAAAGAUCUACUAGGGCAUAAGAAUGGAGGGGAAAGCAAGAGUUUCUGGUUGCCGCCCCUGUUGGGGAUUGUUCGAAUCCGGGCAGCACAGCAUGUAGAAUGUGUCUGCCAGUUGGUAAAUGCAUCGGUUCAGCUGCUGAGGUUGACCUGGACAGAAUUCUGCGUGCUGGAUCCUUGUGAGAGCUCGGGAUAGGAAGGAAGGGCAGGGGAGUGCAAGUUUUGGCUCGUCCAGAAGUAUGCACUGUGAAUAACUGAACGUAUAGUUUGUGCGACUGCAAUGGUGUGCGGAUAAUGCAGUUUAACUGUUUAUUAGGUAGUAACCUAGUAUUGUGCAUCGUGAUAACUGGUUGAUCUCGAGGUCAUGAGAGUUGAAUCUACUGGCAACACCUCUGUAAAACUAAUAAUGUGAUGAAUUUUGUUUGUGCGAUUCAAGGCCCACAUUGCCGCAUCCUUGGUUGCACACUGCACCUGACUGAAAAUCAAUGUAUGAUGAUGAUGAUGAUUGCUGCGCUGCGUGUUCCUUCGUGGAUUGUUGGAGUACGUACUCUUUACUCUCGGGGGUGUUUAGAUCCAAGGCACAGUGCAGCUGCAAUGAGCCAGAAAUGUGUGCGCAAGACGCCAGUAACACUCGGUUUCAGAUUGAAGUAAGCCAGAAAUAUUGUGUUAUCGAUCGAAGCAGAUUGUGAACACAUGUCAGCUGCUGUACUGGCUGCUCUGAUUGUGAACUUCCUGCAUCGCUUUGUCUAUAUGUCUUGUCCAUGGAGUUGAUCGAUCGGUUGGAGCGUGUUGAGAGAUGGGACGGAUGAUGAUCGAUGCCCAACCCAAACAGAGAGCAUGCACGGGGACAUGGGGGCCGACGGGCCGUUGUUCCAUGUCAGGACUUGAGGACAAUCGGCGAUUGCAGAGGAUGCAAAUUAUGCAAGCAGGAAUCCCAGGCACGAGGUUUGAGACCCAGGCGGGGCUCCCGGCCAAUCCAUCCAUCCACUGAUGAUCCACGGUCUCCUGCCGGUGCUCCCUGCGUCGCCGACACCCAUCUCUCCCGUCCCGUGCACGGAGCAACGUGCCGUGCCAUCCGGCCGCCGCCGCCGUGUCGCGUCCGGCGUGCUCUCGUCGACCGGCGUUCGGUUCAGGCCGGCCACGCUUCCUUUUCUCUCUUGCCGUCCUGCCGCUUCCUUUCCACUGCCACGCUUCCUCUUUCUCCCUUGCUCGUGCUCCUGCGCGCACAUUUUGAGAGGCGCCGUUCAUCUCUCCCGGAGACCAAGACGUGUCUACAGUGGCUUUGGCAGAUGCAGUACGGGUGCCCUAGAUGGCCGUUCCCUGUCCGACUGGCUUCGAGGCCGCGGGGCCCACAGUACAGCUACUAGGGCUUUGUUUGUCCCAUCCGUUGGCGGCGCGUGCGCCCCAGCCAGUCAAAGGAGGGGGGCUCGCGCCCCGGCGACGACCUGUCCCCUCCACCGUCGCCGACGUGGGAGGCAGCAUGCAGCUGGAUUACAUUAGGCUUUCUUUAGUUUCUGCCCAACGUGUAGAUACUAACUAUAAAUAUUAAAUAUAGAUUUAAUUUAAAAACUAAUCGCACAUAUGGAUUAAUUAGACUUAAUAGAUUUGUCUUGCGAAUUAGCCUCCAUCUGUGUAAUUGGUUUUAUAAUUAGCUUAUGUUUAGUCCUCCUAAUUAGCCUCCGAAUAUUCGAUAUAACAUGAACUUCCGGACUAAAGAUCUAAACACCCCCUUAGCACCGCUGCUACUAAUUCUUUUAAAUGAAUCAGGAGCAAAGCUGCGAAUUAUAUUAAAAAGGAGACGAAGCCCAUGAAAAUAACAAAUGAAAAAAUAAUACAAACACCGGCAGGUUGGAUUGGUCAUCAACACAUGCCGCACCACGCCAUUGCACUUUAACAACACGUCCACCAUUGGAUUGGAACAUCAACACGCGCCGGACUCAACACAUCUCAAGCGGAUUUAACUCUGUCCAACAACGGCAGCAGAGCCGAAGCCUUUCCGCGGCAACAUUCACGUUCAUGUAGUCAUCGAAACCUCCAGGCGUGGUCCUGCGUCGACAGGGAACUGAUAGAAGUAGACUGCACCGCACCGAGAAGGCUACCGCUAUGAGGGACCCUCCGCUAUAGUGCCGCUGCAACACCACACUCCACCUGACAAAGUGAUACCACCGAAUCCGAACCUCUCGCAGGCUGCCUCGCAGUCGCCACCACGAUAACACAACGCGUGGGGGCCUCGCUACAUCCGUCGUUGGACUCUACCUCGCUCUCGUCGACUCGAAGAAACAUCAUGCGCGGGGAUCUUACCACGCUCGCUAUAGUACUCCACGUCACGGAUCCGUUUUUUUUGUCACCGAUAGAGUGGUGAGCAAUGUUGCCCCGCUCCAUAAGAUCUCCAUCGAUCAGCCAAACUGCCGCCACAGGUCAACUUCGCCUCGUUGCUUCACCCGCGCAAAUAGCCUCCACCGUCAUGUCAGCAAGCCAGAGAAAUCACUUGCGCCCUCUUCCGACGAUGUACCGCACCGAAUAGGCCAGCCAAGCUGAGCAACUCGCCAUGGUCCGCUGCAAGCCUAGUCGUCCCUCGAUGUCAUUGCUGCAAGUGCCGUCCUCCAACGCAGUCCCACGCCGCACUAACCAUAGCCAAGCAAAGCCAACCACUGCGGUCCGCUGCAAGCAGUCAAAACCGACAACUAUGCAACAACCCCUGGCCGCCACCAUAACUACGAUCACCUCCACGUGGCCUCGGCAACACCCGUCUAGCUUGCCACGCGGCGGAAUUGCCGCCACCAGCUGCAACCGCCCAUGACCAAUGAACUAGCAAUGCUACAAACCAAGAUGGGUCUCUAGAGACAAUGCCUCCAAGGAGGGCAUGACGCCAAUGGCACCAUUGUCACUCGUCUAGGAUUUGGAUAAGGUUUUCACCCAGAGAACCCCGUGCAGCAGGGUUGUAGCUUAGACAUGACGCCCCUAACGGGAAAAUCGAUGCCCUAGGGCAGCACCGUCAUCUCCACCAGCAAGAACGUUGGCGAGGGUUUUCACUCGGAGGAUCCCAACCCCUCACUGCAUGCUCACGGCUUGGCACUCCCGGACCACAGUCACGGCAGCCCAUCCAAGGCGGCGUCGCCGCCGCGCCUCCACACACCAUGCCGUCGUACCUCCACCUCCGCUGUGCUCACCGCCCCAAUGUGCCGCCACUUGACCUCUGUUCCUCGCACGCGGCCACCGCCGCACCACCUCACCAUCACGCAUCGUUGGGUAUCUCCUUGCGGCGUCGCCACAUUACACACGUGCCUCGCCACGCGCAGCCUCCUCCACGCCACAUGAGCCCCACCAGCGCCUAGCUACCUCGCUUUCCCGUCACUGCCUCCGCAACUCCUCAGCCGAGGAGUGGUGGCCCGACGACACCCGCAACACCAUCUCGGUGCCGUCAGCGCGCCCCUGCGCCAGGCAUCCUUGCCGCGCCUCCAUGGCAUUGCUGGCACGCCUUGCACAGGCCACCCCGACCGUGACACCACACCACUGUCGUUGAAGACACAGGAGCUGUCGUGUAGAAGCGCCUCGUUGACCGCUGGCACGCCUUGCACAGGCCACCCCGAAGGCAAGGGAUAGGGUUUGCUGCCCGAGCCACCCCUGAGAGUGACGCAAGCUGCCCCUGAGAGUGAUGUAGGGGCCGAGCCUGGCUUUUCUCGACAAGAAACAAGAUACCAUUGCUACUAAUCAUGUUUGAUGAACCCAAUCCAUUCUAGAACGCGGUUGUGCUGCAGCAUGCAAAAUAUAGGAUACUCUAUCCUCAAAUCUUACCUAUCUUUUUAUUAUUAAAGUAAACCCUAAUUUUCUGGUUGGUCCAACAUUGAUCACCGACAAGUGGGCCAAUGAUAUCCGUGCGCCACACCGUACAACUCUGUCCCAUCCUCAAUCCAUAUCUGACUCAAGUCGUUGUUACAUAUAGGAUGCAAAGGACGUCGAGAAGCCGCCAAUCAUAGAACAUGAUGGUGAUCCUUAACGACUCGACUAGGGAAAAACGUCGAGGAGCCAACAACCGGGACACACAAUGAGGACACACGUGCGGCGUGGUAGAGGAGCCGAAGAGGGACCCGCACAGGCACUGCGACUGUCGACAAGAAGGAAGUCUGCGGCCUGAGCUGCGCGGCUCCACCUCCGCACGCACACUAUCCUGCAAUCUGACUCCGUCUCUGCACGUUGUCCAUGGUUUCAAAAGGAUGCAUGAUGAGAGCCGCUGCCACGUGGAGAACAGUUUAAAGUUCUCUCAGGCCCUGUUUGGUUAGGCUGGAACGCGGCCUGUUCCACUCGAAUCGGCCUGGCUCAAUUUGAAAUCGGGUCCCAUCCAGAAUAGCUGUUCAUUUAGGCCUGGUCCGGUCCCUGUCCUUGGCUUGGAAUGAAGAUUGCACAUCGAUGGUCCGGAACGGAUUCACUUGCGGGCUUACAACGAAGUGGAGCUGGCGGCGCGCGAGGCAACGAGGCAACAGCAUGAGGUGGCGACGCGGGAGGCGUGGCUGUACCGCGCGUGGGAGAUGAAGCGAGCUGGCAUGAGCGCAACGGCGCCGCCCCCGAUGCGGACACCACCGUGGUGGUGGUGGUGGGGAAGGGCGGCAGCGGGGGCGCGGGUGGAGGAGGUGGCGUGGGUGACUCCUCGCCGAUCCGGUCCCAGCAUGCGGGCGCGGUGGGCGGUAGCGGCAUGGCCAUGGACGUGGAAGAGGUUGGCGCAUGUCGCGGCCUUGGUCUGGAGCUCCCCUCCGACUGCACCGUGGAGAUCCAGUGCUACGGGUUGACGUCCAGCGGCAGCAGCCCCACCCACACCGCCAGCAGCGGCGCCCCCCGGCGUCGUCUCCAGUCCCGGUACGAUUGAUCCAACUCACCAUCUAUAUAUGGCUCUAGAUCCUGGCCAGCUCUGUUCAUUGCUUUCUAGAUGUUCAUUGCUUACAAUCAAGUACAACUCUAUUUGAUCCCCUGUUUUCUUUCCUCUCUAGCCGAACACUGCUUUUGAAUCAAUGGUUUUGAUCUCGGGGAGGAAUGAUUAAUCAUCAGGUUUCAAUGAGAAACCAAGAUCCACUCGAUCCUGACCAGGAUCAAAAGUUGGUAUAGCACUAAUCCUAUGCUGCCGGACGAGGCCUGAAUGAGUCACAGCUCACAAAUGAACUCAGAGAAUUCCUUCAGAAUAAGAGGUAUCAAAGCAUCGCGGACACUAAGAAUCAACUUGCGUGCAUUAAGGAUUUUUUUCCCAAAAUUAAUUUACACCCUCCUGUUUUACUAGUGGUAAAAAGGUGCUAGUAAAUCUAAAAAAAAGGUUCAAUGAGAAAUGAUCCGCGCAAAGCCAGAAAUUUACUUCCUAACUAUAUUAUUGCCCUUGUAAUUAACACUGCGUUUGUGUUAACGUAUUGCAUAUGUGCAGGUACCUCAUUGUUGUUGAUGACAUAUGGGAUAUCACAAUCUGGGAAAAGAUUAGUUGUGCUUUGCCUGAUAAUACUUUUAGAUACAGAAUUAUCACAACUACCCGUAACAAUGCUGUUGCUGAACAAGUUGGUAUUGUUUACGAGCUGAAACCCCUUUGUCUUCAUGACUCCAGAAGAUUAUUCUAUCCACGACUGUUUGGCAAUGACGAUAAUGUCAUAUGUCUUACUGGAGACCUGAUUAUAUUAUAUCAAACUAAAAAAUGUGCCAGUGUACCAUUGGCUAUCAUAUCGAUAGAUACUUUGUUGGCUAGUAAAGGAAGAAAUAAGUGGGAAAUGUAUAAGGUAUAUAGAUCUGUUACUGCUGAACUGGAGAAUAGUCUAGAUUUACAAGAUUUGGGAAUGAUUUUGUCACUUAGCUAUCAUAAUCUGCCACCCCAUCUAAAGUUUUGCUUAUUACAUUUAAGUGUGUUUCCAGGAGAUUAUGAUAUUGAUAAAGAUCGUUUGGUACGGUUGUGGAUAGCUGAAGGUUUUAUCCAAUGUGAAAUACCAGGGGAAAGCCUAUUUGAUCUUGGAGAGACUUACUAUCACGAGCUAAAAAAUAGAUUAAUGAUCCAGCCUGUGUAUAGAAGGUGGGACAAUGAAACGAUAGAAUAUUGCCUUGUAAAUGAUAUGGGGCUUGAUCUUAUCUGCUCCAAGUCAAAGGAAGAAGACUUUGUUACCGUUUAUAAUGAUGUAUAUCAAACAUAUUCAUCAGAAAAGAGGUUAUCCUUUCAAAAUAGCAUGGUAGAUCAUGCUAGGCAUCUAACUUCUAUGAAUAUGCAACAAGUGAGGUCACUUGUUGUCUUUCCAUUUGCUGUUAAUCUCAUGCCUGCUCUUUUGAGCUUUAGAGUUCUUCGUGUACUGGAUUUACAAGAUUGUCACCUUUCCCACCGUUACAUUCUUAAGGAUCUUAGAAAUUUAAUUCACAUGAGGUACUUGGGACUAAGACGCACACAUAUUGCUCAGCUCUCUAAAGAAAUAGGAAACCUACAACUUCUUCAAACACUAGAUGUAACAGGCAAUGGAGGUGCCAGCGAGCAGGAGGUGGAGAAAGUGGAGGCUGCGCUGAGGAAUGAAAUCGCAAUGCAUCACAAUCAUCCUAGCCUCGAGAUACACUGGUGAAGAUAAGAGGUGCUCCUAGCCUCCAGCUGUGCUCUUUCUUGCCCUCGCCCCCACCCCCCCACCCGAAAAGAUCAAAGAGAUCCCGGGCCGCCUCCGGGAAUGCUGCAGAUAUUAAAAAAACAGGAAUGCAGCACACGUUGACUCUGAAACAAGGACCAUGCUGGUGCAGAUGAGGACUAACAUUCAGGGACUCUUGUCUGUCUCGAACAUUAAACAACCAUAGCUUACGNNNNNNNNNNNNNNNNNNNNNNNNNNNNNNNNNNNNNNNNNNNNNNNNNNNNNNNNNNNNNNNNNNNNNNNNNNNNNNNNNNNNNNNNNNNNNNNNNNNNUGAGAUGUUGCAAAAGGUUAUGAGCAAGUUGGAGGAGUUCACUACAUUUGCCUUCUCACCGCUAGUGAUAGUAAAGUCCAAUCGGUUUAUUCUAGUUAUAGUUGCAUAUUUCGGUUAUGCGAUAUGGCAGAUGGAGGGCAAAACAGGGUUCUUGAAUGGAAACCAAGCGGAGGUCAUGUGGAUUAUACAGCUGGAUCGGAAAAAUAUGUGAAAGGAAGGGGAGCUUCAGCCCCCCAUUUGUGGUUUUUUUCCCGCCCCCCCCCCCCCCCCCCCCCCCCCCCCCCCCCCAGGAUGGACUGGAGAACAGAUUUUGUAGUCAGGACAGCUUGCCACAUUUGCAGAAAUUAAAAUGCUUGGCGAUGGACAGUGAUAUUUAAUGAAUGUAAUUUUCAUAAAUCCUUCCUCGUUCUGCCAGUACAUUUCCUCAAUAGUCAUGCAACUGGUGUUCGUGUUUAAUUUUGACCAAGGACAAGGUGCACGUCAGAAAAUGUUGCCCAGAAAUGGAACACGUUUCUGAUUGUUAUGUUACUCUCAUAAAUGAUAUAUUUGUAAUUUUAUAUUAUUGUACUCCAAAAAAAAAGAUUAAUGAGAUUUCACUUUGUAGCAUGGCACAUCCUAUUGGUGCGUAGGUCCUGUUGUUCAGGAUGUGGUUGUCGUCAGAAAAUGUUAAACUUCUGGUUUAUAUCAUUGGAUCCCGAUGAGAGUUAGUAAUGUUUGCAUUGCUAGAUAAAAUUAUUACGGAGUAUAAUACUUGAAUUACUUGUGCAGAGGUUUGAGUAAAUUGUACCCAAAACAAUGCAGUGGGACACAGAGGCCAUGACGAUUAUUAUGUACUAUGAUUGACUUUGUGGACUAGAUUUACACCCAUGACGAUUAUUAUGUACUAUGCGUCUUUAUUAGCACCUUUGCUGCUUACCGUGAUAUGAUGGCCCAUUUGUUUCUGCGCUUAUAAAUGGUUUAUUGGUGAAAAUAAGCGAGAAUCUCAUGAAACACUUUGCUUAUUUUCACCAAUUCCUAAUUAAACAUUAAUUGGGUUGUUACCCAGCACUUCUGCCACAGUUUUCGCUAUUUAUUACCCGUCACUGUAGAAAAGCAACUCGUGCUCACCUUGUGAUGAGUGUGUCAGAGUAUUUACAGAUGGCAGCACAGAUGGUGAACACUGGUCAGUAACUACAAAGGAUUGCCCCCACCAUGUGCGUCUCGUCCUCCUCUCACGCACCCUCUUCAACUGUCGGAGGGGCUGGCGUUGGCCGCCGGCUCGGUGGAGACAGGCGCGGCCGGAGGGGCGGGCCUCGGCUGCCGGCGAGCUCGUAUGCGGCUCGGCCGACAGCGUGCGUGCUGGCGGGCGCGGGCAGGGGAGCUCGCCGCCGGCAAGCGCGUGGGUGGCGAGGCCGUUGGGAGCGGGCGGCCUAGCUCGCCGCCGUCCGCGAGCGCGUGGGUGGCGCGGCCGCACAAGCCCGGGCGUGGGGAGCUCGCCGCGGGUCGCCGUCGAGGCCUAGCCGGCCAGGAGCUGUGGAGAGAGAUGUGGAGAGAGCAGCGAGAGAGAUGUAAUUAAAAAAUAUUGAACCUUUUGCUUUUAUCGAGCUACGGGGAAGCGGCAGUGCGGUCGGCCGGCCAUUGCGGCCGGGUGCCCCAAUCGCUAACCGAGAGGAAUAUUUCAUUUGGAGAGGAUUACAGGGAUGCGCACCAACCUGCCCUUGAACAUGACCUCCAUCCUCGAGCAGACGAAUAGUUUAGCCCUUGGCAGGGAAUCAGGGAUCCAAUGCUCUUUCUACUACCUCUCUCAUUAAUUAUUGCCUUCACCUUACCCCCUGCAUCUGGAUCCCAUCGACCUCUGCUUCGUGCUCUUCCAAGGCGGCUGCGAGCGGUGAGCUGUGUUGCGGCCGAGCAAGCUUGAUUAAUCAAGCAACCUCGGUCCGGCGACGAGCGGCGGGCAGCGAUCCAGCAAACCAGCGAGUCCUAAGCACCGGCGACAAGGAGAGGGCGGCAACCGGUGAGUCCUCGCUCACUUCCGUUCUUUGUGCCCGUCUGCAGACCUCCGAGAGCCACUAGGCACUCGACAGCACUAUAAUUCAUCGUCAUGCGUCCCUGCUUGCUACACCUACACCCAUACCGUACAACCUUACUCAUUGCUAGCUCUUGCCCAGGGACAAAUCCAUGGAGAUCGUGACAGGGGCAAUUCCAUUGAUCUCCAUACACCACUGCUGCUCAUAGCUCACACAUACACACUACAAUCUCGCUCCUUGAGCCCAGAGGCAGAUCCGGCCAUGGAGGUGGUGACAGGGGCACUGCCGAGCGUCAUCACCAAGCUUGGUGACCUGCUUGUCGGUGAGUACAAGCUGCAGAAGGGAGUGAAGGGAGAGAUCAGGUUCCUCCAAGCUGAGCUCGAGAGCAUGAAGGGUGCUCUUGAGGAAGUCUCCAACACCCCGGCUGACCAGCUUGACAUUCAGGACAAGAUUUGGGCCAAGGAUUUGAGAGAGCUGUCCUACGAUAUAGAGGACAAUAUUGACACAUUCAUGGUCCGUGGAGAGGGCAAUGAGCAGGCCAAGCUGCGUGGCAUCAAGAAGUUCAUUGAUAGAAGUGUUGGUUUGUUCAGAAAGGCCAAGGUUCGCCAUGGCAUUGCUACUGAAAUUAGAGACAUCAAGAGCCGUGUUGAAGAGGUGGCCAAGCGGCAUGAUCGGUACAAGUUAUCAAACACUAAUGUAGCUAAGCCUGUCACAAUCGACCCUCGAUUACUUUAUCAGUACGAUAAGGUGACUGAGCUCGUUGGCAUUGAGGAGGCAAGAGAUGAGGUAAUUCGGAUUCUGAUGGAAGGCAAUGAAGUGUCCAAGCAGCAAGACAAGAUAAUUUCCAUUGUUGGGUUUGGAGGCCUGGGAAAGACAACUCUUGCUGAUGUGGUGUAUAAAAAGCUUAGAGCACAAUUUGAGUGCGCAGCUUUUGUUUCGGUAUCUCAGACACCUGACCGGGAAGAACUACUCAAGCGCAUGUUCUGUCAACUUGUCGGGAGGGAAAGUAACAAGAGCAGCGAUGUUGCCAGAGAGCUCAGAGAAUUCCUCGAGAAUAAGAGGUAUGAAAGCAUUUCAGUACACUUUAUUGGCAUCUGUUUAUAUCUAUCUUUUUGUUUGUUUGUAUUUUCAAGUAUGGACAUUGCAGCACCUAGUAAUCAGAUUUCAUUACUAGAAGAAACAGGCUCCUCAUUAUCAGCUCAUAUGUCUAGUAAAUUUGAAACCGAUAUGGAUAUGCAUGUUAUCCAUGCUAACUCAUAAUGUGAGCCAGUAGUGAUAGGUCUCCAAGUAUUAUUCACAAGUAUGGAUGCUAGUUAAGUAUGCAUGUUAGUUAUCCUUAUGCCUCUUAUUACGAGACCAGUGCUGAUACUUUGCACGCUUGUAAUUAUAAUUUUGUCUUAUUUUAAAAAUUGUAACUUUUUCAAACUUCAUAUGGCAAUUGUAGGUUUCAGCAAGAUCUACAACUGUUUAGUUGAAUAUUUAAUUAAAGUUAUUUAGAUGGCUAUAUAAUUGAUUAAAAAUUUAGAUGACGAGGGUCAAAGGAAGAAAACUCUCCAUUGCUGUUAGCAAUGAAAUCUAGAUUACAUGGUAAGAAGGGAUAGUGUGAUGAGGAGGAUGUCCUUUCAAUCCCUGAAAACAUCUUAGACGUCUAUUUUGUGCGAAAAGUGCGUGACUUGUAAUUUGCGACUCGCAACAACUUGGGUAGAUCGGGGAUUACAUCCAGAUUUACGAAUUUUUUUCUUGCUACCUUUUGGUUCUACUGUCUCACUGGCUCUUAUUACAAGUCGGAAAGGAUACUAGCAUCUCUAUCGCACGGAUACCGCUGGCUUGAAAAUAGAUAUGGAUGACCAUAUUUGUCUUUGCUCCUUUUAUUUGCCACUUCCGGGCUUCAUGUGACUUCUACCAUCAACUAUAGCCCCUUUUGGGGUCUUGUCUUGCGUCCGCUUGUUUUCUUCUCGAUCCAUAUGGUCUACUUCUACUAGUGAUAUUCCUUUCAAUACCAUCUUGAUUUACUAAAUCUUUAAUAGCCCACUAGUUAGCAUAGCUUAAUUAAACAUUCCAUAGGAGAAAAAACUAACUUAUUAUAAAGUUUAAUUUGCUAGUAAUAUGGCUUUCUUGAAUUAUCUGGUACAGGUACUUCGUUGUUAUUGAUGACAUAUGGAAACUCUCAGACUUCAAAAUGAUUAAACGUGCUUUGCCUGGUAAUAAUGUUGGAAGCAAAAUAAUCACAACUACUCGUGAUCUCAAUAUUGCUGAACAAGCUGGCUCUGUUUACAAGUUGCAGCCCAUUUCUCCAAACAACUCUCGGAAACUAUUUUUUAGAAGAAUAUUUGGUAAUGACGACAAAGACAACAACGAAGAAGAAGAAAGGUGUCCUAACGAUGAGUUGGCUGAAGUAUCUGACAGAAUACUGAAGAAAUGUGCUGGUGUGCCAUUAGCUAUAAUUACGAUGGCUAGUUUGCUAGCUUGCAAAGCAAGAGAUAAAAUGGAGUGGUAUGAGGUGUGCAAUUCUGUUGGUACUGGUUUGGAAAACAAUCUAGAUGUGGAGAAUAUGAGAAAGAUUUUGUCAUUUAGCUAUUAUGAGCUACCAUGCCAUUUAAGGGCUUGCUUGUUAUAUUUGAGCAUGUUUCCUGAAGAUUAUAUGAUUGAGAAGGAUCGUUUGAUAAGGAUGUGGAUAGGUGAAGGUUUUAUCCAAUGUGAAAAAGUAGGGAAGAGCCUAUUUGAACUCGGAGAGAGUUAUUUCAAUGAGCUUAUAAACAGAAGCAUGAUCCAACCAAUACAUGAUAUUUCAGAUGAUAUGAUAUUUAGCUGUCGUGUACAUGAUAUGGUGCUUGAUCUUAUCCGCUCCUUGUCAAGUGAAGAAAACUUUGUUACUGUACUAAGUGAUAUGGGAGGCACAUCUCCGUCAAAUACGAUUCGAAGGUUGUCCCUUCAGAAUGGCCAGGACAGUCACGUGAUGGCUCAAGCUACAUGGAGCUUGCAACAUGCAAGGUCAGUUGUUGUCUUUCCAGCUACUGCUUCUCUAGUGCCACCUCUUGACUGCUGCCGGGUAUUACGUGUUCUGGAUUUAGAGGACUGCAAUCUUUCACAAGCUAAUAGUAGCCUUAAGUACAUUGGGAAUUUGCAUCACUUGAGAUACUUGGGACUUCGUCGGACAGGUAUUUCUCAGCUCCCGGAAGAAAUAGGAAACCUGCAGCUUCUACAAACAUUGGAUGCAAGGUACAACAAUAUUUCCAGGUUGCCUUCGAGUGUUGUCAAGCUAAGAAAGUUGAUGUGCCUCUACAUUGACUGGACUACAAUAGUUCCAAACAGAAUUGGAAACCUGACAUGCCUUGAACAGCUGUCAAAGUUACGCAUUGAUGACUCCACUAGAAACAUUGUAGAAGAGUUAGGCCAGCUAACUGAACUGAGGCAGCUGCACAUUGAGUUGGACGAGUGGAACGACAAGCUGUUGGAGUGCCUAUGCAAGCUACAAAAGAUGCAGAAACUAUUUAUCACGGUCUAUUCUGGUCAAUGUAGCAUCGGCGGAUUGGAUGCCUGGGUCGCCCCUCGACAUCUCCGCGUAUUUAAUACAUCCGGCUAUUGGUUUUCAACACUUCCGGCUUGGGUGAAUCCAUCGCUUCUUCUGGAUCUCACCUCCCUAUACAUCGCUGUGAGGGAACUACAUGAGGCCAAUCUCGAAAUUCUCGGGAGGUUGCCAGCUCUCCGCUAUCUAAUUCUGGAGGUGGACAAGGAGAACCUUAGUAUAAUUCGGGGAUUCGUUGUUGGUGCUGAUGUGUUCCCAUGCCUUUUAUGCUGUUACUUCCGUCAAUUUGUAUGGCCAGUGGUAUUUCAACAGGGAGCUAUGCCAAGGCUUAGAGAGCUUUGGUUUUGGCCGUUUUAUCUGCGGGAGGCAAGAGGAAUUGCGUGCAAUGACGGUAGUCUCGACUUGGGCCUAGGAAACCUGCCAUCGCUGCAGGUUAUCCAAGCUGUCCUGCGAUGUGAUGGUGCUGGCAAGGAGGAGGUGGAGCAAGCCAAGGCUGCGCUGACGCAUGAAGCAGAAAUGCAUCCCAAUCAUCCCUUCCAUUCGAUCCGUAUUACAGGUGCGCCAGCUUCUUAUUGUUAUUCCUUACUCUUCUCCUUCCCCCUUUCUUGUAAACUGUAUUUGCGUUUAUUCCUCUGUUUGAGAUGGUGGGAUCUCCGGGUGAUCUUUCACCACGCCUUUCUUCUAGCCCCUUUGCCUCAAUUCUUCUAAUCUUCCUUUGGUAUAUUUCAGUCUGAUAUACAGACGACAAUGACGAGUAAUAUAAGACUUUACGCCGGAAGGUGAAGCUGGAGCAGAGCAGAUGACUUGGGUGUGUUUGGAUCCCCGAGCUAAAUUUUAGCCCCUGUCACAUUGAAUGUUUGGACACUAAUUAGGAGUAUUAAACAUAGGCUAAUUACAAAACCAAUUUCACAACCCCUAGGCUAAAUCGCGAGAUGAAUCUAUUAAGCCUAAUUAAUCCAUGAUUUGACAAUAUGGUGCUACAGUAAAUAUUCACUAAUGAUGGAUUAAUUAGGCUUAAUAGAUUCGUCUCACGAUUUAGCCUAGGGGUUCUGCAAUUAGUUUUAUAAUUAGUUCAUGUUUAGUCUUUCUAAUUACCAUCCGAAUAUUCGAUGUGACACGGACUAAAUUUUAGCCCCAGGAUCCAAACACCCAGUUUCGCCACGCAUGCAGAGGUUAAACUGCUCGGCCAUGAGCUUUACCAGACACCCUCAACCUGUGAGUAAACAAUGAAUGCUGCACACAUGAUCGUUUCUGCUGUGCAUCAACCAAUAUGGCAUUUCGUUGCUGUUUCAGUGCAAGGAACCACCCAUCAUCAGUUUUCACUUUUCAGUGCAAGGAACGUUUAUUUUACUCAUUGCAAAGGGACUGAGCUGUCUCCUGCGCCCCUCAUCUAGUUGCCUUGUAUCGUCUCAGUGGUUCAGGGCCUUGGCUGUUUAUUUUGAUGAAUUUUUUUAGAUUAAGGGAGCGUUUUCUUCCACUAUCUUAUUUUUAGCACGUGUCAUAUCGAAUGUUUAGAUACUAAUUAGGAGUAUUAAACGUAGACUAUUUACAAAACCAAUUACAUAAGUGGAGGCUAAACGACGAGACGAAUCUAUUAAGCCUAAUUAUGCCUAAUUAAUCCAUCCUUCACAAAUAUUUACUGUAGCAACACAUUAUCAAAUCAUGGACUAAUUAGGCUUAAUAGAUUCGUCUCGCCGUUUAGCCUCCACUUAUGUAAUGGGUUUUGUAAAUAGUCUACAUUUAAUACUCCUAAUUAGUAUCUAAACAUUCGAUAUGACGGAUGCUAAAAAUAAGUCAGUGGAAGUGAUGAAAGAUAAAAACAAUGUAUUUUUGGGUUAAUGUUGCAGCUUGUGACCGUAAUCAUAUUGUGAGCCGUAAGCAUGGACGGCAGUAUGUAAUCAUCUUGUGAGCCGUAAGCAUGGAUGCUGUUGCGCAGUAUGUAUUCAUUGUGAGCCGUAAGCAUUUUAAUAUUUGGGAUUUGAAUGAUACUCCAGAACUAGUUUGUUAUGAAGUUGCAUUCCAAGAGUUUAAGGAUCUUGAUGGCACCUCGGAACAUAUUUUACUCUCUUAAUUGACCAAGUUCUUCCCUCUCCUAAUUUAUUUCAUUUUUAAGCGCCAAUUUCUGUGCCUUAGAAUUAGGAAUUAAUUGAAAAAUGCAAAGGCAAUAUUGACAUCGUUUUUCCUAGAUUCACAUUGAGAGGAAAAAUGAGAAUGUACUGCAACCAUAUUGCCACCGUCUACCAUCUCUUUCUCUUCUGCACUGCUAUGCCUGCCGCUGCGACAAAAAGAAUGGAGAAAAAUCAUCCAUCAUUAGCAAAUAUUUACUGUAGCAACACAUUAUCAAAUCAUGGACUAAUUAGGCUUAAUAGAUUCAUCUCGCCGUUUAACCUCCACUUAUGUAAUGGGUUUUGUAAAUAGUCUACGUUUAAUACUCCUAAUUUGUAUCAAACAUUCGAUGUGACGGGUGCUGAAAAUAAGUUAGAGGAACCAAACCAGGCCGAAAAAGGCGAUAAUAUUCCUCCAAGAUGAGCUUGAGAGCAGCUGGGUGCCCACGAGAAGAUCUCCAAGAUACCAUCAGACAAAAUUGAUGACCUUUGGCCCAGGAAUGUGUCACACCCGGUUUUUGAGCAAAACCAGAUGAAUAAAUUACAUGUGCGCUAGGAUCAAGUUUCACACAUGCAACGAUUUCAGUAAAUAACAUAGAUAGUGCCAUGUGCGUCAGGAUCAAGUUUCACACAUGCAACGAUUUCAGUAAACAACAUAUAUAGUGCUAAAAUAUAAAGAGAGUAUUAAAUUUAUUACAUAACUGAAAGUUUUUAAUUCGAAUAUCAAAAUGAAUCUUCGUUCUAGCAGCGGAACUCCAUCGACCAACAUAAAUUAAGCUGGCGAGAAGCCACCAUGCGAGCGGGCCCCACCAUGCGCGUCUUUCCACCAUGUGCGGAGGGCCUGGCGUUGGCCGCCGGUUCGGUGGAGACGGGCGCGACCGGAGGGGCAGGCCUUGGCUGCCGGCGAGCUCGUGUGCGGCUCGGCUGACGGCGUGCGUGCCGGCGGGCGCGGGCAGGGGAGCUCGCCACCGGCAAGAGCGCGGGCAGGGGAAUCAGGGAUCCAAUGCUCUUUGUACUACCUCUCUCGUCAAUUAUUGCCUUCACCUUCCCCCUGCAUCUGCAUCCCAUCAACCUCCGCUUGGUGCUCUUCCAAGGCGGCUUGCGGUGAGCUGUGUUGCGGCUGAGCAAGCUUGAAUCAAGCGACCUCGGUCCGGCGACGAGCGGCUGGCGGCGCGAUCCGGCAAACCAGUGAGUCCUAGCUGUGAUUGUUGCUCUAGGAGAUGGUGUAUUUUAGCACAAGGCAAAAUUGGUGAGAUCUCACCUGCCACACCUGUUGUUGUAUUUUUUCGUAAUUUGCAGCUUUUGACGUUUAUCAUCAUGUGAGCCGGUGAGACAUCAGAGCAUAGAAGUCAGUAUCUAUGCAUAGUCGCUUGAUCAUCGCAACUAGGGCGCACAUGCUCUGUUUCGGCGUGCAAUGAAAGUAGUGAUCCAAUGCUCUGUUUCGGUGUGCCUUUUCUGUUGCGUGCGUAACUCUGCUCCGCAGAACACGGUGCCGGUCCUGUUGUUAUUCGUUGCUUGUCUCCUUUCCCAUCUUACUAUUACUAAUUGGAGGCUCCUUUUGAAACCUCCAGGUGAAGCCACCUAGGAUUCCUAGGUGGACACUCUAGAAAAAGAGAGAAAUCCUAGAAAUUCUCACAAAAAUGCAAAACAUCCGACCAUCAACUGAUAGAUUCAAAUCUUCAUAGCCAUUGGAUCUAUUAUAUUUUCUAAAAAAUUACCUACCUAUGCCAUUAUGAAAAUAGCCUAAAGUAACCCCCUAAAUCUAUAUAUAAAUUACCCACCUAUGUCAUUAUAUAAAAUAAACUAAAGCAACCCCUAAUCUUCAUCAAAAUUACCCACUUAUGCCAUUAUAAACAAUAUUUAAAAUAAUCCCCUAAUUUGCAACUGAAUUGCCCACCACUAUUACUUAAAAAACUUAAAGUAACCCCUUAAAUUUGCAUCUAUAUUACCCAUACAUGCUAUUAUUAAAAAUAACAUAAGGUAACCCUAAGUUUGAAUUAAAUAACCUUAAUUAAAAAUAUACAUAUUCUAAAUCAUCUAUAUCUUGCACUAUUAGUAUAUGAUAUAAUAAUUAAGGUAUAUAUGCAUGAUGUGUGUCACCAUUUAUAAAGAUCUAAAGUGAUGUGAAUAUAGAUUUCUAUGUUAAAAUUGUAUCUCAAGCUCAGGGUUAAUUAAAAAAAUUCAAGCGUAUACCUGCGAUGCAAAGUGAAAAGUUAAAGAUUAUAAAUAUGGAUGCUAACUAAAAUCUAUCACAAUUGGAUGAAGAUAUCAUGUAUAUAUCUAUAUAAGUAUUGUGCGAAUAUUUAACAAAUGAGAGGUAGCUUAUGGUAAUAGUUUUGUAGCAAUGUAGUCUCAUUUUUUUUCCAUUGGAGGCUCCCUAUUAGUUCCCAUGAGACAAACUAGAAAAAAGAGACAAAUUCUCAUAAAAAUUAAAAACAUCAAACACCAAUCCUGUAAACUCUAAUAAUCAUAGCUAUUGAUAUAUUAUAUUUUCUAAAAAAUUACCCACCACUAUCAUUGUGAAAAUAUUAAAAAAUGAGCUCUAAACCUAUAUCUAAAUUACCGAGCUCAGCUAUUAUAAAGAAUAAUCUAAAGUAACCCCAUAAUCUUCAUCCAAUUUACUAAUACUUAUCAUUAUAAAUCAUUAUAAAUCAUAACUUAAAAUGUCAUUCUAAAAUUUUAUCUACAUUACCCACGUACGUCGUUAUUAAAAAUAACCUAAUAAAGUAAACAUGUGCACCAUACGUCCAAAAGUAAUUUAAUAUAUGAUUCUAAAUUACCUAUUUAUAUCAUUGUUAAUAUAAAAAUACUAAGUUAAAGUAUAUACACAUGAUGAAUCCCACCAUGUAGAAUGUGAGGAAUCGAUGAAAAAUAUUGAUUUGUAUGCUAAACAUAAUGUAUGGAGGAUUGGAGGUGCUAUACAAAAUGGAAAAAGUAUGAAUAUGGAUGAAAAAGUACUCCUGACCUGAAGAAAUUGUACAACGGCUUGCUAUAUGAUCUUGGCAAGAGCAUCAAGGAUCUAAGCAAGAACAUCAAGGGCUUGCUCUCUGAUCUAAGCAAGAACAUCAAUGACGAAACAUUGGAUGACAGGCAGCUCAUAGAAGUACUCAGAGAAUUCCUUGAAGACAAAAGGUACGAACGCAUUCCUUUCGCCAAUUUAUACAUAUGAACUUUAUUUGGACUGAUAAUUUAUGCCCUCUGUUCACAAUACUAUAAGUCUACAUAGGGUUAAUUAAAUGUUCAUGCACGUGGCACAUAUUAAAUUACAAAAUACAACCACUUAAGCUUUACCACAACAUUAUUAAGUGCAAAUAAUUUCCUCACUGAACCUCGUUCUGUUUUGACAAAAUUCUGAGUGGACUUAUUUUAUCCACAGACUUGCUCCCGAACUAUUUUAGUUUAAUCAUUAAACCAUUAGCAGUGGUCUAGUUUGCUUAAUUUUCUUGUAGCUGGUACAUGAACAACAUUAGAGCUUUCUUCAGUCCUUAAACCACUAUUUUUUGCUAAUAACUUGGCAUAUGUGUAGGUAUUUUGUUGUAGUUGAUGACGUAUGGGAUAUAUCAGUUUGGAAAAUGAUUAGAUGUGCUUUGCCUGAUAAUGAUGUUGGAUACACUAUUAUUACAACCACCCGUAUUUCUCAUGUUGCUGAACAAGUUGGGGGUGAUUACAACAUGAAACCUCUUUCUUUGAAUAACUCCCGAAAACUACUUUAUAGAAGAAUAUUUGGUAAUGGGAACAAAGGCAACAAUGAAGCAGAAGAAAUAUGUCAUGCGGAGCUGGCCGAAGUAUCUGACAGAAUACUGAAGAAAUGUGCUGGUGUGCCAUUAGCUAUAAUUACGAUGGCUAGUUUGCUAGCUUGCAAAGCAAGAAAUAAAAUGGAGUGGUAUGAGGUGUACAAUUCUGUUGGUACUGGUUUGGAAAACAAUCUAGAUGUGGAGAAUAUGAGAAAGAUUUUGUCAUUUAGCUAUUAUGAGCUACCAUGCCAUUUAAGGGCUUGCUUGUUAUAUUUGAGCAUGUUUCCUGAAGAUUAUGAAAUUGAUAGGGAUCGUUUGAUAAGGAUGUGGGUAGGUGAAGGUUUUAUCCAAUAUGAAAAAGCAGGGAAGAGUCUAUUUGAACUCGGAGAGAGUUACUUCAAUGAGCUUAUAAACAGAAGCAUGAUCCAACCAGUAUAUGAUGAUGGUGACAUAAUGAUACAAGGUUGUCGUGUACAUGAUAUGAUGCUUGAUCUUAUCCGCUCCUUGUCAAGUGAAGAAAACUUUGUUACUGUACUAAGUAACAUGGGAGGCACAUCUCCGUCAAAUACAAUUCGGAGGUUAUCCCUUCAGAUUGGCCAGGAAAGUUAUGUAAUGGCUCAAGCUACUUUCAGCAUGAAACAUGCAAGCUCAGUUGUUGAUGAUGGUGACAUAAUGAUACAAGGUAGUAGUGAACGUGAUAUGAUGCUUGAUCGUUUAUGCCCCUUGUUAGGUGCCUUGUUCAGGUCAGUUGUUGAUGAUGGUGACAUAAUGAUACACGGUGGUAUUGGACUUGAUAUGACGCUUGAUCGUUUAGGCCCCUUCUUAGGUGCCUUGUUAAGAGAAAAAAACUCUAAUACUAAUAUAGAAUGCACAUCUAUGUCCCUUCAGAAUGGCCAAGAAAAUCAUGUAAUGGUUCAAGCUACUUUCAGCAUGAAACAUGCAAGGUCACUUGUUGUGUUUCCAGCUAUUGCUUCUAUAGUGCUGCCUCUUGCCUGCUGCCGAGUUUUACGUGUUCUGGAUUUAGACGCCUGCGAUCUUUCAAGAGCUAAUGGUAGCUUUAAGUGCCUUGGGAAUAUACAUCACUUGAGGUACUUGGGACUACGUGAGACAGGCAUUUCUCAGCUCCCGGAAGAAAUAGGAAACCUGCAAUUUCUACAAACAUUGGAUGUAAGGGGCAACGCAUAUUUGAGGUUGCCUUCGAGUGUUGUCCAACUAAGAAAGUUGAUGUGCCUAUACAUUGACUCGUGGUCUAAAAGUGCACAGGACAGAAUUGGAAACCUGACAUGCCUUGAACAGCUGUCAUGGUUAUGCAUUGAUGACUCCACUAGAAAUAUUAUAGAACAGUUAGGCCAGCUAACUGAACUGAGGCAGCUGUCCAUUAAAUUGGACGAGUGGAACGACAAGCUGUUGGAGUGCCUAUGCAAGCUACAAAAGAUGCAAGAACUAGUUAUCGAAUGUUUUGGUCAAUGCAGCAUCGACGGGGAUGCCUGGGUCGCCCCUCGACAUCUUCGCGUAUUGUAUAUACCAAACAGAUGUUGGUUUUCAACACUUCCAGCUUGGGUGAAUCCAUCGCUUCUUCCGGACCUCACCAAGCUAUCCAUCACCGUGAGGGAGCUACAUCAGGUUGACCUCGAAAUCCUCGGGAGGUUGCCAGCUCUCCGCUUUCUAUCUCUGAAGGUGGACAACAAGAACCUAAGUAUCAUUCGGGGAUUCGUUGUUGGUGCUGGUGCAUUCCCGUGCCUUGUAAGCUGUUACUUCUAUCAAUUUGUGUGGCCAGUGGUAUUUCAACAGGGAGCUAUGCGAAGGCUCAGAAAGUUUGAGUUCCAGCAGUUUUAUCUGCGGGAGACAAGAGGAAUUGCCUGCAAUGACGGUAGUCUCGAAUUGUGCUUGGGAAACCUACCAUCGCUGCAGGAUGUCCAGGUUGUCCUGUGAUGUGAUGGUGCUAGCAAGGAGGAGGCAGAGCAAGCCAAGGCUGCGCUGACGCAUGAAGCUGAAAUGCAUCCCAAUCAUCCCCGUCAUUAUAUCGAUAUUAGAGGUGCGCCAGCUCCUGAUUGAUAUUCCUUACUUGUCUCCUUCCCCUUUUCUUCUAAACUAUAUUUGCGUUUAUUCCUCUGUUUGAGAUGGUGGAUCUCCAGCUGAUCUUUCACCACGCCUUUCUUCUUGCCCCUUUGCCUCAAUUCUUCUAAUCUUCCUUUCGUAUAUUUGGGUCUGAUAUAUAGAUGACGAUGAGGAUGACGAGUAAUAUAAGACUUUACGCCGGAAGGUGAAGCUGGAGCAUAGCAGAUGACAAAGUCCCUCUGUUUCACCACGCAUGCACAGGUUAAACUGCUCGGCCAUGAGCUUUACAGACACCCUCAACCUGUGAGUAAACAAUGAAUGCUGCACACAUGCGUCUGAGACUCAGAGCUUUGAUCGUUUCUGCUGUGCAUCAACCAAUAUGGCAUUUCGUUGCGAGAGUGUAGGAUGACAUUGUCAGUGGAUAUGAUUGUAAUCCCUGACCAACUUCCCCCU